RNAcentral lists this long non-coding RNA (218723 nucleotides) under Zea mays. RNAcentral describes it as "long non-coding RNA (ZMAY_LNC004063)". The record is from RNAcentral. Lineage: Eukaryota; Viridiplantae; Streptophyta; Magnoliopsida; Poales; Poaceae.
GUUAAUCCAUCACCCAUAUUAUUGAUACCAACUAGCAACAUACAUAGUGAAGUACACUAGCAACAUCUUAGCACCAAUGGGAGCCAAGAUUUUUGCCCUCCUUGCCCUCCUUGCUCUUUCAGCAAGCGCUGCUACCUCGACUUUUAUUCCACAAUGCUCACAACAAUACCUCUCUCCGGUGACAGCCGCGGGAUUUCAAUACCCAACUAUACAAUCCUACAUGGUACAAGAGGCCAUCCAAGCAAGCAUCUUACGGUCAUUAGCAUUAACCCUCCAACAACCAUAUGCUCUAUUGCAACAGCCAUCCUUAGUGCAUCUGUAUCUCCAAAGAAUCGCGGCACAACAACUACAACAACAGUUGCUACCAACAAUCAAUCAAGUAGUUGCAGCGAACCUUGCUGCUUACCUCCAGCAACAACAGUUUCUUCCAUUCAAUCAACUAGCUGGGGUGAACCCUGCUAUCUACUUGCAGGCACAACAGCUACUACCAUUUAACCAACUUGUCGGGAGCCCUUAUGCCUUCUUACUGCAACAACAGCUUCUGCCAUUCCAUCUGCAAGCUGUGGCAAACAUUGUUGCUUUCUUGAGACAACAACAUUUGUUGCCAUUUUACCCACAAGUUGUGGGAAACAUUAAUGCCUUCUUGCAACAGCAACAAUUGCUACCAUUCUACCCACAGAAUGUGGCAAACAUUGUUGCCUUCUUACAACAACAACAAUUGCUGCCAUUUAGCCAACAUGCUUUGACGAAUCCUACCACCUUAUUGCAACCGCCCACCAUUGGUGGUGCCAUCUUCUAGAUUUUUUAUGAUUUAUACUGUAAUAAUAAAGUUCUCAUGCUGAUAUGUGCGACCUCUCAGUAAUAAAGUAUUAGAGAUCUAUAUUUUAAAUUCAAAUGUAUCCAAGUGUGUUCCAUUGCUUUUUGUUUCCCUAAGACCAAAUACUAAAACCUUUGAAUCAUACCUAUUGUAUGAUACCUGAAUAAUUCUACACUACCGUGAAUAAACAUUAUGAAGGAGCUAGUGGCUAGGUGGAGGUUGCAGCCUAGAGGAUGAGAAUGAUGAUGUGUUAAGGUUGUAUAGAUGGGCUUAGGAUAAAAUUUGUUGUUGGUCUAGAAUAGUAUCUCAGUUAUCUAAGAUAUGAUGGUAAGCCUAGGCCAUUGAGAGGCUCCUUGAUGGCGGUGCGUUCACCCUCAGGUGACUGUGUGCACCAAUGAGGGGCCCCAUAGGCGGCACUAGCACUCCACCAUGCUCUCUCGAACUUAUAUGAGACAGAAAAGAAGGUGGAUGAAGAGGGAAGACUCUCAAGAGUAGAAGGUGGAGAAAGAGCAGAGUGCUACGAGGAGAUAAAAAUGAUUAGGUACAUAGCAUUUUUAUCCUAGUCAUUAGAUGAGAUCAGAUGGUGCAGAGUUGUUAAGGCUACUUCUGGCUCAGGCAAGUGUAAGAAUUUCCUACCUAGGCCAAAGUUGUGGCCUGGGAUGUGAGUCUACGUGGGGAGCAGGCUAGCAGGCCGACCACUAUUGACAGAGAUAGGCAAUGCCAUUGAUAAUCUGAAGCAUAUUGGCCCUAUGUUGGUAAUAAAAGGAACACAUGAGACAACUAAUAAUGCAGCCUUGACAAUGACAUAUGAUUUUCAACACAUUAAGUGAGAUAGAUCAAAUUAGAAGUGUAUGAUGGUUAUUAGAAGCUAUAUUAUAGAGUCUAUUAGGGGAGCAAUCUUGAAUGUCCAAGUGCCAUAGAGUAUCUUGAUAAAAUUAAGCAACAAUUCAUUGGUUCUUCUAAUACAUAUAUUGGAACCAUAAUUCUGAAUAUUAUUACUAAAAUGUAUGAUGGCUCUAUAGUAGGGGAGCACAAAAUUAAGAUGACUAAUUUUCCCAAUAAACUUAAGUCUUUUGGUAUGGAACUAAAGAACGAAUAUAUUGUCCACAUGAUAUAAUUGUCUUUAUCUAAAGAAUUUAAGAAUUUUGUUGUGAACUACAACAUGAGUCCUAAAAAGUAGGCAAUAGAGAUGUUGAUUGCCAUGUGUGUCCAAAAAUCAAAGAGGGUCCCCAAAAAUUCUAGUGGGUACCACCUGAGGGUUCCUUUAACCCUAAAACUUGUAUUUUCUAGAUUUUUUUAGGCAUAGAAAAACUCAAUGGUAAGCACCAAAAAUUUCAUUAGAGCACCAUUAAAUGCGAUACAAAAUGUGCAUCUUAUAGCUUGAGUGGCCACUAUAAAACUUUGGUGCCACUAAAAAUCUUUGGUGCCAUUGAAUAAGACAAUACUAGGCAAAAGGCCAGUUAAUGGAUAGUUUUAAAUAGACGCUGAACUAGCCAUUAAAGCCUCCCAUGUCUUUCUUUGGAGAGCCUAUUGAAAGGUUCUAAUGGUGUACUAAUAUAGAUUACUCCCCAUUGUUGAUUCAUAACUCCCAUUCACCUUUGAUUUUCAUCGACAUUUUUAGAAGUGGAUAGUGAUACAAAAGUUAUUACUAAUAGUUUGAAUGCGUUGGUGAUAAACUUCAUCACCAUCGACUUAGAAAAUAGUAUGACUUUUGAAGGUCAUUUUUUGAUAGGCUUAUCUCUAAAUGAUUAAUACAGGCUAGGUGUGGCCAUUAGGCCCCUCAAGACUUUUUCUUAAAUAUGAAUGCUCUCUUGAACCAUCUCUAGAAAUUAAAAACAUAUAAUAUCUAAAUAUAGAUACUUUUGUACUACCCUAAGCAGAUGAAGCUUAAGGCUAGUAUAAGCUAGUUAUCAUAUGAUGGCUAAGUACACCACAACCACUAUUUCUAUUUUCAGUUUUACAAAGAGGGGAGACCUAUGCAUUAUAUUACACUUAAUACCAAAACUUUCUAAGGGCAACCAUAAUAGAAGGCUUGCCCUGCUUAUGUGAAAACUUUGCAUAUGCUAAUGAGAGAUAAUAAAUAAAAAAGAGAAGGUUAAGGCUACCUAUCAUAUGCUAACCUAUACAACUAUUUAUUUUAUUUUAUUCAACAACUUGAGAGAUGUUCAUUGUAUUAGUCUUGCAGUAACAAUUGCCCAAAAUAAAGUAUAUUAGGCCUUAUAGCUAGUGGAAAUUUUCUCUAUGAAGUAGACAUAAUAAAAAUGAGAGAAGGAAUAUAUUCUCAUGCAAUAAGAGAUUGACUCAACAAAUAUCCAAGUAAACACACCAUGUCCAACUCAAUAUAUAUGAGGAAGGGACUAAUGCAUAAAACGUCUCUAGUAUUGUCCUUUGUCCAUUUUUCUUUGAUCAAUUGGAGUUAAGAUAAAUGAAACAUAUGAUAAAAUUAUGUGGUCAUUCAUGACAAAUGUUUUUUCAUUGUUGUGAGAAUUGCAACAAGGUUUCUUUAACUAUUUUUGGUAAACACUAUGUUUUAAUCACACAUAUCAACUAUUGAUCAUCAUUGAUACCCUUUUAACCAUAAUGAAACAGAACCACAUGUUUUAGAUCUAUUUUCUGACUUUGAGCCAAAAAUAAGUAGUACCCCUACCUAGUUUGAUUUCUGCCACAUCCAUAAUACCAAUAUAAUGUAUGACAUCAAUUGUACAUUCUAAGGUGUCACUCUCCAUAGCUUCCACCCAAACUCCAUUCUCUACUAGAUGCUUAGUGAUCACUAAUCCAUCAAUCUUCGUAGUAUUUCAAAGAGGACCAACCUUGCUCUUUGUGGAACUGUUGGCUAAAUCUUAUGAGGCCCCAUCCAACUAUAGUUCAUAUUUCUCGGUAGCUUAGUUGGGUGCACACUGAAAACUAAUGAUCAUUGGCACUUUCAAAAUAUGAAACUAAUACUGUCAUCAAACACCGAACACAUAGACACAAUAAAAACAUAAUGUAUGCCUGAAAAUAGUUAUAGGAACCUCAUUUCAAUUCUUAGAACAAUGAACAAAACAUUUGUCAUGAACAAUCAUGUAAUUUUAUCAUAUGAUUCCUUUAUCCAACCUCUAAGGAUCGUAGGACCUUGUCAAAAAAGAAUGGGCAUAGGACAAUCUAGAGAUGUCAGUACAUUACUUCCUCCCUCCUAUAUAGCGAGUUGGACAACUUUCGGUGUAAAAGUGCCCAGCCUAGCCACCAUUUCACCAAUACUAAAAUUUGCCCAAUAGGACAAACGGAAAACACUUUCUUCAAGACAUUCUCUAUCCUAUAUAGAACCUACAUGACUGUUUUUCUCUGUCACUGCAUAAAACUAAGUGUGACAUCUUCACCCACAUGUACAAUAGCUCAUUCCUCUCCUUCUUGUUCCCUUGUGGAUGUUGUUGACCUAAUACACCUUAGACUCAUUGAUUUUGUUCAUUUUUAUCAAUCCCAUUGUUCCAGCAUAUUUAUUCUUCUCAUGUCUCGUCCUGCAUAAUGUUUGCAUUCUCAAUGUCCUUGCUCGCACCCUUGGACAUUGUGUCAUACCACUUGCCCUUAGUUUAUGCUCUUCUAUUAGUUGAAAUUGAUUGAUAUCCAAAUUUUAUUGAAAAUGAUUGAGAUCCACAUCAUUUGGUCACAACUUCACAAACUUACCUCCAUCAAGCGGAUCAUAUAUUAUGUGGCUAAGGGUUGCACAUGUGUAAAGGUAAAUGGGUCAUGCCAUUAUCACCCGUAUAUUCAGAAAUACCAUGGGAAGAAUAGCACCUUUUGCUUGUAUUUUGUGCAAAUUGUUUUGCCAACAUAUAAAGUGUAAGAGAAGAAAGUGGCCACUAAAUAUCAAAAUAGACUAGGUACCAUGUCAUCUCUAGUUUAUCUUCUAAUAGUUUUGUUGGCUAAAGAAGAAAUAUUGUUGAUAUACAUGGCCAAUCAUGUGUAUAAAUAGCCAUCAAAUUAGUAGUUAAUCCAUCACCCAUAUUAUCGAUACCAACUAGCAACAUACAUAGUGAAGUAUACUAGAAACAACUUAGCACCAAUGGCAGCCAAGAUCUUUGCCCUCCUUGCCCUCCUUGCUCUUUCAGCAAGCGCUGCUACCUCGACUAUUAUUCCACAAUACUCACAACAAUACCUCUCUCUGGCGACAGCCGCGAGAUUUCAAUACCCAACUAUACAACCCUACAUGCUACAAGAGGCCAUUGCAGCAAGCAUCUUACAGUCAUUAGCAUUUACCCUCCAACAACCAUAUGCCCUAUUGCAGCAACCAUCCUUAGUGCAUCAGUAUCUCCAAAGAAUUGCGACACAACAACUACAACAACAAUUGCUACCAACAAUCAAUCAAGUAGUUCCAGCGAACCCUGCUGCUUACCUCCAUCAACAAUAGUUUCUUCCAUUCAAUCAACUAGCUGGGGUGAACCCUGCUGUCUACUUGCAGGCACAACAUCUACUACCAUUUAACCAACUUGUCGGGAGCCCUGAAACCUUCUUACUGCAACAACAGUUGCUGCCAUUCCAUCGGCAUGCUAUGGCAAACAUUGCUGCUUUCUUGCAACAACAAUAGUUGUUGCCAUUUUACCCACAUGUGGUGGGAAACAUUACUGCCUUCUUGCAACAGCAACAAUUGCUGCCAUUCUACCCACAGAAUGUGGCAAACAUUGUUGCCUUCUUACAACAACAACAAUUGCUUCCAUUUAGCCAACUUGCUUUGACGAAUCCUACCUCCUUAUUGCAGCAGCUGUCACACCCGGUUUUAGAAGGCAAACCGAAUGCGAACCAUGUACGUGCCAGGAUCAGUUAUUCACGUACACAGCAGUUACAUAACAUGGACAUCAUCACACAGUGCUCAAAAUAGUAUUAAGAAGGGAAAUAGUCGAUUACAUCAUACGUUUGAGACGUCCAUAUAGUUCUUACAAUAAAUCAAAGUGCGGAAAAGAAACGUAGAUAACCGCGGCCUUCACAGGCAGCCGACUGGGGGUUGCCGCUAACCCACAACUAGAACUCGUCGUAGUCUUGGAACUCCUGGAAGUCACCUUCCACAGCUUCAUCUUCGCCUGAGCAGUGGUUGCAAUGCUGACAACCUGGGGAUGGGGGGGGGGGGGGUUUGGUGUGUAGAGCAAGGGUGAGUACACAUCAACAUACUCAGCAAGUAUCCUGUCUGGCUGUAGUGGACUAGCUGUAUGUGGGGAUAAGUCAAGCAGUUGCUUUUAGUUGGUCAGAUUAUUACUUACUAGUAGAAAGCCAAGUUUUAGCAUUAACCCAAGUUAUUAACCCGAUGUACCCUUUCCAAACGGAAAGAAUACCACUUACCAGCACCAUAGUCAUAACCAAAACCAUCAAUCUCAUAACCACCUGUACCAAAGUAUCUCUGAUCAAGUACCACUAAUCACUGGAGCUCCCUUGGCCGCUCAUAACCGCGAGCACGGCUGAUAUAUCAGUUUUCAAACACUCUGCAGAGGUUGUGCACUUUACCCACAAGCCGUGAUUCCCAUUCUGCCCGGAGAGAGCUACUCCCCAUUGACCACUACCUAGGUGGCCUAGCAGGGCAUCACUAUGUAGCCUUUACAAAGAUUCCCCGGGGCUGUAGCCACCCGUUAGGUUUCCUAAAUGCACCGCACUCCUCCCCAAGGGGCGAACCCAAACUUGGCAGAGCGAGCCGCAUACACCGAGCCCCAUUGACGGCACGACGGCUAAGUGAACUACACCCCGGAUGCUCUAAUUAUUCAGCUAAGGGCAUCCCAUUCCACCCUCAUGGUUGCACUGUUUUCCCGGGCGGUCAUCCAUAGAACAGGUCCUUACGGAGAGGCACUCGAGAAACCGCUCGAGCCCCCUUGAUGACCACAAGUAUAACAUCAUCAUAAGAAAGGGGAAAACAGCGUAUCAUAGAUAAUCUCAUCAUGUUCAUUGAUUAUAGUUGAGCAAUAGCAUAAAGCUAAACAGUAAUAAUCCAACCCAAAUAGGUAAACAAGGACAUGGAUAACAAAAGCUAGUCAAUCCUUAGGCAUAAAUGUGUAAUGCAGGAGGUGAAUUAGAUAAUGAAUAGGACAUAGAUAGGUCAAGGGACACUUGCCUCCACCAACCGACUGCUGCUCAGGGGCUUCUCCUGCGGGUUCCUCGGGCUCUUAAACCGGAUCGUUCUCUAUACGAGCGCAAACAUACAUACAUCCACAUAUUUAAUACCAAAGAACAGUACACCAUACAUGUCACACCCGGUUUUAGAAGGCAAACCGAAUGCGAACCAUGUACGUGCCAGGAUCAGUUAUUCACGUACACAGCAGUUACAUAACAUGGACAUCAUCACACAGUGCUCAAAAUAGUAUUAAGAAGGGAAAUAGUCGAUUACAUCAUACGUCUGAGACGUCCAUAUAGUUCUUACAAUAAAUCAAAGUGCGGAAAAGAAACGUAGAUAACCGCGGCCUUCACAGGCAGCCGACUGGGGGUUGCCGCUAACCCACACCUAGAACUCGUCGUAGUCUUGGAACUCCUGGAAGUCUCCUUCCACAGCUUCAUCUUCGCCUGAGCAGUGGUUGCAAUGCUGACAACCUGGGGAUGGGGGGGGGUUUGGUGUGUAGAGCAAGGGUGAGUACACAUCAACAUACUCAGCAAGUAUCUUGUCUGGCUGUAGUGGACUAGCUAUAUGUGGGGAUAAGUCAAGCAGUUGCUUUUAGUUGGUCAGAUUAUUACUUACUAGUAGAAAGCCAAGUUUUAGCAUUAACCCAAGUUAUUAACCCGAUGUACCCUUUCCAAACGGAAAGAAUACCACUUACCAGCACCAUAGUCAUAACCAAAACCAUCAAUCUCAUAACCACCUGUACCAAAGUAUCUCUGAUCAAGUACCACUAAUCACUGGAGCUCCCUUGGCCGCUCAUAACCGCGAGCACGGCUGAUAUAUCAGUUUUCAAACACUCUGCAGAGGUUGUGCACUUUACCCACAAGCCGUGAUUCCCAUUCUGCCCGGAGAGAGCUACUCCCCAUUGACCACUACCUAGGUGGCCUAGCAGGGCAUCACUACGUAGCCUUUACAAAGAUUCCCCGGGGCUGUAGCCACCCGUUAGGUUUCCUAAAUGCACCGCACUCCUCCCCAAGGGGCGAACCCAAACUUGGCAGAGCGAGCCGCAUACACCGAGCCCCAUUGACGGCACGACGGCUAAGUGAACUACACCCCGGAUCCUCUAAUUAUUCAGCUAAGGGCAUCCCAUUCCACCCUCAUGGUUGCACUGUUUUCCCGGGCGGUCAUCCAUAGAACAGGUCCUUACGGAGAGGCACUCGAGAAACCGCUCGAGCCCCCUUGAUGACCACCAGUAUAACAUCAUCAUAAGAAAGGGGAAAACAGCGUAUCAUAGAUAAUCUCAUCAUGUUCAUUGAUUAUAGUUGAGCAAUAGCAUAAAGCUAAACAGUAAUAAUCCAACCCAAAUAGGUAAACAAGGACAUGGAUAACAAAAGCUAGUCAAUCCUUAGGCAUAAAUGUGUAAUGCGGGAGGUGAAUUAGAUAAUGAAUAGGACAUAGAUAGGUCAAGGGACACUUGCCUCCACCAACCGACUGCUGCUCAGGGGCUUCUCCUGCGGGUUCCUCGGGCUCUUCAACCGGAUCGUUCUCUAUACAAGCGCAAACAUACAUACAUCCACAUAUUUAAUAUCAAAGAACAGUACACCAUACAAUAGAAUGCAAUAAGUAAACAGACGUUCCACGCGGGCUCGCGAGUACGGUUAAGAGAGAAAGAGGAAAAGACAGUCGAGAAACGAUCACGUUACAUGAUUAUAAAUUAACCACUCGCUUAAUAGAAGGAAAUUUAAUGUAGACACUAUGUUUGGCGUAAAGUAAAGUCAUGUUUCAUGAAGCAGGUGGAGAUAAAUAAAAGGAUGGUCGCGCGGAGAGACGCGCGACAAAGCUCUCUAAAACAAAUUAAGAAGUUAACGACUCGUCGCACGACCGAGCACGCAACGAGACACUUCGCCUUAGUUACGAGGAGACGUUAAGCGUCACGCGACGAAGCGCACGACGGCAUACGUCGACUAAACUGAGUCCAAAGUGGAACGUCGCGUGAAUACACACGCGGUGUUACACCUUAAACAACCUGAAACAAAAUGGAUCGUCGCGCGACGAAGCGCACGACGCAACACAAGAUAGAAUCUGAAUUUUAGACAAAUCCGUCGCGCGGCGAAGCGCGCGACGCAACACGCUAAUUAACAAAUAAUCACCGCGAGCGAAGAUACGGUCGGGCGAGGCCGGGACGGGGGAACGGGCGGCCGAGCCGGGGCCGGGGCGGUUGGGCCGGCCGGGGCCGCGCCGGGGGCCGGAGGCCGCGCCGGGGGCCGCGCCGGGCGAGCAGGGGCCACCGGGGCCGCGCCGGGCCACGCCGGGGGCGCGCCGGGGCCGCGCUGCGCGCGAGCAGGGGAGGGGCGGGCGCCGCCGGGCGGGCAGGGGCGGGCGGGCGCCGCCGCGGGCGAGCAGGGGCGGGCGAGCGCCGCCGCGGGCCAGGGGAGGGCGGGCGCCGCCGCGCGGGGCCGGGCAGGGGCGGGCGGGCGAGCGCCGCCACGGGGAGGGGCAGGGGGCGGGCGCCGCCGCGCUGGGGAGGGGGCGGGGAGCGCCGCGCGGGCGGGCAGGGGGCGGGGAGCGCCGCCGCGAGGCCGGGGGAGGGGCGGGCGCCGCCGCCGCGGGCGAGCAGGGGCGGGGAGCGGGCGCCGCGGGGCCGGGGAAGGGGCGGGGACGGGGUCGCGCGCGGGCAAGGGAGAGGGAGGGCGCGCGGGGGGGGGAAGAAGAGGAGGGAGAGGGAGAGGAGAGGGGGAGGGGAGGGGAGCUCACCUCGGGGUCCAAAAUCCGGUGAUCGCCGUCUCCAAACCCUAGGGCACCACGGGGAGAGAGAGGUGGAAGAGGGAGAGGAGAGGUUGUUGCGCGGGAGAUCCAAAUGAGAGAGAGAGAGAAGAGGGGGCGCAUGGGGGGUUUGGGCGCCGGGGGCGCGCAGGCCGGGGCGGGCCGGGCCGGCUGGGCUGGGCUGGACUAGGUUGGGCUGGGCUGGGCCACUUCGCGGAUUGAAAACCCACGACGAGCGCGACCACUAAACGGAAUUAAAUCGCGAACCGAAAUCCGGAAUGGAACGAGACGAACAUUCAACAUCAGACAAAGAAAUGUGCUUCGGCAUGAUGCAACACCCAUGACACUUAGGUUUUGGUUUAUACAUGACACGGACACCUGCCGCUAUACUGGUUUGAAACUGGGAAGAAGGAGCAAACGGGGAAAGAGAAAAGAGAGUAACGCCCAAAUUUGGUGAGAGAAAAGAAGAAAAAAUUCUACCCCCAAAUUCAGGGCAUUACAAACCUAUCCCCCUUAAAAGAAUCUCGCCCUCGAGAUUCAGGGUUGGCUAGCAAAGAGCUCAGGGUAUUUAGCGAUCAGAUCGUCUUCAUGCUCCCAGGUUGCUUCUUCCUCAGAGUGAUGAUUCCAUCUGACUUUGCACAUUCUGAUGGUCUUCCUUCGGGUGACUCUGUCACAACCUCAAGGAUUUGCACUGGUUUCUCAACGUAGGUCAAGUCCUCCUGGACUUCAAGACCUUCCACUGGCAACUGCUCUUCUGGCACACGCAAGCACUUCUUCAACUGAGACACAUGAAAGACAUCAUGCACAGCAGACAAAUUCUCGGGCAAACUGAGCUGAUAGGCCACUUCUCCACGUCUUGCAAGGAUCUGAUACGGACCAAUGUAGCGGGGUGCUAGCUUGCCUUUCACUCCGAAUCUUCUGACUCCUCUGAUCGGUGACACUUUCAGAUAGACAAAGUCUCCAACUUCGAAACUCAGCUCUCUUCUUCUUGUGUCUGCAUAGCUUCGCUGUCUUGAUUGCGCUAUCUUCAGAUUCUCUCGGACCAUCUUGAUGUUUUCUUCGGCUUCAAGCAAAAUGUCUGGCCCAAACACCUGCUUUUCUCCAGGCUGAUCCCAUUGCAACGGAGUUCUACAACUCCUUCCAUAGAGCGCCUGAAAUGGUGACAUCUUCAAACUGGCCUAGUAACUGUUGUUAUAGGAAAACUCCGCAUAAGGCAAUCUCUUAUCCCAUCCGGACUGAUCUUGCAACGCACAGGCUCUCAACAUAUCUUCAAGAAUUUGAUUGGUCCUUUCGGUCUGGCCAUCUGUCUGCGGAUGAUAAGCUGAACUGAAAUUCAGAUGCGUGCCCAAAGCUUCAUGCAACUGCUGCCAGAAAUGAGAGGUGAACUGCGUUCCUCUGUCUGACACUAUCUUCUUUGGCACACCAUGAAGACAAACGAUCCAAGACAUAUACAAUUCUGCCAAUACUGCACUGCUGUAGUUGGUCUUGACAGGUAUGAAGUGGGCUGACUUGGUCAAGCGGUCCACCACUACCCAAAUGGAAUCGUAGCCGGCUCGAGUGCGAGGCAAUCCGACUAUGAAAUCCAUACCAAUUUCAUCCCAUUUCCACUGAGGGAUCUGCAACGGUUGCAACAAUCCAGCAGGUCUCUGGUGCUCUGCCUUAAUUCUUCGGCAACUAUCGCACAUAGCCACAUGCUCUGCGAUUUCCCUCUUCAUUCCGUACCACCAGAAUUUCUUCUUCAGGUCCUGAUACAUCUUCUCACUGCCAGGGUGAAUCGAAUAGGCUGUCUCAUGAGCUUCCUUAAGAAUCAACUCCCGAAUGGACUGGACAUUGGGAACACACAAGCGGUCUUUGAACUAUAUCACGCCUUCUGCAUCUUCUCGAAAAUCUUUGCCUUUGCCAUCUAGAAUCAGCCGCCGGAUCUCACUGAUUUUCUCAUCAUUCUUCUGCGCUUCUUUGAUUUCGCGCUCCAAGGUAGGUUCCAACUCAACUGUGACUCCUCGCGAAUUGUUCAGAAAACCGAGACUCAACUUGUCAAACUCUUUGGCCAACUCAUAAGGCAUCGGACGAGCGACCAUCAGAUUGACUUGACUCUUUCUGCUCAAAGCAUCUGCCACUAUGUUUGCUUUGCCUGGAUGGUAAUGAAUCUCCAACUCAUAGUCUUUAAUCAACUCUAACCAUCUUCGUUGCCUCAUGUUCAACUCUGACUGGGUGAAUAUGUACUUCAGACUCUUGUGAUCUGUGUAAACAUCGCAUUUCUGUCCAUACAGGUAGUGCCUCCAUGUCUUCAGUGCGUGAACCACUGCUGCCAACUCUAGAUCAUGGAUUGGGUAGUUCUUCUCAUGAACCUUCAACUGUCGGGACGAGUAAGCCACAACUCUUCCCUCUUGCAUCAACACACAUCCCAAACCUGUGUAGCAAGCAUCGCAAUACACCGAGAAGGGCUUGUGCACAUCAGGCAAGACUAGGACAGGCGCUGUAGUCAACUUCUCUUUCAGCGCUUCAAAGGCCUCUUGGCAUUUCUGGGUCCACUUGAACUCAACUUUGUUGCCUAGCAACGCUGUCAUUGGUUUCGCAAUCUUCGAAAACCCUUCAAUGAAUCGUCGAUAAUAUCCGGCCAUUCCAAUGAAGCUCUUGAUUCCCCUAGCAUCUGUUGGCGCUUUCCAGUUCAAAAUGUCUGCCACUUUCUUCGGAUCCAUAGCCAAUCCUUCUUUGUUGAUUAUAUGACCCAAGAACAGGACUUCACUGAUCCAGAACUCACACUUGCUCAACUUUGCAUACAACUGGUGCUCUCGCAAUCUCUGCAAUACCAUCCUCAAAUGACUUGCAUGCUCUUCUUCGCUUUGAGAAUAUAUCAGAAUGUCAUCAAUGAAUACCACCACAAACUUAUCAAGGUAAUCCAUGAAUACACUGUUCAUCAAGUUCAUGAAGAACGCUGGCGCAUUGGUCAAACCAAAAGACAUCACUGUGAACUCAUACAAACCAUACUUGGAAAUGAAUGUCGUCUUCGGAAUGUCCGAAGGUCGGAUCCUGAGCUGAUGAUAACCUGACCACAGAUCAAUCUUGGAGAACACACUGGCUCCUCUCAACUGGUCGAACAGAUCUUCUAUUCUGGGCAAAGGAUACUUGUUCUUGAUCGUGACCUCAUUCAAAGCUCGAUAGUCAAUACACAUCCUCUUGGUGCCCUCUUUCUUUUCCACGAACAAGACAGGGGCGGCCCAAGGCGAGGUGCUUGGCCGAAUGUAACCUUUCUCUGACAGCUCAUCAAUUUGCUUCUUAAGCUCAAUCAACUCUGGUCCAGAUAUUCUGUAAGCUCUCUUGAAGAUAGGGGCGGUUCCAGGAAGAAGCUCUAUAGCAAACUCAACUUUCCGCUCUGGUGGCAUACCCGGUAAGUCCUUUGGAAACACAUCUGGGAACUCGGACACAACCUUGAUCCUCUCAAUUGGGUCUGCUUCACUGCUAUCAACAGCUAUCUGAUAACAACUUCCUUUCUUUGGCUCAGGCGGGACUAACUCAGUCACCACUUCCUCUCCUAGUGGGGACACCAACUUGAUUGUCCUUUUAUCACAACCGAUAACUGCCUGAUACUUAUCUAGCCAAUUCAUCCCUAGGAUGACAUCUAUUCCCUGAGUACCCAUUACUAUAAGGUUGGCGGGAAACGCUAUCCCCCUUAUUUCCACACUUAUAUUCAAACAAAUGCUAUCGGCUCGAAUUCUACCACCGGCUGAGUCAAUUUGAAUGGGGGUUGACAUGGUAGUAAUUGGAAGAUUAUGUGCUUCUACCCAUGAUGCAGUAAUGAAAGAAUGCGUUGCUCCAGUAUCAAAUAACACUUCUGCAAUAUGGGAGUCGACUGGGAACAUACCUACUAUCAUGCCGGGGUCUCCUGAACUGCUUCAGCCUCCAAGUGGUUCAGUCUUCCAUGAUUAUAGCGCGGCUAAGAGCGAUUGCCUGCUCUAGGCUGAGGCACAUUCUGCUUUGCUGGGGCAUUGGGGCCUGACUGCUGCUGGGCUGCCUUCUUUGGACAUUGCAUCACCCAGUGGCCUUGCUCUCCACAGUGGAAACAUGCUCUGUUUCCAACCUGAGCUGGUGCUGCCUGAUUGUUCUGCUGGUUUGCUGGGGCAGGAAGACGAGGUGCCUAUUGAUUCUGCCUCUAAAACUGACCUCCUGACUGAUUGCUCUGACGGUUCUGGUACUGAUGCUGAGGAUACUGCCUUUGGAACGACUGAUGCUGCUGAGGUGGACGCUGGUUCUGCCUGAACUGCUGAGGUUGACUGCCUGAGAAACGAGGACGAUUGCUGCUUCCAGGCUGGGGUCCACUGAUCUUGCGCUUACGAUCCUCCAUCUCCUUACGCUUCCUCUCUGUCAUGAUUGCUCUGUCAAUCAGGUGCUGGAAUGUCGGGAAGGUAUGAUUCAUCAGCUGAUACUGCAGAGGGUCAACCAAGCCUCUCAGAAAACGGUACUGCCGCUUGGCGUCGGUGUUGACAUCUUCAGGAGCAUAGCGAGACAAUUGUAGAAACUUGUCCCGGUACUCACUGACAGACAAUGGCCCUUGCUUGAGAGCCAGGAACUCCUCUUUCUUCACUGUCAUCAGACCUGCAGGGACAUGGUACUGACGAAAGCUACCUCUGAACUCUUCCCAUGUGAUGGCGUCAGGGUGGGCAUGGGUGGCGAGGUAAGACUCCCACCAUGAUUGGGCUGCUCCUCUCAACAGACGGGGACCAUACAGGACUUUCUCCCUGUCAUCGCACUGAGCGGUAUGCAACUCACGCUCCACAGUGCGUAGCCAGUCUUCAGCAUCCAUGGGAUCAGAAGAGUGAGCGAACGUUGGUGGAUGACCUCUCAUGAAUUCAGCACGCUUGUCUCUGGGCAUUUGAGGCAUCUGAGGCUGAGGUGGGGCCUGCUGCUGCUGCUGCUGAAUGGCGGCCAAAGUCUGGCCGAUGGCUUGAACUGCCUGAGUCUGCAUCAGGAACAUCUGCUCGAUGGACAUCGGGGGCGGGGGCGGCAGGUGCUGCUACUGAGGCACCUCUUCCUGUUGAGUGGCUCGCUCCUGCUGAGCACGCCUUCCUCCUCUGCGCCUAUUCUCUGACAUCUGCAGAAUGCAACCACACAUCAGAACUGAUCUGGCAAAUCUUGCAGCAUAAGAAAAGAGAAUAGAAUUCUUCAACAGCACUGAACAGAUGAGCAUCUUCACUGAUCUCCAACACAGACCACACAGCUUCUCAGAUAAAGAGGAAAGUGGAAUAAAAGGUUUCCCAACUAUAUUCUAACUCCAUUAACAUAAUAGGUAAACCAAAAUGCAGGGGAUACCCACACUCUGGUGACAGUCAUUACAAAGAUCCAAACCAAACAUAGUUCAUCAUGACAAACAUAGAUGCACAGGAUAUAGCAAACUACCCUGUCUAACUAAGACUAACUAAGACUGAGACUAACGCUAAGACCGAAGCUUUUAUGUAUAUAUUUCGUAUUAAUUACAAGAUCCAACUCUAACGAUCUAUGGUUCUAGAGUUAUCUUGGUCUUGCAGGCGGGAUUGCCAUAAGACUGGUGUCCACGCUGAGGUGAGCGGUACGGGUGCUGAGUCCCAACGGGAGCGGGGGAACCACCAUCCAGGUGACGACGUUCCGCGCGCUCAGCCCGCAGCAGGGCGAUCUCAGCACGAGCCCUACUCAGCUCGUCUAGUGCAUGGUCCAGCUCCGUGUUUAGCACGGCGGCUAGGUUGACUGUGCUGCUCAACCUAGGAUUGCCCUCACCGACAGGUGAGACAAUAACGCCUCCUGUGCUGCCAGAUGGACGGCGGGGGUAAUACUUCAGGUCAAGACCGUCAGCUGCCCCACCGAAAACCGAGCAGUAGUGCGAAAGCGCACGCCGUACAGCAUCUUGCAUGGCUGCCUCAGCUGAGUCCCGCUCAGAGAUAGAAUAGUGCUCUGAGCAGGCCUCCGCACCCUGGAGACUGUUCUCCGGGCAGCGCACCAAGCAGGUUGCCUCCCAGCGGUCCGGGUAGACCCCGCGACUGUGCUGGUAGACCACACAGCGAUACUCGACGGACCAAGUAUGCCAGUUAAAUGCCCGACGUAGCAGGGUGUCGAGCGCAUCGUGGAAGUGACACCCGCGAGCAGCGUCGCGAGUGAUGGGUCGAGCAACCCAUCCUUCCGGCUCAGGGUUAGCAGAGAAGUCGGUGUCGUGGCUCGAGCUGUCGUGGCUCGAGCUGUCGUCGCCAUCUCCGUCGUCUGGGUCUCCUCCAGCAGCUACUCCAGAAGCUGGGGCGCCCAGUGGUGGUGCAGGGGGCGCCUCCAGGGGAAGCACAGGGGAGCAGCUCCUCACAGACUCUAUCUCCUGGUGGAGCGAGAAAGAAGAGCCCUGCUGCUCCUGUCGUCGACGUUCCUGCUCCUCACGCAGGCGGUGGUGCAGUCUCUCCAAGUGGCUGGACUGUCCGGCCACGGGACAGCGUAGCGGACGCUCAGCAAGGCGGGAGGGUAAGAAGGGGAUGACUGACUUUCGUGCAGUGUGUCUAAGUCGAGCCAUCUACAAAAGACAUCGCAAGCAAAAGGGUGAGAACAGAAUCAAUAUGACCAGCAAAUAAUGAACCAUAAAUGAAUGAAGGAUUAGAAUAAAACAUAAUUUUCAGCAAGGUAUAGUAUAUAGUAGAACAUAGGUGUGGUCGGUAUGACCAACUUUUGAAGGGAUAUCAAAGUCAAGGCAGAGACAGAGGUCUAUAGUCCUUAGGACGACCAUUCUACUCUAGGUUAGCGGUCCUACAGUCAGCACGGCUUUGAUACCACUUAUGUCACACCCGGUUUUAGAAGGCAAACCGAAUGCGAACCAUGUACGUGCCAGGAUCAGUUAUUCACGUACACAGCAGUUACAUAACAUGGACAUCAUCACACAGUGCUCAAAAUAGUAUUAAGAAGGGAAAUAGUCGAUUACAUCAUACGUCUGAGACGUCCAUAUAGUUCUUACAAUAAAUCAAAGUGCAGAAAAGAAACGUAGAUAACCGCGGCCUUCACAGGCAGCCGACUGGGGGUUGCCGCUAACCCACACCUAGAACUCGUCGUAGUCUUGGAACUCCUGGAAGUCUCCUUCCACAGCUUCAUCUUCGCCUGAGCAGUGGUUGCAAUGCUGACAACCUGGGGAUGGGGGGGGGGUUUGGUGUGUAGAGCAAGGGUGAGUACACAUCAACAUACUCAGCAAGUAUCCUGUUUGGCUGUAGUGGACUAGCUGUAUGUGGGGAUAAGUCAAGCAGUUGCUUUUAGUUGGUCAGAUUAUUACUUACUAGUAGAAAGCCAAGUUUUAGCAUUAACCCAAGUUAUUAACCCGAUGUACCCUUUCCAAACGGAAAGAAUACCACUUACCAGCACCAUAGUCAUAAACAGACGUUCCACGCGGGCUCGCGAGUACAGUUAAGAGAGAAAGAGGAAAAGACAGUCGAGAAACGAUCACGUUACAUGAUUAUAAGUUAACCACUCGCUUAAUAGAAGGAAAUUUAAUGUAGACACUAUGUUUAGCGUAAAGUAAAGUCAUGUUUCAUGUCUAAUUAUUAUAAGCAGGUGGAGAUAAAUAAAAAGGAUGGUCGCGCGGCGAGACGCGCGACAAAGCUCUCUAAAACAAAUUAAGAAGUUAACGACUCGUCGCACGACCGAGCACGCAACGAGACACUUCGCCUUAGUUACGAGGAGACGUUAAGCGUCGCGCGACGAAGCGCACGACGGCAUACGUCGACUAAACUGAGUCCAAAGUGGAACGUCGCGUGAAUACACACGCGGCGUUACACCUUAAACAACCUAAAACAAAAUGGAUCGUCGCGCGAUGAAGCGCACGACGCAACACAAGAUAGAAUCUGAAUUUUAGACAAAUCCGUCGCGCGGCGAAGCGCGCGACGCAACACGCUAAUUAACAAAUAAUCACCGCGAGCGAAGAUACGGUCGGGCGAGGCCGGGACGGGGGAACGGGCGGCCGAGCCGGGGCCGGGGCGGUUGAACCGGCCAGGGGCGGCCGAGUCGGUCGGGGCCGCGCCGGGGACGCGCCGGGGGCCGGAGGCCGCGCCGGGGUCGCGCCGGCGAGCAGGGGCCACCGGGGCCGCGCCGGGCGCGCGCCGGGGGAGGAGCGGGGGCGGGCGGGCGCCGCCACGGGGCCGGGACGGGCGGGCGCCGCCGCGGGGCCGGGACAGGCGGGCGCCGCCGCGGGGAGGGGCGGGGAGCGCCGCGCGAGCGGGCAGGGGGCGAGGAGCGCCGCCGCGGGGCCGGGGUGGGGGGGGGGAGCGCCGCCGACGAGGGGCGGGGACGGGGUCGGGCGCCGCCGCGCCGGGAGGAGCGAGGACGGGCGCCGCCGCGCGGGGCAGGGGCGGGGACGGGCGGGGUCGCCGCGGGCCGGGGGAGGGCGGGCGCCGCCACCGCGCGCGAGGGGGAGGGGCGGGCGAGCGCCGCCGCGGCCGGGGGAGGGCGGGCGCCACCGCGCGGGGCCGGGCAGGGGCGGGGGGCGUCACGCCGCCGGCGAGCAGGGGCGGGCAGGGGCGCGCGCGAGCAGGGGAGAGGGAGGGCGCGCGCGGGGGAAAGAAGAGGAGGGAGAGGGAGAGAGAGAGAGGAGAAGGGGAGGGGAGGGGAGCUCACCUCGGGGUCCAAAAUCCGGUGAUCGCCGUCUCCAAACCCUAGGGCACCACGGGGAGAGAGAGGUGGAAGAGGGAGAGGAGAGGUUGUUGCGCGGGAGAUCCAAAUGAGAGAGAGAGAGAGGAGAGGGGGCGCAUGGGGGGUUUGGGCGCCGGGGGCGCGCAGGAUGGGCAGGACGGGCCGGCUGGGCUGGGCUGGACUAGGUUGGGCUGGGCCGGGCCACUUCGCAGAUCAAAAACCCACGACGAGCGCGACCACUAAACGGAAUUAAAUCGUGAACCGAAAUCCGGAACGGAACGAGACGAACAUUCAACAUCAGACAAAGAAAUGUGCUUCGGCAUGAUGCAACACCCAUGACACUUAGGUUUUGGUUUAUACAUGACACAGACACCUGCCGCUAUACUGGUUUGAAACUGGGAAGAAGGAGCAAACGGGGAAAGAGAAAAGAGAGUAACGCCCGAAUUUGGUGAGAGAAAAGAAGAAAAAAUUCUACCCCCAAAUUCAGGGCGUUACAGCAGCGCACCAUUGGUGGUGCCAUCUUCUAGAUUUUUUAUGAUUUACAUUGUAAUAAUAAAGUUAUCAUGCUGAUAUGUGCAUCCUCUUAGUAAUAAAGUAUUAGAAAUCUAUAUUUUAAAUUAAAAUGUAUCCAAGUGUGUUCCAUUGCUUUUGGUUUCCCUAGGACCAAAUACUAAAUCCUUUGAAUCAUACCUAUUGUAUGAUACCUGAAUAACUCUACACUACCACGUAUAAACAUUAUGAGGGAGAUGGUGGCUAGGUGGAGGUUGCAGCCUAGAGGAUGAGUAGAAUGAUGUGUUAAGGUUGUAUAGAUGGGCUUAAGCUAAAAUUUGUUGUUGGUCUAGAAUAGUAUCUGAGUUAUCCGAGGUUAAGUGUAGUACCCAAAUUCUAGAUGAAUAAAGCAAGGAGAGAAUAUCAAUUACAUAUACUUUCAUUUUCAUUUAACACACACACACACAUAUAUAUAUAUAGGGCAGGUAUAACGGGAGCCCUGGGCUUCGGAUAUUAAAGGAAGCCCAGGUCGGUUCCGAGGUCUGGUCCGUUGAGACAGGCGCGCCUGUGUUUAACGUAGUCCAGACAGGCGGCAUGCAGGACAGACGGCGCCAUUACGCGGUUGUUUUAAUGGCAAGGCGGUAAACAUAUGGUAAAGGCGCGAAAUUAUAGGGAAUAGUUUCCACAUGCAAACAUGCUUACUAUGUUACGUGGGCGCGGAAUUUAUGGAUCUUGCAUGGGGUGUAAUGGCGGCAGGUAAAUAUAACGUAGAAUAAGAUGUUGAAAGAUAUGGCAUAAAACCGAAACGGCACAAAAGUUGCAUGAAUAGUAUAUACCAUUUGGCGUAAAACGUUAAGUCAUUGUGCGUAAAUAGUGUAUUAUGGAUAUUAGUUUGACAUUGACAUCGCCAUAAUAUCGGGACGGUUUCAGAAAUAAUGGGGAGACCCUGUAAACGUGGAUGCGGUUACUUGUAUAGUACCCGUGAUUUCCUUUCAUCCGAAAAAACACCACAAAGCCUGCAUAACUAUUUGGAGGUGGAGAUGGCCGGCUCUGGAGAGUCGCCGGCGAUGGUAGGAGAUGGCGUUCGUCUUGAUCCAGAGACGGAGGGAGUAGUUGAUGGUAACUCACUGGUCACACCACCUCCUGCUCUACUGGGUCCUGUGAUCGACGAGAUGAGCAUAGGGGAAGAAGGAGAACAAAGGGUUCAACCUCCUAUGUCCAAUAUUAGCUCCAGGGAGAUGGAUACGCCUCAAAUACUGCAUUCACAUGUAAGUCCAAUUGUUGUAUUUGAUUCUUGAUUGAUUAGAUUGUUAUGAACAUAUUCCAUGGUAGAAACAACAUUGUCAAUGAAUUUGCAGGAAAAAAACAUUGAUCCAACUAUAGUGCCAACGGUAGGGAUGACUUUCAAGGAUGUUGAUGAUGCAUAUAAAUUCUAUAAAAGGUAUGCAUAUGAAGAUGGAUUUCCACUGAAGAAAUACAGAGAGAAGACAUUCAGUAAGUGGAUAAAUUGUUCACGUGAAGGUAAAAGUGCGCCAAAAUCAAAUGAUACACCUAGGAUGAGGAAUAGGACUUCGGGGUGUACGCAAUGUAAGGCUGGAAUAAAAUUAAAAAAUAUAUAUGAUGAUGAAAAAAAUGGUUGUAGCUGCAAAAAUUGAACUGGUAAACUUGGAGCAUAACCAUGAGUUCAUAACUGACGAAGCCGAGAAACAACAUUUACGUUGCAACAAAAGUAGGGAUGCUGAGUUCAUAAAUUUUGUUGAUGCAAUGCAUGAUAGCCGAGUGCCGCAGCAUUGCAUAGUUGAUUUUAUAUCAGAAAUGCAUGAUGGGCCGGAGAACGUACCGGUAACUGCUCAAGAUCUGAAAUACAUGUAAGCAAUAUUUUUAUGUUUCAUGUGUAUAUAUUAAGUGCCAUAAAUAUUACUAUAGUAAAAGUGUGUGUAAUCAUUUUUUGUGCAAACAAAUGUAGGAGGGCAGCAAGGAGAAGAGAAAACUGCGCAAAUGAUGUAGCCAAACUUUUGGCUUUCUUUACAGAAUGCAAGAAACAGAAUCCACAAUUUUUUUGUGAUUUCUAGCUAGAGAAUGAUGGGAGAAUAGUGAGUAUUUUUUGGUCACACGCAAGUAUGCAGGGGGAAUAUGCAGAUUAUGGUGAUGCCGUGACAUUUGAUACAACACACAAGACAAAUAUAUAUGAUAAACCACUGGGCAUGUUUGUUGGAGCUAACAGCCAUCUGCAGUGUACAGUGUUUGGAUUUGUUUUGUUGGGAGAUGAAAUAGUACAGACUUUUGAAUGGGCUUUCAAUUCAUUCAAAACAUGUAUGGGAUGCGAGGGUCCAAGAGUUAUGCUUACAGGUAUGUGGUAUGUCAAUUUGUUAUGCAAAACAGUGAAUUUAUUUAUUGUGAAAGUAAAUUAAUAGUUUGUGAGCAAUUGCAGAUCAAGAUCCUGCAAUGCCAAUUGCUCUAAGAACUUUAUUUCCAAAAACAGUUCACAGACUGUGUUUAUGGCAUGUCCAGAACAUAUUUAUGCCAUUCCUAAAUGAGAUAUAUGCAAGGUUUGCUGUUAAGGAUUUUAAAACAACAUUCCAGUCUAUUAUACAUCAUCCAUUAACUCCUCAUGAGUUUGAAUGUGCCUGGGAAAUGAUGCUAGAGGAGUUCAAUCUUCAUGAAGAUAUGACUCUACGCAAAUUAUAUGAAAUAAGAAAAGAAUGGAUACCUGCAUUUUUUAAAAACGACUUCUGUGGGGUAAUGGUAUCUACACAACGAAGUGAGAGCAUGAACAGAUUAGUGAAGCAAUCACAUGUAGAUGCGAACACCCCACUGCAUGAGUUCGCUAAACAAAUGAUGAAAAUGUUGCACAGCAGGAAAAUGAAAGAAUCAAAGGAGGCAUUGGUGAGCAAGGUAUGUCGUGCUUGUUAUCAAUAAUGUAUGGCAUACAUUUUAUGUAAAUAAUUUGUUUAUUUAUUAUAAUAAUGUCUUAUAGGGACCAAGGACAACAGAUACAUUGUAUAGGUUCGAAGUGAGAGUCUCUAGAGCAUACACCAGAGCUGUUAUGAAUAGAUUUGAGGAAUCAAUGAAAUACGCCACUGCAUACAAAAUAUUAAAGGACGCAGAUGGUUGUGAUAAAGAUUGGAUCGUACAGCAUACAAAAAGGUCUAAUAAAAUUGUGUGGGGACAACAUCAAUUCAAGAUAACAGCGGACAUAGAAGAUGGGGAGUAUACAUGCGAGUGCAAACAGUGGGAACAUACAUGUUUGUACAUAUUAUGUUGAUUAAAAGAAUAAAUUUGCAUACUAAAGAAUUUGUUGAUUGUAGUACAAAUUAAUGUAUAUCGUUAAAAAAUAAUGGUUGGUUUUCAUGUUUUCAGGUCUAUUGUGUGUUCAUCUUUUAAGAGCCUUCAUGCACCUUCAAGUUGAAAAGAUACCUUCAAAGUAUAUAUUGCAAAGGUACACUGUCUCAUCAAGAAAAGAUGUACCGUUUGAAAGAAUUGAUAAGAGCUUCAGGGGAAAGGAUGGAGUUACUAAAUCAUACAGACAGAAAAUGUUGUUAACGAAAACAAUGAAAGUAGUUCGCCAGGCGUGUAUGUCAAAAGCAGGGUACGACAAGGCGAUGGAUGUGUUGGAUGAGCUCGAUGGCGUUCUAUGCCGAUUAGAGCCAGAUAUUGGAUGUAAUGAGUCAUGUGAUGUUAGUGAUGAUGAGGAAGACAAGGUAAUAAUAUUCUAGUUGUUUAAAUGUUAUACUAUUUGUAACAUAUAUUAUGCAUAGUAACAUGUUAUUUGUACCAGGAAGGAGAAUUGAACAAAAAUAAUGCUGGCGAUGAGAUGGAAGAUGACAAUACAAUUACAUGCCAUAAAAUGGUAUGUAAAAGAUAAAUAUAUAAGCUUGCAUGAAGUAUUGUAUAUAAUGAAUAUAUAAAAUCAAUGUACUAAGCAAAUUUUAUUUUGUAGGAUGAGCAUAACACCAUGACUGGAUGUGAACAUGCGUUAACAUUAAUAACAGCUGUUAACCAGGUAUCAUAUUAAAAAAAUAUUGUUCAUUUGUAUAUAAUGAAAAUAUAUAUUUAUGCUGCAUGGAAAUGUUGAUGUAUUUGGGUUGGGCUAUAUAGGAGGACAACAUGAGAAUUCCACCUGAGGUUGGUGAUACAAGUUCUCCGUGUCACGUAGCACAGGAACAAAUGGAACAUAUUGUUGCAUCCUCAGAAGCUAAAAAUGUGAGCAUUGAUAAAUGAUUUUACUGACUGGUAUAAAGAUAAUUUAUGUAAAUAUGUGUAUACUAAAUAAUAACUUCUUUUAUUAUACAGAGGUUGAAUUUUAAUGUGGAUGUUAUAAAUCUGAGUAUGCCGGAUCGUGCAAGACCAAAAGGACGGACAAUAAAAAAUUCAGAAGAUAGGAUUAUGAGACUAGGUGCGAAAGGAGAAAAAAAUAAGAAUAGGAGAUGCCAAUUGUGUGGUAUAGCAAAUGGACAUAAUAGCAGAACGUGUCUGUCUGUGGAAGAGAACAGGGCAAGACUAGCAAAACUGGCUAAUCGAAAGGGAAGACGACCAGCCGGAUCAAGACUAAACAAUAAAACAACUGCUCCACAGUGGAAUGAAACAUCGACUGCUAAAAACAUCGUAUUGAUGAAGAAGUGGAAAAUGAAGAAGCCGGUGAGCAUAUGGAAUUGGGCGAAUAAUUUGAAGUGUGGCUAAAGAGUGGUCGAUGUAGUAGAAACUUGUAAUAGCACAAUGACCUAUGUUUUAGUUUUUUGGAAAUUAAUAGUUUGCAUGACUGGGUUAUAUAAUGCGUUGAUAUAAAACUAUAAAAUGUUGCGUAAAACUAGACCAUUACACAAAUUAUGUAACUGAAUAUAUACCACAAAUUGGCAUUGAACGUUUAGCAAUCGGCAGAUCUGGACAUAAAUGGUAUAUAAACUCUAUACACUUAACAUAACUAAUCGAAUGGGAGUACAUACUUCGGUUUCGCAAUACAGCUACACUAGACAGGAUGUAGCAUAACCACUGGUUACAAUUAGCAUAAUUAGCAUGGUAAAUGUGUAAAAAAGGAACCUAAUGUAUAUAAAAUAAGGUAGUAUAUAGGUUGCAUAAAACUUGAAUAUUAAAGAUAAUAUGAUAAUAGAAAUACGCCAAACAUUGGACGCAAACGAUUAACCAUCUCACAAUCUGGAAAAUGAAAAGCAUAGAAUUUCGUAACAGAUAACAUAACUAGACAUUCUGGUAACACUUAUGUUUGACACACUUCAAAUAAAAACUGAUACGAAGUAGCAUAGACACUGGACACAUCGAACAUAAGUGGCAUAUGGAGUAUCAUACACAUGAGCAACGCCUGACAUAAGUGACUUAAUAAGUAACAUAAACAGUUUUGGGGAUCCCAUAGGAAAUCAUGUUCAGCUAUGAUAUCUAAGUCUUGGCUUUCAAACAACGUCGUCUCCUUGGAGCAUACUUGAAAGGCAGUAGUUCUGCAGGGAGGGGGACAACCCUGUUGUUGCGAUGAAAGGUCAGGUAAUGCAGAACAAAGGCACGUUGGUCCAAUGGUUCAUCCUGAAAUAGUCAAUAAUAUCGAAUUAAUGCUAAGAUUAAGUAUGAAGGAGUAAUAUAUGCAUGAUCAAAACAAUAAUUUAGUAACAUACCGGAGUAUAAAAUUCUGAUAAGUCGCCAUCAUCAAAAUCGUAGUAUCAGAGGAAGUUUGCGACAAAAAAACCACAAUCGUUUGACCCUGGUAACAUGGUUGGACAAUUGGGAAGAAGCCCAAUCUUGUAGUUGCCAAACUUUGGUAAAGUUGAAUCAGGUCGAGCUUCAUGUAACGCAAUGCUAAGUCUUCUCAUUAUUAAUCUGGACCAAGGUAUCUUCGUUCCAUUUAUCAACAAUUGAUCAUUGUGGAUUUGUUUCCAGGUAGCGCCUCCAAGCAAUGUCCCAUAAGGAUUUGAAUCUAAGAUGUCUAUUCGACGAAGUUCAAAGUUGAUUGCAUAAAGGGUCCAGUGACUACGGCGUAGCAUAGGAACCAGGAUCUGUUAAGAUAUAUGUAUAAGUUUAUGAAUAACAAUAAUAGGCGUAUAGAAAAUUAAAGAUAAGAUAACAUAUAACUAAUGACCAAAAGAACAUUAUAAUAUUAUUACAAAUAAAACUGAUUGGGGCUCACCAAUUUAAUUUGGUUCAGAACUUCAUCUGGAGGAAGCGUCGGUUCAAGUUGUUCUUUAAGAAGUGAUGUUGAGAAGGGCUGGGGAUUUGAACUGUGUUGUUCGAACUCCUCGAUAUUCAAAACGGUCUGGACAAAAAAAUCAAUUGAUUAGUAUUAUAUAUUUAUACAGUAAGGGUUGCAAUAAGAUACAAAGUUGUAGAGAGAAAAUUACCCCAACAUUGACAUUCAGUAUUAGAGUGUUGAUUACAGAAUCUGGAUUGUAUAAUACAUCAUCCUCACGAAUACAGUCGAUAAAUCCCUGCAUGAAAAUAUUCUCAAGGCAUUUAUUAGGACCAAACGACUGGACAACAUCGAGGACAGAACCUCCAAAUCCUCCAAAAUUUAUGAUAGACCUGGGAAAAAAUAAAACUUUAAUUACAAAUCAUCUAAUUAUACUUAAUUGGAAUUUGAAUAACGAAUACAUACAUGCUCGGAUCUAGUUGUCCUGACAAAAUGAACUUAAGUAGGUUGAGAGCACAGUCUUCGCGUGACACGUGGGGAGGUUCAACAACUGCAGAUUUAGAGGAACUAUCCCUUGCAACAAGUUCAUUAGUUGCCUAAUAUAUGUAUAUAUGUUAGUAAACAAUUGCAUAAAUAAUUAUGUAUUUUAGUGUAUAUAUAUGAAAAAUAUGAGAAGAUAAAACGACAUGACUUACAUCUGUCAGUGGGGUUUUAUCAAACUGUGGUGCACCAGAUACGGGAGUAUCAUGUGUAACAAAUUUUUGUCCUUCCUGGAAACAAUAAAAUUAUUAAUAUAAACGUAAUGAAACAUAGGUUAUAAUUAAUAUUAACAUAAUAUGAUGAAGGUAUAAAUACUGACAGUAUUUAUAUCUGGUGUUAAUUCAGGAGGAGCAGACUUGUCGGUUGUGGGAGCCUAGUGAAUAAAGUAAAUAAAGCAUGCAUAUAUAUUACUGUUACUUGCAUACAUUGUAAAUGAAAAUAUAAUAACUGUGAUUAAAGGAAAGCAAACAUUUGAUUUUGGAGUCUUGUCAAAUAUAGGGGCAUCCAUAACUGAAUUUUUUUACAGACGUUCCCACUGGCAUUCUGUAAUGGAAACAUAGGAAAUUUGAGUAAACAGUAACUUGUAUGCUAUAUUUAAUACAUGAUUUAUAUAUAAAGUUUGUAUGAAAAAACUUACCUGUUCUGAUACUUUGAUAUCAUCAGAAGGAACAUGUACUUCCUGAUCAUGUUGCUUAUUAUCAGGGGAUGGAACAGGUGGAGAGGAUACUGGAGCAUUUGUUGGAGACAUUGAGGUAGUGGGGGUAUAUCUACAUUUGGAAAAUAUAAUAAUAAAGUAGUUGUUACUGAAAUGAACCAGAAAUAUAAAUGUAUCGUUAAAAAAAGGUUAAACAUACACAUCAUCGCAAACUACAUCAAUAUACUAUCAGGAUGCAUAAAUAAAUGAGAUCUAUCAAAAUAAAAUCAAAUGUAAUGUGUUGGUGACUGUAUGAGUAUAAAUUAAUGCAUAAGUUAUAUAUACAAUGCUGCAUAAACUAAAUUAUCUGAGAUCAUAUAACUAAAUAUAAUUUUCCCCGCAAUAAUUCAUGAGCUUGAUUAAUAUAAAAAAAUAAACAUAAAUAACAAAACCUUCUUGCUGUGAAUCGCGCUGCGUUGCAACUGUCAGGACUUCAUCGAUCAUUUCACCAAAUGUUUCAGCUAGUUCAAUCUGCUUCGAAACAAUCAUCUGAUGGCUCAGCUGAAGAGAAUCACAGUACUUAUCCACCUAUUUGUCAUGAGCGUCAAACAUUGAUUCAAACAUUGGUCCAUGCUGGUAGGGCAAACAUUUCAACUUGUUGCCAAUCAAAUGCUUGAUACGUGGCACAUAUAUAUUGAAAACGGCAGAAACGGGCCAUUCUGGUGCAAUGACGUAACACGUUUCUGAAUGGCUACGAAACUGUAUAAAGCCCAGUUACAACUGUUAGCAGUAAUUAAAAUUGAAACUUCUGCAAAACAGGACAAAAAAUGGAUAUGUCUAACCUCUGCAUAGCCAAAUGGUUCACCAGUUUUAUGGGGUGGACGUCUGUCACCCCGUGCCAAAUCUCUUAUGGUCUCAUUAUCAAAAAACUUAAUGUGGGGAGUACCAUAUUUGUUAUCAGGAGAUGCAGGGUGAUGUAAGUGAUCAAGAUAGUAAAUCUGAAAAAUGAAUGAAAAAAUAUAAACUUAGUACAAAACAAAUAUUUGCAUAUCAUAUAUAUGCACAGUGAACAAAAUAAUUACUUACUAGAACUAUGAGUGAACAUCCAUAUAUUGUUGUUGUAAUGUUUGUUUUGUUCCUUUUGUGCCAACGUGUGGCAGCAUCACACAAAUCCAUGUAAACUAGUUGACACCAGUCAAUAUCAGCCAUUCGGGCCAUGUUUGAAGUCAUUAGUACCUCAUUGUUUGUAAUGCCCCAUGAAGCAGAUGGAAAAAGAAGUCGAUUGAAUAGAAUCAGAAAAAAACAUCUGAUUGAUAACUCAUCAUCAGUGCCAAGCACUAUCUUGUCCUGAAGCUUGACAACAUCAAAUUUUUCUUUACCAACUUUGAGAUCACGUCUAAGUUUUGCAGCAGCAUCCACUUCACCAUACCAAUUAGUAAACUCCCUGCCCCCUCCAGCAAAUGGCAAACCCAAAAUAAGACGAUCAGUCUCUUUUGUUAUCUUCAGUUCCUUGCCAGCCCCUGGGCAUAUGGUCAUGUCAUGUGGAUCCAAUUUAUCCAUCAACCACCUAAUGAGAGAUCUGCUCUCUAAGGCAUCAGUUCGCAAAUCAAAUAUGCUGGAAAAUCCCAACCUAGCGACUGCAUCGCGCUGCCGAUCGCUCAUUAUCCAAGUUGAGACAAUAACAUCAUAAGGAAUGCAGCGGAUAUUCAAUUUAUGAAAGCAUAAAUAAAUAUGCAUUAAUACACAAGGCAUAUAUAUUGUUAUAACUAAGGAUACUAUAUAUACAUACAAUUGAUAUUUAUUAGAGCCUUGUGAAUAACUAUUCUACAACACUAAAAAAAUAAACAGCGUACUUUGAGAUAAUAAUAUACAUAAAUGUAACUUGGGGGGGGGGAAUACAAAAUUGAUUGGGCACCAAAAUUAACACAUAAAAAACAGAAAUAUAUAUAUAGUACCUGGGAUUUUCUAGGAGUCUUCUGUUUAGGAGAACUUUUUUUGUAAUGAUAUUAGACUUGGCAUCUAUAUCAAACUUUGGACUGCUUUUCACACUCGGAACUUGUGGAGAAGGAACCUCUAUCUUCUUUGCACUGUUUUUCUAUAGGGGAAGGUGAUGUUGAUCUGAAUUGGCGCUUCAACGCAGGAGCAUCCAUGAAAUCGUCGUCGGACAGUGUGGAUGGAGCAGGAGGUUUUGUUUUUACACGACAAGCUAAAGCCUUUCUGCGAAAACGAUGGACUGGUGUUGGUUGUGGCUCAUUCUACUUCUGAUUAUGUGGGUUGUCAUCUUGGUGAGCUGAGCUGCUAGAUCUUGUACGUCUGGAAAUGUCAAUAGAAAAACCCUCCUGAGUGGAUUCAAUGGUUAAACUUUUUGGAUUACUUGGAGGGCGAUCAACAGUUCUCAUGAUUAAACACUGAAUAAAUCUGUUGAAAAAAAAGUUGUUUUUAAAUACAAUGAUUUAUGCAUGAAUAUAUGCCAAAAGACUCUAAUUUUGACUAUAACUAUCUACAAUGCAUACUACAUAAUGGUAAAUGGAAUUACAUAACUUAAACUACCUUUUACAUUUAUGAGACAGUAUUUAAUGAACAAUGGUCAUAUACAAACAUAAAGAUUGAUUUAAUAUUUCAUAUAAUUGGAACUGGAGCAUGUUAAAAUAAGUGCCUUUUUGCAUCAACUAACUAUACAACAUGUUUUAAUAACUGGUUCAUAGUAAUAUACACAUUUAGCUCAUAUUCAAAAAUGAAUAUUUAAAUAACUUUUGCAUAAAUAACAGUUUCUGUAUGUAUUUAUAUAUAAUAAACAGUAGUGUAUACUACUGAUUCAAUUAAAUAGAAUAAUACAAUUAUGCCUAUUACCUUACAUAAACAUCUAUACAAAUGAGCAUAGACAGUACUGCCGAUAUGCAUAAAUAUCAAAUCCAAUAAGUAUAUUUUAUAUAUAAUACAACAGGUGUGUAAACUAAUGAUUGAAGUAAAUAGAACAAUACAAUUAUGCGUAUUAUUUCGACCAAUAUUCAAAACAUUUGUACAAAUGUGCAUAAACAGUCAUGACGAUAUGCAUAUAUAUCAAAUACAAUAAGCAUAUAUGUGUUACUAAUGUUGUAUAAAAGGUACUCUCUGUAAACUCAUGAAUAAAUACCUGAUCCACUGCCUUCGUCUAGGUCUAUGAAUGUCGAGAGAUACACUGGAUCUAGAAGAAAUGCAGAUGACCUAAUAUCGGGGCUCCUGAACAAAGGAUAGAUGAAAUGAGCGACGCAAUAGGCAGAUUAGAGAGAUGUAUAAUCGGAUACAAAUCACACAUUUAGAUGAAGAAUAAGGGUUACAAUCAAAUCCACUUCAAUCAACGAAAAAUGCUUCAAGAAUCGACGGAAAACACGAUGUAUUUCAAGUUGGAUUACCUGGAACUUCUGGGAAAGCAUUGGACGCUCUUGAAUCGGGCUCCAAUGCUCGGAGAUUGAAGGAGCUCAGCUGGAUUCGAGCGGCGCUGGAUUGGAGCGGCGAAAAUCGCCUGGCGAGUCGCCUCAGACGAAAGGAAAGACUGCGCGGCCACUGGGGUUUUCUUCCUAUCGACGCGGGUUUGCCUAAGUUGAUUGCGCGAAGACGAUUUUAGAAACCGGAAACGUGGGAGACGUGGCUGGGCUGACGGGGGAAACGGUGUAACGACGCCGUGAGUGGGAACUGUUGACCCGGUGUGGUUCAACCCAAAUGAGCAUAUUGACUAGCCUGGGCUUCCUCUAUUAUUGGAAGCCCAGAGCUCUUAAUAUAUAAACUAUAUAUAUAUAUAUUCUUGUCGGCGUUUCGAGACCGGGGGGUCCCUGGACCGACGAGUAAACUGUCGCCGCGUGCCCCAGCCCAGAUGGGUCGGCGCGAUACGGAGCGCGAAGGGGUAAGGCAGCCGGAGAGGAGACGGGCGUGAGAGGUGGAAAUCCUGCGGCCUUCGUGUUUGUCCCACGCCCAGGUCGGGUGCGCUUGCAGUAGGGGGUUACAAGCGUCCACGCGGGAGGGAGCGAGCGGCCUCACGCGAGCGCCUGUCCCGUCCUUUCCCCGCGCGGCCAACCCUCUGUAAGAGGGCCCUGGUCCUUCCCUUUAUAGGCGCAAGGAGAGGAUCCAGGUGUACAAUGGGGGUGUAGCAGUGUGCUAACGUGUCUAGCGGAGGAGAGCUAGCGUCCUAAGUACAUGCCAUCGUGGCAGCCGGAGAGGUUUUGGCACCCGGUUCGUGUGGUGUCGUGGCCGUCGGAGGAGCGCUGGAGCCUGGCGGAAGGACAGCUGUCGGGGCUGUUGAGUCCUUGCUGACGUCCUCUUGCUUCCGUAAGGGGGCUGAGAGCCGCCGUCGUCAUAGAGCGUGCAGGGCGCCAUCAUUACUUGUCUGUUGGAGCGAGCCAGAUGGGACGCCGGUCUUGUUCCCCGUAGCCUGAGUCAGCUUGGGGUAGGGUAAUGAUGGCGCCUCCUGUUGACGUGGUCGGUCCGCGGUGCCCUAGGUUGAGCGAUGUGGAGGCUCCUCCGAGGUCGAGGUCGAGUCUGUCUUCCGUGGCCGAGGUCGAGUCUGAGCCCCUGGGUCGGGCGAGGCGGAGACCGUCGGCUGAGGCCAGGGCUGAGUCCGAGCCCCUGGGUCGGGCGAGGCGGAGUUCGUCGUCUUCCGGGGCUGAGCCCGAGUCCGAGCCCUGGGGUCGGGAGAAGCGGAGUUCGCCGUCUUCUGGGGCUGAGCCCGAGUCCGAGCCCUGGGGUCGGGCGAAGCGGAGUUCGUCGUCUUCUGGGGCUGAGCCCGAGUCCGAGCCCUAGGGUCGGGCGAAGCGGAGUUCGUCGUCUUCCGGGGCUGAGCCCGAGUCCGAGCCCUGGGGUCGGGCGAAGCGGAGUUCGUCGUCUUCCGGGGCUGAGCCCGAGUCCGAGCCCUGGGGUCGGGCGAAGCGGAGUUCAUCGUCUUCCGGGGCUGAGCCCGAGUCCGAGCCAUGGGGUCGGGUGAAGCGGAGUUUCCUAUGGCGCCUGAGGCCGGGCCUGGCUGCUGUCAGCCUCACUCUUUCGAGUGGCACAGCAGUCGGUGUGGCGCAGGCGGCGCUGUCCUCUUGUCAGACCGGUCAGUGGAGCGCCGAAGUGACCGUGGUCACUUCGGCUUCUAUCGUCUGGAGGGCGCGCGUCAGGAUAAAGGUGUCAGGCCACCUUUGUAUUAAAUGCCCCUGCGAUUUGGUCGGUUGGCGUGGUGAUUUGGCCAAGGUUGCUUCUUGGUGAAGACUGGGCCUCGGGCGAGCCGAAAGUAUGUUCGUUGCUGGAGGGGGCCUCGGGCGAGACGUAGAUCCUCCGGGGUCGGCUACCCUUGCCCGAGGCUGGGCUCGGGCGAGGCAUGAUCGAGUCCCUCGAAUGGACCGAUCCUUGACUUAGUCGUACCCAUCAGGCCUUUGCAGCUUUGUGCUGAUGGGGAUUACCAGCUGAGAAUUAGGAGUCUUGAGGGUACCCCUAAUUAUGGUCCCCGACAGUAGCCCCCGAGCCUCGAAGGGAGUGUUAACACUCGCUUGGAGGCUUUUGUCACACUUUUUUGCAUGGGGACCAGCCUUUCUCGGUUGCGUUUUGUUCCGGUAGGUGCACGCGAGCGCACCCGCCGUGUGUAGCCCCCGAGGCCUCGGAGGGGUGGUUUGACUCCUCCGAGGUCUUAAUGCCUCGUGCAAUGCUUCGGCUGGUCUGGUCGUUCCCUCAUGCGAGCUGGCCGUAGCCCGGGUGCACGGUCGGGUCCCAAGUUCUCGGGCUGGUAUGUUGACGCUGUCAACGGUUUGGCUGGAGCCGGGUUUGCGAGAGCAGCCCCCGAGCCUCUGCACAGGGCGAGAGGACGGUCAAGGACAGACUCGACUUUUUUACAUACGCUCCUGCGUCGCCUUUCCGCAAGGAGGAGGGGGGAAAGCGCCAUGUUGCCCUCGGAGGGCGCCGAACAUGGUGUCUCCGGUGAGCUGCUGGCGGGUAAUCCGAGUGGACGCUCGUGCCCCAUUUGUUAGGGGUCGGCUAGAGGCCCGGAGGCGCGCUCAAAAGUACCUGCGGGUGAUCUGCCGGACCCGGUCCCCUGUCGACGGGGUCCGAGGGCUCGAUGCCUCCCUCUGAUGGGAUUCCGUUACAAGAUCGUUCCCGCUGGUCUCGGAAAUGUCCUAGGGUACCUCGGGAGCGUAGCCCGAGCCUUGGUUAUGUAUCGAACGUACCCAGGGUCAUCCCUCGCUCUGUGUCUGAGGCGGCUGUGAACCCUUCGAGGGCCAGCCUACCAACCCCUGAUUAGUAGUGGGCGCGGAGCCCGAGUGGCCUGAGGCGGCCGUUGAACCCUUUCGAGGGGCCGGCCUUCGAACCUCUGACCAGUAGUGGGCGCAGAACCCAAGCGCUCUGAGGCGGCUGUUGAACCCCUCCGAGGGGCCAGCCUUCGAACCUCUAAUCAGUAGGGAGGCUCGGAGCCCGUUUCCUUUACGGAGAAGGAUCCUUUUUGGGGUAUCCCCCUUUCCCGGUCCCUGUUGUAAGAGAGAGAAAGAGGAAAAGGAAAAGGAUACAAAAUCGAAUGACGUGGUGUACCUUUUUCGACGCGGUCAUUAUGGCGAAGGUGAAGCGUCGCUCUCUUCUUCUGCCAGAGGCGCCGCCUGUCCCGCCGCGGAGUUAAUGCGACGGGGCGAGCGGUUCGCGGGGCGGCCGUUGCGCGUGCGCGAGCCGUUCGAGGAACGGAACACGGGCGCGCCUUCUUCACGCCGUGAGAGAGGUUUCUCUCGCUGUCCCUGGAUGGGACGUGAGCUUGGCUGACGACGUGAACGCUGCUCCUGCCCUCCUGCCACCGCCAUUACUGCCGGCCCAUUUUUGGCCGUAUUGACCGUCGCGCCUGGCUGGCACUGCUGGGUCGUACGCAGGGCUGCCUCGAGUUGCGGUACUGGUUCCGCAGUCGAGGAGGCGUGGUAGUGGCGCGAGUGGCGGUGCAGUGGCUCGCACGUAGCAACCGGCGCGCCGGUUGCAUGACGCGUGGGCCUGGGCCUCCAUGCUGGGUGCGUUGGAAGUCGAAGGGGCGCGCCCACUUGGUGUGGUUGCAUGCCGCCUGCACGGCUGUCCACCCUUUCACCCGCUGGUCUGGGCGAAAGUGGAGGGACGCUUGUAACCGCUGGGCGGUUGCAUGCACCGCGCGUGGCGGUUUGGCUUCUUCUGCCCUGGGCCAGCUUGCAUGACGCGUGGGACCCAGCCCCCGCGCCAUAGGGGGAGGACCUUGGAGCGUGUUGGAGAAGACUCAGCCCACGACGGCUGGGGACACAAGUAGGGAGAGUCGCCUUUAAAAUGAGGGCGGCCCCCUUGAAAGGCGACCAUGUCUUCGCGCUCCCUUAUGCAUCGUGUCUUUCCACCUUCCGAGCCCCCGGACGGGGAACACCCGCAAUCCUUCCGCCUUGUCAUUGGAGGAACGCAACUUCGUGGAAGUUGGUACCUUUCAGCCAUUGUUCGGCUUCAAGGAUUUUCAUCAUGCAGCCCGGCUGCACCCCCUCGCCGGCGGUCACCCAAGACGGUGACCUCCAGUUCGAUGGCGGGGAGAAGCGAGCCGGGCUGCAGCCUCUACCCCUCCCUCAGCUUCAAGGAUUUUCAUCAUCAGUGCUGGGGAGGGGAGUGUGCCGAGUUGGGGUUGGUCCCUGCGCGGGCGGCGGCCCGCUCCUUCCCUCAGUGAUCGGGGGGAAGGGCUUUCGCCGUCCGUGGUGCUGGCAGCUGCCGCGUGCCUGGCUCUCUGGCCCGAGUGGCUUUGGAGCCGCUCCCGGCGCCGCCUCCCGCCAUGGCAGCUGGAAGAGGUUCUUCUGCCGACGAGAUAGCCGGUGCCGCCCACGGACUGACCUCCAACUCUACGGCCUUCUGCCCGUCCUUGCCUCUCGAGUGAGGGCAUGGGCGAGGGCCUCACGGCAGCAGCAUCCGCUCUAAGGUCAUCGUUGCUGCUGUUCGGCCCCCCAGAGCAGAAGUCGUCGUCGUCGCCGCUGCUGGAGCGGGCGACGACAAGCCGUUCGUCGGUCUUCUGUUGCUCCAUGGGCCCCCCAAUCGUGUGGGGUUGUUCGUACCCGCGGAGGUGGAACCGGGGUUCCGUUUGUAAUGGCAUCUUGAAUGCCGGUGUUUUGUUCAUCGUGGCUGUCGGGGCCUGAACAUGUAUGUAUUUUUGGCGCUGAGCCGUGUUUUUUCCUCAUUUUCGAGCACUAAGACUCGCUUGUUGGUUAUCUGAACCGCUUCACCAAGCGUGAGUCGCCCCGUGCAAAGGUGAUGAGUGAGGUAUCCGUAUCCUGGAGGCGUAGGAGUCCCUCGACUCGGUCGGCCUUGCUGUCCGAGGCUUCUCUUGCUUAGUUAAAGGGACCCCUCGGCCGCUCUUUGAUGAGCCGAAGCCCGGGGUAGCGGUGUCAGCACGGACAGAGGUAGAGUUGGCUCGAAAAGAAGACUUGGUCGGCCAGAGCCUGGCCGGGUCGUCCACUGGCGGGACCGACGCCGGAAUUGAUUUGUCGAGGCCUCGGGUCGGGCUGAUGUCUUCGGGGGACAGCUGGCCGAGGCCUCGGGGUGACCGGCCGAGCCGUCUGCUCGAGCCGGAUUCCUGGAGAAGACCCUGGCGGUGAUGGCCCGGGCGUGGUGCUGAUGUCGUCCUUCAGAGUGGAGAUCCUCGGACCGCGUCGCCGUCCGAGGCUAGGUUGGACCUCGCCGAAGGUGUAGUUGGCGCCGAGGGUGCUGCUGCUCCCUUCAACUGUCAAGAUCCGAGCCUGCAGGAUCGGAUUAUCUUGUAGCGUGUGUUUUCUGCGGUCGCCGAGGCCCAAACACACCAUCGUCAUGUUGUAAAGCUGCGCUUCUUUUCCUCUCGUUUCGAGUAUCUGGACUUUUUCGUCGGUAACAGAAUUGUCUGUGCGAGCGAGAGUUGCUUUUCACGGAAGGUGAUGAGUGAGGUAUCCGUAUCCCGGAGGCGUAGGAAUCCCUCGGCUCGGUCGGCCUUGCCGCUUACGCGCACUCUUGCCCGUCCAUAGGGUUCUAUCAUCGACGCAGUCGAGAAGGCCCGAAGAAUCGCUUCGGCAGAGGAGCUUUCGAGCGUGAAGACUUGUUCGGUCCGCGGAGUCACUUAUCCGAACGCGAGUUACUUAUCGCAGAAGGCGAUGAGUGAGAUAUCCGUAUCCCGGAGGCGUAGGAGUCCCUCGGCUCGGUCAGCCUUGGCUGCUUACGUGUACUCCGUCAUUUUCAGGAUCCACUUUCGAAGUAGUCGAAAAGCACGAAAGACAUUCUGGCAGAAAGGAUCUUUUUUCGAGGAAAAUUUCGACGCAGAGGGGGUUCCCCCCUUUUAGCCCCCGAGGGAGGGUCGGGCUUUGCCGAGGCAAGGCUGACCCUUCCUUGAUGACUAAACUUUGCGUGGGAACGAGGUAUACGAACAACUUGAAAGCAUCUUAAGGGUAAAAGCGACGUAGCUGUUGGAUGUUCCAAGCGUUGCUGUAGACCUUGCCUUGGCUGUUGGCUAGCUUGUACGUUCCGGGCUUCAGAACUUUGGCGAUGACGAACGGCCCUUCCCAGGGAGGCGUGAGCUUGUGCCGCCCUCGGGCGUCUUGUCGCAGCCGAAGCACCAGGUCGCCCACCUGGAGGUCUCGGGACCGAACCCCUCGAGCGUGGUAGCGUCGCAGGGACUGUUGGUACCGCGCCGAGUGUUGUAAGGCCAUGUCCCGAGCCUCUUCCAGCUGGUCCAAUGAGUCUUCUCGACUAGCUUGGUUGCUUCGGUCGGCGUAGGCCCUCGUCCUCGGGGAACCGUAUUCUAAGUCUGUGGGCAAGAUGGCCUCGGCCCCAUAGACUAGAAAGAACGGCGUGAAGCCCGUGGCUCGGCUCGGCGUUGUCCUCAGACUCCAGACCACCGAGGGGAGUUCCUUCAUCCAUCGUUUGUCGUACUUGUUGAGGUCGUUGUAGAUCCGAGGCUUGGGUCCUGGUAGAAUCAUGCCGUUGGCACGCUCUACUUGCCCAUUCGUCAUGGGGUGAGCCACGGCGGCCCAGUCCACCCGGAUGUGGUGACCCUCGCAGAAGUCCAGGAACUUUCUCCCGGUGAACUGGGUGCCGUUGUCGGUGAUGAUGGAGUUCGGGACCCCAAAGCGAUGGAUGAUGUUGGUGAAGAACGCCACCGCCUUUCGGACCUGAUGCUGUUUAGGGGUCGGACCUCGAUCCACUUGGAGAAUUUGUCGAUGGCGACCAACAGGUGCGUGUAGCCCCCGGGUGCCUUCUGCAAGGGGCCAACGAGGUCCAGACCCCACACAGCGAAAGGCCAGGUGAUGGGUAUCAUCUGCAGGGCCUGAGCGAGCAGGUGGGUCUGCCUUGCGUAGAACUGACACCCUUCGCAGGUGCGGACAAUUCUAGUGGCGUCGGCCACCGCCGUCGGCCAGUAGAAACCUUGUCGGAAGGCGUUUCCAACAAGGGCUCGAGGUGCUGCAUGAUGGCUGCAAGCCCCCAAGUGUAUCUCUUGUAGGAGCUCCUGGCCUUCGACGAUGGAAAUGCAUCGCUGGAGGAUGCCUGAGGGGCUGCGGUGGUAGAGUUCCUUCCCGUCCCCCCAGCAAGACAAACGACUUGGCGCGCCGUGCCAACCGCCGAGCUUCGGCUCGGUCGAGGGGUAGCUCUCCUCGGUGGAGAUAUUGCAGGUACGGGGUCUGCCAGUUUCGAUUAGGCGUGACCCCGCUUCGCUCCUCCUCGAUGCGUAGUGCCUCACCCUCGGGGGCCGAGGGUACCUUGGGCCGAACCGAGGGUGCCUUGGACCGAGCCGAGGGUACCUCGAACUGAGCCGAGGGUGCCUCAGGUUGGGCCAAGGGUGCCUCGGGCAGAGCCGAGGGUACCUCGGACUGAGCCGAGGGUGCCUCAGGCUCGACCGAGGCCUUCUCGGGCUCGGGCGUGUCGUCGGUCUUGACGGAAGGUUGAUGCAGGUCUUGGGAGAAGACGUCCGGGGGAACCGUUGUUCGCCCCGAGGCUAUUUUAGCCAGCUCGUCCGCAGUCUCGUUGUAGUGUCGGGCGAUGUGGUUGAGCUCGAGCCCGUAGAACUUGUCUUCCAGGCGCCGAACCUCAUCGCAGUAGGAUUCCAUCUUCGGGUCGCGGCAGUGGGAGUUCUUCAUGACUUGGUCGAUGACGAGCUGCGAGUCACCGUGAGCGUCGAGGCGUCGGACCCCUAGCUCGAUGGCGAUGCGCAAACCGUUGACCAGAGCCUCAUACUCAGCCACAUUGUUGGACGUCGAGAAGUGGAGGCGUAGCACGUAGCGCAGGUGCUUUCUGAGGGGCGAGAUGAAGAGCAGGCCCACGCCUGCUCCUGUCUUCAUCAGCGACCCAUCGAAGAACAUGGUCCAGAGUUCCAGUUGGAUUGGAACUGUUGGGAGCUGGGUGUCGACCCAUUCACCCACGAAGUUCGCCAAGACCUGGGACUUGAUGGCCUUCCGGGGGGCGAACGAGAUCGUUUCGCCCAUGAUUUCCACCGCCCACUUUGCAAUUCUACCCGAGGCCUCUCGGCACUGGAUGAUCUCCCCCAGGGGGAAGGAUGACACCAGAGUUACCGGAUGAGACUCGAAGUAGUGUCGCAACUUCUGUCGUGUCAGAAUCACUGCGUAUAGCAGCUUCUGAACUUGUGGGUAGUGGAUCUUGGUUUCGGACAGUACCUCGCUGAUGAAGUAGACUGGCCUCUGGACGGGCAAUGCAUGCCCCUCUUCUCGUCUCUCAACCACAAUCGCGACGCUAACCACCUGAGUGGUCGCGGCGACGUAGAUCAAGAGGGCUUCUCCGGCAGCGGGAGGCACCAAGAUGGGCACGUUUGUAAGGAGCGCCUUCAGGUUCCCGAGGGCUUCCUCGGCCUCAGGGGUCCAAGUGAAGCACUCGGCCUUCCUUAAGAGGCGGUACAGAGGCAGGCCUCUUUCGCCGAGGUGCGAGAUGAAGUGGCUCAGAGCCGCAAGGCAUCCCGUGACUCUCUGUACGCCUUUCAAGUCCUUGAUGGGCCCCAUGCUGGUGAUGGCCGCGAUCUUCUCCGGGUUGGCUUCGAUGCCCCGCUCGGAGACGAUGAACCCCAAGAGCAUGCCUCGGGGAACCCCAAAGACACACUUUUCGGGAUUGAGCUUCACGCCUUUCGCCUUGAGACAUCGGAAUGUCACUUCAAGGUCGGAAAGGAGGUCGGAGGCUUUCCUCGUCUUGACUACGAUGUCAUCGACGUAGGCCUCGACCGUCCGGCCGAUGUGUUCGCCGAACACAUGGUUCAUGCACCGUUGGUACGUCGCACCCGCAUUCCUCAAGCCGAACGGCAUGGUGACAUAGCAGUACAUGCCGAAGGGUGUGAUGAAAGAAGUCGCGAGCUGGUCGGACUAUUUCAUCCUGAUUUGGUGAUACCCUGAGUAGGCAUCGAGGAAAGACAGGGUUUCGCACCCAGCAGUGGAGUCCACAAUUUGGUCAAUGCGAGGCAGAGGGUAGGGAACCUUCAGACAUGCUUUGUUUAGACCAGUGUAGUCUACACACAUCCGCCAUUUCCCUCCUUUCUUUCUCACAAGCACAGGGUUGGCAAGCCAUUCGGGAUGGAAUACCUCUUUGAUGAACCCUGCCGCCAUUAGCUUGUGGAUCUCCUCGCCUAUGGCUCUGCGCUUUUCUUCGUCGAAUCGGCGCAGAGGCUGCUUCAUAGGUCGGGCUCCAGCUUGGAUAUCCAGUGAGUGCUCGGCGACAUCCCUCGGUAUGCCGGGCAUGUCCGAGGGACUCCACGCGAAAACAUCGGCGUUCGCGCGGAGAAAGUCGAUGAGCACUGCUUCCUAUUUGGGAUCGAGCUCGGAGCCGAUCCAGAUCUGCUUGGAGGCGUCGCUGCUGGGGUCGAGGGGGGCGGACUUAACCGUCUCCGCUGGCUCGAAGUUGCCGGCAUGGCGCUUCACGUCUGGCACCUCCUUAGAGAGGCUCUCCAGGUCGGCGAUGAGGGCCUCGGACUCGGUGAGGGCCUCGGCGUACUCCACGCACUCCACGUCGCAUUCGAACGCGUGUCGGUACGUGGGGCCGACGGUGAUGACCCCGUUGGGGCCCGGCAUCUUGAGCUUGAGGUAGGUGUAGUUGGGGACGGCCAUGAACUUCGCGUAGCAUGGCCUCCCCAGCACCGCGUGGUAGGUUCCUCGGAACCUGACCACCUCGAACGUAUGGGUCUCCCUUCGGAAGUUGGAGGGUGUCCCAAAGUAGACGGGAAGAUCGAGUUGUCCGAGGGGCUGGACGCAUUUCCCGGGGAUGAUCCAGUGGAAAGGCGUAGCGCCUGCUCGGACCGAGGACAGAUCAACACGCAGAAGCCCGAGGGUCUCGGCGUAGAUGAUGUUGAGGCUGCUGCCUCCGUCCAUGAGGACCUUGGUGAGCCUGACGUCGCCGAUGACGGGGUCGACGACGAGCGGGUAUUUCCCCGGGCUCGGCACGCGGUCGGGGUGGCCGGCUUGGUCGAAGGUGAUGGGCUUGUCGGACCAGUUUAGGUAGACUGGCGCCGCCACCUUCGCCGAACAGACCUCCCGACGCUCUUGCUUGCGGUGCCGAGCCGAGGCAUUCGCCGCCUGCCCACCGUAGAUCAUGAAGCAGUCGCGGACCUCGGGGAACUCUCCUGCCUGGUGAUCUUCCUUCUUGUCGUCGUCGCGAGCCCUGCCACCCUCCACGGGUGGCCCGGCCCUGUGGAAGUGACGCCGAAGCAUGGCGCACUCCUCAAGGGUGUGCUUAACGGGCCCCUGAUGAUAGGGGCACGGCUCCUUGAGCAUCUUGUCGAAGAGGUUGGCACCUCCGGGGGGGUUUCCGAGGGUUCUUAUACUCGGCGACGGCGACAAGGUCCGCGUCGGCGGCGUCGCGUUUCGCUUGCGACUUCUUCUUGCAUUUAUUCUUGGCGCCGCGCUGAGUUGACGCCUCGGGGGCAUCUUCCGGUGGGCGGCCCUGGGGCUGCUUGUCCUUCCGGAAGAUAGCCUCAACCGCCUCCUAGCCAGAGGCGAACUUGGUGGCGAUGUCCAUCAGCUCGCUCGCCCUGGUGGGGGUCUUUCGACCCAGCUUGCUCACCAGGUCGCGGCAGGUGGUGCCGGCGAGGAACGCGCCGAUGACAUCUAAAUCGGUGAUGUUGGGCAGCUCGGUGCGCUACUUCGAGAAUCACCGGAUGUAGUCCCGGAGAGACUGUCCCGGCUGCUGUCGGCAGCUUCGGAGGUCCUAGGAAUUUCCAGGGCGCACGUAUGUGCCCUGGAAAUUACCAGCGAAGGCUUGGACCAGGUCGUCCCAGUUGGAGAUCUGCCCCGGAGGCAGGUACUCCAACCAGGCGCGAGCGGUGUCGGAGAGGAACAGGGGGAGGUUGCGGAUGAUGAGGUUGUCAUCGUCCGUUCCACCCAGUUGGCAGGCCAGCCGGUAGUCCGCGAGCCACAGUUCCGGUCUCGUCUCCCCCGAGUACUUUGUGAUAGUAGUCGGGGUUCGGAACCGGGUCGGGAACGGCGCUCGUCGUAUGGCGCGGCUGAAAGCCUGCGGACCGGGUGGUUCGGGCGAGGGACUCUGAUCCUCCCCGCUGUCGUAGCGUCCCCCACGCCUGGGGUGGUAGCCUCGGCGCACCCUCUCGUCGAGGUGGGCCCGACGGUUGCGGUGAUGGUGCUCGUUGCCGAGGCGACCCGGGGCCGUAGGCGCUGUGUUGCGCGUGCGCCCGGUGUGGACCGAGGCUUCCCGCAUGAAUCGGGAAGUCGCGGCGCGAUGUUCCGAGGGGUACCCCUGCCUUCGGGAGGCGGAGCUUUCGGCCCGUCGGACCGCGGCGCCCUCCAGGAGAUUCUUGAGCUCUCCCUGGAUUCGCCUCCCCUCGGUGGUUGAUGGCUCUGACAUCACGCGGAGGAGCAUUGCCGCCACAGCCAGGUUCUGGCCGACUCCACUGGAAGUCGGUGGUGGCCUUACCCUGACAUCGUCGGCGAUGCGGUGCUGGAUACCCUGGGGUAGAUGACGCACUUCUCCGGCCGGAGGUUGGCCCGCCCAUUCCUGCCCGACGUCCCGGCGGAUUGGCUCAAGUGUUCCUGCUCCCUCGUCGAGCCUGGUCUGCACCCCGCGGAUUUGCUCGAGCUGUGGGUCAUGACCCCCCGCCGGAACGGGGACCACAGCUAGCUCCCGUAGGAUGUCAACGCGAGGCACAGGCCUAGGGAGAUCACCAUUCUCCGGCAUACCAAGAUGGUUGCCUUCGGAGGGACCCCCCUAGAUCGACGUGGAAACAUUCACGACUUGGGCCGCAGUCCUCGUCGCCGAGGCUGCGGCUACCGUCAGAACAGUCAGAAAGGCAGUAGUCGCAUGCGGUCAUGAAGUCCUGCAUGGCACUGGGGUUACCAAGUCUAGAGAAAUCCCAACACAAGUCGGGUUUGUCAUCUUCCUCGGACCCCGAGGGCCCGUAGGUCGAGACGUCCGUCAGCCAGUCCCAGGGUGACCGCAUAUGAUACCCCAGAGGGUUUGGACUCGCCUCUACGAGAGCGUCCGCCAAAGCGAAGUUGCUUGGCGGGUCGAGGCUGAAUCCAAAAGGCGUGAGAUGGGAAUCGAUGGGUACCUCUUGGUCGACGGGCGGUGACGAAGUCACGUCAGGGACUGACUGCACCUUCGUCUCUGGUACAAGGGUGACGCCCAGCAAGCCUUUCGCGAGCGUGCUGGCGUCGUCCGUUUGCUUGGCAUUGGCGCGUUGCGGGGAGACGGCGCUCGUCUUCAUCUCAGACGCGAGGUCGAUGCUCGACGUGCCCCCCGUUGGGGCGCCGGCGCCGUCGACUCGCUCGACAGCCGACGAGGUGCCGCCUCCUACUUGGCCUUGGUUGCCCCGCCUCCUCCUCCGUCGGCGGGGGAGGGGACGGGGUGAGCUCGAAUGUUGUUCUUCCACCACGCGGGGAAGACGUCGUCGAUUCCGCCGCCGGCGGGCGGGCUGUCGGCCGCCAUUGUCGUUGUCGCACGGCGGGGGAAGGAGUAUCAUGUCGUAUCUACCGUCGAGGGACAUGAACUCAAGACUCCUGAAACGGAGCACCGUCCUGGGCUGGAAAGGUUGCUGGAGACUGCCCAUCUGGAGCUUGACGGGAAGCUGUUCGUCAACACGCAGCAGGCCCCUACCUGGCGCGCCAACUGUCGGCGUUUCGAGACCGGGGGGUCCCUGGACCGACGAGUAAACUGUCGCCGCGUGCCCCAGCCCAGAUGGGUCGGCGCGAGACGGAGCGCGAAGGGGGGAAGGCAGCCGGAGAGGAGACGGGGCGUGAGAGGUGGAAAUCCCGCGGCCUUCGUGUUUGUCUCGCGCCCAGGUCGGGUGCGCUUGCAGUAGGGGGUUACAAGCGUCCACGCGGGAGGGAGCGAGCGGCCUCACGCGAGCGCCUGUCCCGUCCUUUCCCCGCGCGGCCAACCCUCUGUAAGAGGACCCUGGUCCUUCCCUUUAUAGGCGCAAGGAGAGGAUCCAGGUGUACAAUGGGGGUGUAGCAGUGUGCUAACGUGUCUAGCGGAGGAGAGCUAGCGCCCUAAGUACAUGCCAUCGUGGCAGCCGGAGAGGUUUUGGCACCCGGUUCGUGUGGUGUCGUGGCCGUCGGAGGAGCGCUGGAGCCUGGCGGAAGGACAGCUGUCGGGGCUGUCGAGUCCUUGCUGACGUCCUCUUGCUUCCGUAAGGGGGCUGAGAGCCGUUGUCGUCAUAGAGCGUGCGGGGCGCCAUCAUUACUUGUCUGUCGGAGCGAGCCAGAUGGGACGCCGGUCUUGUUCCCCGUAGCCUGAGUUAGCUUGGGGUAGGGUAAUGAUGGCGCCUCCUGUUGACGUGGUCGGUCCGUGGUGCCCUAGGUUGAUCGAUGUGGAGGCUCCUCCGAGGCCGAGGUCGAGUCUAUCUUCCGUGGCCGAGGUCGAGUCCGAGCCCCUGGGUCGGGCGAGGCGGAGACCGUCGGCUGAGGCCAGGGCUGAGUCCGAGCCCCUGGGUCGGGCGAGGCGGAGUUCGUCGUCUUCCGGGGCUGAGCCCGAUUCCGAGCCCUGGGUCGGGCGAAGCGGAGUUCGACGUCUUCCGGGGCUGAGCCCGAGUCCGAGCCCUGGGGUCGGGCGAAGCGGAGUUCGUCGUCUUCCGGGGCUGAGCCCGAGUCCGAGCCCUGGGGUCGGGCGAAGCGAAGUUCGUCGUCUUCCGGGGCUGAGCCCGAGUCCGAGCCCUGGGGUCGGGCGAAGCGGAGUUUCCUAUGGCGCCUGAGGCCGGGCCUAGCUGCUGUCAGCCUCACUCUGUCGAGUGGCACCACAGUAGGUGCGGCGCAGGCGGCGCUAUCCUCUUGUCAGACCGGUCAGUGGAGCGGCAAAGUGACCGCGGUCACAUCGGCUUCUGUCGUCUGGAGGGCGCGCGUCAGGAUAAAGAUGUCAGGCCACCUUUGCAUUAAAUGCCCCUGCGAUUUGGUCGGUUUGCAUGGCGAUUUGGAUAAGGUUGCUUCUUGGUGAAGACUGGGCCUCGGGCGAGCCGAAAGUAUGUUCGUUGCUGGAGGGGGCCUCGGGCGAGACGUAGAUCCUCCGGGGUCGGCUACCCUUGCCCGAGGCUGGGCUCGAGCGAGGUGUGAUCGAGUCCCUCGAAUGGACCGAUCCUUGACUUAGUCGUACCCAUCAGGCCUUUGCAGCUUUGUGCUGAUUGGGGUUACCAGCUAAGAAUUAUGAGUCUUGAGGGUACUCCUAAUUAUGGUCACCGACAGUUCUCAUGUUCAAGGAAUUAGACAAAAUAAUAAUCAAUGGAAUAAAUGUGCGUCAUGUUGGAUCUUUGAAUUGUGCAUAUAAAUUUGAUUUGAAAACAUCAAUCAGAUUUAAAUUUGUGACAUUUAGAACUAAAAAGGAAAUAGAAAAUUGGAAAUAGAAAAGAAAAGGCGACCCAACCUGACUUUCUUAUUACUCGUCCCAACAGACCAACACCGGCGUAGUACUUCAGGCCAGCCAGCCUACACCUCGUGCGCACGCGUAGCCAUUUCCACGCGCGUUCACCUCCAUCCACUGACACGUGGGUCCUGCCUGUCGACUUCACAAGGAAAUAAGCGCAUGGUAUCUGCCCGAUCGCCCUCAGACGCCGACUCCUGUGCGCACUCGCGAGAUUCCUUCGCUGACGGGUGGACCUACUCUGCCAGUCACCACUGCUCCUACUUCCUCGCUUGGUCUCCGGUGUGUGGGCCUCGUCGCUCAAUGCCUCCCUCUCUUGCGUGUGUAUCUAAUCCAUGUCAGGUUGUUGGGAUUUCCUUGCGUGACCUCCGGCCCUAUGCCACCAACAAACUUCUGUUCGGUCGGGCACCCCUGCUUCACUUAAAUAGGUUGUGACUUCCCCUCCUUUGCCUCCCAGAACAACUAACGUCGUCAAACAAAGCGGAAACCAGAGAAAGCACAGAGAGCACGGCGAGGGAAAGAGAAAUCAUGCCACUGUCGUCGCCCGUCAUGUACAUCAUCGCCAAGAUUUCGAGGGCAGACUUGUUGGGGACCUUCCUCAUCCGAAGGUCCUCAAAAACGUGACUGUAUGUUUUCAGUACGGCAUGGAUCACUACAGGGGGCUUUGACUUUGAGAUGAAGGUCUUAUCUCAUAACAGGGUGAAGAUGUAGCCCGAAGGUGAUAAGAAUGGACGACGAAGCUGUAGCCGAAGAGCUUCGGCUUGAUGUGAUGAUGAAGACCAAGUAUGGUGAUGACCGAAAAGGGACAAAGACUACUCAGUCCUUAAUGUUUCAUGUCAUGAUAAUAGAUGAAUGUCAAGGACAUAAAUGUACUUUUACUCGGGCUGCAUCCCAUACCUAUAAAUAGAUGAAUAGUAACACCGUACUGUUCAGGGCUGGAUUGUAAUCACUCUCUCGCAUCACACCUUCGAGGAAGCUGAAGGUACCAAUGUAAUAUUAAUAUUGUUAAUAUUCAUACGUGUUUUAUGGAAUACAAAUAUGAAUGAAUCAAUAAGAUGCAGUUAUUGUUUUCAUCCUUCUGCAUUCUUAUUCACAUGUUAAAUGAUGAAGGUAUGUCCUUCCUGACCUUUGUCUGAUAAGCGUUAUGCCCUUGCAGAAAUAAUGCUUCGAAAGACGAAGGUCUAUAACAAUUAACAAUUGUGGUUCCUUGUUCUUAAUAUACAACAUUUGAGAACAAGUGACCAACAUUGGCGCCCACCUCCGGUCAACUCAAACGACCACCUUCGGCAAGCAUUCAGCUUCACCAUGCCGCCGAAGAAGACAACAGUGCCAGGGGCUGCUCUCCAACCACUAGACACAAACCAAGAGACACUCUCCCUGCGAGAAGCUAGGAGCCAGAAGAGAAAGGCUACUAGCCCAACACCUCAGGAGGAGGAGUUGGAUCGAGAGAUCAGGGAUUUAGAAGCCAUUCAUCAGCAAGUACAAAGGAAGAAGGAAAAGAUGCUUUGGCUAGCCGAUCUUGAGAAGAAGAUCGACGAAACAGCCGAGGAAAUGCGUCAUCUCACUCAGGAUGACCAAGACCGAAGGCCCCAACACAGUGAGCUUCGUGAAGAGAGCCCAAUCAAUGAUGAUGAAUGGUACGACUUUGCUUUCGAUGAUGCUUCUCCUUUGGCAGCAGAGUUGUAGGCUACCCCGUGGCCACCAUCUUACAAGCCACCUCAACUUCCCAUGUAUGAUGGGCACUCAGAUCCGAUGCAGUUCCCGAUGAGCUAUGGGGCAACCAUAUCCUCGUAUGGGGGCAAUACUGCUGUCAUGGCGAAGUCCUUCGUCAUGGCAGUCAGAAAUGUGGCUAAGACAUGGUAUUCUUCUGUUUGGCCGGGGACAAUUACGUCGUGGCAGAAGCUAAAGGAUAUGCUAGUCACCAGCUUCCAGGGCUUUCAGACGAAGCCAGUCAGUGCCCAAGCUCUGUUCCAAUGCACGCAGGACCAUGAGGAGUAUCUGCAGGCGUACGUCCGAAGGUUCCUGCGACUGAGAGCUCAAGCGCCUACAGUGCCCAAUGAGAUUGUCAUUGAGGGCAUGAUCAAGGGGCUCUGACCAGGACCCACAACAUAAUAUUUUGCAAGGAAGCCACCACAGAACUUGGAGAAGCUUCUCUAGAAGAUGGAUGAAUACAUCCGAGCUGAUAACGAUUUCCGCCAAAGAAGGGAGGAAGCAUAUAUGUAUUCUGAGACGACUAAGGGCUUCAGAGGAAGACUCCACACCCCAGGCACGUUAGAACAAUCCACAAUCCCAACACAAAUGAUGACAGGGCAAAUCAUACUCACAGCAGCCAGCAUAUCUCACAGUCUUCGGAAAUGCAACAAACUUCUUACAGGCCACCAGCCCCGAGAGGCAGAGGGGGGAGAAGCUUCGGAGGAAGGUAUGGUAAUCAACCCAGGAAACUCUGCCUAUUCUAUGGUGAAGACAAGGGACACACCACAAGGACGUGCCAAGUCACGAUUCAGAAGCAGAAGGAAAUCGCUGAAGCCAAUGCACGGCAGAACCAGCCGAAGCAAGUCUUGCAUACUUCUUCGUGCUACUCUUUGUAUAUCCUGGAGUAUGUGGGCAAUCAACAGCCUUCGACUUCUAUUGCUUCGACAAGUCAUUUCCAAGCUUCCUGGGCUCAGUUGCCACCACCACCACCACUGGCGCCUGCCCCGAUUCAUAAUCAACCGCCAGAAGGGCAUCGUCAGGUUCAGCAACAGUGUGACCUUCGGGAAGAGUCCGAAGCCCGCACAAUCAACAACACUGUGCCCGAGUCGAGGCAUAUCUACUGAAGGUGGCACAAUGUGAAAUGACCUAAUGUAUUCUUACUCAUUUCUAUCUUUACAUUUUCCUCUGAAAAGACAAUUCAAGGAGGUUUAACCUUCAGUUUGAUGUAAUAAGACUGUGGUUACACCAUCGAGUGUAACAAAAAUGGCUCACAAACCUCCAAAGUCGUUCAUAAAGGAAUGCAGAGUAAGUCACGAAGCUCCAAAGUCAUUCCUAAGGGAAUGCAGAGCUUAAAUGCCACCUGAGUCAAAGGUGAAGAAGCUCCAAAGUCGUUCAUAAGGGGAUGCAGAGCUUAAAUACCACCUAAGUAAAAGGUGAAGAAACUCCAAAGUCAUUACUAAGGGGAUGUAGAGCUUAGCUCCAAACGUUUCUAAGGGAAUGCAGAGCUGCAAUACCACCUAAGUAAAAGGUGAAGAGACUCCAAAGUCGUUCCCAAGGGGAUGAAGAGUCUGGGUGUGUAUUCGUGUGAGUUUUUACCUUCGGCACAAACAUCAUUUUGCAUCAUACCAUCAUAUCAUAUCGCAUAGCAUCGCAUCAUACAUCAUUUUGCAUCAGCAAAAAGCCGUGGAGAAACAAGGAAAAGUUGCAUCUUCGAAAAUAUUUGUCGGAUCAUGAAAGAACAUGUUGUAGCACAAGAUAUGCCUUCGGCAGAUAUAUUUUUACACAGGAAGAGAAUCUUCAUCAGUAGUAUUACUACACAACAACCGUGGCAUAAUACCCAGUAUUGAAUCGACAGAAGGGGAAUCUUUUUCUUCGUGAAGCAGGAAAAGAAGGGAAGAUGUUUUUUCGCCAGCGGCUCAAAAAUGGUAUGUACGAAGGUUUCAUGCAUCACAAAGAAAUAUAUUACAUUAACACACAUACAAAAAACUUGAUGUUUGGUUCUUACAAAAGACAAAAGCCACGUGCAAACAUUAAACUCUCAAAUAUACAAAGUUUUAAUCUUCUUUCAAUACUUUCUCAGCGGCUUCAUUCAGCAGUUUGUUGACAGCUUCGUCAACAGCUUCAUUAGCAAUUUUAAUCAUAUCUAGAGCUUCCUUCAAGGUCAGGUCAGCUUUGGGGUUGUAUGGCUCCAGUGGGGGUGAAAGUUUAGCUACAUCAUAAAAAAUGUUUGUUAAUUCUGAAGCUAAAAACGAAUUCCGAAGCUAAACCUUAGAAAGGGUACCUAUAAGCCUUGCACGCUUGGCAGCUUCUUCAGCUCGUUUGGCUUCUUCUUGAGCAUCGUGAGAUUCUUUUUCACUCUUUCUAAUAGCUUCAUCAGCUAUCGCAUGGCUGCCCUUCAUCCACACCUCGGAGUAAAAUUUCCCGCCUAGCGCAGAAGCUUCGGCCGACGGUUUUUAAUGUCAUCCACUGAAAAAACAAAUUCUGGCUGAACUACAGCCUUGGCAUGUUCGCAGCCAGCUUUCUCUAAGAUCGACGUGGCCCCCCGUGCACCAGCAAAGGCGCAGAAAUCUCCUCGAUCACUUAAAGUUUCGUCAAAAGCUUUGGCUUCGCCGCUGAUCCACUGGACAACUCCAUCAGGAUCGCCGCAGAUGAACUUUUGCUCAGAGGAAUAUGCCCCAACCCUAGCAAAGUUGUCCUUUAAUUUCUUGGCGCACUCCAAAGAUAUUUUAUAACAUUUUUCUUUCGAAGCACGAAGCUCAUUGGCGUUCUUUUGUGAUCUUUACCUUUCGAUCUCAGAAAUUUCAUGUUUCACCGCCUCAACUUGAAAAUUUUCGGUUGCUUCGACAACCUUCUUUUUUAGUUCUUCCACUUUGACUUUAUGAGCUUCGUCUUGUGCAGCAAGUUUGGCUUCGUUAGAUCUCAGCCUGUCCACUAAGAAAAGUAAUAUUUUAUCCUUUUAGAGAGUUUCGUUCCUUAGUGUGAUGACUUCUGAGCGAAAAUUCUCAAGAGCUAUUCGAAAGCUCUCAUCUUCUGCUUCCUUCUGGGCCUUUAGAGCCUUGCUUAGAAUUACACCCUAAAAAACGAAGAAUGAGAAUAUAAUGAUAGCAAGAAAAGCUAUAAAAAUAAUUUAUUUUACAAGUAAAAUAAUACACACCUUCAGACUAUUGUAAGCAAGACUAUCUGCAAGCUCAUCCUUCGACAUUGCAGAUAAGCCAAGUUCAAGCUUCGGAUAUCCUAUAUUGUCCAUAAUUUCCCGGUAGACAUGUUUCUCUUUGCUGUCUGGCAGCUAGUAAAGGAAGUCAUCUUCGCCGCUGCCACCAUACACGAAGGACCCUCGAGGGUACUUCAGAUCCCUGGCAUAGUGUUGCACUUCGGCAACCUGCUCUUUUGAUAGCUGCUUUCCUAAAGCAUGCAGAAUAAUGAAUUCUAACUCUUUAACGGAUGCUUCAGGAACAGGAGAUUUAGAUUUCUCAGAAACACUCUCUUUCUCUAGGGUUACCAGUGCAGUUUCCAAAGGUCUAGCUUUGGCAGGAGUUUCUAAAGGUCCAGCUUCAGAAGGAGUGUCGGGGACCAUAAUUAGGGGUACCCUCAAGACUCCUAAAUCUCAGCUGGUAACCCCCAUCAGCACAAAGCUGCAAAGGCCUGAUGGGUGCGAUUAAGUCAAGGAUCGGUCCAUUCGAGGGACGCGAUCACGCCUCGCCCGAGCCCAGCCUCGGGCAAGGGCAGCCGACCCCGGAGGAUUUACGUCUCGCCCAAGGACCCCCUCCAGCAACGGACACACCUUCGGCUCGCCCGAGGCCCAGUCUUCACCAAGAAGCAACCUUGGCCAAAUCAACACGCCAACCGACCGAAUCGCAGGGGCAUUUAAUGCAAAGGUGGCCUGACACCUUUAUCCUGACGCGCGCCCUCCAGUCGACAGAGCCGAAGUGACCGUAGUCACUUUGCCGCUCCACUGACCGGCCUGACAAGAGGACAGCGCCGCCUCCGCCGCUCUGACUGAUGUGCCACUCGACAGAGUAAGGCUGACAGCAGCCAAGUCCGGCCUCAGGCGCCAUAGGAAACUCCGCUUCGCCUGACCCUAGGGCUCGCACUCGGGCUCAGCCCCGAAAGACGACAAACUCCGCUUCGCCCAACCCCAGGGCUCGGACUCGGGCUCAGCCCCGGAAGACGACGAACUCCGCUUCGCCCGACCCCAGGGCUCGGACUCGGGCUCAGCCCCAGAAGACGACGAACUCCGCUUCGCCCGACCCCAGAGUUCGGACUCGGGCUCAGCCCCGGAAGACGACGAACUCCGCAUCGCCCGACCCUAGGGCUCGGACUCGGGCUCAGCCCCGGAAGACGACGAACUCCGCUUCGCCCGACCCAGGGGCUCGGACUCGGGCUCAGCCCCGGAAGACGACGAACUCCGCUUCGCCCGACCCCAGGACUCGGACUCGGGCUCAGCCCCGGAAGACGACGAACUCCGCUUCGCCCGACCCCAGGGCUCGGACUCGGGCUCAGCCCCGGAAGACGACGAACUCCGCUUCGCCCGACCCCAGGGCUCGGACUCAGCCCUGGCCUCAGCCGACGGUUUCCGCCUCGCCCGACCCAGGGGCUCGGACUCAACCUCGGACCUUGGAAGACAGACUCGACCUCGACCUCGGAGGAGCCUCCACCUCGCCCAACCCAGGGCUCGGACCGACCACGUCACAGGAGGCGCCAUCAUUACCCUACCCCAAGCUGACUCAGGCUAUGGGGAACAAGACCGGCGUCCCAUCUGGCUCGCUCCGCCAAACAAGUAAUGAUGGCGCCCCGCAUGCUCCAUGACGACGGCGGCUCUCAGCCCCCUUACGGAAGCAACAGGACGUCAGCAAGGACCCGACAGCCCCGACAGCUGUCCUUCCGUCAGGCUCCGGCGCUCCUCCGACGGCCACGACACCACACAAACCGGGUGCCAAAACCUCUCCAGCUGCCACGAUGGCAUGUACUUAGGGCACUAGCUCUCCUCCGCUAGACACGUUAGCACACUGCUACACCCCCCAUUGUACACCUGGAUCCUUUCCUUACGCCUAUAAAAGGAAGGUCCAGGGCCCUCUUAUAGAGGGUUGGCCGCGCGGGGAAGGACAGGACGGCGCUCGCGUAAGGCCGCUCGCUCCCUCCCGCGUGGACGCUUGUAACCCCCUACUGCAAGCGCACCCGACCUGGGCGCGGGGCAAACACGAAGGCCCUGUGUUUCACCUCUCACGCCUGUCUCCCUCCGGCUUCUUCCCCCCUUCGUGCUCCGUCUCGCGCCGACCCAUCUGGGCUGGGGCACGCGGCGACAAUUUACUCGUCGGUCCAGGGACCCCCCGGGUUCGAAACGCCGACAGUUGGUGCGCUAGGUAGGGGCCUGCUGCGUGUUGACGAACAGCUUCCCGUCAAGCUCCAGAUGGGCAGUCUCCAGCAAUCUUUCCAGCCUGGGACGGUGCUCUGUUUCGGGAGUCUUGAGUUCAUGUCCCUCAACGGCAGCUACGACAUGAUACUCCUGCCCCCGCCGCGCGACAGCGAUAAUGGCGGCCGACAACCCGCCCGCCGGCGGCGGAAUCGACGACGUCUUCCCCACGUGGUGGAAGAACAACAUUCAGGCUUGUCCCGUCCCCUCCCCCGCCGACGGAGGAGGAGGCGGGGCAACCAAGGCCAAGCAGGAGGCGGCACCUCGUCGGCUGUCGAGCGAGUCGACAGCGCCGGCGCCCCAACGGGGGGUACGUCGGGCAUCGACCUCGCGUCUGAGACGAAGACGAGCGCCGUCUCCCCGCAACACGCCAACCCCAAGCAAACGGACGACGCCAGCACGCUCGCAAAUGACUUGCUGGGCGUCACCCUCGUACCUGAGACGACGGUGCAGUCUGCUCCGGACGUGACUUCCUCACCGCCCGUCGACCAAGAGGUACCGACCGAUUCCCAUCUCGUGCCUUUUGGAUUCGGCCUCGACCCACCAAGCGACUUCGCUUCGGUGGACGCCCUCAUAGAGGCGAGUCCAAACCCUCUGGGGUAUCGUAUGCGGUCACCCUGGGACCGACUGACGGCCGUCUCGACCUACGGGCCCUCGGGGUCCGAGGAAGAUGACGAGCCCGACUUCUGUUGGGAUUUCUCCGGACUUGGUAACCCCAAUGCCAUGCGGGACUUCAUGACCGCACGCGACUAUUGCCUUUCCGACUGUUCCGACGGUAGCCUCAGCCUCGGCGACGAGGGCUGUGGCCCAAGUCGUGAAUGUUUCCACGUCGAUCUAGGGGGUCCUGGCGAAGGCAACCAUCUUGGUAUGCCGGAGAACGGCGAUCCCCCUAGGCCUGUGCCUCGCGUUGACAUCCUUCGAGAGCUAGCUGUGGUCCCCGUCCCGGCGGGGGGUCAUGACCCACAACUCGAGCAAAUCAGCGAGAUGCAGGCCAGGCUCGACGAGGGAGCAGGAACACUUGAGCCAAUCCGCUGGGACAUCGGGCAGGAAUGGGCGGGCCAACCUCCGGCCGGAGAAGUACGUCAUCUCCCCCAGGGCUUCCAGCACCGCAUCGCCGACGAUGUCAGGGUAAGGCCACCACCGACUUCCAGUGGAGUCGGCCAGAACCUAGCUGCAGCGACAAUACUUCUCCGCGCAAUGCCGGAGCCAUCAACCACCGAGGGGCGGCGUAUCCAGGGAGAGCUCAAGAAUCUCCUGGAGGAUGCCGCGGUCCGACGGGCCGAAAGCUCCGCCUCCCAAAGGAAGGGGUGCCCCUCGGAACAUCGCGCCGCGACUUCCCGAUUCAUGCGGGAGCCUCGGUACACACAGGGCGCACACGCAACACAGCGCCUGCGGCCCCGGGUCGCCUCGGCAACGAGCACCAUCACCGCAACCGUCGGGCGCACCUCGACGAGAGGGUGCGCCGAGGCUACCACCCCAGGCGUGGGGGACGCUACGACAGCGGGGAAUAUCGGAGUCCCUCGCCCGAACCACCCGGUUCGCAGGCUUUCAGCCGCGCCAUACGACGGGCGCCGUUCCCGACCCGGUUCCGAACCCUGACUACUAUCACAAAGUACUCGGGGGAGACGAGACCGGAACUGUGGCUCGCGAACUAUCGGCUGGCCUGCCACCUGGGUGGAACGGACGAUGAUAACCUCAUCAUCCGCAACCUCCCCCUGUUCCUCUCUGAUACCGCUCGAGCCUGGCUGGAGCACCUGCCUCCGGGGCAGAUCUCCAAUUGGGACGACCUGGUCCAAACCUUCACCGGCAAUUUCCAGGGCACAUACGUGUGCCCUGGAAACUCCUGGGAUCUCCGAAGCUGCCGACAGCAGCCGGGAGAGUCUCUCCGGGACUACAUCCGGCGAUUCUCGAAGCAGCGCACCGAGCUGCCCAACAUCACCGAUUCGGAUGUCAUCGGCGCGUUCCUCGCCGGCACCACCUGCCGCGACCUGGUGAGCAAGCUGGGUCGCAAGACCCCCACCAGGGCGAGCAAGCUGAUGGACAUUGCCACCAAGUUCGCCUCUGGCCAGGAGGCAGUUGAGGCCAUCUUCCAGAAGGACAAGCAGCCCCAGGGCCGCCCACCGGAAGAUGUCCCCGAGGCGUCAACUCAGUACGGCGCCAAGAAGAAAGGCAAGAAGAAGUCGCAAGCAAAACGCGACGCCGCCGACGCGGACCUUGUCGCCGCAGCCGAGUACAAGAACCCUCGGAAACCUCCCGGAGGUGUCAACCUCUUUGACAAGAUGCUCAAGGAGUCGUGCCCCUAUCAUCAGGGGCCCGUCAAACACACCCUUGAGGAGUGCGCCAUGCUUCGGCGCCACUUUCACAAGGCCGGGCCACCCGCGGAGGGUGACAGGGCUCGCGACGAUGAUAAGAAGGAAGAUCACAAGGCAGGAGAGUUCCCCGAGGUCCACGACUGCUACAUGAUCUAUGGUGGGCGAGUGGCGAACGCCUCGGCUCGGCACCGCAAGCAAGAACGUCGGGAGGUCUGCUCGGUAAAGGUGGCGGCGCCAGUCUACCUAGACUGAUCCGACAAGCCCAUCACCUUCGACCAGGGCGACCAUCCCGACCGCGUGCCGAGCCCGGGGAAAUACUCGCUCGUUGUCGACCCCGUCAUCAGCAACGUCAGGCUCACCAAGGUCCUCAUGGACGGAGGCAGCGGCCUCAACAUCAUCUACGCCGAGACCCUCGGGCUCCUGCGUAUCGAUCUGUCCUCGGUCCGGACGGGCGCUGCGCCUUUUCACGGGAUCAUCCCCGGGAAGCGCGUCCAACCCCUCGGACAACUUGAUCUACCCGUCUGCUUCGGGACACCCUCCAACUUCCGAAGGGAGACCCUCACGGUCGAAGUGGUCAGGUUUCGAGGAACCUACCACGCAGUGCUGGGGAGGCCAUGCUACGCCAAGUUCAUGGCCGUCCCCAACUACACCUACCUCAAGCUCAAGAUGCCGGGCCCCAACGGGGUCAUCACCGUCGGCCCCACAUACCGACACGCGUACGAAUGCGACGUGGAGUGCGUGGAGUACGCUGAGGCCCUCGCCGAAUCCGAGGCCCUCAUCGCCGACCUGGAGAGCCUCUCUAAGGAGGCGCCAGACGUGAAGUGCCACGCUGGCAACUUCGAGCCAGCGGAGACGGUUAAAUCCGUCCCUCUCGACCCCAGCAACGACGCCUCCAAGCAGAUCCGGAUCGGCUCCGAGCUCGAUCCCAAAUAGGAAGCAGUGCUCGUCGACUUUCUCCACGCAAACGCCGAUGUUUUCGCGUGGAGUCCCUCGGACAUGCCCGGCAUACCGAGGGAUGUCGCCGAGCACUCGCUGGAUAUCCGAGCUGGAGCCCGACCCGUGAAGCAGCCUCUGUGCCGAUUCGACGAAGAAAAGCACAGAGCUAUAGGCGAGGAGAUCCACAAGCUAAUGGCGGCAGGGUUCAUCAAAGAGGUAUUCCAUCCCGAAUGGCUUGCCAACCCUGUGCUUGUGAGAAAGAAAGGAGGGAAAUGGCGGAUGUGUGUAGACUACACUGGUCUAAACAAAGCAUGUCCGAAAGUUCCCUACCCUCUGCCUCGCAUCGAUCAAAUUGUGGAUUCCACUGCUGGGUGCGAAACCCUGUCUUUCCUUGAUGCCUACUCGGGGGAUCACCAGAUCAGGAUGAAAGAGUCCGACCAGCUCGCGACUUCUUUCAUCACACCCUUCGGCAUGUACUGCUAUGUUACCAUGCCGUUUGGUUUAAGGAAUGCGGGUGCAACGUACCAACGGUGCAUGAACCACGUGUUCGGCGAACACAUUGGCCGAACGGUCGAGGCCUACGUCGAUGACAUCGUAGUCAAGACGAGGAAAGCCUCCGACCUCCUUUCCGACCUUGAAGCGACAUUCCGAUGUCUCAAGGCGAAAGGCGUGAAGCUCAAUCCCGAGAAGUGUGUCUUUGGGGUUCCCCGAGGCAUGCUCUUGGGGUUCAUCGUCUCCGAGCGGAGCAUCGAGGCCAACCCGGAGAAGAUCACGGCCAUCACCAGCAUGGGGCCCAUCAAGGACUUGAAAGGCGUACAAAGAGUCACAGGAUGCCUUGCGGCUCUGAGCCGUUUCAUCUCGCGCCUCGGCGAAAGAGGCCUGCCUCUGUACCGCCCCUUAAGGAAGGCCGAGUGCUUCACUUGGACCCCUGAGGCCGAGGAAGCCCUUGGGAACCUGAAGGCGCUCCUCACGAACGUGCCCAUCUUGGUGCCCCCCGCUGCCGGAGAAGCCCUCUUGAUCUACGUUGCCGCGACCACUCAGGUGGUUAGCGCCGCGAUCGUGGUUGAGAGACGAGAAGAGGGGCAUGCAUUGCCUGUCCAGAGGCCAGUCUACUUCAUCAGCGAAGUACUGUCCGAGACCAAGAUCCGCUACCCACAAAUUCAGAAGCUGUUGUACGCGGUGAUCCUAACGCGGCGGAAGUUGCGACACUACUUCGAGUCUCAUCCGGUAACUGUGGUGUCAUCCUUCCCCCUGGGGGAGAUCAUCCAGUGCCGAGAGGCCUCGGGUAGAAUUGCAAAGUGGGCGGUGGAAAUCAUGGGCGAGACGAUCUCGUUCGCCCCUCGGAAGGCCAUCAAGUCCCAGGUCUUGGCUGACUUUGUGGCUGAAUGGGUCGACACCCAGCUCCCAAUAGCUCUGAUCCAACCGGAACUCUGGACCAUGUUCUUCGACGGGUCGCUGAUGAAGACAGGAGCAGGCGCAGGCCUGCUCUUCAUCUCGCCCGUCGGGAAGCACCUACGCUACAUACUACGCCUCCAUUUCCCGGCAUCCAACAAUGUGGCCGAGUACGAGGCUCUGGUCAACGGGUUGCGCAUCGCCAUCGAGCUAGGAGUCCGACGCCUCGACGCUCGCGGUGACUCGCAGCUCGUCAUCGACCAAGUCAUGAAGAACUCCCACUGCCGCGACCCGAAGAUGGAAGCCUACUGCGAUGAGGUUCGGUGCCUGGAAGACAAGUUCUACGGGCUCAAGCUCAACCACGUCGCCCGGCGCUACAACGAGACUGCGGACGAGCUGGCUAAAAUAGCCUCGGGGCGAACAACGGUUCCCCCGGACGUCUUCUCCUGAGACUUGCAACAACCCUCCGUCAAGACCGACGACACGCCCGAGCCCAAGAAGGCCUCGGCCCAGCCCAAGGCACCCUCGGCUCAGUCCGAGGCACCCUCGGCUCGGCCCGAGGCACCCUCGGCUCAGUCCGAGGCACCCUCGGCUCGGCCCGAGGCACCCUCGGCUCGGCCUGAGGUACCCUCGGCCCCCGAGGGUGAGGCACUGCGCAUCGAGGAGGAGUGGAGCGGGGUCACGCCUAAUCGAAACUGGCAGACCUCGUACCUGCAAUAUCUCCACCGAGGAGAGCUACCCCUCGACCGAGCCGAAGCUCGGCGGUUGGCGCGGCGCACCAAGUCGUUCGUCUUGCUGGGAGACGGGAAGGAGCUCUACCACCGCAGCCCCUCGGGCAUCCUCCAGCGAUGCAUUUCCAUCACCGAAGGCUAGGAGCUCCUACAAGAGAUACACUCGGGGGCUUGCGGCCAUCACGCAGCACCUCGAGCCCUUGUUGGAAACGCCUUCCGACAAGGUUUCUACUGGCCGACGGCGGUGGCCGACGCCACUAGAAUUGUCCGCACCUGCGAAGGGUGUCAGUUCUACGCAAGGCAGACCCACCUGCCCGCUCAGGCCCUGCAGACCAUACCCAUCACCUGGCUGUUUGCUAUGUGGGGUCUGGACCUAGUCGGCCCCUUGCAGAAGGCACCCGGGGGCUACACGCACCUGUUGGUCGCCAUCGACAAAUUCUCCAAGUCGAUCGAGGUCCGACCCCUAAACAACAUCAUGUCUGAACAGGCGGUGGCGUUCUUCACCAACAUCAUCCAUCGCUUUGGGGUCCCGAACUCCAUCAUCACCGACAACGGCACCCAGUUCACCGGCAGAAAGUUCCUGGACUUCAGCGAGGAUCACCACAUCCGGGUGGACUGGGCCGCCGUGGCUCACCCCAUGACGAAUGGGCAAGUAGAGCGUGCCAACAGCAUGAUCCUGCAAGGGCUCAAGCCGCGGAUCUACAUCGACCUCAACAAGUUCGGCAAGCGAUGGAUGAAGGAGCUCCCCUCUGUGGUCUGGAGUCUAAGGACAACGCCGAGCCGAGCCACGGGCUUCACACCGUUCUUUCUAGUCUAUGGGGCCGAGGCCAUCUUGCCCAUAGACUUAGAAUACGGUUCCCCGAGGAUGAGGGCCUACGCCGACCAAAGCAAUCGAGCUAAUCGAGAAGACUCACUGGACCAGCUGGAAGAGGCUCGGGACAUGGCCUUACUACACUCGACGCGGUAUUAGCAGUCCCUACGACGCUACCACACCCGAGGGGUUCGGUCCCGAGACCUCCAGGUGGGCGACCUGGUGCUUCGGCUGCGACAAGACGCCCGAGGGCGGCACAAGCUCACGCCUCCCUGGGAAGGGCCGUUCGUCGUCGCCAAGGUUCUGAAGCCCGGAACGUACAAGCUGGCCAACAGUCAAGGCGAGGUCUACAGCAACGCUUGGAACAUCCGACAGCUACGUCGCUUCUACCCUUAAGACGCUUUCAAGUCGUUCAUACACCUCGUUCACACACAAAGUCUAGUCAUCAAGGAAGGGUCAGCCUUGCCUCGGCAAAGCCCAACCCUCCCUCGGGGGCUAAAAGGGGGGAACCCCCCUGCGCCGAAAUUUUUCUCAAAAAAAGGAAGUCUUCCAUCAAAAAGGCUUCUGCGUUCCCCGGCUAUAUCAGUAGCAGGACCCCAAGAAGCGAACGAGGGCGCAUGUAAGUGGCAAGGCUGACUGAGCCGAGGGACUCCUACACCUCUAGGAUGCGGAUACCUCACUCGUCACCUACCAUGAAAAAUGACUCCUACUUGGGCAAGCCAACCUGCUACUAACGAACGGGGCCGGAUAUGCAAAAUGGAAGGAAAAGGAGCACGACUUUAUACUACGAUAAUAAAGUGUUCGGGCCUCAGCGGCCGCAAAAGACACAUGUGCAUUCAAGGAAAACUGCUCCGGCAGAGUUAGGCGUCGCCUGGAGGAGCCGCGCCCUCGGCUUCGUCCCUGCCUUCGGCAAAGUCCACCCCGGCCUCGGACGACGACGCAGGCGGGAGGAUCUCUGCCUCGAAGGUGGUUGCCAGACCGCGCUCGGGCCCGCGGCGGCCGCGUCGAGCCUCUGGACUUCAGCCAGGGCGGCUUCAUCUUCGUAAGGGAGGCAAUACCCCUCGCUGACCCGCUCCAGAUCCACGACGUAGUGAGAAGCAAGCACGGCGAAGCCCCGCCUGACGCCGUGAUGUAGCGCCUCGCGGAGUCUGCCACGCACAUGGUCACCCAAGGCCUGUAGGCGACUUUGAGGGGAGCUUCCCGAGGGGACGUCGCUGAAGCCAAAGACCCGGCAGAAGUCCGAGAUGGCCUCGGACAUAGCCGCGUGGUCGGCCUCCCUCUGCUGGGCCGCCUGAGCAAGUGCCCUGGUGGACUCAUCAAGGGCAGACUCGAGCUCUGCGAACAGCCAAAGCGCAAGGCCUCAAACACAAGUGGAGGAAACAAGCUGAAACGAAAACCGAAAAUAGCCAGGACAUACCUCCGGCUCGGGCACGCAGCUCCGAGGAUGCGGCUUGGGCUACGGCUAGGUCUGCUGCAAGGGCUCCGGCCCGGCUUUCGGCCUCGGUGGCCCGGCCUCGAGAUUGAUCCCUGUCACACCCGGAUUUUAGGGGUCCAAAACCCGGGCGCGAACAUAAUCACCAGGUGUGCUGGGACCAAGUCUCACACAUAUGAUGAUUCAUGGCACAGGAUCGAAUGUCACAUCUUUACUACAUAACAGGAGUUCUGUACAAAAUAAAUAAAUAAUUACAUUAUAAGGAGACAACGGUCCAGCAACCCAAAGUUGACUGGGAGACGACAACCUAGACCUCUCACGAACACAUCGCAGCAUCCUCCAUGCGCCUCAUCCUGGGGUACCUGUUCUUGACCUGUGGGGGGUGUGAGACAGCAAGAGUGAGCUCACGUACGUUCAUCGCUCAACAAGUUGUGGGGAAUAAUGUGAAUGAACUCGCCAAAGGUGGGAGUUCAUGUGAAGUGUAAGGCUUACCAAAGAGGAUGGUUAGAGCUGAGCAUUGCUUUUAAAGUUGGUCAAAAUUUUAUUAGCAAUUACUAAGUAUAAGUAAAUACCAACCCAAUUAAGUAGUAGAACAGAAGUAACAACAUCACCUGCGAUGCAAUGCAUAUGAUAAAUUGAGUUUAAGUUCCAUAAAUUAAUCAUGUGAGUGUCCGAGCUGCUCAUGACCGUGAGCACGGCUAGUAUACCAGUUUUACACUCUGCAGAGGUUGCGCAUCUUUACCCACAAGUCAUGUUACCCAUCUGCCAAGGGAUCGCGACUUCCCAUACACCUCUACCGAGGAGGCGAGGCAGGGUAACACUACGAGGCCUUUACAAAGUUCCACUAGCUUCAGAAAACCCGCUACAGUUUAUGGGAAGCUCCAAUGCAGGGUUCUUGCCUGACCGCCAUCACAGCAAAAUCAACCAAGGACCUCCCUACACUGACCAAUACCCUACUGCCCUUGCCCCUUUCGGGUAAGGUAGUCCUCCACUAGCUUUCCUAAUUAGUCAGCCAAGGGCAUCCAUAAACCCUUGUGGUAGCACUGUUUUCCCGGGUGGUUCUCCAUGUUCCAAUUAACAUAAUGAUCUUAUCAUGAACAGUAAAUAACAACGGAUAACAAAAGUAUAAUCAUGAAUAAUGUAUCUUCAUACCCAAAACCACAUAAAGCACUAGCAAGUACUACCCAAAAAGUUCAGUGGUAAACAAGGUAUAAAGAUAAUCAAACUAGGGUAACCUAUUGGGUCCCAUCAAAAUUAACCUAUGCAGAUCAUUAUGAUUAAUUAGAACAUGAGUGGGUAAAAAGAAGUGAUCAAGGGCACAACUUGCCUGGGACUUGAGAUUCCAGGUACCAACUUGCUCUUCAGAUGACACGUGUCCUCACUGCUAAACGUAUCAAUACAGACAAACAUGGUAUAUGCAAAAAUUAACAUUACACCAAACAUAAGAAUAAACUAUGUGAUAAUAAUCUACGCGCCAUAACGAGAUCGUAGAAACAAGAACCACUAAAUUCGGAGCUACGGUUAUUAAGUUAUGAAUUUUCGAAAUUAUUUAGCACCUAGAAUAGAUUAAUUCAAUUGAGCAAAUUUUAAUUCAAGUUUCAUGGUUAAACAAAGGUACGAGGUGAUAAACAACAUUAAUACAAAAUUAUUGCAACUGAAAUGACUCAAUUUGGAGUUAAAAUGAAUUAACUAUGAAUUAUGCAAGUUUAUGGAAUUAUUUUCAUACUAAAAACCUAUUUCUUUAUUAAUUCCUGAAUAUCCUAAGUGUUCUGGACUGGGCACCAAAUAAAACAAAACUUAGGGUCCAAUCUGUAACAAUUCCCUAGACUCAAUGAUCAUCGCCCACGGACGGCGGGUUGAUUUGUGAGAAGGACAGGGGCUCUUUUACAAAGAGGCUGCGGCGAAAGGGUAUCGGAUAGUACUGGCCGUCCGAUCAGAGAUCUAGGGCUCAAAUUAGAUCACGUGUUAUAUGAACCGGUAUUGAAUAACGGCCACUGGAUCAAGAUCCGAGGGCCCGAGUUCAAUGAAGCCGAAAUCAAUCUCCUCCCAUCGAUGAGCGAUCAACGGUCCACGAUGCUCGAUGCCAAGAAGCCGCCCAGAUCUAAUCAUGUGCGUACACUGUGGAUCCAAUGGCCCAGGCCUAUCACUAAUCUCAUGUCGUCCCGACCUAAUCCAAGCCCUUGAACUGAGAUGAACGGCUAAGGGAGCAUCUUCCACCUUCCGCAUGCUAGGGCACGGCGGCCAUACUGGUCUUGACGGCAGUCCGUCGCCGUGAUGACAACCCGGCGCAUGGAUUCCCUAAUACGCAAGCUAACCGAUGCAAAAGGAAGCGCGAGCCAUGGCGAAGCUACCCAGGGGCUUACCAAAGACCAAGGCGAAGGUUGGAGAGCCGGCCACGACGAACAGCGGCACGCGGCGGAGCACAAUCUCCGGUGAGCGAAUCGAGCGCUCCGCACGUGGUGGGCAGGGACGGAGCAGACGCGGAGGAGAAGGUUUCUUCCAGAAGAGGUCUGUGGGCUGGGGCUAGUUGCUGCGCUGCCCCAUGAAGGCCAUCUGCAUCAACCCCACGGCGGCCCGCACCGUUCUUCGGUUCUGGUGACUUUUCUCUCACGGCUAGCUACCCCAACUCACUCCAAUGGCUAGAGGAGGCUGCGGACGGGUCUAUAUAUACAUCCAGGCAGCCAGUUUAUAAGGGGGUCCACGGACGAUCGCGUGGCCGAGGACUUCGGCAUCCGUUUCGCUGGAAGGGAUAAGGAGGGAGGCGAUUCUGUCAUUCCGGCCCCACACACCAGACACCGAUUAUCCCAAGUGCGUGCGACAGAGAUAGUGGCGGACGGCGCGGUGGGUUUGUUACGCGAGAGAGAGGAGUCCGACUGGGUCCACAAGAUAUGGGUGAGGUUUGUUACGCCCGAAAGGUUAGGAAACGACGAUGGAAAGAGUCUGGGCGGUCAUUACGUGAUUUCCUGGGUAAGUUUGUUUCGGCCGCCGUUCUGUUUGAUUCUUCCUUUUUUUUGGAGGCUUGCUACGUGAGUUUUCCCUUCUCACGUAGGCAUGCAUGCAUCUCCUGCCAUUAGCUUCAAGAACAACACAGAUCGUACUUGCUUUGAAGGAGCAGUUUGUUUGGCCAGAGUACUACGAUGGAAGAAUAAUACUGGAAUGCCUACUUGCUAGGUGGUUCACUUUAUCAAGGGGAAAAAAAUACACACACGUACAUUAAAGCAAACAACAACUUGAUUUAAAGAUGACACAGAACAGAUGCAUGCAAUUAGAGACAAACUAAAAGGGUUUGGCGUUUAAUUAUGCGUCACUGCCGAGGUUUUUUUUUAACACUGAUGCCAAGCAUGCGAGGUCCUCAAGAUACUACUACUAUACAGGUCGCACGGAAUGAAUUCAGCCCAUGUGAGUAUUUCUUCUUUUUUUUCUUUUCUUAAUUCUAGUUUAUUUCCAAAUUCAAGAUUCAAACUAAGCUUAAAUUUCUGGUUUAAACUUUUCAAAUUCCUAAAUAUCAAAUAUGAUCCAAUUAUGAAUAUAAACGCUACUAUUCUCGGUAUUAGUAUUUUUCCUUCAAAUAAAUGCUUCUAGAGGUAAUAUUGGUGAAAGAAACAUUUGUUAAAUUAAAAUAGGAAACUCCCUAUUAUUUAUUUUUCUGAGAUUUGAGAUUAUAAUCUAAAUGUUAUAAGUCCAAUUUAAAUCUGAGUCAUUAACCCUAAUAUUAUUUUUAUUUGUUUAAUCAUUUGGAAGGAUAAAUCGUACAUUUAGAGUCAGUCCCAUUAUAAUUCCUCAAAGAGAGCAAAGUUUCUUCAAACUUUCUCAAAAUGUAUUUUUAGGGUUUACAAGUUCUACCCCCUUAACAGAAAUCUCGUCCUCGAGAUUUGUAAGAAAAGGGAUAUAGAAAGUCAAAUGUUUGGUUGCAGUUUAGCUUCAAGUUUUUUUCCAAAUGGUUUUAAGCACAAAUGUUUUCUAUAUAUAUAUAUAUUUAAGUCAUUUUAAGUAAGGAAAUGAUUAGGAACACAUGGGUAUACUAUGUUUAGCUAUUAGGCAGAAGUAGAGAAGGUUUCGGUAAUAAGGAUUAGGGCAAAGAAAGUUUCUAUUAUGGAUGGUGGAUCUUGACUCAUCUGAUGAUUCCGUUUUGCCCUUUGAAGACUUGAGUUGGUGCUUAUCCUCCCUUGACGUGGUUGGUCUUCUUUGGCCCUCAGUCCUGGAGUUGCCAUCCGAGUUGAGGACAUAUGGCUAAGGACAUAUAGCUAGGAUAGCUAGGGUACAUGAGGUAAUUAGAUUUAAACAGAGUUUUACUUUGCUUUUGGGAUAUCUGGAUUAGGCAACCUAUGAUGUAGGUUAGGUUGUUUUUUUUACGGACGAGUUAGUCCAAGGUAUUAAUUUAGGGUAAGAUAUGUUUAUAGAAUCAGGGCCUAAUUUAUGUCUAACUUACUUAAGUAACUCAAUUUGGAUUAGCUCAUGUUAGAUUAGGUGGGAUCUAGAUCAAAUUGGUAUAACUAGAUAAGAUUUAUUUAUUUUAGGCUAGAUCAUGGUUGUUACUAUAGAGUGGGAUAGGUAUGCCUAUUAGAAUAAGAUAAAUCCAUAAGGAUAAGGUAGAAUCUUUUGAGGUCAGUUAGAUCUAUUAGGAUGAGAUAAAAUCUGUUCAAGAUAAGAUGAGUAUCUUUUUAAGAUAAGAUGAGUCUAUUAAGAUAAGAGAGAAUCUUUUAAGAUAAGAUGGAUCCAUUAGGCUUAAUAUAUUUUUAAUAGGGAAUAUUCUGUGUUGUCUAUUUUAUAAAUAUUUUUCCUUAUGCCUAGGUGUAUAUACAGAUGCAAUUGUGGACAUUACUCCACAACUCAUCACACUCAAUCAAAGAUCCAACUCAGACAAGUAUCAUAAGAACAAACAUUGAAGCACAUAGAUACCUACAAAAAUAGUUUUGUUUUUGUUCCUAAGGGUAGGUCUCCUAUUCCUAAAGGUCACUUUAGGCACAGGAUUUCAAAGUGUGAAAUCCACAUUUUUUUUCUUUAGAAAGAAAAGGUAAGAAUAAUCAGAGUAAAGCGGAAAUAGAUGAGAAAAGAUUAAGAAAAGUUUAGAAAAGAAUCAGAGUAGCAAAGAAAAGUAGACAAUGGUUGUCCAGUUCUAUCUAGGUUUCGUCCUACAGUCAACAUUCCUCUUAUACCACUUCUGUCACACCCGGAUUUUAGGGGUCCAAAACCCGGGCGCGAACAUAAUCACCAGGUGUGCUGGGACCAAGUCUCACACAUAUGAUGAUUCAUGGCACAAGAUCGAAUGUCACAUCUUUACUACAUAACAGGAGUUCUGUACAAAAUAAAUAAAUAAUUACAUUAUAAGGAGACAACGGUCCAGCAACCCAAAGUUGACUGGGAGACGACAACCUAGACCUCUCACGAACACAUCGCAACAUCCUCCAUGCGCCUCAUCCUGGGGUACCUGUUCUUGACCUGUGGGGGGUGUGAGACAACAAGAGUGAGCUCACAUACGUUCAUCGCUCAACAAGUUGUGGGGAAUAAUGUGAAUGAACUCGCCAAAGGUGGGAGUUCAUGUGAAGUGUAAGGCUUACCAAAGAGGAUGGUUAGAGCUGAGCAUUGCUUUUAAAGUUGGUCAAAAUUUUAUUAGCAAUUACUAAGUAUAAGUAAAUACCAACCCAAUUAAGUAGUAGAACAUAAGUAACAACAUCACCUGCGAUGCAAUGCAUAUGACAAAUUGAGUUUAAGUUCCAUAAAUUAAUCAUGUGAGUGUCCGAGCUGCUCAUGACCGUGAGCACGGCUAGUAUACCAGUUUUACACUCUGCAGAGGUUGCGCAUCUUUACCCACAAGUCAUGUUACCCAUCUGCCAAGGGAUCGCGACUUCCCAUACACCUCUACCGAGGAGGCGAGGCAGGGUAACACUACGAGGCCUUUACAAAGUUCCACUAGCUUCAGAAAACCCGCUACAGUUUAUGGGAAGCUCCAAUGCAGGGUUCUUGCCUGACCGCCAUCGCAGCAAAAUCAACCAAGGACCUCCCUACACUGACCACUCCCCUACUGCCCUUGCCCCUUUCGGGUAAGGUAGUCCUCCACUAGCUUUCCUAAUUAGUCAGCCAAGGGCGUCCAUAAACCCUUGUGGUAGCACUGUUUUCCCGGGUGGUUCUCCAUGUUCCAAUUAACAUAAUGAUCUUAUCAUGAACAGUAAAUAACAACGGAUAACAAAAGUAUAAUCAUGAAUAAUGUAUCUUCAUACCCAAAACCACAUAAAGCACUAGCAAGUACUACCCAAAAAGUUCAGUGGUAAACAAGGUAUAAAGAUAAUCAAACUAGGGUAACCUAUUGGGUCCCAUCAAAAUUAACCUAUGCAGAUCAUUAUGAUUAAUUAGAACAUGAGUGGGUAAAAAGAAGUGAUCAAGGGCACAACUUGCCUGGGACUUGAGAUUCCAGGUACCAACUUGCUCUUCAGAUGACACGUGUCCUCACUGCUAAACGUAUCAAUACAGACAAACAUGGUAUAUGCAAAAAUUAACAUUACACCAAACAUAAGAAUAAACUAUGUGAUAAUAAUCUACGCGCCAUAACGAGAUCGUAGAAACAAGAACCACUAAAUUCGGAGCUACGGUUAUUAAGUUAUGAAUUUUCGAAAUUAUUUAGCACCUAGAAUAGAUUAAUUCAAUUGAGCAAAUUUUAAUUCAAGUUUCAUGGUUAAACAAAGGUACGAGGUGAUAAACAACAUUAAUACAAAAUUAUUGCAACUGAAAUGACUCAAUUUUGAGUUAAAAUGAAUUAACUAUGAAUUAUGCAAGUUUAUGGAAUUAUUUUCAUACUAAAAACCUAUUUCUUUAUUAAUUCCUGAAUAUCCUAAGUGUUCUGGACUGGGCACCAAAUAAAACAAAACUCAGGGUCCAAUCUGUAACAAUUCCCUAGACUCAAUGAUCAUCGCCCACGGACGGCGGGUUGAUUUGUGAGAAGGACAGGGGCUCUUUUACAAAGAGGCUGCGGCGAAAGGGUAUCGGAUAGUACUGGCCGUCCGAUCAGAGAUCUAGGGCUCAAAUUAGAUCACGCGUUAUAUGAACCGGUAUUGAAUAACGGCCACUAGAUCAAGAUCCGAGGGCCCGAGUUCAAUGAAGCCGAAAUCAAUCUCCUCCCAUCGAUGAGCGAUCAACGGUCCACGAUGCUCGAUGCCAAGAAGCCGCCCAGAUCUAAUCAUGUGCGUACACUGUGGAUCCAAUGGCCCAGGCCUAUCACUAAUCUCAUGUCGUCCCGACCUAAUCCAAGCCCUUGAACUGAGAUGAAUGGCUAAGGGAGCAUCUUCCACCUUCCGCCUGCCAGGGCACGGCGGCCAUACUGGUCUUGACGGCAGUCCGUCGCUGUGAUGACAACCCGGCGCAUGGAUUCCCUAAUACGCAAGCUAACCGGUGCAAAAGGAAGCGCGAGCCAUGGCGAAGCUACCCAGGGGCUUACCAAAGACCAAGGCGAAGGUUGGAGAGCCGGCCACGACGAACAGCGGCACGCGGCGGAGCACUAUCUCUGGUGAGCGAAUCGAGCGCUCCGCACGUGGUGGGCAGGGACGGAGCAGACGCGGAGGAGAAGGUUUCUUCCAGAAGAGGUCUGUGGGCUGGGGCUAGUUGCUGCGCUGCCCCAUGAAGGCCAUCUGCAUCAACCCCACGGCGGCCCGCACCGUUCUUCGGUUCUGGUGACUUUUCUCUCACGGCUAGCUACCCCAACUCACUCCAAUGGCUAGAGGAGGCUGCGGACGGGUCUAUAUAUACAUCCAGGCAGCCAAUUUAUAAGGGGGUCCACGGACGAUCGUGUGGCCGAGGACUUCGGCAUCCGUUUCGCUGGAAGGGAUAAGGAGGGAGGCGAUUCUGUCAUUCCGGCCCCACACACCAGACACCGAUUAUCCCAAGUGCGUGCGACAGAGAUAGUGGCGGACGGCGCGGUGGGUUUGUUACGCGAGAGAGAGGAGUCCGACUGGGUCCACAAGAUAUGGGUGAGGUUUGUUACGCCCGAAAGGUUAGGAAACGACGAUGGAAAGAGUCUGGGCGGUCAUUACGUGAUUUCCUGGGUAAGUUUGUUUCGGCCGCCGUUUCUGUUUGAUUCUUCCUUUUUUUGGAGGCUUGCUACGUGAGUUUUCCCUUCUCACGUAGGCAUGCAUGCAUCUCCUGCCAUUAACUUCAAGAACAACACAGAUCGUACUUGCUUUGAAGGAGCAGUUUGUUUGGCCAGAGUACUACGAUGGAAGAAUAAUACUGGAAUGCCUACUUGCUAGGUGGCUCACUUUAUCAAGGGGAAAAAAAUACACACACGUACAUUAAAGCAAACAACAACUUGAUUUAAAGAUGACACAGAACAGAUGCAUGCAAUUAGAGACAAACUAAAAGGGUUUGGCGUUUAAUUAUGCGUCACCGCCGAGGUUUUUUUUAACACUGAUGCCAAGCAUGCGAGGUCCUCAAGAUACUACUACUAUACAGGUCGCACGGAAUGAAUUCAGCCCAUGUGAGUAUUUCUUCUUUUUUUUUCUUUUCUUAAUUCUAGUUUAUUUCCAAAUUCAAGAUUCAAACUAAGCUUAAAUUUCUGGUUUAAACUUUUCAAAUUCCUAAAUAUCAAAUAUGAUCCAAUUAUGAAUAUAAACGCUACUAUUCUCGGUAUUAGUAUUUUUCCUUCAAAUAAAUGCUUCUAGAGGUAAUAUUGGUGAAAGAAACAUUUGUUAAAUUAAAAUAGGAAACUCCCUAUUAUUUAUUUUUCUGAGAUUUGAGAUUAUAAUCUAAAUGUUAUAAGUCCAAUUUAAAUCUGAGUCAUUAACCCUAAUAUUAUUUUUAUUUGUUUAAUCAUUUGGAAGGAUAAAUCGUACAUUUAGAGUCAGUCCCAUUAUAAUUCCUCAAAGAGAGCAAAGUUUCUUCAAACUUUCUCAAAAUGUAUUUUUAGGGUUUACAAUCCCGCUCAUCGGCGACCUGGUCAAACUCCGACUGCCGUCGCUGCACCUCUGCGCGUGCCGCUGCCGCCUCUGCUCCCAGAUCGGCACAGAGCAACCGAAGGUCCGCCACCUCGGCGCCCUGCUAGGAGAGGCGCGCGGUAGCCCUGGCAAGCGAGGUCCUCAGGGAUCACAGCGAACCCCAGACAUCGACCUCGCGGCGGAUGAACGACGACUUGGCGGCUCUCAGAUCCGUUAGAUCCUGAGGGAAGGAAGCGGGGCGUCACAAAGGACGCCUUGAUCAUGAAAAAAGGUAUGCCUGAAGUCAUUACCUAGAGGAUCUUGGGGACGUCCCUGCAAAAGACCUCCAAGGAUGACCGGAGCGACCCCACUGUUGCCUCGGCACACUCGCGGAGCUCGUCCCAAGACUGCUCCUCCCGCUCAUCGUCAAGAACGAAGAAGGGAUCCGAAGCCUCACGGGUCCGGAACCGGAGCAACUGGCGCCGCCCCUUGGAGCUCCGCCGCGUAGGGAAAAGGUUGCCGCUCGGCGGGACGGGUCGCAGUUCCACGCCCCCCUCCUCUGAGGCACCGAGUAGUGACGCCUCGGCCAUCUCAGCGUCGGCGGCGACGGGUUGCUCCAUGGCCAGGACGGCAACGGCUUCGGCAGCAGCCGGCGCCAGCGCCGGCGGCAUGUUUGGUGGGCCCGAGGCCACGUCCGCGCCAGCCACCUCCCCCAGCGCGACGGCCGCCUCAACAGAAGAGCCGGCCUCGGGAACUCGCUCCACGGCAACUGGUGCCGCCUGAGCCCCCCCGCUGUGGGGCGUCUUGCGAGAAGGUCAGCUGAACGGCGAGGCCCGACGCGGCACCGGCUGCGGAAGCCGACGCCGUCUUAAGGACCUUCCGGGGAGCCAGAUCGGUCAGGCCAUGACUCUGCUUGCUGAGGAGGAAAGGAAAGUCAGGGUCGGGACAUACAAAGGAGGAGCUGAGACGAAGACAUUUUAAGGUACUUACCCACUCCGGGCCGUGAUCAACCGUGUAUGUGGGGAGGUCUCUUGAAUCUCGACCCCCGAAGGUACCGCCGAGGUCCGCCUCGCCGCCAGCUUUGGUACCAUCCUCGCCUUGGGCACCCUAGAAGCCCGGGAGACGGACUGCCCAGGCGUCGCCACGGCGACCUGAGGGUCGCCCUCCUGCGCUGCCGGCAGGAGCGACGGUUUUCGGGGAACAGGCACCUCGGCCUGACCCCCGGGGUCACCUCUACUUCCCCAACCGAGGGGUCGAGUACCCCCUCGGUCUGCCCUUGCUCUUCGGGCCGGGACCUCGGCGUCCCGACCCCGGGAACCGACGGCGCCAGCCCGCUCAGGGGCUGGCUUGACGACUCCUGGCCUAGCCUCAAACCCGGGCUGAGGCCAAGGCGGGCAGCCAUGUCGUCAUCUUCGUCAUCGUCUUCAUCGUCGUCGUCGUCGUCAGGCGUUUCCGGCGACGGCUCCCUCGGGAGCCCAUCCCUCUCCUGCCGACGACAGAGCUUUUCCAAGGCGUCUCGGGCCCGCGUCCGCUCACGGGCCCGAGCCUUCUUCGCGUCCUUUUUCUUCUUCUUCUCCUCCGCGGCAACCCGCCGCGCUGCUCGGUCCACCGCAUCCUCCGGGACCCGUGGCCGGGAAGGCUUGUGACACCCUACCUCCUGGAGACAGAUGAAAAGUCUCGGUCGUAAGGACCAAGGGCAAUCCAACGCAAGGAGAAAGAAGGAGCGGACACUCACCAGGGACACACACCCACGGUCGGGACACAUCAAGGGCUGAGAAAGGGCUGGCGUCCGGUUUACCCAACGCGACGGACACCCGCCCGUGGAGGACGUCGACGGGAAGGGGAUCCGAGGACAUCCGCGAGCCCUCCAAGUCAGCCUCUGGCGUCAUCUCCCAAAGCGGCAACCGCCACUCCGCCAAGGGAAGCACCCUCCAACGAUGAAUGGCGGCAAUCACUCCCGCAGCGGUGAGCCCUCCUUUCCGCAACACCUCCAGGGCCUUGAGAAGGGACUCGAGGUUCUUCUGUCUAUCGUGCGGGGUCUCGUAGCGCCAAGCAUCGGCGGCGACGGUCACCACUCGCUGAGAAAACGACAGGAGCCUCCCGUCGUCAUUUCGGAGAUAGAACCACCGGCGCUGCCACCCUUUGUUCGAGGACGCAAGGACGACGGGAAUAUACUGUGACGCCCGCGCCUGCCUCAGCUGGAGGAUGCAGCCGCCGGCCCGCACUGCCGCGCGGACCCUUCUCUCCCCCAUCGGCGAAGCAAAAAGCUCCGCGGAGAAGAAAUGAGUCCACAGGUCCCAGUGAGGGUCGAUCCCCAAGUAUCCUUCGCAAACCGCUGCGAAGAUGGCGGCUUGCGAGAUGGAGUUAGGGCUGAGGUUGUGCAGCUCCACCCCGUAGACAUGCAGAAUCGCCCGCAUAAAGCGGCUUGCUGGCACUCCGAACCCCCGCUCGUGGAAGGAGACGAAGCUCACGACAUACCCCGGUGGCGGGGACGGGGCGGCUCCGCUCGGGGGGGCAUCCACUCCGGCUGCCUCUCAUUAGAGAGAGGGCGAAGUAAACCCUCAGCAACGAGAGCCUCCAGGUCAUCCGCCGUGACUGUGGAGAAAGGCCAUGGGGCGCGCGGCGGAAUAAUGGUCACCCGGUCGGCCAUCACCAAGCAGAGGAGGUGGCGGCGGAAAGGACUGGGUGGGCGGUUUCCUUUUCUCUGGCUAAUCCCUCAGGUUGCAAAAACCUAAGAAGGAGGCAAGCAACAGAGCAAAGAAUCGUCACCGGACCCUCCCCCGAGUAUAUAAAGACCCAGGCGAGACCCGUUCAACACGUCGCCUGAACCCGCCGCGGGAUUCAAAACUCAAAGCGAAACGACCGUUCCUCGAACGGCUCGCACACGCGCAACGGCUGCCCCGCGAACCACUCGCCCCGUCGCAUUAACUCCGCGGCGGGACAGGCGACACCUUUGGCAGGAGGAGCGAGCGACGCUUCACCUUCGCCAUAAUGACCGCGUCAAAAAAGGUGCGCCACGUCAUCUCGAUUUCGUAUUCUUUCCUCUUUCUCUCUCUUACAACAGGGACCGGGAAAGGGGGAUACCCCGAAAGGGAUCCUUCUCCGCGAAGGAAACGGGCCCCGAGCCCCCCUACUGAACAGAGGUUCGAAGGCUGGCCCCUCGAAGGGGUUCAACAGCCGCCUCAGAGCGCUCGGGCUCCACGCCCACUACUGGUCAGAGGUUCGAGGGUCGGCCCCUCGGAAGGGUUCAACGGCCGUCUCAGGCCACUCGGGCUCCGCGCCCACUACUGAUCAGGGGUUCGUAGGCUGGCCCACGAAGGGUUCACAGCCGCCUCAGACACAGAGCGAGGGAUGACCCUGGGUACGUUCGAUACAUAACCAAGGCUCAGGCUACGCUCCCGAGGUACCCUAGGACAUUUCCGAGACCAGCGGGAACGAUCUUGUAACGGAAUCCCAUCAGAGGGAGGCAUCGAGCCCUCGGACCCCGUCAAAAGGGGACCGGGUCCGGCAGAUCACCCGCAGGUACUGUUGGAGCGCGCCUCCGGGCCUCUAGCCGACCCCUAACAAAUGGGGCACGGGCGUCCACUCGGAUUACCCAUCAGCAGCUCACUGGAUACACCAUGUUCGGCGCCCUCCAAGGGCAACAUGGCGCUUUUCCCCCCUCCUCCUUGCGGAAAGGCGACGCAGGGGCGUAUGUAAAAAAGUCGAGUCUGUCCUUGACCGUCCUUUCGCCCUGUGCGGAGGCUCGGGGGCUGCUCUCGCAAACCCGGCUCCUGCCAAACCGUUGACAGCGUCAACAUACCAGCCCGAGAACUUGGGACUCGACCGUGCACCCGGGCUACGACCAGCUCGCAUGAGGGAACAACCAGACCAGCCGAAGCAUUGCGAAAUGCAUUAAGACCUCGAAGGAGUCAAACCACUCCUCCGAGGCCUCGGGGGCUACACCCGGCGGGUGCGCUCGCGCGCACCCACCGGCACAAAACGCAACCGAGAAAGGCUGGUCCCCUUGCAAAAAAGUGCGACAAAAGCCUCCAAGCGAGUAUUAACACUCCCUUCGAGGCUCGGGGGCUACUGUCGGGGACCAUAAUUAGGGGUACCCUCAAGACUCCUAAAUCUCAGCUGGUAACCCCCAUCAGCACAAAGCUGCAAAGGCCUGAUGGGUGCGAUUAAGUCAAGGAUCGGUCCAUUCGAGGGACGCGAUCACGCCUCGCCCGAGCCCAGCCUCGGGCAAGGGCAGCCGACCCCGGAGGAUUUACGUCUCGCCCAAGGACCCCCUCCAGCAACGGACACAGCUUCGGCUCGCCCGAGGCCCAGUCUUCACCAAGAAGCAACCUUGGCCAAAUCGCCACGCCAACCGACCGAAUCGCAGGGGCAUUUAAUGCAAAGGUGGCCUGACACCUUUAUCCUGACGCGCGCCCUCCUGUCGACAGAGCCGAAGUGACCGUAGUCACUUCGCCGCUCCACUGACCGGCCUAACAAGAGGACAGUGCCGCCUGCGCCGCUCUGACUGCUGUGCCACUCGACAGAGUAAGGCUGACAGCAGCCAAGUCCGGCCUCAGGCACCAUAGGAAACUCCGCUUCGCCCCGACCCAGGGCUCGGACUCGGGCUCAGCCUCGGAAGACGACGAACUCCGCUUUGCCCGACCCCAGGGCUCGGAUUCGGGCUCAGCCCCGGAAGACGACGAACUCCGCUUCGCCCGACCCCAGGGCUCGGACUCGGGCUCAGCCCCGGAAGACGACGAACUCCGCUUCGCCCGACCCCAGGGCUCGAACUCGGGCUCAGCCCCGGAAGACGAUGAACUCCGCAUCGCCCGACCCCACGGCUCGGACUCGGGCUCAGCCCCGGAAGACGACGAACUCCGCUUCGCCCGACCCCAGGGCUCGGACUCGGGCUCAGCCCCAGAAGACGACGAACUCCGCUUCGCCCGACCCCAGGGCUCGGACUCGGGCUCAGCCCCAGAAGACGACGAACGCCGCUUCGCCCGACCCCAGGGCUCGGACUCAGCUUUGGCCUCAGCCGACGGUCUCCGCCUCGCCCGACCUAGGGGCUCAGACUCGACCUCGGACCUUGGAAGACAGACUCGACCUCGACCUCGGAGGAGCCUCCACCUCGCCCAACCUAGGGCUCGGACCAACCACGUCGCAGGAGGCGCCAUCAUUACCCUACCCCAAGCUGACUCAGGCUACGGGGAACAAGACUGGCGUCCCAUCUGGCUUGCUCCGCCAAACAAGUAAUGAUGGCGCCCCGCAUGCUCCAUGACGACGGCGGCUCUCAGCCCCCUUACGGAAGCAAGAGGACGUCAGCAAGGACCCGACAACCCCGACAGCUGUCCUUCCGCCAGGCUCCGGCGCUCCUCCGACGGCCACGACACCACACGAACCGGGUGCCAAAACCUCUCCGGCUGCCACGAUGGCAUGUACUUAGGGCACUAGCUCUCCUCCGCUAGACACGUUAGCACACUGCUACACCCCCCCAUUGUACACUUGGAUCCUUUCCUUACGCCUAUAAAAGGAAGGUCCAGGGCCCUCUUACAGAGGGUUGGCCGCGCGGGGAAGGAUGGGACGGCGCUCGCGUAAGGCCGCUCGCUCCCUCCCGCAUGGACGCUUGUAACCCCUUACUGCAAGCGCACCCGACCUGGGCAUGGGGCAAACACGAAGGCCGCAGGUUUCACCUCUCACGCCUGUCUCCCUCCGGCUUCUUCCACCCUUCGUGCUCCGUCUCGCGCCGACCCAUCUGGGCUGGGGCACGCGGCGACAAUUUACUCGUCGGUCCAGGGACCCCCCGGGUUCGAAACGCCGACAAGGAGUGUGGGCUAUGUUGGCAUCAACAGUUUCCCUUAAAUUUUUUUGCAAGUGUGCCAAGAGCUUCGGCAGAGGCAGGAGUUGAUGUCUUCACGGACUCCAAAACAACAUCUAGCACACUAGCCAUUCUCCUUUUCCUUGGAGUCUCUGCGAGGAUGCUUGAUGGCUUCAGCAGUUUCGUUCCGGAUGGUGAACAAAUAAAUAAAUAAAAUAAUAUGGAUACUACAUCACAUAUUGGAUUUUAAUUGUGGUUUGUAUUUUGAAGAUUAAAUGUCAAACCAGAGUCAAAUUUGAAUUUGAAACACAAAAUUGAUUUGGGAAUAUGAAAUUAGAAGAUAGAAAUAGAAAAAGAAAAAAAAAGAAAACUCGCCCCGGGCCGAAACCCUGCCUCAGUCCACUAAAUCCUACCACGGCGGGCCACUCCAGCUAAGGAAAGCGCCGACCGGGGAACCCUGGUUGGCGGCCUCAUCCGCGCGCCAUGUGCUGCUGCGGUGUGGGUCCCGCUCGCCAGCCCUCGAUUCUGUGCGUGCCGCAAGGAGGGUUCGUAGUUUGGUCACUGGUACGUGGUCCCCGCUGGUCAGACUUAUCUCCUAGCUCGCGCGCGUGUCGUUCUCGCCAACUAACUCGUGUGAUCCGCCAGUUGCUGUGGGUUCGGUUGGAGCCCUGGACACCGGGUUGAUCCUCUAUAAAAUCGGACACCGAGCCCUUUCAGAAACCCCCUUCGCAUCUAGCUCAGACUAUUUUCGCCACCAGGAGCCAUGGGGCAGGGAGAUCUACCGUCCACCGCCAUGACUAGGCACGCACACGCCAUCGUGCAGACCUGGCAAGGGCAGUAGGGUAUUCACUGGUAGUCGGGGAUGGUGCACGUUGCAUCAUUAGGCAAAGCACGACGACCUCGAUUGAUGAAUUCCUCACCGGGAUGGAGCUCCACCGUAGGUCUGUCGCAUGUCAUGGCCAUGGCAUUAGCGCUGCUAGAAUCACGAUGAGCAAGCCUUCAAUAGUAUCAUAUCGUUACCCUCUAUGUGAUUACUGCCUUUUAUUGGAGUUCGAACAUGGAAGUCAAACUUGGUUAGAGGUCAGCCAUGGCACCACCAUGGGCACUUUGUGCCGCCAUGUCCGGAGUUGGGGAAGGGAGAGUUGAGGGUGAUGUGGAAGAGGAGCGCUGGCCGCAGGAUCUUGAUCCUUUGAUCGGGACUGGGUACCAGUUCGUGGGGGGAUCCUGGGCAUUGAAGUUUAAUCGAGCAGACAGGAUGGCUGAGGGAGCUAUUUGGAUCGUGGUCGUUGGAUCGUGGAUGAAGAGUGCAAUUAGAUCCCAGGUUAACCAUUCGACUUUUUAAUCUAGGCGGUCGGGUUUAGAUCCGACGGUUGAGAUGUGCCCAUACCCCUUUGUUGGGGACUUGUUCUCAAAUACUAUGAAUGAAGAACAAGGCAACACAAAAUGUUAAAUAUCAAAAAGCCCUUCGUCCUACAAAUCAUUAUUUCCUUUCGGACAUAGUGAAUUUAGGACGAAGGUUAUGAAGGUCAUACCUUCAUAAUCGUAAUAAAAAAUGGAGAACAUUUAAACAAGAUAUAGAAAGUGACACAAUUAUUGUAAAUAUUAUUAUUAAUAUAUUUCUUCUUUUUAUUACUUAUUUGAACAAGAAUAAAUUACAAGUGUACCUUCGAUUUGAAGGAGAAGAGUACAGGCGUGACGCAAAAGUGAAUGCCCAGUCAGCGUGAACAGUACGGGGAUACUGUUCACCUAUUUAUAGGCACGGGUCGCAGCCCAUGCAAAAUUACAUUAAUACCCUUUACAUUUAUCAACAACUCUAUGAUAAUUUUUCGAGGUCUAAUCUGGUUUUUCAUCUUUAAGUCGGUUUCCUUUUCCGCCGCUAUCCCGAAGCUCUUCUACACACAUCUUCGACUUUGUGCCAACCUUCGUGUUCUUUGUGCUUCUUCAUACCGUGGCUCUGAUCCGAGUCCGAAGAUACCUGUUAAUGUACUUUACUCCAGAAACAUUGUUAAAUCAUGUUUUUGAGGUCCUUCGGAAGCCGAAGGCCCCCAACAGUAGCCCCUCGCAAUAUUAAUUUGUUAGAAUGAUAAAUUCAGAUUGCGAAAUGGACGAAGGCUAUGAGCCGAAGGUCCGAAAAACAUCUUCCUCUUGCUAGAAUAGCAACAGUCAUUGGCAAAUGGGACCCUCCAGUCUCCGACAUAAUGGGUUUAUAAAUAGGGGCUCGCCACAAUUUAUUUGGCACGCUCUCUUGCCAUCUGUUUUACCUGCUCAAAUAGCUUUGUGCCUACAAAUAUUUGGUUGCCUCCCUAGUUUUAAGCUUCGGAAGCGAGAGGCAAGAACUCCGAAGGAAUGUCUGAGAAGAAGAAGGUUGCUGCCGAAAUGAAGCUGAGCCUUUCUGAAGAGAUGCAUCUGAGUUUUCUUGAGUCAAUGGCAAAGACGAAUACGGAGAAGAUUACAAGGGAGAUUUUAGAAGGUUUAUCUGAAGAUACUGGUGAUAGUGACAGCUUUGAUGCAGACAGUGGGGGUGAAGAUUCCGAAGAUCGGCCAUGGUGACCAAGCCAUUCAGUCUUCGGAAAAUCAACUAUUGGGCAAAGUCAUCUUGAAAACAUGAAGGGGAGAUACUUUCGAGAUAUGUCCAUUGUGAGAGUAGAUGCCGGAGAAAGAACUGUGCCAACUCCCGAAGAUGAUGAAGUCGUUAUCUUCCGAAGCUUUUUAAAAGCUGGGCUACGAUUCCCUCUAAGCAGAUUCGUGGUAGAAGUUCUGAAAAUAUAUCAGGUUUACCUUCAUCAACUUACCCCUGAAGCAAUAAUAAGAAUGGGAAUCUUCGUCUGGGCUGUGAAGAGUCAGGGUCUAGAGCCAAGUGCGAAAAGCUUUUGCAAUAUACAUGAAUUGUUAUAUGAAACGAAGCCCUGGGGUAAAGAGCAAUAUCAUAACAACUUUGGUUGCUACAACUUCGGCGCUCGCUCUGGAUCAAGCUGUCCCGUGCCCACCUUUCGUAAGAGAUGGCCCGGAGAAUGGAUGAAAGAAUGGUUCUAUGUAAAAAAUGAUUUGAAGGUUCGAGAGGAUAUUAAGGAUGUCAUCAUGUGCCCCAUCUGGCAGCGCUUCGGACUCCGGAAACCGAAGGUAUAAAUGGAUGAAGCAGCCGAAGAAUGCCAACGGGCCUUCGGCGCAGUCUGCUCUUUUAUUGGGACAAGGGAUUUAAUACAAGAACACAUUGCCUUCAGAGUAUGGCCUCUUGCAGAUAAUUGGGAAAUGCCGAAAGAAACUGUUAAAGAAACUUACGAAGGUGGGCUAGUCAGACUGAAGUAUACAUUCAAGUAUGGAGACAAGUUCGUUGAACCAGAUGAUGAUUGGUUAAAGAGCAUUGAGACUAUAAGUGAUGAAUUGCUUGGGAUAUAUUCGAAAGCCGAAGAUACUGCAUUAUCAGCAGCCUUCGGAGGCCGAAAAAAGAAAAGACUGAACCGAGUUUUUGAUGCAAUUGGGUUCGUGUACCCCGACUACCAUUAUCCAGUGCGGGGGCAGAAAAGGAAAGGUACGGCUUUUGCGAAAGAAACUGCUUCAGCUGCUCCUAGCGAGCCAGCGCCGAAGAGAAAAAGGGUGAAAGUUCUCACACACCGGCCACGUUACAUUGAACUAGCCACAGUACCUGAACUCGGCAGUGAAACGUCUUCGGCCCCCAAAGCUAAGGAAUCAACUCCGCUGCCAGGAGCCAAAGAGCUGGCCGAAGAACCAACAACAAAAGAAUUGGAUGAACCAAAGAUUUUGUUACCAGAAACCAAAGAGCUGGCCGAAGUGCCAUCGACAGAAAAGAUGGAAGAAGCAAAAGCAUCAACUAAGGGAGCGAAAAUAUCAGAAAUUUUAAGUCCUUCAGAAGGAAUUGAAGCAGCGAAAAUUAAAAAGGGGCCAACAGUGACCCCAAAAAGAAAAAGAAUGGUUAAUGUAUUAGAUGUUUUGGAAACAAUUAAACUUCCAAGCACAACCCCAGAGAAGACUGCUGAAACUUCUGAGGCGCUUGCUGAAGUAUCCGUUGCUAAGGCUCCGAAGCAACAGACUGAAGUUGAAGUCGGGCCUUCAGAACCAACCAAGGUAAUACCUUUGGUAGCAGAAGAAGCAAAAAUUGCAAAGGCAACUGAAGAAAUGAAAAUGUCAAAGCCUACUUUGGUCGAAGAAAUUGAUACUGCUGUCCCCGAAGCAUCUUCCAAAAUAUAUGAUUAUAUUGUGCAUCAUGCUUCGGGGAAAAAGUUAUCGGAAGAAGUAGUUUUUGAAGCUAAUCACUAUGCCAAAGAAUUGAAAUAUCCGAAGGGGGCACUAGUGUUUAAUGGGACGAACGAAGAAGAUUUCCUAUACUGCCUUCCAGACAAUAAAGAAUUAUCUGUCUGUCGGGAGAUGUCUAGAAGUAUGGGAUUUCCGAAACUCGAAGCUGGAUUAUGUGCUAUGACGAAGGAGGAUCUUGCGGAUAGUCUUGCGUACAAUAGCCUGAAGGUAUGGGAAUUGGAUGCUUACAAAUUUUAUAAUUCGUAACUCAUUUUUUUAUUCUUAUACCAACCUCUUUUUUUUACAUAUAGGGUUUAAUUCUAAGCAACGCAUUGAGAGCACAAAAGAAUGCCGAAGACGAGAGCUAUGAAAUUGCAUUCAACAACCUACGAUCAGAAGUUAUUAAACUGAGAAAUGAAGCUCUGGAAAAGGAUAAAAUUCUGCUUACAUUGGUGGACAAGGUAAAAAAGGACGAAGCUGCCUCAAAGGCCCAGGCCGAAGCCCAAAGACGUGAAAUUAAAGAUCUUCAGAAACAGCUAGCUAGAGCUAAAGAAGAGCGUAUACUUGAAGAAACAAAACGAGAGCUUACUGAUCAAUUGGCCAAUCAUUUAGAGAUAAGUGUUAAAGAGCUUCGUGCAUCCCAGAGAAAAUGCUAUGUUAAAUCCAUAGAGUGCGUCAAAAACAUAAAAUCUAGCUUCGCCAGCGUUGGCGCAUUCUCUAGUGAAGAGAAUUUUUCAAGAGGCAAUCCUGAAGGUCCAAUGGAAUGGAUCAGCCACGAAGCAGAGGCCUUCGAGGAAAUCCUGAAUAGUCGUGGUGACAUCUGCGCUUUUUCGGGUGCUAGGGGGAUUGCUGCUGUUUUGGAGAGGAAAGGCUGCGAGCAUGUAAAAUCCUUAGCGCAGUCCGAAGCUACCUUGUCCUCUGAAGACAUUAAAAACCCCUCACCCGAAGCAAGCAUGGUCGGUGGGAAAUUCUUCACCGAUAUCUGGGAUAACGGCGGUCGAGAAUUGGCGCAAGAAAUUAUUCAAAGGAGUGAAAAAGGCAUCCAUGAUGCUAGAAAAGUAACGGAAGCUGCCGAGAAAAGUACAGAGCCCGAAGGGCAAAUAGGUAUUAAUUAGUGGUUUUUAUCAUGCUGUAAUUUUAAUUCCAGACUCUGUUCUCGGUUUGUAAUAGUAAUAUAGCCGUAUCUUUUCUUCCCUCAGAACCUGCUGAGGCAUCUCCGGGCCCCCACCCGAAGGGGGACGAUGAAAUUAGAAAAAUAGCCGAAGCCAUUAUGGACAAGGUUGUCAACCAACUACUGAAUGAAGCUGCAGAGAUAGUGCUUAAAGAGGAUUGAAUGCCAUUGUAGAAACAUUUGAAACAUAAAAAUGUGUAAUAUAUUGUAACUUUAAAUGUAAUAUAUAAUCUAUUUAUAGUUUAAUUCUUUACGAUGCAUGAAACUUUGCAUACAUACCAUUUUUUGAGCCUUCGGCGAAAAAACACCUUCCCUUCUUUUCAUGCUUCGUGAAGAAAAUCCUUUCUAAAUCACAAGAAUUCGCUUACUUCUCUGAUGAAAAAUGUCCAAGCUUCGUGAAAUAUUUUCCGAAGCUAUAAAAAAGUUUUGUGUUGCAUUUCCGAUGAGGCUACACUUCAUCUCGAUUUGUCUUGUGCCUUAGCACGAUUUUCUCUUUUCCAAAAUAUGUUCCGAAGGUCAACACUGUAUCCCCUUCUUGUUCCAGAUGCAUUAUGCUGUAUGAUGCUUAUGUUAUGCGAAAAUGAUGUGAUGAUGUUAUGUUAUGCAAAAUGAUAUUUGUGCCGCAGAUACAUAUCCCUGUAAUAAAGCACACACACUUUUUAUAUCAGCGCUGACUUUUCGCUGUAAGCCUCCCUUAGGAGCUUCUUCGCCUUUUACUUUCAGCGGAAUCAGCGUUUAUUUUUCGCUGUAAGCCUCCCUUAGGAGCUUCUUCGUCUUUUACUUUCAGCGGAAUCAGCGUUUAUUUUUUGCUGUAAGCCUCCCUUAGGAGCUUCUUCGCCUUUUACUUUCAGCGGAAUCAGCGUUUAUUUUUCGCUGUAGGUUUAGAAAACUUACACUGCGCUCCCUUAGGAACGACUUUUUACUGCUUCGAACAAUUUGUACUGUGUCCGUUAGAUCAAAUUUUUGAUAAUACAAAGGUCCUUCAAAUCAGUAUAAGUUCGUAUGCUUCGGCAACUCAAGCCUAUGGAAAAAACAUAUUUUUAUUAUGGUAAAAGACGAAAGUAUUACAAGGAAUUGAAAUUCAAUAAAAGACAUUAAAACUCUUCAUAAUUGUUCCUUAUUAACAAAAGGGUAAUAAUGAAUGUAGAAAAUGCAAAAGAACUGCUGUUGAGGUAGGAUAUUUGUCAAUAAAUGUGCUUCGACUCUGGCACAGUGCUGUUGACUGUGCGAGCUUCGGACUCCUCUCUGAAAUCCCUCUGAAGAUGAUUGUGCUGACUCCCUUCUGGCUGUUAUCCUCGCUGGGUCGGCGGUGGCGGUGGAGGUUGCUGCCAAGAUGCUUGGGGUUGGCUCGCCGAAGCAACAGAAGCUGCAGGGUGGUUGCCUACAUAUUCUGGAAUAUAAGGUGAGUGAUACGAAGCAGUAUGCAUGACCUGCUUCGGCUGACUCUGUUGCGCUGCUGCUUCCGCUAUUUCCUUCUGCUUCUGGAUGGUAACAUGGCACAUCCUGGUAGUAUGGCCCUUGUCUUCACCACAGAAUAGGCAAUAUAUUUUUCUUGGCUGGUCUCCAAACCUUCCCCCGAAGCCCCUGGCGCCUCUGCCCCUUGGCGCUGGCGGCCGAAAAGAACUUUGCUGUUGGGCCGAAGCUUGUGAAGAGUGUUGUGGCCUUUGCUGCUGGCUCCCUCGAUCAUCAGUUUGAGCAGAGUUAUGGAUUGACCUAAUGUCACACCCGGUUUUAGAAGGCAAACCGAAUGCGAACCAUGUACGUGCCAGGAUCAGUUAUUCACGUACACAGCAGUUACAUAAUAUGGACAUCAUCACAUAGUGCUCAAAAUAGUAUUAAAAAGGGAAAUAGUCGAUUACAUCAUACGUCUGAGACGUCCAUAUAGGUCUUACAAUAAAUCAAAGUGCGGAAAAGAAACGUAGAUAACCGCGGCCUUCACAGGCAGCCGACUGGGGGUUGCCGCUAACCCACACCUAGAACUCGUCGUAAUCUUGGAACUCCUGGAAGUCUCCUUCCACAGCUUCGUCUUCGCCUGAGCAGUGGUUGCAAUGAUGACAACCUGGGGGGGGUUUGGUGUGUAGAGCAAGGGUGAGUACACAUCAACAUACUCAGCAAGUAUCCUGUUUGGCUGUAGUGGACUAGCUUUAUGUGGGGAUAAGUCAAGCAGUUGCUUUUAGUUGGUCAGGUUAUUACUUACUAGUAGAAAGCCAAGUUUUAGCAUUAACCCAAGUUAUUAACCCAAACGUACUCCUUUCCAAACGGAAAGAGUACCACUUACCAGCACCAUAAUCAUAAUCAAAACCAUCAAUCUCAUAUCCACCUGUACCGAGGUAUCUCUGAUCAAGUAUCACUAAUCACUGGAGCUCCCUUGGCCGCUCAUAACCGUGAGCACGGCUGAUAUAUCAGUUUUCAAACACUCUGCAGAGGUUGUGCACUUUACCCACAAGCCGUGAUUCCCUCUCUGGCCCGGGCUUGCAAGACCCUUAUUCACUCCCGAGGUGAAUGGCCAGGGAUUCACUACGAAGCCUUUACAAAGAUUCCCCGGGGCUGUAGCCACCCGUUAGGUUUCCUAAAUGCACCGCACUCCUCCCCAAGGGGCGAACCCAAACUUGGCAGAGCGAGCCGCAUACACCGAGCCCCAUUGACGGCACGACGGCUAAGUGAACUACAUCCCGGAUCCUCUAAUUAUUCAGCUAAGGGCACCCCAUUCCACCCUUAUGGUUGCACUGUUUUCCCGGGCGGUCAUCCAUAGAACAGGUCCUUACGGAGAGGCACUCGAGAAACCGCUCGAGCCCCCUUGAAUACCACAGAUACAACAUCAUCAUAAGAGAAGGGAAAACAGCGUAUCAUAGAUAAUCUCAUCAUGUUCAUUGAUUAGAGGUUGAGCAAUAGCAUAAAGCUAAACAGUAAUAACCCAACCCAGAUAGGUAAACAAGGACAUGGAUAACGAAAGCUAGUCAAUCCUUAGGCAUAAAUGUGUAAAGCGGGAGGUGAAUUAAAUAAUGAAUAGGACAUAGAUAGGUCAAAGGACACUUGCCUCCACCAAACGACUGCUGCUCAGGGGCUUCUCCUGCGAAUUCCUCAGGCUCUUCAACCGGAUCGUUCUCUAUGCGAGCGCAAACAUACAUACAUCCACAUAUUUAAUACAAAAGAACAGUACACCAUACAAGGGAACAUACAAGGGAACAAGUAAAGCGAAUAUGCAUCAAGUAUGACAUUUGACAUUGCAUUUGCUAUGGUUAGAAAGAAACGGGAAAGGGUCUCGCAGGGGGUUAAAUCUUAUGCACUAACGAUCAAUUACAAUUGGUUCUUAACAAAAGAAUUCUGUUACAUAUAACUAAUGGAAACCUAAUCACUUUAAGUUGAUCAACAUUGCACGAGAUAAACAAUUAACUACAUGAAUCAAUUAGCAUAACGGAAUUUUAAAUUAAACUUCCUAUUUCAAUGGCAUGAACAAUGAUUAGCCUACCUAAAAUAAAAUAGUUAUGAUCACAGAAAGUAAAUAAAAUAAAAUAAAAAAAAUAAAAAAAACAGAGGGGGGGGCGGUUGAACCGGCCCUAGGGGCGGUUGAACCGGCCCUGCGCAGGGGGCCCGGCCAAGGGCCAGGCGGGCGGCCGGGGCGCGGCCAGGGGCGCGCGGCCAGGCGGGCACGCGGCCAGGGGCGCGCGGCCAGGCGGGCACGCGGCCAGGCGGCCAAGCGGGCGGCCGAUCCAGGCGGCCGGGCGGCGCGCGGCCAGGGGGCCAGGUGGGCGGCCGAGCCAGGCGGCCGGGCGGGCGGGGCGGUGGCCGAGGAGAGAGGAGGGGAGAGGGGAGAGGGAGGGAGGAGGGAGAGAGGGAGGAGGGGGGGCUCACCGGCGACGGGGACGGGGCGGGGCGGCCGAGCGGGGCGGCCGAUCGGCGACGGGGAGGGGCGGCGCUAGGGCAGGGGGUAGGGGCGGCGGCGGCUUAGGGAGAGGGAGAGAAAAUGAGAGAAAAUGAGAGGGAGGGAGAGAGAAUUGGGGAAAAAGGGAGGUGGGGGGCGGCAUGGGCCAAUUGGGCCCAAGGGGGGGCGCCAGGGGCGGCUGGGCCGGCCGGGGUCGGCCCACGGCGCGGGAGAGAGAGAGAAAAAGAGGAGAGAGAAAGAAAGAGAAAAGAAGAAAGAAAAGAUCUUCUCCUCAUUUUCGAAAUCCGAUCUUUCUACAUGAAUGCAUUUGCACUUUCAAAGCAAUCAAAAGAAAUGCAAGGUUCGGCAUGGUGCAUCAAACAACAUAAAGUAUUUAGGGUUUUUUUCAUCACACGGGAAAUCCAAACCGAUUCCCGCUAGAACUUUGGAAAAGGUCAAGGUUUAGCGAGGGAAAAAGAAAAAGAAAAGGUAACGCCCGAAUUUUGGCGAGUAAAGAAAAGAAAAAAUUCAACUGCAAAAAUUCGGGGCGUUACAAACCUAUCCCCCUUAAAAGAAUCUCGCCCUCGAGAUUCAGGGCUGGCUAGCAAAGAGCUCUGGGUACUUGGCCAUCAAAUCAUCUUCACGCUCCCAGGUUGCUUCUUCCUCAGAGUGGUGAUUCCAUCUGACUUUGCACAUUCUGAUGGUCUUCCUUCGGGUGACUCUAUCUGCAAUCUCAAGGAUUUGCACUGGCUUCUCAACGUAGGUCAAGUCCUCCUGGACUUCCAGACCUUCCACUGGCAACUGCUCUUCUGGCACACGCAAGCACUUCUUCAACUGAGACACAUGAAAGACAUUAUGCACAGCAGACAAAUUCUCGGGCAAACUGAGCUGAUAAGCCACUUCUCCUCGUCUUGCAAGAAUCUGAUACGGACCAAUGUAGCGGGGUGCUAGCUUGCCUUUCACUCCGAAUCUUCUGACUCCUCUGAUCGGUGACACUUUCAGAUAGACAAAGUCUCCGACUUCAAAACUCAGCUCUCUUCUUCUUGUGUCUGCAUAGCUUCGCUGCCUCGAUUGCGCUAUCUUCAGAUUCUCUCGGACCAUCUUGAUGUUCUCUUCGGCUUCAAGCAGAAUGUCUGGCCCAAACACUUGCUUCUCUCCAGGCUGAUCCCAUUGCAACGGAGUUCUACAACUCCUUCCAUAGAGCGCCUGAAAUGGUGACAUCUUCAAACUGGCCUGGUAACUGUUGUUAUAGGAAAACUCUGCAUAAGGCAAUCUCUUAUCCCAUCCGGACUGAUCUUGCAACGCACAGGCUCUCAACAUAUCUUCACGAAUUUGAUUGGUCCUUUCGGUCUGGCCAUCUGUCUGCGGAUGAUAAGCUGAACUAAAAUUCAGAUGUGUGCCCAAAGCUUCAUGCAACUGCUGCCAGAAAUGAGAGGUGAACUGCGUUCCUCUGUCUGACACUAUCUUCUUUGGCACACCAUGAAGACAAACGAUCCGAGACAUAUACAAUUCUGCCAAUACUGCACUGUUGUAGUUGGUCUUGACAGGUAUGAAGUGGGCUGACUUGGUCAAACGGUCCACCACUACCCAAAUGGAAUCGUAGCCGGCUCGAGUGCGAGGCAAUCCGACUAUGAAAUCCAUACCGAUUUCAUCCCAUUUCCACUAAGGGAUCUGCAACGGUUGCAACAAUCCAGCUGGUCUCUGGUGUUCUGCCUUAAUUCUUCGACAACUAUCGCACCUAGCCACAUGCUCUGCGAUUUCCCUCUUCAUUCCGUACCACCAGAAUUUCUUCUUCAGAUCCUGAUACAUCUUCUCACUGCCAGGGUGAAUCGAAUAAGCUAUCUCAUGAGCUUCCUUAAGAAUCAACUCCCGAAUGGGCUGGACAUUGGGAACACACAAGCGGUCUUUGAACCAUAUCACGCCUUCUGCAUCUUCUCGAAAAUCUUUGCCUUUGCCUUCUAGAAUCAAUCGCCGGAUCUCACUGAUUUUCUCAUCAUUCUUCUGCGCUUCUUUGAUUUCGCGCUCCAAGGUAGGUUCCAACUCAACUGUGACUCCUCGCGAAUUGUUCAGAAAUCCGAGACUCAACCUGUCAAACUCUUUGGCCAACUCAUAAGGCAUCGGACGAGCGACCAUCAGAUUGACUUGACUCUUUCUGCUCAAAGCAUCUGCCACUACGUUUGCUUUGCCUGGAUGGUAAUGAAUCUCCAACUCAUAGUCUUUGAUCAACUCUAACCAUCUUCGCUGCCUCAUGUUCAACUCUGACUGAGUGAAUAUGUACUUCAGACUCUUGUGGUCUGUGUAAACAUCGCAUUUCUGCCCAUACAAAUAGUGCCUCCAUGACUUCAGUGCGUGAACCACUGCUGCCAACUCUAGAUCAUGGAUUGGGUAGUUCUUCUCAUGAACCUUCAACUGUCGGGACGAGUAAGCCACAACUCUUCCCUCUUGCAUCAACACACAUCCCAAACCUGUGUAACAAGCAUCGCAAUACACCGAGAAGGGCUUGUGCACAUCAGGCAAGACUAGGACAGGCGUUGUAGUCAACUUCUCUUUCAGCGCUUCGAAGGCCUCUUGACAUCUCUGGGUCCACUUGAACUCAACCUUGUUGCCUAGCAACGCUGUCAUUGGUUUCGCAAUCUUCGAAAACCCUUCAAUGAAUCGCCGAUAAUAUCCGGCCAUUCCAAUGAAACUCUUGAUUCCUCUAGCAUCUGUUGGCGCUUUCCAGUUCAAAAUGUCUGCCACUUUCUUCGGAUCCACAGACAAUCCUUCUUUGUUGAUUAUGUGACCCAAGAACAGGACUUCACUGAUCCAGAACUCACACUUGCUCAACUUUGCAUACAACCGGUGCUCUCGCAAUCUCUGCAACACCAUCCUCAAAUGAUCUGCGUGCUCUUCUUCGCUUUGAGAAUAAAUCAGAAUGUCAUCAAUGAAUACCACCACAAACUUAUCAAGAUAAUCCAUGAAUACACUGUUCAUCAAGUUCAUGAAGAACGCUGGCGCAUUGGUCAAACCAAAAGACAUCACUGUGAACUCGUACAAACCAUACUUGGAAAUGAAUGCUGUCUUCGGAAUGUCCGAAGGUCGGAUUCUGAGCUGAUGAUAACCUGACCUCAGAUCAAUCUUGGAGAACACACUGGCUCCUCUCAACUGGUCGAACAGAUCUUCUAUUCUGGGCAAGGGAUACUUGUUCUUGAUCGUGACCUCAUUCAAAGCUCGGUAAUCAAUGCACAUCCUCUUGGUGCCAUCUUUCUUCUCCACAAACAGGACAGGGGCGGCCCAAGGCGAGGUGCUUGGCCGAAUGUAACCUUUCUCUGACAGCUCAUCAAUUUGCUUCUUAAGUUCAUCCAACUCUGGUCCAGAUAUUCUGUAAGCUCUCUUAAAGAUAGGGGCGGUUCCAGGAAGAAGCUCUAUGGCAAACUCAACUUUCCGCUCUGGUGGCAUACCCGGUAAAUCCUUUGGAAACACAUCUGGGAACUCGGACACAACCUUGAUACUCUCAAUUGGGUCUGCUUCACUGCUAUCGACAGCCAUCUGAUAACAACUUCCUUUCUUUGGCUCGGGCGGGACUAACUCGGUCACCACUUCCUCUCCUAGUGGGGACACCAACUCGAUUGUCCUUUUAUCACAACUGAUAACUGCCUGAUACUUAUCUAGCCAAUUCAUCCCUAGGAUGACAUCUAUUCCCUGAGUACCCAUUACUAUAAGGUUGGCGGGAAAUGCUAUCCCCCUUAUUUUCACACUUAUAUUCAAACAAAUGCUAUCGGCUCGAAUUCUACCACCGGAUGAGUCAAUUUGAAUGGGGGUUGACAUGGUAGUAAUUGGAAGAUUAUGUGCUUCUACCCAUGAUGCAGUAAUGAAAGAAUGCGUUGCUCCAGUAUCAAAUAACACUUCUGCAAUAUGGGAGUCGACUGGGAACAUACCUACUAUCAUGCCGGGGGUCUCCUGAACUGCUUCAGCCUCCAAGUGGUUCAAUCUUCCAUGAUUAUAGCGCGGCUGAGAGCGAUUGCCUGCUCCAGGCUGAGGCACAUUCUGCUUGGCUGGGGCAUUGGGGCCUGACUGCUGCUGGGCUGCCUUCUUCGGACAUUGCAUCACCCAGUGGCCUUGUUCUCCACAGUGGAAACAUGCUCUGUUUCCAACCUGAGCUGGUGCUGCCUGACUGUUCUGCUGAUUUGCUGGGGCAGGAAGGCGAGGUGGCUGCUGAUUCUGCCUUUGAAACUGACCUCCUGACUGAUUGCUCUGACGGUUCUGGUACUGAUUCUGAGGGUACUGCCUUUGAAACUGCUGAUGCUGCUGAGGUGGACGCUGGUUCUGCCUGAACUGCUGAGGUUGAUUGCCUGAGAAACGAGGACGGCUGCUGCUUCCAGGCUGGGGUCCACUGAUCUUGCGCUUACGAUCUUCCAUCUCCUUGCGCUUUCUCUCCGUCAUGAUUGCUCUGUCAAUCAGGUGCUGGAAUGUCGGGAAGGUAUGAUUCAUCAGUUGGUACUGCAGGGGGUCAACCAAGCCUCUCAGAAAACGGUACUGUCGCUUGGCGUCGGUGUUGACAUCUUCAGGAGCAUAGCGAGACAAUUGCAGAAACUUGUCCCGGUACUCACUGACAGACAAGGGCCCUUGCUUGAGGGCCAGGAAUUCCUCCUUCUUCACUGUCAUCAGACCUGCAGGGACAUGGUACUGACGAAAGCUACCUCUGAACUCUUCCCAAGUGAUGGCGUCAGGGUGGGCAUGGGUGGCGAGGUAAGACUCCCACCAUGACUGGGCUGCUCCUCUCAACAGACGGGGACCAUACAGAACUUUCUCCCUGUCAUCGCACUGAGCGGUAUGCAACUCCCGCUCCACAGUGCGCAGCCAAUCUUCGGCAUCCAUAGGGUCAGAAGAAUGAGCGAACGUUGGUGGAUGACCUCUCAUGAAUUCAGCACGCUUGUCUCUUGGCAUCUGAGGCAUCUGAGGCUGAGGUGGAGCCUGCUGUUGUUGCUGCUGCUGAAUGGCGGCCAAAGUCUGACCGAUGGCUUGAACUGCCUGAGUCUGCAUCAGAAACAUCUGUUCGAUGGACAUCGGGGGCGGGGGUGGCAGGUGCUGCUGCUGAGGCACCUCCUCCUGUUGAGCGGCUCGCUCCUGCUGAGCACGCCUUCCUCCUCUGCGCCUGUUCUCUGACAUCUGCAGAAUGCAACCACACAUCAGAACUGAUCUGGCAAAUCUUGCAGCAUAAGGAAAGAGAAUAGAAUUCUUCAACAGCACUGAACAGAUGAGCAUCUUCACUGAUCUCCAACACAGACCACACAGCUUCUCAGAUAGAAAGGAAAGUGGAAUAAAAGGGGUUUCCCAACUAUAUAACUAACUCCAUUAACAUAAUAGGUAAACCAAAAUGCAGGGGAUACCCACACUCUGGUAACAGUCAUUACAAAGAUCCAAACCAAACAUGGUUCAUCAUGACAAACAUAGAUGCACAGGAUAUAACAAACUACCCUGUCUAACUAAGACUAGCUAGGACUGAGACUAACGCUAAGACUGAAGCUUCUACGUAUAUAUUUCGUAUUAAUUACAAGAUCCAACUCUAACGAUCUAUGGUUCUAGAGUUAUCUUGGUCUUGCAGGCGGGAUUGCCAUAAGACUGGUGUCCACGCUGAGGUGAGCGGUACGGGUGCUGAGUCCCAACGGGAGCGGGGGAACCACCAUCCAAGUGACGACGUUCCGCGCGCUCAGCCCGCAGCAGGGCGAUCUCAGCACGAGCCCUACUCAGCUCAUCUAAUGCAUGGUCCAGCUCCGUGUUUAGCACGGCGGCUAGGUUGACUGUGCUGCUCAACCUAGGAUUGCCCUCACCGACAGGUGAGACAAUCACGCCUCCUGUGCUGCCAGAUGGACGGCGGGGGUAAUACUUCAGGUCAAGACCGUCAGCUGCCCCACCGAAAACCGAGCAGUAGUGCGAAAGCGCACGCCGUGCAGCAUCCUGCAUGGCUGCCUCAGCUGAGUCCCGUUCAGAGAUAGAAUAGUGCUCUGAACAGGCCUCCGCACCCUGGAGACUGUUCUCCGGGCAGCGCACCAAGCAAGUUGCCUCCCAGCGGUCCGGGUAGACCCCGCGACUAUGCUGGUAGACCACACAGCGAUACUCGACGGACCAAGUAUGCCGGUCAAAUGCCCGACGUAGCAGGGUGUCGAGCGCAUCGUGGAAGUGACACCCGCGAGCAGCGUCGCGAGUGAUGGGUCGAGCAACCCAUCCUUCCGGCUCAGGAUUAGCAGAGAAGACGGUGUCGUGGCUCGAGCUGUCGUCGCCAUCUCCGUCGUCUGGGUCUCCUCCAGCAGCUACUCCAGAAGCUGGGGCGCCCAGUGGUGGUGCAGGGGGCGGCUCCAGAGGAAGCACAGGGGAGCAGCUCCUCACAGACUCUAUCUCCUGGUGGAGCGAGAAGGAAGAGCUCUGCUGCUCCUGUCGUCGACGCUCCUGCUCCUCACGCAGGCGGUGGUGUAGUCUCUCCAAGUGGCUGGACUGUCCGGCCACGGGACGGCGAAGCGGACGCUCAGCAAGGCGGGAGGGUAAGAAGGGGAUGACUGACUUUCGUGCAGUGUGUCUAAGUCGAGCCAUCUACAAAAGACAUCGCAAGCAAAAGGGUGAGAACAGAAUUAAUAUGACCAGCAAAUAAUGAAUCAUAAGUAAAUGAAGGAUUAGAAUAAAACAUGAUUUUCAGCAAGGUAUGAUAUAUAGUAGAACAUAGGUUUGGUCGGUAUGACCAACUUUUGAAGGGAUAUCAAAGUCAAGGCAGAGACAGAGGUCUAUAGUCCUUAGAACGACCAUUCUACUCUAGGUUAGCGGUCCUACAGUCAGCACGGCUUUGAUACCACUUAUGUCACACCCGGUUUUAGAAGGCAAACCGAAUGCGAACCAUGUACGUGCCAGGAUCAGUUAUUCACGUACACAGCAGUUACAUAAUAUGGACAUCAUCACACAGUGCUCAAAAUAGUAUUAAAAAGGGAAAUAGUCGAUUACAUCAUACGUCUGAGACGUCCAUAUAGGUCUUACAAUAAAUCAAAGUGCGGAAAAGAAACGUAGAUAACCGCGGCCUUCACAGGCAGCCGACUGGGGGUUGCCGCUAACCCACACCUAGAACUCGUCGUAAUCUUGGAACUCCUGGAAGUCUCCUUCCACAGCUUCGUCUUCGCCUGAGCAGUGGUUGCAAUGCUGACAACCUGGGGGGGGGUUUGGUGUGUAGAGCAAGGGUGAGUACACAUCAACAUACUCAGCAAGUAUCCUGUUUGUCUGUAGUGGACUAGCUUUAUGUGGGGAUAAGUCAAGCAGUUGCUUUUAGUUGGUCAGGUUAUUACUUACUAGUAGAAAGCCAAGUUUUAGCAUUAACCCAAGUUAUUAACCCAAACGUACUCCUUUCCAAACGGAAAGAGUACCACUUACCAGCACCAUAAUCAUAAUCAAAACCAUCAAUCUCAUAUCCACCUGUACCGAGGUAUCUCUGAUCAAGUAUCACUAAUCACUGGAGCUCCCUUGGCCGCUCAUAACCGUGAGCACGGCUGAUAUAUCAGUUUUCAAACACUCUGCAGAGGUUGUGCACUUUACCCACAAGCCGUGAUUCCCUCUCUGGCCCGGGCUUGCAAGACCCUUAUUCACUCCCGAGGUGAAUGGCCAGGGAUUCACUACGAAGCCUUUACAAAGAUUCCCCGGGGCUGUAGCCACCCGUUAGGUUUCCUAAAUGCACCGCACUCCUCCCCAAGGGGCGAACCCAAACUUGGCAGAGCGAGCCGCAUACACCGAGCCCCAUUGACGGCACGACGGCUAAGUGAACUACAUCCCGGAUCCUCUAAUUAUUCAGCUAAGGGCACCCCAUUCCACCCUUAUGGUUGCACUGUUUUCCCGGGCGGUCAUCCAUAGAACAGGUCCUUACGGAGAGGCACUCGAGAAACCGCUCGAGCCCCCUUGAAUACCACAGAUACAACAUCAUCAUAAGAGAAGGGAAAACAGCGUAUCAUAGAUAAUCUCAUCAUGUUCAUUGAUUAGAGGUUGAGCAAUAGCAUAAAGCUAAACAGUAAUAACCCAACCCAGAUAGGUAAACAAGGACAUGGAUAACGAAAGCUAGUCAAUCCUUAGGCAUAAAUGUGUAAAGCGGGAGGUGAAUUAAAUAAUGAAUAGGACAUAGAUAGGUCAAAGGACACUUGCCUCCACCAAACGACUGCUGCUCAGGGGCUUCUCCUGCGAAUUCCUCGGGCUCUUCAACCGGAUCGUUCUCUAUGCGAGCGCAAACAUACAUACAUCCACAUAUUUAAUACAAAAGAACAGUACACCAUACAAGGGAACAUACAAGGGAACAAGUAAAGCGAAUAUGCAUCAAGUAUGACAUUUGACAUUGCAUUUGCUAUGGUUAGAAAGAAACGGGAAAGGGUCUCGCAGGGGGUUAAAUCUUAUGCACUAACGAUCAAUUACAAUUGGUUCUUAACAAAAGAAUUCUGUUACAUAUAACUAAUGGAAACCUAAUCACUUUAAGUUGAUCAACAUUGCACGAGAUAAACAAUUAACUACAUGAAUCAAUUAGCAUAACGGAAUUUUAAAUUAAACUUCCUAUUUCAAUGGCAUGAACAAUGAUUAGCCUACCUAAAAUAAAAUAGUUAUGAUCACAGAAAGUAAAUAAAAUAAAAUAAAAAAAAUAAAAAAAACAGAGGGGGGGCGGUUGAACCGGCCCUAGGGGCGGUUGAACCGGCCCUGCGCAGGGGGCGCGGCCAAGGGCCAGGCGGGCGGCCGGGGCGCGGCCAGGGGCGCGCGGCCAGGCGGGCACGCGGCCAGGCGGCCAAGCGGGCGGCCGAUCCAGGCGGCCGGGCGGCGCGCGGCCAGGGGGCCAGGCGGGCGGCCGAGCCAGGCGGUCGGGCGGCGCGCGGCCAGGGGGCCAGGCGGGCGGGGCGGUGGCCGAGGAGAGAGGAGGGGAGAGGGGAGAGGGAGGGAGGAGGGAGAGAGGGAGGAGGGGGGCUCACCGGCGACGGGGACGGGGCGGGGCGGCCGAGCGGGGCGGCCGAUCGGCGACGAGGAGGGGCGGCGCUAGGGCAGGGGGUAGGGGCGGCGGCGGCUUAGGGAGAGGGAGAGAAAAUGAGAGAAAAUGAGAGGGAGGGAGAGAGAAUUGGGGAAAAAGGGAGGUGGGGGGGGCGGCAUGGGCCAAUUGGGCCCAAGGGGGGGGCGCCAAGGGCGGCUGGGCCGGCCGGGGUCGGCCCACAGCGCGGGAGAGAGAGAGAAAAAGAGGAGAGAGAAAGAAAGAGAAAAGAAGAAAGAAAAGAUCUUCUCCUCAUUUUCGAAAUCCGAUCUUUCUACAUGAAUGCAUUUGCACUUUCAAAGCAAUCAAAAGAAAUGCAAGGUUCGGCAUGGUGCAUCAAACAACAUAAAGUAUUUAGGGUUUUUUUCAUCACACGGGAAAUCCAAACCGAUUCCCGCUAGAACUUUGGAAAAGGUCAAGGUUUAGCGAGGGAAAAAGAAAAAGAAAAGGUAACGCCCGAAUUUUGGCAAGUAAAGAAAAGAAAAAAUUCAACUGCAAAAAUUCGGGGCGUUACACCUAACAUGCCUCGGGUGAAAUCUUCCUCCGAAGCCCCUGGUCAUUUCAGAGAACCUGAAUGCUUCCUCCCUCCUUUGGCGGAAGUCAUUGUCAGCUCGAAUAUAUUCGUCCAUCUUUUGGAGCAGCUUCUCCAACGUUUGUGGUGGCUUCCUGGCAAAGUACUACGCUGAUGGUCCCGGCCGAAGCCCCUUAAUCAUGGCCUCAAUGACAAUUUCAUUGGGCACUGUUGGCGCUUGUGCCCUCAGGCGUAGAAACCUCCGGACAUAAGCCUGAAGGUACUCUUCAUGGUCCUGGGUACACUGGAAGAGAGCCUGAGCGGUGACUGGCUUCGUUUGAAACCCUUGGAAGCUAGUUAUCAGCAUAUCCUUCAAUUUCUGCCAAGAAGUGAUUGUCCCUGGCCGAAGAGAAGAGUACCAAGUCUGAGCAACGCUCCUGACGACCAUGACAAAAGAUUUUGCCAUGACUGCCGUAUUGCCACCAUACGAAGAUAUUGUUGCUUCAUAGCUCACUAGGAAUUGCUUCGGGUCUGUGUGACCGUCAUACAUGGGGAGCUGGGGUGGCUUGUAAGACUGUGGCCAUGGUGUAGCCUGCAAUUCUGUUGAGAGAGGAGAAGCAUCAUCAAAAGCAAAGUUUCCAUGAUGGAAAUCUUCAUACCAGUCAUCCUCAUUGUGGAAGCCCUCCUGAUGAAGCUCUCUGCGUGGAGGCCUUCGGCUCUGAUCAUCUUGAACAAGAUGACGAACCUCUUCAGAAGCUUCGUCUAUCUGUCUGUGAAGAUCAGCUAGACGAGCCAUCUUCUCCUUCUUGCGUUGCACCUGUUGCUGAAGGAUCUCCAGGUUUUGGAUCUCCUGAUCCAGGUCAUCCUCUGGAGGUGUUGGACUAACAACCUUCCUCUUCUGGCUUCGGGCCUCUCUAAGAGAAAGAACAUCCUGAUUGGGAUCCAGUGGCUGUAAAGUACCAGCCCCUGUCGCUGAAGCUUUUUUCGGCGGCAUGACGAAGGUGAUGCUUGCCGAAAGUGUUCAAGACUCAAAAAAUGGAAGUGAGUUCACCGGAGGUGGGCGCCAAUGUUGGGGACUUGUUCUCAAAUACUAUGAAUGAAGAACAAGGCAACACAAAAUGUUAAAUAUCAAAAAGCCCUUCGUCCUACAAAUCAUUAUUUCCUUUCGGACAUAGUGAAUUUAGGACGAAGGUUAUGAAGGUCAUACCUUCAUAAUCGUAAUAAAAAAUGGAGAACAUUUAAACAAGAUAUAGAAAGUGACACAAUUAUUGUAAAUAUUAUUAUUAAUAUAUUUCUUCUUUUUAUUACUGUUGGGGACUUGUUCUCAAAUGCUAUGAGUUAAGAACAAGGCAACACAGAAAAUGUUAAACAUUAAGAUCCUUCGUCCUUCGAAGCAUUAUUUCCCUUAGGAUAUAACGAUCUUCGGACGAAGGUCAUGAAGGAUCAACCUUCAUCACUACAAUAUACAUUAAUAAAAGACGAAGCAUAUGAAACAUAAAAGAUAGCGUGAAUAAUCAUAUAACAUUAUUCAUUUAACUUUAUUAACUCAUCAUAAAGAAAUAGAAACAAUAUUGAAUUAUAAAUGUACCUUCGGCUUGGAAGGAGAUGAAAAUACAAGUGUGACGCAAAAGCAAAUGCCAAGUCAGCGUGAACAGUACGGGGGUACUGUUCACCUAUUUAUAGGCACGGGGUACAACCCAUACAAAAUUACAUACAUGCCCUUUACAUUUGGUGAUAAUUCUAUAGCAUUCUAUCGAGGUCUAAAUGGCCUUUUCAUCUUUAAGUCGGUUUCCCUUUUCUGCGAACAUGCCGAAGCUUUCCUGCUUCACAGCUUCGGCACUGUGUCAACCUUCGUAUCUUUUGAGCUUCUCCCUUUCUGAUUCAAGUCCGAAGAUACCUGUUCACACAUUAUACUCCAGAAACAUUGUUAAAUCAUGUUUUUGAGGACCUUCGGAAGCCGAAGGCCCCCAACAGUAGCCCCUCGCAAUAUUAAUUUGUUUGAAAUAAUAAAUUCAGAUUGCGAUAUGAACGAAGGCUUUAUGCCGAAGGUCCGAAAAAACACCUUCCCUUUGCUAGAAUAGCAACAUUCAAUGACAAGUGGGGUCUUUCAACUUUCAACGCAUCAAGCGUAUAAAUACGGCCAUACCGCAAACUUAUUUUGCACGCUUUCUGGCCAACCACUCCUGCUCACUCAUUUUUUAGCUCUUGUGCACUGUGAUCUGCUAAGUUUUUAGCUUUGAAGCUUCGGCUUUUUUAAAAACAGUUUUUUAGCGCUUCCGAAGAUGUCUGAAGCUGCUAAGAAGGCUGCUGCUGAGAUGAAGCUGAGUCUUGAUGAAGAGAAGAACCUAGGGUUUCUUAUAGCGAUGUCGAAGUCCAACACAGAAAAGAUUACCAAGGAAAUUCUGGAGGGGCUGUCUGAAGAUACUGGUGACAGUGAAAGUUAUGAUAUGGACAGCGGUGGCGAAGACUCCGAAGAUCGCCCCUGGCGACCAAGCCAUUCAGUUUAUGGUAAAUCAACUAUCAAAGAGAAUCAUCUUGUUAAUAUGAGAGGAAGGUAUUUUCGGGAUCUGUCCAUUGUGAGGGCGGACGAAGGGGAAAAAACUUGUCCACACCCUGAAGAAAAUGAAGUUGUGGUGUACCGAAGCUUUUUGAAAGCUGGAUUGCGAUUCCCCUUGAGCAGCUUCGUCGUGGAGGUGUUGAAAAUCUUCGAAGUCUAUCUUCAUCAACUUACUCCCGAGGCAAUUAUAAGGCUAAAUAUCUUCGUGUGGGCCGCGAGGAGUCAAGGUCUGAAGCCUGACGCAAGAAGCUUUUGUAAUGUUCAUGAAUUAUUAUAUGAAACAAAGCCUUGGGGCAAAGAACAGUACCAUAACAACUUUGGCUGCUACAGCUUCGUUUCUCGGUCCGGGGCAAGCUGUCCCGUACCAACCUUUCGGAAGAGAUGGCCCGGGGAUUGGAUGACAGAAUGGUUUUAUGUGAAGAAUGACUUAUCAGCACGAGAAGACAUCAAAGGUAUAAUUAUGCGUCCUAUUUGGCAAAGCUUCGGCCUUCGGAGGCCGAAGGUUGAAAUGAACGAAGCCGCCGAAGAGUGCCAAAGAGCCUUCGGCGUUGUCUGCUCUUUUAUAGGAACAAGGGACUUAGUACAAGAACAUAUCGCCUUUAGGGUGUGGCCGCUUGCUGAGAAAUGGGAAAUGCCACAAGAAACCAUAAAAGAGGCCGACGAAGGUGAGCUUGUGAGACUGAAGUACACCUUCAAAUUUGGAGAUAAAUUUAUUGAGCCAGAUGAUGAGUGGUUGAAAAGCAUUGACAAUUUAAGUGAUGAGCUACUCGGGACCUACUCGAAGGCUGAAGAUAAUGCAAUGUCAGCAGCCUUCGGAGGCCGAAAAAAGAAGAGACUGAAUCGGGUAUUUGAUGCCAUUGGGUUUGUCUACCCUGAUUACUGCUAUCCCAUUCGAAGGCAGAAGAGAAAAAACACAAUCUCUGCAAAAGAAGAAGCUGCAGCUGCUCUUAGCGAGCCAGAACCGAAAAGGAAAAAGAUAAAGGUUCUUACGCAACGGCCGCGUUAUAUUGAACCAGCUUCGGUGUCGGAGUUUAUCGGGAAAACUUCUUCAGCCACCGAAGCUGAAAAACUAAUCGAGCCAGCCUUGUUGCCAGAGAUCGCAGAAACGGCCGAAGUGCCACCAAAGAUAGAAUCAGAACAAUCAAACAUUUUGUUGUCAGAAACAAAAGAGAAAACCGAAGCGCCGCUCACAGAAAAAAUUGAAGAGGUAAGAGAAGCAACUGAGGGCUCCAAAACAUCAGAAGUUUUGAGUCCUACAGCAAUCAUUGGGACAGCAAAAAACCAAAAGGGGCCAUCAGUGACCCCAAAAAGGAAAAGAAUGGUAAAUGUACUAGACGUCUUGGAGACAAUUAAGUCUUCAAGCACAAUUCCAAAAAAGAGUGUUGAAGUUGCUGAAGCUUCUACUGAAGCUUCGGCUCAACAAGUUGAAGCUGAAGCUGGGCCUUCAGAGCCCUUCAAAGAACAACCUUUUGAAGCCGAAGCAGUAAAAAUUCCGGAACCAAUAUUAGUUGAAGAAACGGACACCGUCAUCCCCGAAGCACCUGCCGGCAUGCAUGAUUACAUCAUACGACAUGCUUCGGGGAAAAAGCUAUCUGAGGAAGAAACUCAUGAGGCCAACCAUUAUGCGAAGGAGCUGAAAUAUCCGAAGGGGGCAGUAAUAUUCAAUGGAACAAAUGAAGAUGACUUCUUAUACUGCCUGCCUGAUAACAAAGAGCUAUCCGUCUGCCGAGAGAUGGCGAGAAGCAUAGGCUUUCCGAAGCUUGAAGCUGGGUUAAGUGCCAUGACGAAAGAGGAUCUCGCAGACAGCCUCGCGUACAACAGCCUGAAGGUACGGGAAUUAAACACUUGAGAAAAAACCCCCUAUUUUUUUUUACGCAACUCAUUCCUUUUUUCUUAUAUGAAUUCUUUUUUCAUAUAGGGCCUGAUCCUAAGCAACGCAUUAAGAGCGCAAAAGAGCGCCGAAGAUGAAAGUUAUGAAAUUGCGUUUAAUAAUUUACGCUCCGAAGUUAUCAAACUGAGAAACGAAGCUUUGGAAAAAGAUAAGAUUCUGCUUACACUGGUAGAUAAAGUGAGAAAAGACGAAGCUGCUUCAAAGGCCCAGGCCGAAGCUCAAAAACUCGAAAUUAAAGAUCUUCAGAAACAGCUGGCCAGAGCCGAAGAGGAUCGCGCUCUUGAGGAAACGAAACGAGAACUUAGUGAUUUUAUGGUCAGCAAAUUGGAAUCAAGAGUUAAGGAGCUUCGCACAUCUCAGGGGAAAUAUUAUGUGAAAUCUGUAGAAUGUGUUAAUAAAAUUAAAUCCAGCUUCGCCAGCGUAGGCGCUUUUUCCAGCGAAGAGAAUUUCUCUCGAGGCAAUCCCGAAGGUCCGCUGGAAUGGAUUAGCCACGAAGCAGAGGCCUUCGAAGAGAUUCUGAACAGUCGUGGCGACAUAUGUGCUUUUUCGGGCGCCAGAGGAAUUGCUUCCGUCUUAGAGAAGAAAGGUUGCGAACAUGUAAAAUUUUUAGCUCAAUCCGAAGCUACCUUAUCUACCGAAGACAUCAAGGACCCCUCGGCCGAAGCGAGCGCAGUUGGAGGCAAAUUUUUUACUGAUAUCUGGAACGACGGCGGCCGAGGAAUGGCGCGAGAGAUCAUUGAAAGAAGCGAAAAAGGCAUUCACGAUGCUAGAAGAGUAGCAGACGCUGCCGAAAGGAGUAGGGAGCCCGAAAGACAGUUAGGUACCAACUAGUCGUUCUUGUUGCGUUGUAAUUUUCAUUUUAAACUUUGCUCGCGAUUUGUAAAAGUACUGAAGAAGUGUUCUCUUCGCUCAGAAACUGUUGGACGAUCUGCCGACCCCCACACAAAAGGGGAUGAAGAAAUUAAUCAAAUGGCCGAAACUAUCAUGGACAAGGUUGUUGACCAACUUCUGAAUAAAGCCGCCGAAGCAGUAUUGAGGGAAGAUUAGGUGCUAUUUGGAAAAAACAUUUAAAGUGUAAUCUAUGCAACACUUUGUACAUUUGAAUGUAAUAUACAAGUCUCUUUUCAUUAUUGAAUUCUUUACGAUGCAUGAAACUUUAAAUACAUACCACUUUUGAGCCUUCGGCGAAAAAACACCUUCCCUUCUUUUCAUGCGUCGUGAAGAAGAUAGCCUUCGUCAAAAUUAUUCUGAUGAAUGACAUCGAUGCCUCGUGAAAACAUUUUCCGAAGCUAUUUUCCGAAGCUAUGCAACUUUGAUAUUGAUCUGAUAAAGUUCGCCCAUGUUUCGUGAAAAUAUUCCCCGAAACUGUAUUCCGAAGCUAUACAAUUUCAAUGUCACUUUUUCAAAGCAUCCCUUCGAAGGUUGAGAGUGUCCCCUUCUCUUGCCAAAUGCGAUAUGAUGUAUGAUGCUUAUGCUAUGCAAAAUGAUGUGAUGAUGUUAUGUUAUGCAUGUGACAUUUGUUCCGAAGAUACACAUAAAAUAUAUUCGUAAGCUCUGCAUUCCCUUAGGAACGUCUUUGGAGCUUCUUCGUCUUUUACUUAGACGGCAUCAGCGUUGACUUUUCGCUGUAAGCCUCCCUUAGGAGCUUCUUCGUCUUUUACUUAGACGGUAUCAGCGUUGACUUUUCGCUGUAAGCCUCCCUUAGGAGCUUCUUCGUCUUUUACUUAGACGGUAUCAGCGUUGAUUUUUCGCUGUAGGCUCUGCAUUCCUUUAGGAACGACUUCUGAGCAGAAAACUUACGCUGCGCUCCCUUUGGAACGACUUUUUGUGACUUUAUAAACUUACUCUGCGUUCCUUAGAACGACUUUUUGUUACUCCGAAGGAUUUUUAGUCCGAAGGUCCUUCUUGGUAACGGAAGAAAUUUUAGGCUUCGGCAACUUAGGCCUGUGAAUCAAAUAAAUUUUUCUCGUGGAAACAACGAAAUUAUUACAUGGAAACUAUCAAUGUUCUUUGCUUCACAGAAAAUAAAACUGAAUAGAAAAGACUGCUAUCAAAGGUAGGAUAUGUCAAUAAAUGUGCUUCGACUCUGGCACAGUGCUGUUGACUGUGCGAGCUUCGGACUGUUCUCUGAAGUCCCUCUGCUGUGGAGCGUAUUGACUCCCUUCUGGCUGUUGACCUUGCUGCAAUGGAGGUGGAGGCGGAAGCUGCUGCCAGGAAGCUUGAGGUUGACUUGCCGAAGCUACAGAAGCCGCAGGGUGGUUGUCUAUGUAUUGUGGGACAUAAGGCGGAUGAAACGAAGCAGUAUGCAUAACCUGCUUCGACUGAGCUUGUUGAGAUGCAGCUUCGGCUAGUUCCUUUUGCUUCUGGAUUGUAACAUGGCACGUCCUAGUGGUGUGGCCCUUGCCCUCUCCACAGAAUAGGCAAAACAGUCUCCUUGGCUGAUCUCCGAAUCUUCCGCCGAAGCCCCUGGCGCCUCUGCCUCUUGGAGCUGGUGGCCGAAAGGAAGUUUGUUGUUGCCCCGAAGCCUGUGAGGAGCACUGCGGCCUGUUUUGCUGACUCCCCUUAUCAUCAUUCUGAGUGCUGUGAAUGGAACGGACAUGCCUCGGGUAGUAUCUUCCUCCGAAGCCCCUGGUCAUCUCAGAAAAUCUGAAGGUCUCCUCCCUUCUUUGGCGAAAGUCAUUGUCAGCACGAAUGUACUCAUCCAUCUUUUGGAGCAAUUUCUCCAAGGUCUGAGGAGGCUUCCGAGCAAAGUAUUGAGCUGCAGGUCCAGGACGAAGCCCCUUGAUCAUGGCUUCGAUAACGAUUUCAUUGGGCACCGUUGGUGCCUGCGCCCUCAAUCGUAAGAACCUUCGGACAUACGCCUGAAGGUAUUCUUCGUGAUCCUGAAUACACUGGAAGAGAGCUUGAGCUGUAACCGGCUUCGUUUGAAAUCCUUGAAAGCUGGUCAGUAACAUAUCCUUCAACUUCUGCCAUGAAGUGAUUGUUCCUGGCCGAAGGGAGGAAUACCAGGUCUGAGCAACAUUCCUGACGGCCAUGACAAAAGACUUCGCCAUGAUUGCAGCGUUGCCCCCGUACGAAGACACUGUUGCUUCGUAGCUCAUCAAGAAUUGCUUCGGGUCGGAGUGGCCGUCAAACAUGGGGAGCUGGGGUGGCUUAUAGGAUGGAGGCCAAGGAGUAGCCUGCAGCUCAGCAGACAGAGGAGAAGCAUCAUCAAAAACAAAAUUUCCCUGAUGGAAAUUAUCAUACCAGUCGUCUUCGUUGACGAAGCCCUCCUGAUGAAGGUCUUUCUGAUGAGGCCUUCUGUUCUGCUCAUCGUGAGUGAGAUGGCGAACUUCCUCAGAAGCUUCGUCAAUUUGCCUUUGCAACUCAGCUAGGCGGGCCAUCUUCUCCUUCUUCCUCUGCACUUGUUGAUGUAGCAUCUCCAUCUCUCUGAUUUCUUGGUCUAGCUCUUCUUCCUCAAGCGUCGGGCUGACGGCUUUUCUCUUCUGGCUUCUGGCCUCCCGAAGAGAGACGGUCUCCUGGUUGUGGUCCAGCGGUUGUAGUGCUGCAGCCCCAGCCGCUGAAGCUUUCUUCGGCGCCAUAGCGAAGGUCUAUAGCUUCCGAAGGUGUUCACGAAGACUCGAAGUGGAAGUGAGUUCACCGGAGGUGGGCGCCAAUGUUGGGGACUUGUUCUCAAAUGCUAUGAGUUAAGAACAAGGCAACACAGAAAAUGUUAAACAUUAAGAUCCUUCGUCCUUCGAAGCAUUAUUUCCCUUAGGAUAUAACGAUCUCCGGACGAAGGUCAUGAAGGAUCAACCUUCAUCACUACAAUAUACAUUAAUAAAAGACGAAGCAUAUGAAACAUAAAAGAUAGCGUGAAUAAUCAUAUAACAUUAUUCAUUUAACUUUAUUAACUCAUCAUAAAGAAAUAGAAACAAUAUUGAAUUAUAAAUGUACCUUCGGCUUGGAAGGAGAUGAAAAUACAAGUGUGACGCAAAAGCAAAUGCCAAGUCAGCGUGAACAGUACGGGGGUACUGUUCACCUAUUUAUAGGCACGGGGUACAACCCAUACAAAAUUACAUACAUGCCCUUUACAUUUGGUGAUAAUUCUAUAGCAUUCUAUCGAGGUCUAAAUGGCCUUUUCAUCUUUAAGUCGGUUUCCCUUUUCUGCGAACAUGCCGAAGCUUUCCUGCUUCACAGCUUCGGCACUGUGUCAACCUUCGUAUCUUUUGAGCUUCUCCCUUUCUGAUUCAAGUCCGAAGAUACCUGUUCACACAUUAUACUCCAGAAACAUUGUUAAAUCAUGUUUUUGAGGACCUUCGGAAGCCGAAGGCCCCCAACAAUUACUUAUUUGAACAAGAAUAAAUUACAAGUGUACCUUCGAUUUGAAGGAGAAGAGUACAGGCGUGACGCAAAAGUGAAUGCCCAGUCAGCGUGAACAGUACGGGGAUACUGUUCACCUAUUUAUAGGCACGGGUCGCAGCCCAUGCAAAAUUACAUUAAUACCCUUUACAUUUAUCAACAACUCUAUGAUAAUUCUUCGAGGUCUAAUCUGGUUUUUCAUCUUUAAGUCGGUUUCCUUUUCCGCCGCUAUCCCGAAGCUCUUCUACACACAGCUUCGGCUUUGUGCCAACCUUCGUGUUCUUUGUGCUUCUUCAUACCGUGGCUCUGAUCCGAGUCCGAAGAUACCUGUUAAUGUACUUUACUCCAGAAACAUUGUUAACUCAUGUUUUUGAGGUCCUUCGGAAGCCGAAGGCCCCCAACACCCUUCGACCUGGCAAAAUCACUAAAGAGACCCUGGACUUUAUAAUAACUAACCCACCAUCCAGUCCAAGUGGGAAGUAAUUACAGAUAGAUACGAUUUUAUUCAAAAUAGACCCUGACUUUCUAGAAAGUAGAACCCAUAGUACAUAUAAGCUCUGCAAUUUAUAAAAUAAAUCUGAAAAUUGAUUUUUAAUACAAAAAUAAUUCCAGAAACUUGUAUAAUUCAUAUUUAAUUAAUUUUAACUCCAAAUUGAUCCAGUCCAGUGGCAUUAAUUUUGUUUCAAUGUUGUUUAUCACCUAGUAACUCUAUUUAGCCAUGAAACUUGGAUUAAAAGUAAGCAAUAGAAACUUCAGAAAAUCAUAACUCGAUAACCGUAACUCCGAAUUUAGUGAUUCUUGUUCCUAUGAUCUCGUUACAACAUGUAGAAUAUUCUUACGCAUUUUGUUCUUAUGCUUGGUGUAUUGUUAAUUUUUCCUAUGCCAUAUUUGUUUGUAUUGCUACGAUUAGCGCGAGGUUACGAGCCACCUGAAGAGCAAGUUGCUACCUGGAAUCUCAAGUCCUAGGCAAGUUGUGCCUUUGAUAACUUCUUUUUACCUAAUCAUGUUCUUAUUAAUCAUAAUGAUCUAUAUAGGUUAAUUUUGAUGGGAUCCAAUAGGUUACCCUAGUUUGGCUAUCUUUAUACCUUAUUUACCACUAAAUUUUUGGGUAGUACCUGCUAUUGCUUUAUGUGGUUUUGGGUAUAGAGAUAUACAUUAUUCAUGGUCACACUUUUAUUAUCAGUUGCUAUUUACUGUUCAUGAUAAGAUCAUUAUGUUAAUUGGAACAUGGAGAACCACCCGGGAAAACAGUGCUACCACAAGGGUGGUAUGGGACGCCCUUGGCUGACUAAUUAGGAAAGCUAGUGGAGGACUACCUUACCCAAAAAGGGCAAGGGCAGUAGGGAGUGAUCAGUGUAGGGAGGCCCUUAGGUUGAUUUUGCUGCGAUGGCGGUCAAGCGAGGGGUCCCUGCAUUCGAGCUUCCUAGAAACUGUAGCGGGUUUUCUGAAUCUAGUGGAACUUUGUAAAGGCCUCGUAGUGUUACCCCGCCUCGCCUCCUCGGUAGAGGUGUAUGGGAAGUCGCGAUCCCUUGGCAGAUGGGUAACAUGACUUGUGGGUAAAGAUGUGCAACCUCUGCAGAGCGUAAAACUGGUAUAAUAGUCGUGCUCACAGUCAUGAGCAGCUCAGACACUCACAUGUUUAAUUUAUGGAAUUAAAUUCAAUUUGUCAUUUGCAUCACAUUAGGAUUAUUUAUUAUUUUGUUCUACUACUUAAUUGGGUUGGUAUUUACUUAUACUUAGUAAUUGCUAAUAAAAUUUUGACCAACUUUAAAAGCAAUGCUCAGCUCUAACCAUCCUCUUUGGUAAGCCUUACACUUCACAUGAGCUCCCACCUUUGGCGAGUUCAUGCACAUUAUUCCCACAACUUGUUGAGCGAUGAACGUAUGUGAGCUCACUCUUGCUAUCUCACACCCCCACAGGUCAAGAACAGGUACCGCAGGAUGAGGCGCAUGGAGGAUGCUGUGACGAGUUCGUGAGAGGUCUAGGCCGUCGUCUCCCAGUCAACUUUGGGUUGCUGAAUUAUUGUCUCCUUAUGAUGUAAUUAUUUAUUUAUUUUGUACAGAACUCCUAUUAUUUAGUAAUGGUGUGACAUUCGUUUCUGUACAAUGAUUCAUCAUAUGUGUGAGACUUGGUCCCAGCACCCUAGUGAUUAUGUUCACGCCCGGGUUUUGGACCCCUAAAAUACAGGUGUGACAGAAGUGGUAUCAGAGGAAUGUUGACUGUUGUACGAAACCUAGAUAGAACUGGAUAACCCAUAUCUACUUACCUUUUCUACUCUGAUCCUUUCUAAACUUUUCUUAAUCUCUUCUCAUCCACUGCUGCUUUACUCUGAUUACUCUUAUCUUAUCUUUUCUAAAGACAAAGGUGGAUUUCACACUUUGAAAUCCUGCACCUAAAGUGACUUCUAGGAAUAGGAGACCUACUCUUAGGAACAAAAACAAAAUUAUUUUUUAUAUAUAGUUAUCUAUGAACUUGAAUGUUUAUUCUUAUGAUACUUGUCUGAUUUGGAUCUUUGAUUGAGUGUGAUGAGUUGUGGAGUAAUGUCCACAAUUACAUCUGCAUAUACAUAUAGGAAAAAAAUUGUUUAUAAGAUAAACUAGACCAAUUAAGAAUACCACCACUGGAAUAUAUCAAGCCUAAUGGAUCCAUCUUAUCUUAAAAGACUCUCUCUUAUCUUAAUAGAUCCAUCUUAUCUUAAAAGAUUCUCUCUUAUCUUAAUAGAUUCAUCUUAUCUUGAAAGAUUCGUCUUAUCCUAACAACUUUACUUAUCUCAUCCUAAAGUAACAAUUAGGAUCUAAUCCAAAAUAAUGAGAUCUUAGCUAGUCUAAUCUAGUAACACAAAUAUAACUUAGAUCUGAUCUAAUGUGAUAGAUUAAUCUAACCUAACGAAGGAUAAAAUGGAGCUAAUCUAAUGCAAGUUGCUUAACAAGAAGGAUAAUACUAAUGAAAUAAAUGAGACUCUACUCCUAUAAAAUAUGUGUUAACUUAAUUUACUCUGCAGUAAGUUAAGAAUGACAGACCAACUCGGCCUUAUGUAACUACCUCAACCAUUCGAUGGUUGCAUAGCCCCUCUGUUUCAAUCUAACAGAAAUGUUGAUCUACCUACACCAUAUAAUCCAUCCUAUCUCAAAAGAUUCUAACAUAUUCUAAUAAUAUAUAUUCUACCCAAGUAGAUCUAUCUAACCCAAACUAGUCUAUUCUAGUCGUACCCAAUCCUAUCUAAUCUAUCAUCAAACCUAAUGUGAAUCCCUCAAACAUGAUUAGCUAAUCCUGAGGAAAUACAUUAGACCCUUCUCCUAUAAACAAGUUUGAGAUCUUAUAUCAACCUGACCCUGCCCAAUAACUUGACCUACAAAAGCAGGUCACAUAACUAAUCCCAUCUAGCAUAUAGCUACCUACUAAACCCUCUACCCAUCUGUUACCUACAGAUCUAUCUUGACCUCUUGUCCCAAACCCGAGGGGUGACACCCAAGCUCAAGAAGGAAAAGAUCAAUCUCAUUAAAGAAGAAUAGGAAUCAAGCUAGACCCCCCAAAGGAAGCUCGAUUAUGCCAUAGUACACUCAUUUUAUGUCAACACUCACCUAAUAGUUAAAACCUGAUGUACCCUUGUUUUCUAUGCCACACCUGCUAAUGGCAUGAAAAUUUUAGGUGUAUAAAAAUACUAAUUGGAAGUUCCACUUAGAAAAAAAGAGAUACUAGAAUUUCAUAGAGGUAAAGUCAGCUUGAUAUGCUUAACUAAAUGAUAUUCUUAAAUAAGAUUAUAUAAUCUAAUGUGAUCUAAUCUAGUGUGAUCUGAUCUAAUGUGGUCUACUUAAAUAGAUUAAUGAUUCUGGUAGAAGAGAUUGAACCCUACUAGCCAGGUGUUAACUUAACUCAGUACAUUAGACCAACUCAGUCACAUGCAUGAGAUCUGACCCAAUGUCACACCCGGUUUUAGAAGGCAAACCGAAUGCGAACCAUGUACGUGCCAGGAUCAGUUAUUCACGUACACAGCAGUUGCAUAAUAUGGACAUCAUCACACAGUGCUCAAAAUAGUAUUAAAAAGGGAAAUAGUCGAUUACAUCAUACGUCUGAGACGUCCAUAUAGGUCUUACAAUAAAUCAAAGUGCGGAAAAGAAACGUAGAUAACCGCGGCCUUCACAGGCAGCCGACUGGGGGUUGCCGCUAACCCACACCUAGAACUCGUCGUAAUCUUGGAACUCCUGGAAGUCUCCUUCCACAGCUUCAUCUUCGCCUGAGCAGUGGUUGCAAUGCUGACAACCUGGGGGGGUUUGGUGUGUAGAGCAAGGGUGAGUACACAUCAACAUACUCAGCAAGUAUCCUGUUUGGCUGUAGUGGACUAGCUUUAUGUGGGGAUAAGUCAAGCAGUUGCUUUUAGUUGGUCAGAUUAUUACUUACUAGUAGAAAGCCAAGUUUUAGCAUUAACCCAAGUUAUUAACCCAAACGUACUCCUUUCCAAACGGAAAGAGUACCACUUACCAGCACCAUAAUCAUAAUCAAAACCAUCAAUCUCAUAUCCACCUGUACCGAAGUAUCUCUGAUCAAGUACCACUAAUCACUGGAGCUCCCUUGGCCGCUCAUAACCGCGAGCACGGCUGAUAUAUCAGUUUCAUAACACUCUGCAGAGGUUGUGCACUUUACCCACAAGCCGUGAUUCCCUCUCUGGCCCGGGCUUGCAAGACCCUUAUUCACUCCCGAGGUGAAUGGCCAGGGAUUCACUAUGAAGCCUUUACAAAGAUUCCCCGGGGCUGUAGCCACCCGUUAGGUUUCCUAAAUGCACCGCACUCCUCCCCAAGGGGCGAACCCAAACUUGGCAGAGCGAGCCGCAUACACCGAGCCCCAUUGACGGCACGACGGCUAAGUGAACUACACCCCGGAUCCUCUAAUUAUUCAGCUAAGGGCACCCCAUUCCACCCUCAUGGUUGCACUGUUUUCCCGGGCGGUCAUCCAUAGAACAGGUCCUUACGGAGAGGCACUCGAGAAACCGCUCGAGCCCCCUUGAUAACCACAAGCAUACAUCAUCAUAAGAUAAGGGAAAACAGCGUAUCAUAGAUAAUCUCAUCAUGUUCAUUGAUUAUAGUUGAGCGAUAGCAUAAAGCUAAACAGUAAUAAUCCAACCCAGAUAGGUAAACAAGGACAUGGAUAACAAAAGCUAGUCAAUCCUUAGGCAUAAAUGUGUAAAGCGGGAGGUGAAUUAAAUAAUGAAUAGGACAUAGAUAGGUCAAAGGACACUUGCCUCCACCAAACGACUGCUGCUCAGGGGCUUCUCCUGCGAAUUCCUCGGGCUCUUCAACCGGAUCGUUCUCUAUGCGAGCGCAAACAUACAUACAUCCACAUAUUUAAUACAAAAGAACAGUACACCAUACAAGGGAACAUACAAGGGAACAAGUAAAGCGAAUAUGCAUCAAGUAUGACAUUUGACAUUGCAUUUGCUAUGGUUAGAAAGAAACGGGAAAGGGUCUCACAGGGGGUUAAAUCUUAUGCACUAACGAUCAAUUACAAUUGGUUCUUAACAAAAGAAUUCUGUUACAUAUACACUAAUGGAAACCUAAUCACUUUAAGUUGAUCAACAUUGCACGAGAUAAACAAUUAACUACAUGAAUCAAUUAGCAUAACGGAAUUUUAAAUUAAACUUCCUAUUUCAAUGGCAUGAACAAUGAUUAGCCUACCUAAAAUAAAAUAGUUAUGAUCACAGAAAGUAAAUAAAAUAAAAUAAAAAAAAUAAAAAAAACAGAGGGGGGGCGGUUGAACCGGCCCUAGGGGCGGUUGAACCGGCCCUGCGCAGGGGGCGCGGCCAAGGGCCAGGCGGGCGGCCGGGGCGCGGCCAGGGGCGCGCGGCCAGGCGGGCACGCGGCCAGGGGCGCGCGGCCAGGCGGGCACGCGGCCAGGCGGCCAAGCGGGCGGCCGAUCCAGGCGGCCGGGCGGCGCGCGGCCAGGGGCCAGGCGGGCGGCCGAGCCAGGCGGCCGGGCGGCGCGCGGCCAGGGGGCCAGGCGGGCGGGGCGGUGGCCGAGGAGAGAGGAGGGGAGAGGGGAGAGGGAGGGAGGAGGGAGAGAGGGAGGAGGGGGGGCUCACCGGCGACGGGGACGGGGCGGGGCGGCCGAGCGGGGCGGCCGAUCGGCGACGGGGAGGGGCGGCGCUAGGGCAGGGGGUAGGGGCGGCGGCGGCUUAGGGAGAGGGAGAGAAAAUGAGAGAAAAUGAGAGGGAGGGAGAGAGAAUUGGGGAAAAAGGGAGGUGGGGGGCGGCAUGGGCCAAUUGGGCCCAAGGGGGGGGCGCCAGGGGCGGCUGGGCCGGCCGGGGUCGGCCCACGGCGCGGGAGAGAGAGAGAAAAAGAGGAGAGAGAAAGAAAGAGAAAAGAAGAAAGAAAAGAUCUUCUCCUCAUUUUCGAAAUUCGAUCUUUCUACAUGAAUGCAUUUGCACUUUCAAAGCAAUCAAAAGAAAUGCAAGGUUCGGCAUGGUGCAUCAAACAACAUAAAGUAUUUAGGGUUUUUUUCAUCACACGGGAAAUCCAAACCGAUUCCCGCUAGAACUUUGGAAAAGGUCAAGGUUUAGCGAGGGAAAAAGAAAAAGAAAAGGUAACGCCCGAAUUUUGGCGAGUAAAGAAAAGAAAAAAUUCAACUGCAAAAAUUCGGGGCGUUACAAACCUAUCCCCCUUAAAAGAAUCUCGCCCUCGAGAUUCAGGGCUGGCUAGCAAAGAGCUCUGGGUACUUGGCCAUCAAAUCAUCUUCACGCUCCCAGGUUGCUUCUUCCUCAGAGUGGUGAUUCCAUCUGACUUUGCACAUUCUGAUGGUCUUCCUUCGGGUGACUCUAUCUGCAAUCUCAAGGAUUUGCACUGGCUUCUCAACGUAGGUCAAGUCCUCCUGGACUGCCAGACCUUCCACUGGCAACUGCUCUUCUGGCACACGCAAGCACUUCUUCAACUGAGACACAUGAAAGACAUUAUGCACAGCAGACAAAUUCUCUGGCAAACUGAGCUGAUAGGCCACUUCUCCUCGUCUUGCAAGAAUCUGAUACGGACCAAUGUAGCGGGGUGCUAGCUUGCCUUUCACUCCGAAUCUUCUGACUCCUCUGAUCGGUGACACUUUCAGAUAAACAAAGUCUCCGACUUCGAAACUCAGCUCUCUUCUUCUUGUGUCUGCGUAGCUUCGCUGCCUCGAUUGCGCUAUCUUCAGAUUCUCUCGGACCAUCUUGAUGUUCUCUUCGGCUUCAAGCAAAAUGUCUGGCCCAAACACUUGCUUCUCUCCAGGCUGAUCCCAUUGCAACGGAGUUCUGCAACUCCUUCCAUAAAGCGCUUGAAAUGGUGACAUCUUCAAACUAGCCUGAUAACUGUUGUUAUAGGAAAACUCUGCAUAAGGCAAUCUCUUAUCCCAUCCGGACUGAUCUUGCAACGCACAGGCUCUCAACAUGUCUUCAAGAAUUUGGUUGGUCCUUUCAGUCUGACCAUCUGUCUGCGGGUGAUAAGCUGAACUGAAAUUCAGAUGUGUGCCCAAAGCUUCAUGCAACUGCUGCCAGAAAUGAGAGGUGAACUGCGUUCCUCUGUCUGACACUAUCUUCUUUGGCACACCAUGAAGACAAACGAUCCGAGACAUAUACAAUUCUGCCAAUACUGCACUGUUGUAGUUGGUCUUGACAGGUAUGAAGUGGGCUGACUUGGUCAAACGGUCCACCACUACCCAAAUGGAAUCGUAGCCGGCUCGAGUGCGAGGCAAUCCGACUAUGAAAUCCAUACCGAUUUCAUCCCAUUUCCACUGAGGGAUCUGCAACGGUUGCAACAAUCCAGCUGGUCUCUGGUGUUCUGCCUUAAUUCUUCGGCAACUAUCGCACAUAGCCACAUGCUCUGCGAUUUCCCUCUUCAUUCCGUACCACCAGAAUUUCUUCUUCAGAUCCUGAUACAUCUUCUCACUGCCAGGGUGAAUCGAAUAAGCUGUCUCAUGAGCUUCCUUAAGAAUCAACUCCCGAAUGGACUGGACAUUGGGAACACACAAGCGGUCUUUGAACCAUAUCACGCCUUCUGCAUCUUCCCGAAAAUCUUUGCCUUUGCCUUCUAGAAUCAGUCGCCGGAUCUCACUGAUUUUCUCAUCAUUCUUCUGCGCUUCUUUGAUUUCGCGCUCCAAGGUAGGUUCCAACUCAACUGUGACUCCUCGCGAAUUGUUCAGAAAUCCGAGACUCAACCUGUCAAACUCUUUGGCCAACUCAUAAGGCAUCGGACGAGCGACCAUCAGAUUGACUUGACUCUUUCUGCUCAAAGCAUCUGCCACUACGUUUGCUUUGCCUGGAUGGUAAUGAAUCUCCAACUCAUAGUCUUUGAUCAACUCUAACCAUCUUCGCUGCCUCAUGUUCAACUCUGACUGAGUGAAUAUGUACUUCAGACUCUUGUGGUCUGUGUAAACAUCGCAUUUCUGCCCAUACAAAUAGUGCCUCCAUGACUUCAGUGCGUGAACCACUGCUGCCAACUCUAGAUCAUGGAUUGGGUAGUUCUUCUCAUGAACCUUCAACUGUCGGGACGAGUAAGCCACAACUCUUCCCUCUUGCAUCAACACACAUCCCAAACCUGUGUAACAAGCAUCACAAUACACCGAGAAGGGCUUGUGCACAUCAGGCAAGACUAAGACAGGCGCUGUAGUCAACUUCUCUUUCAGCGCUUCAAAGGCCUCUUGACAUCUCUGGGUCCACUUGAACUCAACCUUGUUGCCUAGCAACGCUGUCAUUGGUUUCGCAAUCUUCGAAAACCCUUCAAUGAAUCGCCGAUAAUAUCCGGCCAUUCCAAUGAAACUCUUGAUUCCUCUAGCAUCUGUUGGCGCUUUCCAGUUCAAAAUGUCUGCCACUUUCUUCGGAUCUACAGCCAAUCCUUCCUUGUUGAUUACGUGACCCAAGAACAGGACUUCACUGAUCCAGAACUCACACUUGCUCAACUUUGCAUACAACUGGUGCUCUCGCAAUCUCUGCAACACCAUCCUCAAAUGAUCUGCGUGCUCUUCUUCGCUUUGAGAAUAAACCAGAAUAUCAUCAAUGAAUACCACCACAAACUUAUCAAGGUAAUCCAUGAAUACACUGUUCAUCAAGUUCAUGAAGAACGCUGGCGCAUUGGUCAAACUAAAAGACAUCACUGUGAACUCGUACAAACCAUACUUGGAAAUGAAUGCCGUCUUCGGAAUGUCCGAAGGUCGGAUUCUGAGCUGAUGAUAACCUGACCUCAGAUCAAUUUUGGAGAACACACUGGCUCCUCUCAACUGGUCGAACAGAUCUUCUAUUCUGGGCAAGGGAUACUUGUUCUUGAUCGUGACCUCAUUCAAAGCUCGAUAAUCAAUACACAUCCUUUUGGUGCCAUCUUUCUUCUCCACAAAUAGGACAGGGGCGGCCCAAGGCGAGGUGCUUGGCCGGAUGUAACCUUUCUCUGACAGCUCAUCAAUUUGCUUCUUAAGUUCAUCCAACUCUGGUCCAGAUAUUCUGUAAGCUCUCUUAAAGAUGGGGGCGGUUCCAGGAAGAAGCUCUAUAGCAAACUCAACUUUCCGCUCUGGUGGCAUACCCGGUAGGUCCUUUGGAAACACAUCUUGGAACUCGGACACAACCUUAAUCCUCUCAAUUGGGUCUGCUUCACUGCUAUCGACAGCCAUCUGAUAACAACUUCCUUUCUUUGGCUCGGGCGGGACUAACUCGGUCACCACUUCCUCUCCUAGUGGGGACACCAACUCGAUUGUCCUUUUAUCACAACUGAUAACUACCUGAUACUUAUCUAGCCAAUUCAUCCCUAGGAUGACAUCUAUUCCCUGAGUACCCAUUACUAUAAGGUUGGCGGGAAAUGCUAUCCCCCUUAUUUUCACACUUAUAUUCAAACAAAUGCUAUCGGCUCGAAUUCUACCACCGGCUGAGUCAAUUUGAAUGGGGGUUGACAUGGUAGUAAUUGGAAGAUUAUGUGCUUCUACCCAUGAUGCAGUAAUGAAAGAAUGCAUUGCUCCAGUAUCAAAUAACACUUCUGCAAUAUGGGAGUCGACUGGGAACAUACCUACUAUCAUGCCGGGGGUCUCCUGAACUGCUUCAGCCUCCAAGUGGUUCAAUCUUCCAUGAUUAUAGCGCGGCUGAGAGCGAUUGCCUGCUCCAGGCUGAGGCACAUUCUGCUUGGCUGGGGCAUUGGGGCCUGACUGCUGCUGGGCUGCCUUCUUCGGACAUUGCAUCACCCAGUGGCCUUGUUCUCCACAGUGGAAACAUGCUCUGUUUCCAACCUGAGCUGGUGCUGCCUGACUGUUCUGCUGAUUUGCUGGGGCAGGAAGGCGAGGUGGCUGCUGAUUCUGCCUUUGAAACUGACCUCCUGACUGAUUGCUCUGACGGUUCUGGUACUGAUUCUGAGGGUACUGCCUUUGAAACUGCUGAUGCUGCUGAGGUGGACGCUGGUUCUGCCUGAACUGCUGAGGUUGAUUGCCUGAGAAACGAGGACGGCUGCUGCUUCCAGGCUGGGGUCCACUGAUCUUGCGCUUACGAUCUUCCAUCUCCUUGCGCUUUCUCUCUGUCAUGAUUGCUCUGUCAAUCAGGUGCUGGAAUGUCGGGAAGGUGUGAUUCAUCAGUUGGUACUGCAGAGGGUCAACCAAGCCUCUCAGGAAACGGUAUUGUCGCUUGGCGUCAGUGUUGACAUCUUCAGGAGCAUAGCGAGACAAUUGCAGAAACUUGUCCCGGUACUCACUGACAGACAAUGGCCCUUGCUUGAGAGCCAGGAAUUCCUCCUUCUUCACUGUCAUCAGACCUGCAGGAACAUGGUACUGACGAAAGCUACCUCUGAACUCUUCCCAGGUGAUGGUGUCAGGGUGGGCAUGGGUGGCGAGGUAAGACUCCCACCAUGACUGGGCUGCUCCUCUCAACAGACGGGGACCAUACAGAACCUUCUCCCUGUCAUCGCACUGAGCGGUAUGCAACUCCCGCUCCACAGUGCGCAGCCAAUCUUCAGCAUCCAUGGGGUCAGAAGAGUGAGCGAACGUUGGUGGAUGACCUCUCAUGAAUUCAGCACGCUUGUCUCUGGGCAUCUGAGGCAUCUGAGGCUGGGGUGGUGCUUGCUGCUGUUGCUGCUGCUGCUGCUGAAUGGCGGCCAAAGUCUGACCGAUGGCUUGAACUGCCUGAGUCUGCAUCAGAAACAUCUGCUCGAUGGACAUCGGGGGCGGGGGCGGCAGGUGCUGCUGCUGGGGCACCUCUUCCUGUUGAGCGGCUCGCUCCUGCUGAGCACGCCUUCCUCCUCUGCGCCUGUUUUCUGACAUCUGCAGAAUGCAACCACACAUCAGAACUGAUCUGGCAAAUCUUGCAGCAUAAGGAAAGAGAAUAGAAUUCUUCAACAGCACUGAACAGAUGAGCAUCUUCACUGAUCUCCAACACAGACCACACAGCUUCUCAGAUAAAGAGGAAAGUGGAAUAAAAGGGGUUUCCCAACUAUAUAACUAACUCCAUUAACAUAAUAGAUAAACCAAAAUGCAGGGGAUACCCACACUCUGGUGACAGUCAUUACAAAGAUCCAAACCAAACAUAGUUCAUCAUGACAAACAUAGAUGCACAGGAUAUAGCAAACUACCCUGUCUAACUAAGACUAACUAAGACCGAGACUAACGCUAAGACUGAAGCUUCUAUGCAUAUAUUUCGUAUUAAUUACAAGAUCCAACUCUAACGAUCUAUGGUUCUAGAGUUAUCUUGGUCUUGCAGUCGGGAUUGCCAUACGACUGGUGUCCACGCUGAGGUGAGCGGUACGGGUGCUGAGUCCCAACGGGAGCGGGGGAACCACCAUCCAAGUGACGACGUUCCGCGCGCUCAGCCCGCAGCAGGGCGAUCUCAGCACGAGCCCUACUCAGCUCAUCUAAUGCAUGGUCCAGCUCCGUGUUUAGCACGGCGGCUAGGUUGACUGUGCUGCUCAACCUAGGAUUGCCCUCACCGACGGGUGAGACGAUCACGCCUCCUGUGCUGCCAGAUGGACGGCGGGGGUAAUACUUCAGGUCAAGACCAUCAGCUGCCCCACCGAAAACCGAGCAGUAGUGCGAAAGCGCACGCCGUGCAGCAUCUUGCAUGGCUGCCUCAGCUGAGUCCCGUUCAGAGAUAGAAUAGUGCUCUGAACAGGCCUCCGCACCCUGGAGACUGUUCUCCGGGCAGCGCACCAAGCAAGUUGCCUCCCAGCGGUCCGGGUAGACCCCGCGACUGUGCUGGUAGACCACACAGCGAUACUCGACGGACCAAGUAUGCCGGUCGAAUGCCCGACGUAGCAGGGUGUCGAGCGCAUCGUGGAAGUGACACCCGCGAGCAGCGUCGCGAGUGAUGGGUCGAGCAACCCAUCCUUCCGGCUCAGGGUUAGCAGAGAAGUCGGUGUCGUGGCUCGAGCUGUCGUCGCCACCUCCGUCGUCUGGGUCUCCUCCAACAGCUACUCCAGAAGCUGGGGCGCCCAGUGGUGGUGCAGGGGGCGGCUCCAGAGGAAGCACAGGGGAGCAGCUCCUCACAGACUCUAUCUCCUGGUGGAGCGAGAAGGAAGAGCUCUGCUGCUCCUGUCGUCGACGCUCCUGCUCCUCACGCAGGCGGUGGUGUAGUCUCUCCAAGUGGCUGGACUGUCCGGCCACGGGACGGCGAAGCGGACGCUCAGCAAGGCGGGAGGGUAAGAAGGGGAUGACUGACUUUCGUGCAGUGUGUCUAAGUCGAGCCAUCUACAAAAGACAUCGCAAGCAAAAGGGUGAGAACAGAAUUAAUAUGACCAGCAAAUAAUGAAUCAUAAGUAAAUGAAGGAUUAGAAUAAAACAUGAUUUUCAGCAAGGUAUUAUAUAUAGUAGAACAUAGGUUUGGUCGGUAUGACCAACUUUUGAAGGGAUAUCAAAGUCAAGGCAGAGACAGAGGUCUAUAGUCCUUAGAACGACCAUUCUACUCUAGGUUAGCGGUCCUACAGUCAGCACGGCUUUGAUACCACUUAUGUCACACCCGGUUUUAGAAGGCAAACCGAAUGCGAACCAUGUACGUGCCAGGAUCAGUUAUUCACGUACACAGCAGUUACAUAAUAUGGACAUCAUCACACAGUGCUCAAAAUAGUAUUAAAAAGGGAAAUAGUCGAUUACAUCAUACGUCUGAGACGUCCAUAUAGGUCUUACAAUAAAUCAAAGUGCGGAAAAGAAACGUAGAUAACCGCGGCCUUCACAGGCAGCCGACUGGGGGUUGCCGCUAACCCACACCUAGAACUCGUCGUAAUCUUGGAACUCCUGGAAGUCUCCUUCCACAGCUUCAUCUUCGCCUGAGCAGUGGUUGCAAUGCUGACAACUUGGGGGGGGGGGGUUUGGUGUGUAGAGCAAGGGUGAGUACACAUCAACAUACUCAGCAAGUAUCCUGUUUGGCUGUAGUGGACUAGCUUUAUGUGGGGAUAAGUCAAGCAGUUGCUUUUAGUUGGUCAGAUUAUUACUUACUAGUAGAAAGCCAAGUUUUAGCAUUAACCCAAGUUAUUAACCCAAACGUACUCCUUUCCAAACGGAAAGAGUACCACUUACCAGCACCAUAAUCAUAAUCAAAACCAUCAAUCUCAUAUCCACCUGUAGCGAAGUAUCUCUGAUCAAGUACCACUAAUCACUGGAGCUCCCUUGGCCGCUCAUAACCGCGAGCACGGCUGAUAUAUCAGUUUCAUAACACUCUGCAGAGGUUGUGCACUUUACCCACAAGCCGUGAUUCCCUCUCUGGCCCGGGCUUGCAAGACCCUUAUUCACUCCCGAGGUGAAUGGCCAGGGAUUCACUACGAAGCCUUUACAAAGAUUCCCCGGGGCUGUAGCCACCCGUUAGGUUUCCUAAAUGCACCGCACUCCUCCCCAAGGGGCGAACCCAAACUUGGCAGAGCGAGCCGCAUACACCGAGCCCCAUUGACGGCACGACGGCUAAGUGAACUACACCCCGGAUCCUCUAAUUAUUCAGCUAAGGGCACCCCAUUCCACCCUCAUGGUUGCACUGUUUUCCCGGGCGGUCAUCCAUAGAACAGGUCCUUACGGAGAGGCACUCGAGAAACCGCUCGAGCCCCCUUGAUAACCACAAGCAUACAUCAUCAUAAGAUAAGGGAAAACAGCGUAUCAUAGAUAAUCUCAUCAUGUUCAUUGAUUAUAGUUGAGCGAUAGCAUAAAGCUAAACAGUAAUAAUCCAACCCAGAUAGGUAAACAAGGACAUGGAUAACAAAAGCUAGUCAAUCCUUAGGCAUAAAUGUGUAAAGCGGGAGGUGAAUUAAAUAAUGAAUAGGACAUAGAUAGGUCAAAGGACACUUGCCUCCACCAAACGACUGCUGCUCAGGGGCUUCUCCUGCGAAUUCCUCGGGCUCUUCAACCGGAUCGUUCUCUAUGCGAGCGCAAACAUACAUACAUCCACAUAUUUAAUACAAAAGAACAGUACACCAUACAAGGGAACAUACAAGGGAACAAGUAAAGCGAAUAUGCAUCAAGUAUGACAUUUGACAUUGCAUUUGCUAUGGUUAGAAAGAAACGGGAAAGGGUCUCGCAGGGGGUUAAAUCUUAUGCACUAACGAUCAAUUACAAUUGGUUCUUAACAAAAGAAUUCUGUUACAUAUACACUAAUGGAAACCUAAUCACUUUAAGUUGAUCAACAUUGCACGAGAUAAACAAUUAACUACAUGAAUCAAUUAGCAUAACGGAAUUUUAAAUUAAACUUCCUAUUUCAAUGGCAUGAACAAUGAUUAGCCUACCUAAAAUAAAAUAGUUAUGAUCACAGAAAGUAAAUAAAAUAAAAUAAAAAAAAUAAAAAAAACAGAGGGGGGGGCGGUUGAACCGGCCCUAGGGGCGGUUGAACCGGCCCUGCGCAGGGGGCGCGGCCAAGGGCCAGGCGGGCGGCCGGGGCGCGGCCAGGGGCGCGCGGCCAGGCGGGCACGCGGCCAGGGGCGCGCGGCCAGGCGGGCACGCGGCCAGGCGGCCAAGCGGGCGGCCGAUCCAGGCGGCCGGGCGGCGCGCGGCCAGGGGCCAGGCGGGCGGCCGAGCCAGGCGGCCGGGCGGCGCGCGGCCAGGGGGCCAGGCGGGCGGGGCGGUGGCCGAGGAGAGAGGAGGGGAGAGGGGAGAGGGAGGGAGGAGGGAGAGAGGGAGGAGGGGGGCUCACCGGCGACGGGGACGGGGCGGGGCGGCCGAGCGGGGCGGCCGAUCGGCGACGGGGAGGGGCGGCGCUAGGGCAGGGGGUAGGGGCGGCGGCGGCUUAGGGAGAGGGAGAGAAAAUGAGAGAAAAUGAGAGGGAGGGAGAGAGAAUUGGGGAAAAAGGGAGGUGGGGGGGCGGCAUGGGCCAAUUGGGCCCAAGGGGGGGGGCGCCAGGGGCGGCUGGGCCGGCCGGGGUCGGCCCACGGCGCGGGAGAGAGAGAGAAAAAGAGGAGAGAGAAAGAAAGAGAAAAGAAGAAAGAAAAGAUCUUCUCCUCAUUUUCGAAAUCCGAUCUUUCUACAUGAAUGCAUUUGCACUUUCAAAGCAAUCAAAAGAAAUGCAAGGUUCGGCAUGGUGCAUCAAACAACAUAAAGUAUUUAGGGUUUUUUUCAUCACACGGGAAAUCCAAACCGAUUCCCGCUAGAACUUUGGAAAAGGUCAAGGUUUAGCGAGGGAAAAAGAAAAAGAAAAGGUAACGCCCGAAUUUUGGCGAGUAAAGAAAAGAAAAAAUUCAACUGCAAAAAUUCGGGGCGUUACACCCAACCAAUAGAAUCUUGAUGGAUUGUAUAAUCUAUCUAUCCCCACCUAACAUCAAACAAGAUUUUGACCUACAUCAUAUAGUCUAUCUCAUCCAUAUCUAUCUUAACCAUAUUCCCCAACCCCGAUGAUAUACACUAACCUCGAAUCAACAAGACCAAGACCGGAGAAGAAAAGAUCAACAUCGACAUGGAAUGAUAUAAUAGUCAAAGCGAAUCUCGAGAUGAAUCAAGACUUAAACAUUUCAGAUGAAGCCUUUUCCUUGGCAUAAUCUUUCUUACCUCAACUUGUCCAGCUCAUAUCAUGCAUAAUAAAUAGCUAGAUACCUAAGCUCUCCUAAUCACCCACUAUUGACUAUAAAAAACUGAGACUCUGGAUUUUUGAACCAAUUAUAGACUAAAAGCUGAAUUACAAACCAAUCCUUCUGUGUCCCUUUUAUUACAAAUCUCGAGGACGAGAUUUCUGUUAAGGGGGUAGGAUUUGUAACACCUCAAAAUCUCAUUUUGAGAAUUAUGUAACAUUUUCUAAAGAUUUUGAGUUAGAAUAUUUUUUAAAAAAAACUUUUGAAGUCACACCUCCUAAAAUAAAUGUUUUAUAAUAAACAUUCAAUAAGAAGGAUUGUUAUAUAAAUUAUCCCUUAUUGAAGUUGAUAAGUAUUAUAUAAGGAUAAAUAGUAGAGCAUCGUUCAAUCGAGAUUAUACAAUCAAAAAUAUUUUUCUCAAAAUAAUUAUGUGGAGCAACAUAUCCAGAAGAAUUUACUUAUUUAGGAUAAUGAACAAAUAAAUAAAUAAAAUAAUAUGGAUACUGCAUCACAUAUUGUAUUUUAAUUGUGCUUUGUAUUUUAAAGAUUAAAUGUGAAACCAGAGUCAAAUUUGAAUUUGAAACACAAAAUUGAUUUGGGAAUAUGAAAUUAGAAGAUAGAAAUAGAAAAGGAAGAAAAAGAAAACUCGGCCCCGGCCGAAACCCUGCCUCAGCCGACUAAAUCCUACCACGACGGUGCACUCCAGCUAAGGAAAGCGCCGACCGGGGAACCCUGGCUGGCGGCCUCACCCGCGUGCCAUGUGCCGCUGCAGUGUGGGUCCCGCUCGCCAACCCUCGAUUUCGCGCGGGCCACCAGGAGGAUUCAUGGUUUGGUCACUGGUAUGUGGUCCCCGCUGGUCAGACUUAUCUCCUAGCUCACGCGCGCGUCGUUCUCGCCAACUAACUCGUGUGAUCCGCCGGUUGUUGCGGGUCCGGUUGGAGCCCUGGACACCAGGUUGCUCCUCUAUAAAAUCGGACACCGAGCCCUUUCGGAAACACCCUUCGCAUCUAGCUCAGACUAUUUUCGCCACAAGGAGUCAUGGUGCAGGGAGAUCUGCUGUCCGCCGCCAUGACUAGGCAUGCACACGCUGUCGUACGGACCUGGCAAGGGCAGUAGGGUAUUCGCUGGUAGUCGGGGAUGGUGCGCGUUGCAUCAUCAGGCAAAGCGCGACGAUCUCGGUUGAUGAAUUCCUCACCGGGAUGGAGCUCCACCGCAGGUCUGUCGCGUGUCGUGGCCAUGGCAUUAGCGCUGCUAGAAUCACAGUGAGCAACCCUUCAACAGUAUGGUAUCGUUACCCUCUAUGUGAUUACUUUCUUUGAUUGGAGUUCGAACAUGGAAGUCAAGCUUGUUUAGAGGUCAGCCAUGGCGCCUCCAUGGGCACUCUGUGCCGCCGUGUGCGGAGUUGGGGAAGAGAGAGUUGAGGGUGAUGUGGUAGAGGAGCGUUGACCAUGGGAUCUUGAUCCUGUGAUCAGGACUGGGUACCAGUUCGUGGGGGGAUCCUGGGCAUUGAAGUUUAAUCUAGCGGACAGGAUGGGUGAGGGAGCUAUACGGAUCGUGGUCAUUGGAUCCUGGAUGAAGAGUGCAGAUGAGAUCCCAGGUUAACCGUUCGACUUUUUAAUCUGGGCGGUCGGGUUUAGAUCCGACGGUUGAGAUGUGCCCAUACCUCUUCGACCUGGCAAAAUCACUAAAGAUACCCUGGACUUUAUAAUAACUAACCCGCCAUCCAGUCCAAUUGGGAAGUAAUUACAGAUAGAUACGAUUUUAUUCAAAAUAGACCCUGCCCAAUAGAACCCACAGUACAUAUAAGCUUUGAAAUUUAUAAAAUAAAUCUGAAAUUGAUUUUUAAUAAAAAAAUAAUUCCAGAACCUUGUAUAAUUCAUAUUUAAUUAAUUUUAACUCCAAAUUGAUUCAUUCCAGUGGCAUUAAUUUUGUUUUAAUGUUGUUUAUCACCAAGUGACUCUGUUUAGCCAUGAAAUUUGGAUUAAAAUUAUUCACUUGAAUUUAGUCUAUACUAAGCACUAGAAACUUAAAAAAUCAUAACUCGAUAACCGUAACUCCGAAUUUAGCGAUUCUUGUUCCUUUGAUCUUGUUACAACAUGUAGAAUAUUCUUACGAAUUUUGUUCUUAUGCUUGGUGUAAUGUUAAUUUUGCCUAUGCCAUGUUUGUUUGUAUUUCUACGACUAGCGCGAGGUUACGAGCCACCUGAAGAGCAAGUUGGUACCUGGAAUCUCAAUUCCCAGGCAAGUUGUGCCCUUGAUCACUUCUUUUUACCCAAUCAUGUUCUUAUUAAUCAUAAUGAUCUGCAUAGGUUAAUUUUGAUGGGACCCAAUAGGUUACCCUAGUUUGGCUAUCUUUAUACCUUGUUUACCACUGAAUUUUUGGGUAGUACCUGCUAUUGCUUUAUAUGGUUUUGGGUAUAGAGAUAUACAUUAUUCAUGAUCACACUUUUAUUAUCAGUUGUUAUUUACUGUUCAUGAUAAGAUCAUUAUGUUAACUAGAAAAUGGAGAACCACCCGAGAAAACAGUGCUACCACAAGGGUGGCAUGGGACGCCCUUGGCUGACUAAUUAGGAAAGCUAGUGGAGGUCUACCUUACCCGAAAGGGGCAAGGGCAGUAGGGGAGUGGUCAGUGUAAGGAGGCCCUUGGGUUGAUUUUGUUGCGAUGGCGGUUAGGCGAGGGGUCCCUGCAUUGGAGCUUCAUAGAAACUGUAGCGGGUUUUCUGAUGCUAGUGGAACUUUGUAAAGGCCUUGUAGUGUUACCCUGCCUCGCCUCCUCGGUAGAGGUUUAUGGGAAGUCGCAAUCCCUUGGCAUAUGGGUAACAUGACUUGUGGGUAAAGAUGUGCAACCUCUGUAGAGUGUAAAACUGGUAUACUAGCUGUGCUUACGGUCAUGAGCAGCUCAGACACUCACAUGAUUAAUUUAUGAAAUUAAAUUCAAUUUGUCAUUUGCAUCACAUUGGGAUUAUUUAUUAUUUUGUUCUACUACUUAAUUGGGUUGGUAUAUACUUAUACUUAGUAAUUGCUAAUAAAAUUUUGACCAACUUUAAAAGCAAUGCUCAGCUCUAACCAUCCUCUUUGGUGAGCCUUACACUUCACAUGAGCUCCCACCUUUGGCGAGUUCAUGCACAUUAUUCCCCACAACUUAUUGAGCGAUGAACGUAUAUGAGCUCACUCUUGCUGUCUCACACCCCCCACAGGUCAAGAACAGGUAUCGCAGGAUGAGGCGCAUGAAGGAUGCUGUGACGAGUUCGUGAGAGGUCUAGGCGGUCGUCUCCCAGUCAACUUUGGGUUGCUGGAUUGUUGUCUCCUUAUGAUGUAAUUAUUUAUUUAUUUUGUACAGAACUCCUAUUAUUUAGUAAUGAUGUGAUAUUCAUUUCUGUACCAUGAUUCAUUAUAUGUGUGAGACUUGGUCCCAGCACACCUGGUGAUUAUGUUCGCGCCCGGGUUUUGGACCCCUAAAAUCUGGGUGUGACAUUUAGUUUCGGCUCUUCAGUCGGAUUUGUCCUAGCUUCGAUUGGCAUAGAGCGACCUGGUCCUGUGACAGGAGCAACCCUUCAUUUAGCUUCGGCACGUCGACCUUCUCAAUGCGCCUGGGACGACGCGUCAAAACUUUGACAUUCUUCGACCUCGGCACACUGGAAGAUGCCGAGGCAGCAGCUUUCCUCUUUUUCCCUUGCUUCUGCGAGGGAUAGUAGUAGUUUGGGUAUACAAACCCGAUAACAUCGAACACCCUAUUCAAUCUCUUUUUGCCCCGAGCACCGAAAAAAGUUGUCAUAGCUUCAUCAUCGGCCUUCGAGUAUGCUCCAAGUGGCUCAUCGCUAGUUGCCUCUAUAGCAUCUAGCCAGUCAUCAUUCAGUUCAUCAAACUGGCUCUUGUAUCGAAAGGUAUACUUCAGAUAGACCAAACCAUUUUGGCUGGAGCCAGCGGCAGGCCGGCAGCCUCCUUCGGCAUUUCCCAUCUAUUUGCAAGUGGCUACACUCUGUAAGCAAUAUGCUCUUGGGCCAAAUCUCUUGUGCUAAUGUAAGUACACACUGUAUUGAAGGCUGCCUGGCAGGCUUGCACGUCGUUUCCUAGUGCAAUGACCGGUCUCCUAAUGCCGAAGUGAGACCAUAUAGGGUGCUGAAUAACCCCUUUUAUAUCUUCUCUCUGACUCAGGUUAACCUUCACAUAAAGCCAUUCUUGCAUCCAAGAACAUGGCCGCUUUUUUCCGAAAUGUUGGCACAGGAUAACUGGCCUGAGCGUGGGGUACGAAGUUGUAGCAGCCAAAAUUUUUGUGGUACUGCUCUUUCCCAGUCACCUUAGUCUAAUAUAAUAACUCAUGGAUAUUGCAGAAACACCUAGCAUCUGGCUCUAACCCUUGGCUUCUCAUGGCCCAUAUAAAACCCCCAACUUUGAUAAUAGCUUCGGGGGUAAGUUGAUGAAGAUAAAUUUCAACAAUUUUUAGAACUUCGACCAACAUCUUAUCUAGGGGAACCGAAGUCCAGCUUUCAUGAAGCUUCUGAAAAUUACCAUUUCGUUAGCUUCGAGAAGAGGAACAUUAUUCUCCCUUCCGGCCCUCACGACUGAAAUGUCACGAAAGUACCUGCCUCUCAUUGCUUCGAUUUUCCCUUGUUUAAUAGUCGACUUUCCGAAAACAACAUGGCUCGGUCUCCAUGGCCGAUCUUCGGCAUCUUCAUUUACACUUUCUACGUCGAAACUCUCACUAUCGCUGGAGUUUUCAAAUAAUCCAGCCAACAUCUCAUUGGUGAUUUUCUCCAUGUUGGUUUUUUCCAUAGCUUCAUAAAAUCCGACCAGCGCGAAGUCAAUGAUCUUCUUCUCCUCAGCCAUUUAGACAAUGGUUGCUAAAAUGCCGAAGCUCAAAAUUCAAUUAAACUCGACGAAGCAAGGAAGGUUGAAAUGGCAAAGACAAUGCAAGCAGCUAAAAUAGCACGAAAAAUACUCAUGACACAGGCCUCUAUAUAUAUACUCAGAGACCCACAGAUCGGUGGGUCCCGCAAUUCAGUGUGAUUCGCCAUUCUAGCGAAGGGAAGGUGUUUUUGGUACCUUCGGCUAAAGGCCUUCAUUCACGUCGUAGUCUAAAUUUGUUACAAAGAAACAAAUCAAUACUGCGAGGGGCUACUGUUGGGGGCCUUCCUCCUCCGAAGGUUCUAAAAAACGUGACUGACCAUAUGUUUUCAAUACGACAUGGAUUACUACAGGGGGCUUUGACUUCGGGAUGAAGGUAUUCUUUCAUAACAGGGUGAAGACGUAGCCCGAAGGUGAUAAGAAUGUACGACGAAGUUGUAGCCAAAGAGCUUCGGCUUGAUGUGAUGACGAAGACCAAGUAUGGUGAUGACCGAAAAGGGACAAAGACUACCCAGUCCUUAAUGUUUUGUGUCAUGAUAAUAGAUGAAUGUUAGGGACAUAAAUCUACUUUUACUUGGGUUGCGUCCCGUACCUAUAAAUAAAUGAACAGUAACACCAUACUGUUCAGGGCUGGAUUGUAAUCACUCUCUCGCAUCCACACCAUCGAGCAAGCCGAAGAUACCAAUGUAAUAUUAAUUCUGUUAAUAUUCAUACGUGUUUUAUGGAAUACAAAUAUGAAUGAAUCAAUAAGAUGCAGUUAUUGUUUUCAUCCUUCUGCAUUCAUAUUCACAUGUUAAAUGAUGAAGGUAUGUCCUUCAUGACCUUCGUCUGAUAAGCAUUAUGCUCUUGCGGAAAUAAUGCUUCGGAAGACGAAGGUCUAUAACAAUUAACAAUUGUGUUGCCUUAUUCUUGACAUACAACAUCUGAGAACAAGUGACCAAUAAGACCCUAGGAGUUCAUAGGUGUGCGUGAUCCAUGUGUGGGCAAGCUUCCGGGCGCAUUGUCCAUUGUGGGGCGAGGAAUUCCUCACCAGAGUAGGAGAUUUACGCCGAUUGAGCCUAUGACGUGGUCGGGAGUCGUCACGACACGAUUAAACGGUGAGAUAACCUUUGCGAGUUUGCUCCUCCUAAUUCGUCUCCGUCAUGUUGCGCUUAGGAUUUGGUCGCUGCUCCGCCGGGAUGCUAGUCUCAGGCGAUCCUCCACCGCAGAGUGCCUAGCCGCCGUCCUUGACUGCCGUGGGGGAGGGGAGGCACACAUCCUUUGAUUCGUGUAGCGGACGACGAAGAUUAUAAGUGGAGCAAACCAGUUCAUUUAUUGUGCGGGAGUCGUAGAUCUACAAUCGAUUGGAUAGGAAGAGAUCGAUCCUUAAUAAAAAUCUUAACCAUUGAUCCUCGAUCCAUGGGCGGUUUUCGCAUAGAGUCCGUGAUCUAAUCAGCGCUGUUGAGAUUAAUCAGACAGCCCAGGUUAAAUUUUUAAAAGAGACCAUGCAUUUUAAACAAAUCAACCCGCCGUCCAUUGAAAGUUCAAAAUAAUUGCAUCCUGAAUUUACAUUUUGGUCCUCUAGAGCAUUAUUUUUAAUAUAACAGGAACCCCGAAACUAGUUUAAUCUAUAAUUUUCUCGUUUUAGCUCCGUUCAAGUUGCGUUAGCUUCGUAAUAAAAUUGCCUACGCCGUAACAACAUUAUUUGCAUCAUAUCACAUACUUUUAUAAUUAGAUAUUUGUUUAACCUAUGUUUAGUAGAUUAACCAUUCUAAUCAAAGUCAAUAUGUCUAUAGUUAUAAUUUGUAAUCAAAGAUAUAACUUAGAUUAAAGUUAAGUUAGUUAUUUCUUUAGAGUAUCUUGAUCACAUGAAUUAUAAGCAAUAUAGAAUAUUGUUUUAAAUUUAAUCACAUAGAACUUCUGAAAACCAUAUCUUUUAAACCGUAACUCUGAUUUUAGUGGUUCUCGAAUCUACGAUCUCGUAGGAAUGCAUAUAAUAUUAUUGUGUGGUUUGUUUCUGUGGCAGAACGUCCCAAGUUAUUGGGCCAACAUGCAUCUGCCCUUGUCUCAAAGACCUCAGACGGCUAUGCAUGUGCACCAGAUAACUUAACAGGAUCCGUCCGAGUGCCCCAAGGACCCCAGAUAAACCACUUAUAACCAGGAUCACAAGAUUAAGUAAACACAAAUCACACACCAACAUUUUGCAGCAGAAUUUCUUUAUUGCAAAAAGUUACAAGUUACAACAAAUUUACGUUAUAUUUAUCAGAGUGAUUACAAAAGUGAUUCAAAGAAAUAAACUUUGAAAUGUUAUAAAUUAUUUAUAAGUUUGAAAUAUAUGCUAGCUCAAUGACAAUCCUCAAUAAGCAUAGAAGAGCUACUUUAAUCUAUAAGAAGGUCGUGCCCACCGGCGCUUAGGACCAUCCACAUCAGCACAAAUCUAGUACCUGCAACAACAUGGGUUCGAAAACCCUGAGUACGAAGUGUACUUUCGCAAGUCUUACCCGACUAAGGAAAAAGACUCUCCAGGAUAUGCUGGAUUUGGGAAUCAAGGAAAGGCUUUUUAGCAAGAAUCAACAUUAAUAGUUUGCAGAAAGCUUACUAAACUGAGUCCUUACUUUCAACAUUUUAAUGCUAGAUUAAGUAUUAAUAUACCUUGUUUGCAUCUAGUCUAAUUUCAUCAUCACAUUAAUCAAUACAACCUCAUUUUUUCUCAUUAUGAUUCCAUCCAUGACUUAGAUUGCAAGUUAGUGACCAAGUCUUCAUAUCCGAGAAGUAAUGCCGAUCUGAAUCGAUUAAUACCUAGUUGGGGAUCUCCAACCACACGACAUAUGUAGCACUUAACCCUUGCGUAUGUCAACUUGACAGCGGGUUUCUCAACAACAGAACGGGUUCACGCCAACCGAGAGCAUAGAUACACCACCGUCCAGCCUCUUGCCACGGAGGGUACACGCUACUCUCGCCAUCUCUCCACUCCCACUGCGUGGUGGCCUUUCUGGUAUUGGUCCGACUGAGGCGAAGCUUACCCGUGACGAGGCAUAUGGCCAGUUAAAAGGUCCUCGGUCAGCAGGCUUACAUUCCCUAUAAUCCUUAAUCAACCUGGGUACAACAUCACCUAUUCCUAACCCAAGUCUCGAUUUAAGUACUUCCAUCCUUAGGAUCGUUUGUGUUCCUUAGGAUGAUUAAAUCAUCAUAGGGAACCUUGCAUCAGAUCUCCCAAUGAUCCUGGUGAAAAUAUUCUUGUAGGUAGAGCCAUCCUUCCUCAGGAUAAACUUGAGCUAGGCAUUAGUGCAAAUGACAAACUCUAUCUGCAAGGUUUACCUCUAGGUAGGGCUAAGCAAUUUUGUAAAUCAUAUUUGAUACUUCACCAGAAGUAUCUAUAAAAGGAAUGGAUUUCAAGGUAGCCAAUGCAUCAAAGGGUUUCCAAGCAACUCCUAUAAACCUAAUGUACAUUUCACUAGACUUAAAGUGUGUAAAAAUCAUUUAAAACACAAGGAAGGGGUUGCAUACACCGGGGCUUGCCUCGAAUAACACUAGGUUAGUGUUUGUUAGAUGAUGUCCACUUGGCGAUCAGCCUUUAUUCUGAUACUUGCUCCGUCUGCCCAUCCUCAAGUUCGUCCACCAGCAUCACCAUGCGGAGUAGCCCAUGUUUAACAGCAUCUUGUGGUCUACUCAGCUCUAGUCCUCCGCCUUACGUGAUUAAUUAACGUACCUAUAAGAAAUGCAUAAUGUGUAUGAAAGCAAAUUAAACACUUAGUGACGAUGCAUCACAGCUACUAUGAGCGCACACUAGAUAACUAUGACUUUACAAUAAUCAUAAUCAUCGAGAUAAUCAGACUUAACUCAAACAACAAGCAACAAUAAUUAAACACAUGUCUUAAGUUUUAGAGCAUAACAUUGAUAGAUCAUACAUUUAGAUUUGCCAUCCUAGGAUACUCGAACUUGGAAUAAGGAUAUGAAUUAUUUAAUUAACCGUAUUGGGUUUCCAUAAAAAUUACCUAUGCAAGCAAAUUACUACUGCUAUACAAUACAUACAAUCAGAUAACCGACCAAAAUUUGAAACACAUUAUUACUACCCCACAUGAAGAUAAAUUAUUCUGCACUAAUAAAUAUUUAUCUAAGGUAUUUAAUCGGUCAUUAACAAAGAAUAUCAUACUACUAAAGCAUAGCACGGAUUACUAUAACCACUAUAUUCAACCAGUCUUCAAUAAUAAAAAAUUAACUAAUUCUGUCGAGCCAAACAAGAAUAACACCAAACAAUCAAUUUACCACAUGCAGAUUUUUCUGGACAGCAGCACAGCAGUCAACGGUUUUGCUCAUAACUCACAAAAUAUUCAUCCAAAAGGGGUGAACAAGGCCUUUAUAGAAAGCUUAGAAAGUACUCUACAACUUUGAUAUUAUCAUCACAACAAGAUUCGACUUUAGAAAGGUCAAACAGUGCUAAACGUAAAUUCUGUCCAGAUUUGGAUAGAAUUCGACUACUCACUUCAAAAAUCCAUAACUGGAGUCUCAGGCAUCCAAAUCAGGCGAUCCUAGACUUUUUAGAAAGAUAAUAGAAUUGUCUACAAUUCAUUUAUAAACAUCUCAAGUUAAUUUAAUGCGUAGCAAGGUCAGUUAACACAAACAGUCUCUUCUAUCCAGAUUUAGACAGAUUCAGACUUCAUAUUUCAAACAGCUAUAACCUGGUCUCUAGACCACCAAAAAGGGUGAUCCAAGACUUUUUAUAAAGCUUAAGAAAAGUACUAUAAUUCUUAUAUAAUUACUAAGAGCUUAUUCUCAAUUUAACUUAGCCAAACAAUCCAAUUUCCGAAACCUGUACAGAAUUUGGACAGAUUCUGAAACUGGACUUGGAAAAAUCAUAACUUCCAAACUACUAUACCCAUGGUAAUGAAAUUUUAACACAACCAAGAUAAAGAGGUUAUCUACAACUUUUAUAUAUAACAUCUCUUCAGAAAACAAGGUUUACUUCACUCAACUAACUGCAUACUAAAACUGGACACAGUCCAAACAGCAAGUCCAAACAGCCAACAUUCAAUUUACUCCUAUAUACUUUCUACACAUAUCAUGUGUUUGACAUUUUCUAAUCGCAUAUAUAGAUUUCUGAUAUUUUAUAGACAUGAAUCCAUUUACUUCACAUAAUCUAGUAUUUUGAACCUACUUUAACAUUAUGCAAACAAAGAAUCAAUUUAAACACAUUAUGCAUACACAUAUAUUCAUCCGAACACAUCGACAAAAGUAAUUGGCUAAGUUCUUAAAACACUAAACACCACCUAAUGUAAGCACAAUUACUACAAUAAAAUAGAGGAAUAUACAAUAUAUCUAAACUAGAGAAAAGAAAAUCAUCGUAACUAUUUUAUCCAUCUAACCCAUACAUCGGCUAAAUAGCAGAAAUAAUGAGGUAGCUCACCACGAUUAAAGUUGACUCGAUCGACACUAAACGACCACGACAGCCGAUUCAAUCCUUUCACCCAGCAGCUAGUAAGCGACAGACGUGCUUUGUUUUUUUCACCCAGAUUCCACGGAUUUCGUUCCUCAACACACUUAGACACAUAUACACACUUCACAUUAGCAAAUAGACGUCGAUCGAUGAAACAACGAAGCAAGAACGAAAUCUCACCGAGGGUUGACGGUGUCUUGGAUGGGCUACGCAAAAUAUCAAACAUCCGACGACGCUAAUAGGGUUGUCCAUGACACGACACUCCACUUGGGCAUUUUGUCAAACACCAUAUGGGUGCGGAUGGUGUAGGGAUACAGGAGGAUGUUCGGCAGCGAGGAGCUGCUACAGAUAGGUGUGCAGCCAUGGCGAAAAAGGAGCAGAGGGGCACUGGCCUGCUGCAGGAAAGGGAGCGACGUCCAUGGGAGAGGGCUGGUGACUUUGGCGCCAUGGGGAAGCAAGAGUGGCAUGCUUGCUGCAGGAAAAGUAGGGCAACAUGAUAGGGAGAUGGAGCACGCCAUCUGCAGAGAGGGCGGCAGGGCGAGCUGGAGGUCGACGGCCAUGGCUGGUGAAGGUUGUGCGCGGCUGACAGCGUUGGGGAGAACUCGCGAGCAACCACCAGGGAGCGACUCGACGAGCAUCAGAGGGCAGCACCGACAUGGAAAGGGAUGAGGGAGAGAGGAGCAGGGAGGACGCUCGGCCAUGGGAGACAGAGAAGGAGCACGCGCUGGAAGAUGAGGAGCUGCGGCCGGGCGCUGGGAGGAGUAGAGGGAAGGGCGGCCGGCGCCAUGGGAAAGGGCAGAAGGAGGGGCGCGCGUGGGAGCACCAGGGCGCGCGGAUGCCAGAGCGCGCGACUGGGGGAGAAGAUGAAGACGGCGACCAGAUUUUUCCUUGCUAUGUGAGCGGAUGAGGAUGACGGCCGGAUAUUUUCCUUUUUUUCAUUUCUUCUUUUUUUACACACUAAUCCAUAUAUAUUCUUGCUCUCAGAUUUGAAUCUAGUAUAAAGAUAUAAAUGAGGUUUAAUUUGGUCGGACCAAAAUGAUAUUGCCAACUACAUAGGAGAUUUCUUUUGAUAUAACUGAGACCCGAUAAAUUCAUCUGCUACCCGAAUGCUCAGAGUAGAGCAAGAAAUAAAGGACCACACCAUGUCAUUAUCUUCGAACACGAUUUCUCAGAUAACACACGGGGUCGAGAUUAUUUUGAACUGAAAACUUUAUUUGUUGAAUUCUAAAUGAAUUUGUUUGAGGAAAAAUUUACAAGGCUGAGUUUUAGCCAGAUUUCGAUGGAUCAAACCAAACGAUAUCAGAUUCGAUAUUUUAAUAGACAUUCGAUUUAGUUGAACCAAAACGAAUUUUGCCGCUAUUAUGUGUUAAAGUCAGCACUCGUGGGCGAGCAGACGAUAAACACCUGAGGUGUUAAAGCCCUCCCCCCUUAAAAGAAUCUCGUCCCAAGAUUCGGAGCAAAAGACUUUUAAGAGUAGUGAAGCAUGUAACUCCUGUCCAUAUCAGCGAUAAUGUAAGGCAGUUCCAAACAAAGGCGAGUGUCUCUGGAGGUUGUUUCUCUAGUGGACAUAACAUGUAUCGCCUUAAGCUAAUUUAGAGAUGUCCAUCAAUAGAGAUGACAUCUGCCAGAAGAACACAUAAGAUUCCAUGUGUGCAGUUUGCUUUUUCUGAUGACACUGUACUAUCUGAGUCCGUUGGGCGAGCGGUAGAUAUGCGACUUUACCCAAAUAGAAUUAGUUGCAACCUCUUGGGUAAAACACACAGAAGGAGGUUUACCAACAAGUGGUCACGAUAAGUUCAUAGCACAUAAGACGGGUGUGGAUGCCGAAUACUGUUGCGGUUAACAUGUGGCUAACCAGAGAAUUCAAGUCCACAAAAGAUGAUAGAGAUUCGAGAAAAUAUCAAUGAAGAGAUGCAUUGAUGUUGACUUUGCGACCAACCCACUUUUUUAAGCACUAAACAUGGGUCGACUUAAUCACACAUGCUGGAAAAGCACACGUGAGGCGAUCGAGGCAUGACUAGAGCGAUUAUUAGGUGGUUACCAGUAGACUUAAUUUGAUGUUUGUAAGUACUUUCUUAGGAUCGGUUGAACCAAAGUGAGUUUAGAAAACUCGACAAAACGAUCUCUAAACUCAACCUUUGAUCACAAUGCAGUUACAAGUUAGUAAAACCAACUUGUUGAACUACCUUUGACAUUGAGUAAUUUCUCUUAUUACCCAUCGACAAACCAAGGUUGAGAGCUCAUAUUUGUUAACAAGAGAUCAUGUAUUCGGGUAGAAAUCCAUUUGGUCAGGAUGUUUAUCCGUUUCUUCAUGCGAGAUGAACUGACUUGGUUCGAAAAUACAUGGAUUAAAUAAGAGAGCGAAUGAACAACUCCUGCAUCUCAGCAGCAGGGAAAGUCAAUCUCCAUUUUGAGAACUAAUUAGCUGUCUCUCAACACUAAAAAGCUUCAAGGCUUCACCUUUACACAAAGGACGUAAAAGGAACUUGUAUGUGUGAAGUCACCAUCAAAGUCAAGAGGAAAGAGAGCACACAAGAAAGAGGUGAUUCUUAUCCCACGAUUUGACACGGAUGGGUUCUGAUUGAUUUUUUUGAAGGAGACUUAUGAAUUGGUAGCGAAUUUAUUAAAGAACACAUCAAAGUGCUAUGCUCUUUUGAUCCAACAGUCAUGAUAGAUGUUGCUUGGUCACUUCGACAAACAACACCGAAAUCGUUUCAAGGAAGAGAUCUACGGAAGAUAACAUAUUAGUGUAGUCCCCUAAUAGAUCAUGACUAGAGACCUCGAUACCGGCAUGUGCCAAGCAGCAAAACCAUGUGUGCGCAUUUACAGGAGGCUCUCAGUUUCGCCGCGGCACCAUAAGUCCUUAAUCAUGACACCAUUACUAGACUGACACCAAUAAUGAAUCUCACGUGGCAAAACUAGACAUUGUGCCAAGAUAACACAUUGAUAUAGUCUCAUAAUGGAUUACAACUACUAAUUGUGAUACCAGCGCGUGCCGAGCAGCGCAUCCAUGUGUCGAUCGUCCACAUGAGGCCCUCGGUUUCGUCGCAGCACCAUUGGUUUUAGUUAUAACGCCAUUACCAGACGUAACCAAUAAGAAAAUCUCACACGACACAAAUAGAUUGAGCCAUGAUGACAAUAUACAAAGAGACUCUACAUGUCAAAAUGGUUACAAGUAGAGAGCCAAAUAGAUCAUGGCCCGAUGAAAUGAACAAGACAUGGCCAUAACCUAAACUUGUUAAUGAAGGGAGUACGAUGGGAAACUAUUAAUUCAUCCCCAAGCAUAUUUCUAUGCCCAUCAUAGAGAUUAUAAGGUCAAGAAUUAAUAUCUGAUUAGAUACAGAGGGAAAACAAUCAUAAGAUUAAGUUGGUAUGCCUUCGAUAGAUAUGAGGAAACCAAAGACAUCAAACUCAAGAGAAUGAUCGGACACAUCUUUCCUGGGUUAGGUUGAUAAAAUAACGACAUGGUUUCCAAGAAGAUACAAAGUAGAAUAGAAACAUUAGCUUGCACCAAUCGAGCAAAGGCAUAAUUUAGGAUGGAAAGAUGACUACCGAAGAGUCACGGAUUAUUGUCUAGAACACGGACUCAAGAUCCUUGCUUUAAGUCUGUGUGUACUUUAUGUCCAACAAAGAAAUUAUCUAAGCAUUCAUUUACAUGAGUUUGGUCAUAGAGUGAUAACGGAAAAUUCGAAUUUGGGUCAUGGUACACUAAAUAAGAACAUGGCCUAGUUUCGGGUAUAAGCAAACAAGUCACCAACCUUCUAUCGGCACAUCAAGUACAAGAGCAAACACAAUUUGCACUAAAAAUCAAAUCAAGAAAAGCUGGAAGCCAUCUAAACAUGUACCUCUAAGACACCACAUUAUUUACAAUCACUGGUUACUGGAAUAAAGGCGAGAGAAGCAUUUUGGAUGUAUAGGUGACAAACACAAUGCAACAAUCAGGAUGCAUGCUCGUCCUAAGCGUCCUCACAAUUUUUUGCCAAUCUAUUGUGGCAUUAGCAUUCUAUAUCGGUGGCAUACAUACGACUCUCUCGAUAUAUUACUAGUCGUCAUCUACACAUACGUUUUCAAGGUUAGUGUACUUGCAGAAAAUUUUAUCACAGCCUAAUUCCCAUGAUGCAAGAUCCACACAUGACAGUUUAUCACAGUUUAUACUCCAUAUAUUGCUAUAUAGAGGCCAACUCUUCAUUAAGCGCCGAGCCACACAUAGGCGCCACUGCCACACUUUAACCAUAGGGCAGCUCAUUAUGGUAACUCACCUUCUUACCUGAGCAUAGGUGCAUCGUUACAAGUAUAUUACACUUCUCAGUAUUCCCAUGUCUGUAUACUCGUAUACAUCCAUGGGAUACUGAAUUCUCAGGAAAGUAAAUACUCCACAUCACAACCUUCAUAUAUACAUAUGUGGAACAUGUAUAUAAUCAGGCGCCACAAUUAAGGACUCCCCUAGACUGACAGUUGUUCGGUCAUGCUCUCACAUCUCACCUUACCUGAGCGUCGAUCCAUUCAAAAUUGAAUGGCCUUAAAAAUAACAUUACACAUGUAUGCAAUCCCCUCAGUUGUGGGUUAGUGUUUUUAAAUAAGCCACAUGAUAGUCCUUAGUUUUAGGGCUUAACAGAGGAUGCCGCUAGCAUUAUAGUUUUUCAAAUCUACUUUUCAAAACCAAACAAUACGUUUAGUUGAAAAUAGGUUUUCCAAAACCAAAACUUUUGUUUUGAAAAUACGUAUGUGACCGUAUAUACUUAAUCCUGCUCCGAUACCAGCUGUGGAAGAACCUCCCAAGUUAUUGGGCCCACAUGCACCUGCCCUUGUCUCAAAGACCUCAGAUGGCUAUGCAUGUGCACCAGAUAACUUAACAGGAUCCGUCCGAGUGUCCCAAGGACCCCGGAUAAACCACUUACAACCAGGAUCGCAAGAUUAAGUAAACACAAAUCACACACCAACAUUUUGCAGCGGAAUUUCUUUAUUACAAAAAGUUACAAGUUACAACAAUUUACAUUAUAUUUAUCGGAGUGAUUACAAAAGUGAUUCAAAGAAAUAAACUUUGAAAUGUUAUAAAUUAUUUAUAAGUUUGAAACAUAUGCUAGGUCAAUGACAAUCCUCAAUAAGAAGCAUAGAAGAGCUACUUUAACCUAUAAGAAGGCUGUGCCCACCGGCGCUUAGCACCAUCCACGACAGCACAAAUCUAGUACCUGCGACAACAUGGGUUCGAAAAACCCUGAGUACGAAGUGUACUUUCGCAAGUCUUACCUGACUAAGAGAAAAGACUCUCAAGGAUAUGCUGGAUUUGGGAAUCAUGGGCUUUUAGCAAGAAUCAACAUUAAUAGUUUGCAGAAAGCUUACUAAAAUGAGUCCUUACUUUCAACAUUUUAAUGCUAGAUUAAGUAUUAAUAGACCUUAUUUGCAUCUAGUCUAAUUUCAUCAUCACAUUAAUCAAUACAACCUGAUUUUUGCUCAUUAUGAUUAUAUCCAUGACUUAGAUUGCAAGUCAGUGACCAAGUCUUCAUAUCCGAGAAGUAACGGCGAUCCGAAUCGAUUAUUACCCAGUUGGGGAUCUCCAACCACACAACAUAUGUAGCACUUAACCCUUGCAUAUGUCAACUCGCCAUUGGGUUUCUCAAGACCAGAACGGGUUCACGCCAACCGAGAGCACAGAUACACCACCAUCCAGCCUCUUGCCACGGAGGGUACACACUACUCUCGCGAUCUCUCCACUCCCAUUGUGUGGUGGUCUUUCUGGUAUUGGUCCGACCAAGACAAAGCUUACCCAUGACGAGGCAUAUGGCCAGUUAAAAGGUCCUCGGUCAGCAGGCCUACAUUUCCUAUAAUCCUUAAUCAACCUGAGUAGAACAUCACCUAUUCCUAACCCAAGUCUCGAUUUAAGUACUUCCAUCCUUAGGAUCGUUUGUGUUCCUUAGGAUGAUUAAAUCAUCAUAGGGAACCUUGCAUCAGAUCUCCCAAUGACCCUGGUGAAAAUAUUCUUGUCGGUAGAGCCAUCCUUCAUUAGGAUAAACCAGAGCUAGGCAUUAGUGCAAAGGACAAACUCUAUCUGCAAGAUUUACCUCUAGGUAGGGCUAAGCAAUUUUGUAAAUCAUAUUUGAUACUUCACCAGAAGUAUCUAUAAAAGAAAUGGAUUUCAAGGUAGCCAAUGCAUCAAAGGGUUUCCAAGCAACUCCUAUAAACCUAAUGCACAUUUCACUAGACUUAAAGUGUGUAAAAAUCAUUUAAAAACACAAGGAAGGGGUUGCAUGCACUGGGGCUUGCUUCGAAUAACACUAGGUUAGUGUUUGUUAGAUGAUGUCCACUUGGCGAUUAGCCUUUAUUCUGAUACUUGCUCUGUCUGCCCAUUCUCAAGUUCGUCCACCAGAAUCACCAUGCGGAGUAGCCCAUGCUUAACAACAUCUUGUGGUCGACUCAGCUCUGGUCCUCCGCCUUACGUGAUUAAUUAACUCAAAUAGCAAGCAACAAUAAUUAAACACAUGUCCUAAGUUUUAGAGCAUAACAUUGAUAGAUCAUACAUUUAGACUUGUUAUCCUAGGAUACUCGAACUUGGAAUAAGGAUAUGAGUUAUUUAAUUAACCGUAUUGGGUUUCCAUAAAAAUUACCUGUGCGAGCAUAUUACUACUGUUGUACAAUACAUACAAUCAGAUAACCGACCAAAAUUUGAAACACAUUAUUACUACCCCAUAUGAAGAUGAAUUAUACUGCACUAAUAAAUAUUUAUCUAAGGUAUUUAACCGGUCAUUAACAAAGAAUAUCAUACUACUAAAGCAUAGCAUGGACUACUAUAACCACUAUAUUCAACCAGUAUUCAUAAUAAAAAAUUAACUAAUUCUAUCAAGCCAAACAAGAAUAACGCCAAACAAUCAAUUUACCACAUGCAGAUUUUUCUAGACAGCAGCACAACAGUCAAUGGUUUUGCUCAUAACUCACAAAAUAUUCAUCCAAAAGGGGUGAACAAGGACUUUCUACAAAGCCUUGAAAGUUCUCUAUAACUUUGAUAUUAUCAUCAUAACAAGAUUCGACCUUUAGAAAGGUCAAACAGUGCUAAACGUAAAUUCUAUCCAGAUUUGGACAUAAUUGGACUACUCACUUAAAAAAUCCAUAACUGGAGUCUCAAGCAUCCAAAUCAGGCGACCCUAGACUUUUUAGAAAGCUAAUAGAAUUGUCUACAAUUCAUUUAUAAACAUCUCAAGUUAAUUUAAUGCGUAGCAAGGUCAGUUAACACAAACAGUCUCUUAUGUCCAGAUUUGGAUAGAUUUAGACUUCAUAUUUCAAAUAGCUAUAACCUGGUCUCUAGACCACCAAAAAGGGUGAUCCAAGACUUUUUAGAAAGCUUAAGAAAAGUACUAUAAUUCUUCUAUAAUUACUAAGGGCUGAUUCUCAAUUUAACUUAGCCAAACAAUCCAAUUUCGGAAACCUGUACAGAAUUUGGACAGAUUCUGAAACUGGACUUGGAAAAUCAUAACUCCCAAACUACGAUACCUAUGGUCAUGAAAUUUACCACAACCAAGAUAAAUAGGUUAUCUACAACUUUUCUAUAUAACAUCUCUUCAGAAAACAAGGUUUACUUCACUCAACUACCUGCAUACUAAAACUAGACACAGUCUAAACAGCAAGUCCAAACAACCUACAUUCAAUUUACUCCUAUAUACUUUCUAAACUUAUUAUGUGUUUGACAUUUUCUAAUCGCAUAUAUGGAUUUCUGGUAUCUUAUAGUCAUGAAUCCAACUUCACAUAAUCUAGUAUUAUGAACCUACUUUGACAUUAUGCAAACAAAGAAUCAAUUUAAAGACAUUAUGCAUACACAUAUAUUCAUCCGAGCACAUCGACAGAAGUAACUGGCUAAUUUCUUAAAACACUAAACUACCAUUCGCAUCGCUUCAACACCACCUAAUGUAAGCACAAUUACUACAAUAAAAUAGAGGAAUAUACAAUAUAUCUAAACUAGAGAUAAGAAAAUCAUCGUAACUAUUUUAUCCAUCUAACCCAUACAUCGGCUAAAUUGCAGAAAUAAUGAGGUAGCUCACCACAACUAAAGUUGACUCGAUCGGCACUAAACGACCACGACAGCCGAUUCAAUCCUUUCACCCAGCAGCUAGUAAGCAACAGACGUGCUAUGUUUCUUUUUCACCUAGAUUCCACGGAUUUCGCUCCUCAACACACAUAGGCACAUAUACACACUUCACAUUAGCAAAUAGACGGCGAUCGAUGAAACGACGAAGCAAGAACGAAAUCUCACCGAGGGUUGGCGGUUUCGUGGAUGGGCUACGCAAAACAUCAAACAUCCGACGACGCUAAUAGGGUUGUCCAUGACACGACACUCCACUUGGGCAUUUUGUCAAACACCAUAUGGGUGCGGAUGGUGCAGGGCUACAGGAGGAUGUCCGACAAUGAGGAGCUGCUACAGAUAGGUGCGUAGCCAUGGGGAAAAAAGGACCAGAGGGGCGCUGGCCUGCUGCAGGAAAGGGAGGGGCAUCCAUGGGAGAGGGCUGGUGACUUUGGCGCCAUGGGGAAGCAAGAGCGGCAUGCUUGCUGCAGGAAAAGUAGGGCGACAUGAUAGGGAGAUGGAGCACGCCAUCUGCGGAGAGGGCGGCAGGGCGAGCUGGAGGUCGGCGACCAUGGCUGGUGAAGGCUCUGCGUGACUAACAACGUUGGGGAGAACUCGCGAGCAACCACCAGGGAGCGACUCGGCGAGCAUCAGAGGGCAGCGCCGACAUGGAAAGGGAUGAGGGAGAGAGGAGCAGGGAGGACGCUCGGUCAUGGGAGACAGAGAAGGAGCACGCGCAGGAAGAUGAGGAGCUGCGGCUGGGCGCUAGAAGGAGCAGAGGGAAGGGUGGCCAGCGCCAUGGGAGAUGGCAGAAGGAGGGGCGCGCGUGGGAGCACCAGGGCGCGCGGAUGCCAGAGCGCGCGGCUGGGAGAGAAGAUGAAGACAGCGGCCAGAUUUUUCCUUGCUACGCGAGCGGAUGAGGAUGACGGCUGAAUAUUUUCCUUUUUCAUUUCUUCUUUUUUUACACACUAAUCUAUAUAUAUUCGUGCUCUCAGAUUUGAAUCUAGUAUCAAGAUAUAAAUGAGGUUUAAUUGGGUUAGACCAAAAUGAUAUUGCCAACUAUAUAGGAGAUUACUUUUGAUAUAAUUGAGACCCGAUAAAUUUAUCUGCUACCCGAAUGCUCAGAGUAGAGCAAGAAAUAACGGACCACACCACGUCACUAUCUUCGAACACGAUUUCUCAGAUAGCACACGAGGUCGAGAUUAUUUUGAACAGAAACUUUAUUUAUUGAAUUCUAAAUGAAUUUGUUUAAGGAAAAAUUUACAAGAUUGAGUUUUAGCCAGAUGUCGACGGAUCAAACCAAGCGAUAUCGGAUUCGAUAUUUUAAUAGACAUUCGAUUUAGUUGAACCAAAACGAAUUUCGCCGCUAUUAUGUGUUAAAGUCCGCACUCGUGGGCGACACUAUACCACAACACCAAAUUAGCGUCAGACGACUGUCGCUAUAAAUAGAGAAUUCUCGUCGAACUGUUAGUCGGUACAUAUUGCCACAGAUUUUGAGUCGGCAUAUAUCUAUAUUUCAAAUAAGUAUCGGUCAUUAUAUUUAUAUGUGAAUAGCGACGCUUCGUCGGUCGGCAAUUCUCGCUAAUAGCAUCUCAUCGUUAGUCGGAAUAAAGACCAAAGAGUAAUUGCCUCUCGCGCGCGGCACCCAAUUUUUGCUGGCACCCAAAAUUGGCCAUAGAGGCCCACCUCCAGUUGAACUAUGGACCAAACCGUGUUUCCUCUUUUCAGCCACAGCUGCCACGCACCCACAGACCAAACCCUAUUUCCUCUUUUCAGCCACAGUCGCCGCGCACCCACGCUCGUACACUCAGCUGCCGCUGCGCCAAGGAGAAGCUGUGCGCGGUCCAGGCACAGGUGCAGGGUGAACAGGAGGCGGCGACAACACUCCAGAGGAGGGUGGAUGAGCUAGAGAGCGGCGGAUAGGAGAGGGCCGGUGUGUUGGCGGUGGAGGGCGUGGAGCUGCGCAGGGCAAACACUGUGCUAGAGGAGAACAACAGGGAGCUUGCCUUGAGGCUGCAGGACGCGAUCGAGCAGGCUACUGCAUCUGCCUCCGCUAAUCUAGCUCCUAAGGUAAUUGUUAUCUUAAUUCCUAUCUUCAGUAUAAUCUAGCUUUACAAAUCAGCUUGUAUAGUUACCAAAUGUUAGUUUUGGUAAAUUAUUUUAUUUGAUGAGCUAAUCUGCCUCCGCGGUUCGUAUUGAUGGUUCAAAAUUCUUGUUCUUUUUUGCACUGCAUAUUAUGCUAGGAAUAAAUAAAGUUCCUAUAAAACGGAGGCUGGAACAAGGUUCCAACCAUAGUCUGAAAUUUGUAACAAGGUUCCAGUCAUUGAUUUGAGAAAUUGAUCUUGUAUAUUCUAUUGCAAGUAGUAGCUCAAUCACUUUCUUGUGCAUCAUACACCGAAUGAAAAUGAAAUAUUAGGCAAUUAUUGUUUCCACAUUCAAUAAAUUGGUAGUAUAUGUAUUUUGUAUUUCUAAAUAAGGUGAGACCCCAUGGGAUGUGAAGCGUAUUGGUAAGCAAUUGAACUACCAAGAAGUUAUUAUAGGAUGUGGAUAAUUAGUGGAUAUUUAGUGCAUGACUGUAUAUUUGACAAUAUGCGUUUCUUUUCAUUUUUCUCUUGUAGAUUCACUAAGUUAUACACCCAUAAUAUAUGUUGGUUUGAUAGUUUUAUUCAUUAUUAUUACGGUAGAAAUUGCUAUCAUCAAGUUGAUAGGUGGACAAAUUUCAAUGCCAAAGUUGUUUCCCACCGUUAAUGAUGUGAAUGUCAUAGGUGUAUAAAUGAGAAAAAAUGAAUAAUUGGUUAGGAAGAACGUCAGGGAAACCAGUGACAACGGCUGGUCAGUUCCCCUUGGAAUUUACGCUUCUAUUUUUUUAUUGCUUGAUUGUGAUCACAUGGUAGGCCUCAUGUGCACUUUGCUGCUGAGGGUUAGUCAGUUUUCCUUGGAAUUUACCAUUGUUCUUUUGUCUUAUUGCUUGAUUGUGGCCUGAUGGGCGCUUUGUUGCUGCAUUUCUCAGGUUCGACAUGCCCCGUGCCUACCAUCACUCUCGAUUUGAAGAAGAGUCUCAAGAUUUUGCAGGUGUUGUGUUACUCCUGAUUCAGUUACCUUACUGGCAGUAGGAUGCCAUUGCAACAAUCUAAAAGUGCAAUCAUCUAAUUGAAGCUCUUUUACUUAUACAAGAUAGAUCUAGAAUUGUUUUACUUGAGAUUCAAGCAAUGUUGGAUGUGUCUGUCUCAGAUCAAUUGGUAUUGUGUGUUUGGUGAUCCUGGUUUAUCCUUUGGGAUGGUUAUGUGAUAGUAUAUUUGACAUCUUAUUUUGCUGGUGAGCUAUGUAAUUGACCCAAAAGGCACUUCAAGCGGGCAGGAAAGUCUAAGGCCCUUACUAAUUACUUCCAAGUAAGUAGAGCAAUCACCAUCACACAGAUUUAUUCAAGGUUUUUUUGUGUUAAGCCAAUUGUUCGUUUUCAUGUAAUUUUUGUCCACUAAUAUUUUAUUGAAUAAUUUGUGUGUCGUCGCAACGCACGAUCAUUGUACUAGUAGUAUUGAAUGCUCCAUUUGUAGUUCUUGUGAUAUUACAGUACUGCAGUCUAAAAUACUGAAACAUUGUACACUGUAAUACCCUGAAAGACUGGGCCAAUCAAUUUUGACUCUUCUUUACUUGGGCAUGUGUUUAUUCAAAAAAUUCUUGGUAGCUACGGUCUGAUUUGGACUCUAUAUUCUAUAGUUUAUAUUGGGAAGGAUUUCUUAAAUAGUCUACUAAUGAUUUGGUUUUUAAUUUGGUCAGGAGGGAGGUCCUAGAGGUAGCAAGCAGAUCGUGGUGGUACCUAUGGAUGAGCGCUAUAGCAAGAUCAAAAGUUCUUGUGGAUGGAUGUUAUUUUGUUUUGUAUUUCUCGAAAAGAGAAAUUUGCAAGUGAACUUAAAAUUGUGAAGCCACAUGUUCUCAUAUGUGGUUGUACUAGCUAGUAUCUCUGAGGUUUAACAAGUCAAACUUAGGGUUGUUGUCUGCUUAUUUUGAUCUUUAUUACGACAAGAGCAAACUUGUGACCUUUAUGUAUGAAUGCAGUACAAUUGUUAUUGCCAUGAAUGAAAAUAUGAGCUAUGUUUGACCAAAUCUGUAUCUAAUGUGGAACGUGAGAUUGUAUGACUAGUGUUUGAACUGUUGAUGAUAAUUAGAAGUUGCUAGUUAUAUAUUUUUCUAGACUCAUAUAGCCAUAGCGUUGGAUUGUUAGUCGGUAAAAAUACAUAUAUCUCAUCAAACAGUGCGUCGGUAUAAGUUCUAACAGAUUGUUAGUUAGAAAAAAUAUGUUAGUCGAUAUAUCUUUUUAGCGUCUAACCGUCUAUCGAUAUAAAUAUGUCUGUCGCUAUAAGUUUAUGCCGACGCCACUUACAGCGUCAGAAAGUGUUAGUCGGUAUAACUCUAUAGCGACUGAUAGUACGUUGCUAUAACGAUUUAUACCGACUGUAAGUAUGUUGUUGUAGCCAGGUUGUGGUAUAGUGCGAGCAGACGAUAAACACCUGGGGUGUUAUAGUUUCCAUCUUUGGUGUAAUGUUAUUUGUAUUCAUUAUUUGCUUAUUUGUAUGUAUUGCUUCAAAUAGAAGCAAGGUUGCAAGAAAUCUGAAGCCUAUCUUUUAAGGAAGCAUCUGAACAACAGGUUAUCGCAAAUAAAAGUAAAGUUGUGUCAUUGAUCACAUUUUCUAACCUAAGAAUGUUUAUGUUUAUGAUAAUCACCAUGGCAUGGUUAGGUUCAAUUGAAGGGACAUAAUAGGUUACGAUGUUUUGUUUACCCUAUACCUUGCAUACAAAUGAAUUAUUGAGUAGUCUUGCUAUUACUCUACCUGUUUUUGAGAUUAAUGCUAUAUAUGAAUUAUGAUCAUGCUUUAUUAUUAUUGCCAACAAAUUAUUUAUUGUGCAUGAUAAAAUCAUUUUGUUAAUUGGAACAUGAAGAGACCACCCGAGAAAACAGUGAUACCACAAGGGUGGAAUGGGAUGACCUUGGCCAAUUAAUUAGGAAAGCUACUGAGGGAUUACCUUACCUGAAAGGGGCAAGUGGGCAAGCGUCACUGCAUAGCAUAUUGCUGGCUGUAAUUACUGUGAUGGGGUUACAGACCGUGGAACAAGGCAUAUGCUUCUUUCGUCCUAAAAUUGUAGCGGGUCUUCUAAAACUAGUGGAACUUUGGAAAGACCUCGUAGUGGUACACUGCCUCGUCUCCUCGGUAGAGAUGAAUAGGAAGUCGCGAUCCCUUGGCAAAUGGGUGACACAUUUUGUGGGUAAAGAUGUGCAACCUCUAUAGAGUGUAAAACUGGUAUAUUAGCCGUGCUCACGGUCAUGAGCGACUUUGACCCUCACAUGAGUAAAUUAUGUAAUUAAAUUUAACAUGUCAUGUGUUGCAUUGCAUUGUUGGAUUUUGAUAUUGAUCAAUUAUUUAUUUGGGAUGCUAUUUAUUAUACUUAGUAAUUAAUAAUAAUUUUUUGACCAUCAAAGUUGCAAUGCUCAGCCUUAACCAAAUUCCUUGGUAAGCCUUACACUACACUUUUACCCACACUUGCUGAGCGAUGACCGUAUGUGAGCUCACCCUUGCUAUAAUCACACCAGGUCAAGAAACAGGUACCGUAGGAAGAAGAUUGCUAUGAAGAUGUGUUUGGAGAGGUCUAGGUCGUCGUCUUACAGUCAAUUAUGGUUGCAACUAAUCGUUGACGUCAUAUAGUGUAAUUUGUUUAGCUAUUUUGUACAUAAAUUGUUUUAAGUAAUAAAGAUGUGACAUUGGUUUAUGUAUCAUGAGUCUUCAUAUAUGUGAGACUUGAUCCUAUCACACAUUUGAGAUGUAUCUAUAUUUGUCCUUAAAUCCGGGUGUGACAAAAGUGGUACCAGAGCAAUGUUGACUAUAGGAUGUAACCUAGAUAGACGUAGACAAACACUUACCUACUUAUCUAUGCUACUCUAAUUCUUUAUACACUUUCCUUAAGCUUUUCUCAUCUAUUGCUGCUUUACUCUGAUUACACUUACCUUUUCACUUUUAAAGACAAAAGAGGAUUUCACACCUUGGAAUCCUAUACUCGAAUUGUCUCAAGGGAUAGACGUCCUAAGCAAGAAAAACUAUUUUUGUAGGUAUCUAUGUGCAUGAAUGCUUGUUCCUAUGAUACCUGUUUAAUUUGGUUCUUUGAUUGAGUGCGAUGAGUUGUGGAAUAAUGUUCGUAAUUGCAUCUGUUGGGGACUUGUUCUCAAAUGAUUCUAAUUAAGAACAAGGCAACACAAAAUGUUAAAGGUUAAUACCCUUCGUCCUUCGAAGCAUUAUUUCCCUUAGGAUAUAAUGAUCUUUAGACGAAGGUCUUGAAGGACAUACCUUCAUCAUCGCAGUAUAUGUUAAUAAAAGAAGAAGCAUAUGAAAUAUAAGAAACAACAUGAACUAUCACAUAACAUUAUUAACUCAUCCUAAUUAUAUUAUCAUGGAAAAACAGAAACAAUAUUGAAUUACAUUUGUACCUUCGGUUUGACAGAAGGUGAAAGUACAAGUGUGAUGCACAAGCAAGUACAAAUCAGCGUGAAUAGUACGGGGGUACUGUUCAUCUAUUUAUAGGCACAGGACGCAGCCUGUGUGAAAUUACAUUCAUGCCCUUCAUAUUUACUAUUGACUUAUAGACAACCCAAUGGGGACUAGAUAACCUUUUUCCCUUUUAAGUCGGUUCCUUUUUCCGCCAUUGAGCCGAAGCUCCCUUGCGCGUAGCUUUGGAGCAACACCAGCCUUCGUCACGACCAUGCUCUUCACAUUGUACAUGCUUUUGACCCGAGUUCGAAGGUACCUGUUCAUACUUGGAAGACAUUGUUAAAUCAUGUUUUUGAGGACCUUCGGAAGACGAAGGCCCCCAACAGUAGCCCCUCACAGUAUUAAUUUGUUAGGAUAACAAAUUCAGACUGCGACAUGGACGAAGGCCUUAAGCCGAAGGUCCGAAAAAACAUCUUCCCUUUGCUAGAAUAGCAACAGUCAAUGACAGACGGGGCCAUCCAAUUUGGAGCGCACUGGGCGUAUAAAUAGGAACUUACACCGACUGCACUUGAUACACUUCUUGUGCCAUUUGCUUUAUUUUCUCAAUUUUAUAGCUCUUGCUCACUAGCACUUGCUAGUUUUUCAAGCUCUCUGAGCUUCGGUUCAAAAGACGCGUUUUCACCAUUUCUGAAGAAAAAAUGUCUCAAGACAAGAAGGUUGCUGCUGAGACGAAGCUGACUGAAGAGGAGAAGCUUUUUGAGGAGAAGAAGAUUGUGGAUUCUUAUAUUGCUGGAUUUGUCGAGUCGAUGGCAAAAACAAAUACAGAGAAGAUUACUAAAGAGAUACUGGAGGGCUUGUCUGAAGAUACUGGUGACAGCGAUAGCUAUGAUGUGGAAAGUGGGGACGAAGAUUUUGAGGAUCGGUCCUAGAGGCCAAGUCAUUCAAUCUUCGGGAAGUCGACCAUCAAACAGAGUCAUCUUGAAAAUAUGAGAGGAAGGUACUUUCGGGAUUUGUCUAUUGUGAGGGCUGGCGGCGACAACAACGUCCCUGCCCCUGAGGAGAACGAAGUUGUAAUUUUCUGAAGCUUCUUCAAGGCUGGGCUUCGGUUCCCCUUGAGUAAGUUUGUAGUUGAAGUGCUGAAGACCUACCAAAUCUUCCUCCAUCAGAUCACCCCCGAAGCCAUAAUAAGGAUGGAGAUUUUUUUCUAGGCAGUAAGGAGCCAAGGGCUAGAGCCAAGCGCGAAGUGCUUCUGCAGUAUGCACGAACUUCUAUAUGAGACGAAGACCAUGGGUAAAGAACAGUACCACAACAACUUCGGUUGUUUUGGAUUUAUCGCUCGCCCCAAUGCAAGCCACCCGGUGCCGACAUUCCAGAAAAGGUGGCCCGGGGCUUGGAUGGAAGAAUGGUUUUAUGUAAAGAAUGAUUUGAAAGCGAGGGAAGACAUUAAGGAAGUCAUUAUGCGCCCCAUCUGGUCCCGCUUUGGCGUGCCAGAAGGCCUUCAGUACUGUUUGCUCCUUCAUUGGCACAAGAGAUUUAAUUCAAGAACAUAUAGCCUUCAGAGUAUGACCACUUGUAGAAAGCUGGGAAAUGCCGAUGGAGACCAUCACUAACUCUAGCGAAGGUGAUUUGGUCCGGCUGAAGUAUACAUUCAGGUUUGGGGAUAAGUUCGAUGAACCAAACGAGGACUGGCUGAAGUGUAUCGAAGCUACAAGUGAUGAACUGCUUGGAGCAUAUUCCAAGGCAGAAGAUAAUGCAUUGUCCGUAGCCUUCGGAGGUCGGGGAAAAAAGAGACUGAACAAAGUUUUUGACGCCAUUGGCUUCGUUUACUCCGACUACCGCUAUCCGCUGCGGGGACAGGGGAAAAAGAGGAAUGUUGCUACUUCGGACACCCCAGUUCGGCCUACGCCGAAGGGAAAAAAGUUGAAGGUUCUGACUCACUGGCCGCGUUACAUCGAACCGGUCGUGAUUCCUGAAUUUGGCGAAGGGGCCUCUUCGGCUGCCGAAACAAAAGAAACUGUUCUGCCUGCGCAGGACACUAGAGAGCUGGCCAUAAUGCCGAAGUUACUUUCAGUUAAACUUGUUGAGGCGACGACUGAUAAAGCUGAGGGGUAAAAAAUUGGAGAAAUAACAAAAAUGCCAGAGAUUUUGAGCCCUUCAACAAAGGCAACAGUGCCGAAGACACAAAAGAGUUCUGCCACAACUCCUAAGAGGAGAAGGAUGGCAAAUGUGCUAGAUGUUGUGUUAGAAACAGCAAAAACCUUGAGUUCUACUCCUUCAAGAAAGAUUGCCGAAGCUUCGAAAGCGCAACCCGAAGCUGAAACAAAGCAGGCAGAAGUCGAGGCUGCAACAAUUCAGGCUGAAACCGAAGCUGGGCCUUCAGAGCCCACCGAGACAGAACCUGUUGUAGUUGAAGAAAAGGCGGCAGAGCAAAUUACAUCUGAAAAGGUUGAAGCUGCUGCUACCGAAGCUUCAAAAGAAAGCACUGAUUACAUUAUUCAUCAUGCUUUGGGGAAGAGACUUUCUCAAGAAGAAAAGUUAGAAGCACUACACUAUGCCCAAAAAUUAAAAUACCCGAAGGGGGCAUUAGUGUUUAAUGGCAGUGGGGAAGAAGAUUUUUUGUACUGUCUCCCGGAUAAUAAAGAGAUAUCUAUUUGCCGAGAAAUAGGUAGAAGCAUCGAAUUCCCGAAGCUGGAAGAUGGCCUUUCAAUAUUAUCAAAGGAUGAGCUUGCUGACAACUUGGCGUAUAAUAGCAUAAAGGUAUAAAAGCUAAUUUUGUAUUUUGAAAACAAAAUAUUUUAUUUGCUUAUACUUAAUUCAGUCCUCCUCUUGCAGGGCUUAAUUCUUAGCAAUGCGCUUAGGGCUUAGAAAAACAUUGAAGAUAAAGGAUAUAUGAUGGCUCUGAACAACCUUCGUUCAGAGGUAAUUGAAUUAAGAAACGAAGGUCUUGAAAAAGACAAAAUCUUGAUUUCAUUGGUAAACAAAGUGAAAGAAGAUGAAGCUAGUUUCAAGGCUCAAGUCGAAAUCCAAAAGAAUGAAAUCGAAGACCUUCGGAAGCAGUUGGCAGAAGCCAAAGAAAAAAUGCGCUCUCGCAGAAGCUAACCGAGAUAUCAGUGAAUAUUGGAAAAACCAUUUAGAUAAAACAGUUGAAGAACUUCGCGCAUCCAAGGAAAGAUGCUUUGAAAAAUCCUUGGGCUGCGUGGAGAAAAUAAAGGCUAGCUUCGCCAACGUGGGCGCUUAUUCUAACGAAGAUAAUUUCAUACGAGGCGACCCUGAAGGUGUUAUCGAAUGGAUAAGUGGAGAGGCCGAAGCUUACGAAGAAAUAUUAAGUGAUCGCGGGGAUGUCUGCGCGUUCUCCGGUGCAAGGGGAAUUUCAGCCAUCCUGGAGAAGGCGGGAUGCGACCAUGUCAAGACCCUGGCCCAGGCCAAAGCUGCCUUCUCCGUGGAUGAUACAAAGGAUCCCUCAGCUGAAGCAAGUUUAAUGGGCGGGAAAUUUUACAAUGAUAUCUGGGUAAAUGGUGGCCAAGAUAUGGCUCACGAAAUUAUGAAGAAAAGUGAAAAAGACAUUCAUGACGCCCGAGUAGAAGCAAAACAAGCUGAGGAAGCUGCAGAGCGUGAAAGACGUAUAGGUAUUGUUUUGUGGUCUUUAGCUUCGGCAUUUGUUUUUACAGCUUCGGACUAAUUAACUUUUUCCUUCUUCAGCUGAAUUAUCUCCGUUGCCGGAACCGUUCGAUCCCCUGGCCGAUCCAGAAACAAAGGAAGCACUGGAGAUCAUUAAUAUGGCCGAAUUUAUCGUUGAUGAAGUCGUCAAUAAAUUGCUAAAUGAAGUUGCAGAGAAGAUCCUAAAAGAAGACUAGCACUUUUUGUAAAAACAUUUUGAAAUGGUCAAUGUAACUUUAUUGUAACAAGACUGUAAUGUUUGAUGUGUAUAUCUUUGAAUCUAAUAUGUAAAUUAUUUGUAAUUCACUUCUUUGCGAUGCAUGAAACUUUAUAUACAUACCGUUUUUGAGCCUUCAGCGAAAAAACACCUUCCCUUCUUUUCAUGCUUCGUAAAGAAAAAGAUCCAUGCUUUGUGAAAAUAUCCAAGCUUCGUAAAAACAUCCAUGCUUCGUAAAAAAUAUCCAUACUUCAUAAAAAAUAUCCAUACUUUGUAAAAACAUCCAUGCUUCGUAAAAAAUAUCCAUACUUCGUAAAAAUAUCCAUACUUCGUAAAAACAUCAAUGCUUUGUAAAAACAUCCAUGCUUCGUAAACGAAGGAUUCCUUCUUUUGCAACAGAGCUGACGAAACUGUAUUUCUCAGCUUACUUUGUGCCUUAGCAUAUUUUCAUUUUUAUAGAGCAUUCUCUGAAGCUCGACUUCGUAUUCGAUUCGUGUCAUUGGUGCGAUAUGAUGUAUGAUGUGAUGUUAUGCGGGAUGGUGUGAUGAUAUGAUGCAAAGAAUGAUGCUAAUGCCGAAGACACACACCCACACUGAAACACAAAAUCUCUGCGUCCCCUUAUGAACAAUCGGAAUCUCUUUGCCAUUUAUUUUUCGGCUUCACCGCUUAUUUUUUGGUGUAAGUUCUGCAUCCCCUUAGGAACGUCUUUUGAACUUAUUCGCCUUCUAUUUCGGUGGUAUAAGUUCUGCAUCCCCUUAGGAACGUCUUUUGAACUUCUUUGCCUUAUAUUUCGGCGAUAUUUGGCUCUGCAUUCCCUUUCGAACGACUUUUGAGCAGAAAACUUACACUGUGUUCCCUUAGGAACGACUUUUUGUAGCUUCAGUGAAACUUACGCUGCACUCCCUUAGGAACGACUUUUUGAGCUUCGGCAGUUUUUGAGCUUCGUAAGUUUGUGAAGAAGAUACAUUUCAUUUUGAUAGAAGCGAAACUAUUACAAGGAAUUAAAACUAGAUUUACAUUGCUUGUUCCUUAUUGAAAAACAAAAUGACAUAGAACAUAAAAGCAUUUUGGGGGUAGGAUAUCGCUCAAUAAAUGUGCUUUGAUUCUGGCACAAUACUGUUGACUGUGCGAGCUUUGGAUUCCUCCGUGAACUCCCGUUGUUGUUGGGUGUGCUGGCGCCCUUCUGGCUGCUGGCUUCGGGAAUAGGUUGGUUGCAGUGGUGGUGGGGGUGGGAGUUGUGGCCAAGAAACCUAUGAAUGGCUAGCCGAAGCAACAGAAGCUGCAGGAUGAUUGCCCACAUAUUCUGGUAUGUAGGGAGAGUGGCACGAAGCAGUGUGCAAGACCUGCUUUGGCUGAUUCUGCCAAGCUUCGGCUUCUGCGAUCUCCUUCUGCUUCUGAAUGGUGAUUUGGCACAUUCUUGUAGUAUGGCCCUUGUCUUCACCACAGAAUAAGCAAUAAAUCUUCCUGGGCUGAUCCUCAUAUCUUCCUCCGAAGCCCCUGGCGCCUCUGCCCCUUGGAGCUGGCGGCCUAAAAGAGCUUUGCUGUUGCCCCGAAGAUUGUGAGGUGUACUAUGGCCUCUGAAGCUGGCUUCCUUUGUCGUCAUUCUGACUGGAAUUAUGGAUUGACCUGACAUGCCUCGGGUGGAUUCUUCCUCCGAAGCCCCUGGUCAUCUUCGAGAAUCUGUAAGCUUCCUCCCUUCUUUGGCGGAAGUCGUUGUCAGCCCGAAUGUAUUCAUCCAUCUUCUGAAGCAGCUUCUCUGGAGUUUGUGGGGGCUUCCUAGCAAAGUACUGAGCCAUGGGUCCUGGCCGAAGACCCUUAAUCAUGGCCUCAAUGACAAUUUCAUUGGGCAUUAUGGGCGCUUGUGCCCUCAGUCGCAAGAACCUUCGGACAUACGCCUAGAGGUAUUCCUCAUGGUCUUGCGUGCACUAGAACAAGGCCUGAGCUGUGACUGAUUUCGUCUGAAAGCCUUGGAAACUGGUCACCAGCAUGUCUUGAGCUUCUGCCACGACGUGAUUGUCUCUGGUCGAAGGGAAGAAUACCAUGUCUGGGCCACGUUCCGGACCGCCAUGACGAAGGACUUAGCCAUGACAGCUGCAUUGCCUUCGUAUGAGGAUAUCAUUGCCUCAUAGCUCAUCACAAAUUGUUUUGGGUCCGAGUGCCCAUCGUACAUUGGUAGCUGAGGUGGCUUGUAAGAUUGUGGCCAUGGGAUAGCCUGCAGUUCUGCUCCCAAGGGAAAAGCAUCAUCAAAAGUAAAGGUAUCAUAAUUAAAAUCAUCUUACCAUCCAUCCUCGUUGAAUAAGCCUUCCUGACGAAGCUCCCUGUGCUGGGGCCUUCGGUCUUGUUCGUCUUGAGCAAGAUGACACACUUCUUCAGUAGCUUCGUCGAUCUUCGUUUGAAGAUCGGCCAACUGAGCCAUCUUCUCCUUCUUCCUUUGCACUUGUUGAUGGAUGAUUUCCAUGUCCCUGAUCUCUUGGUCCAACUCCUCCUCCUGGAGUGUUAGACUGGUGGUCUUUCUCUUCUGGCUUUGAGCCUCUCAGAGAGAGAGAAUCUCCUGAUUUGUGUCCAGUGGCUGCAGUGCAGCAGCCCCUGGCGCGGUUAUCUUCUUCGGCGGCAUGACGAAGGUCAGUGCUUGUCGAAGGUGGUCGAAUGAGUUCACCGAAGGUGGGCGCCAAUGUUGGGGACUUGUUCUCAAAUGCUUCGAAUUAAGAACAAGGCAACACAAAAUGUUAAAGGUUAAUACCCUUCGUCCUUCGAAGCAUUAUUUCCCUUAGGAUAUAAUGAUCUUUAGACGAAGGUCAUGAAGGACAUACCUUCAUCAUCGCAGUAUAUGUUAAUAAAAGAAGAAGCAUAUGAAAUAUAAGAAACAACAUGAACUAUCACAUAACAUUAUUAACUCAUCCUCAUUAUAUUAUCAUGGAAAAACAGAAACAAUAUUGAAUUACAUUUGUACCUUCGGUUUGACAGAAGAUAAAAGUACAAGUGUGACGCACAAGCAAGUACAAAUCAGCGUGAACAGUACGAGGGUACUGUUCAUCUAUUUAUAGGCACAGGACGCAACCUGUGUGAAAUUACAUUCAAGCCCUUUAUAUUUACUAUUGACAUAUAGACAACCCAAUGGGGACUAGAUAGCCUUUUCCCUUUUAAGUUGGUUCUUUUUUCCGCCAUUGAGCCGAAGCUUCCUUGCGCGUAGCUUCGGAGCAACACCAGCCUUCGUCACGACCAUGCUCUUCACAUUGUAUAUGCUUUUGACCCGAGUUCGAAGGUACAUGUUCAUACUUGGAAGACAUUGUUAAAUCAUGUUUUUGAGGACCUUCGGAAGACGAAGGCCCCCAACAACAUCAAUAUAUAAAUAAACCAACUUAAAUAAAAAACUAUUCAACUUAAAUUAUUCUUCAUUAGGAAAAGAUAGAUAACUCAAACAAGGAUAUGCCCUAUCCAAAUAGAUUACCUAAUCCUAAUAGAUCUAUCUCAUCUUGACAGAUCCAUCUUGUCUUAAAAGAUUCUAUCAUAUCCUAAUAGAUUCAUCUGAUCCUAAUCUACUUACCCCACCUUAGAGCAGUAGCCAAGAUCUAUUCUAGUUAAAACUAAUCUAAUCUAACCGGAUCUAAUCUGAUUCACUUACUUCACCUGAUGCAUCUUCUUGUACAUAUAUAAAGGUUAGAAGUAUUUAAAUUAGGAUAGUUAAUACUAAUAAAAUAAAUUUAGGAAAUUUUGACCCUACUACCAGAAAUUCUAUAACAUAAAUUCACUUUACCCUAGAUAGUACCUAGCCUAACUCGGUCAUAUACAAACAACCUAACCUACAUUGAUAUGUUACAUAAUCUACCUAUUUCAAAACAAGAUUCUAACCUACCUACCAAAACUAAAAAUUCCAACCUGACCUACAUUUUCCUGAUGAUCUACAUAAUUUAUCUAUUCCAACCAAAACAUCGAACAAGAUUUCCCCCUACCCUAUAAAGUCUAUCGAGCUCACAGCUGCCUUAAUAUAUUUGAGAUAGAUUCUUUCUUUGCCAUAAUCUUUCUUACACCAACCUACCCUUGCCCUAACCAUGAAUCAUCCUGCCUAAUAGACGACCAAACACAAAGGAUACUCAUGCUUUCCUAAACUCUACUAAUUAAUUAGGGUUAAGGAUUAAAAAAACUUUCUAUUUUGAACCAAUUACAAAUAGACCAUCAUCAUCUCUUUUCUUAGAAUCUCGAGGACGAGAUUCUUUGUAAGGGGUAGCAUUUGUAGUACCCAAAUUCUAGAUGAAUAAAGAAAGGAGAGAAUAUUAAUUACAUAUACUUUCUUGUUCAUUUAGCAUAUAUAUAAAAAUUCUCAUGUUCAAGUAAUUAGAGAAAUUAAUAAUCAAUAGAAUAACAGUGCAUCAUGUUGGAUCUUUGAAUUGUGCAUAUAAAUUUGAUUUGAAAACAUCAAUCAGAUUAAAUUUAGGACAUCUAGAACUAGAAAGGAAAACUGAAAUUAUAAAUAGAAAAGAAAAAGGGACCCAACCUGGCUUCCUUACUGCUUGGCCCAACAGAGUUUAUUGUGCGAGAGUCGUAGAUCUACAAUCGGGUGGAUAAGAAGAGAGCCUUACUAAUAAUCUAAACCAUUGAUCGGUUCAAAAUCAGAGUCCACGAUCAAAUCAGAGUCCACGAUCAAAUCAGAGUCGUUGAGAUUAAUCAGACGGCCUAGGUAGCAGCGUACCUCUUCGGCCGUUGAAAUUUGUUAAAGAGCCCCUGCGUUUUAAACAAAUCAACCUGUCAUCCACUGACAAUUCAAAAUAAUUGCAUAAAGGUUCCUUAAUUUACAUUUUGGUCCUUUGGAGCAUUAUUUUAAUAUAGCAGUAACCCGAAAACUGGUUUAAUCUAUAAGUUUCUCGUUUUAUUCUGUUCAGGUUACGUUAGCUUUGUAAUAAAUUGCCUACACAGUAACAACAUUAUUUGUACCAUAUCACAUACUUUUAUAAUUAAAUAUUUGUUUAACCUAUGUUUAGUAGAUUAACCUUUCUAAUCAAAGUUAAUCUAUCGAUAAUUAUAAUUUGACUAAAAAGGUGGUCUCUAAUCAAAGUUAUAACUUAGACUAAAGUUAAAUUAGUUAUUUCUUUAGAGUAUCUUUAUCACAUGAAUUAUAAUAAAUAUGGAAUAUAGUUUAAUACUUAAUCACAUAGAACUUCUGAAAACCAUAUCUUCUAAAUAGUAACUUCGAUUUUAGUGGUUCUUCAACCUACGAUCUCGUAGCGACACAUAGAAUAUUAUUGUGUGGUUUGUUUCUAUCUUUGGUGUAAUGUAUUGCCACGAAUACAAGCAAGGUUGUGAGGAAUCUGAAGCCCAACUUUUGAGAAAACAUCUGAACAACAUGUUGUCGGUACCCUAAAACUAGGGUACCCCUUACUAUUGUAUGAAGACGCAGUACCCACACGGCUAUCUUCAGUCACGUGGUAAAGGAGCUGUACGUGGGACCAGACCAUGACUCGCCCCAGCCUCGAGCGACUACUCUGGGCCAGCAACAGCGCCUGACCCCACCACGUGGGCGGCUCCAGGGCCGCCACGUGGCUAGAGAAAGUGAUAUACUCUAAGGCAUCAACAGUGAGUCCGGACCCUCAUGGGGAAGUGCUGGACCCCUGGAUAUACAGUCCGAAUCUCCAAGUUGGUCCAGAACCCCCACAUGUACGGACCGGACCCCUAGAAUGGGAUCCGGACCCCCCGUAUGGGUCCAGACCACCCACAGUGGGGUCUUAGGACCUUACUUAAGGCCCAGGCGGGGGUCCAGAGCUAACACGUGUCCAGACCUGUUCUGGUGCGCUACGGACCUAUCCGCAUACACUGCUGCUCCCCACUCAGGCGGAGCCCCGAUGCUGCCACGUGGCACACUGCGCGCGGCAUAAGCCAACGGGCGGAACCCGGCGUGACGCCUCUGGGCUACACGCGCCUUCAUGACGGAUAAGACGUGCGCCUGUCCAUUCCACUGACAGGCGGCGUGCUCAGUCCACGAUACGUGGGCCGUACAUUUACUCACCAUUACUCCCGCAUUACUCGUACGGUAACUGCCCAUCAAUGCAGCAUGGAUUGCGGACAUCAAGACUCCUGGUGAUUACUCAGGCGUUACUAGCAUUAGUUACUCACAUAAUAUAUUCUUUCCAUUAUGUUCCUGGGCCCACAUGUCGGGGCUCAGCAUCCUUGUAUGUGCCUUCCUUAAACUAUAAAAGAGAAGGCACACAACGUUACAAGGGAUGAGCUCUCUCACACGCCCAAGCUCACAGACUCAAUUCACUCUCAAUACAGCUUACACACAGUGGAGGUAGGGUAUUACGCUCCGGCGGCCUGAACCACUCUAAACACUCGUGUCCUCGUGUGUUCAUCCACCUUCCAACAGAUAGGCAAACCUCUUAGGCCCCUCCUCAUCUUAGGAUUAGGGCGGGUGCGUUCCACCACCCGGCCGGUGGAAUUCUCCCACCGACACAGGUUAUCACAAGUAAAAGGUAAAUUGUGUCCUUGAUCACAUUUUCUAACAUAAGAAUGUUUAUGUUUUUUAUAAUCACCACGGCAUGGUUAGGUUAAAUUGUUGGGACCUAAUAGAUUACCUAGUUUUGUUUACCCUACACCUUGCAUACAAAUGAAUUAUUGAGUAGUCUUGUUAUUGCUCUACCUGGUUUUUGGGAUUAAUAUUAUAUGUGAAUUAUGAUCAUGCUUUAUUAUUAUUACCAAUAGAUUCUUUAUUGUUCAUGAUAAGAUCACUUUAUUAAUUGGAACAUGGAGCGAUCACCCAAAAAAACAGUGCGACCAUAAGGGUGCAAUGGAAUGCCCUUGGCCAAUUAAUUAGGAAAGAUGGUGAGGGAUUAUCUUACCCGAAAGGGAAAGGGGCAAGCAAGGAGGUGUCGCUGCAGAGUAUAGUGAUGGUUGUAUUACCGCGAUGGGGUUACAGACCGUGGAACAAAGCCUAUGCUUCCUUCGUCACCAUAGCAGGUCUUCUCAAAUUAGUGCAACUUUGGAAGGGCCUCGUAGUGGUACCCUGCCUCUUCUCCUCAGUAGAGAUGAAUGGGAAGUCGCGAUCCCUUGGCAAAUGGUUAACACGUCUUGUGGUUUAAGAUGUGCAACCUCUGCAAGUGUAAAACUGGUAUAUCAGCCGUGCUCGUAGUCAUGAGCGGCUCAGACCUUCACAUGAGUAAAUUAUGGAAUUAAAUUUAACAUGUUAUCUGUUGCAUUGCAUUGUGGGAUUUUGAUAUUGAUCAAUUAUUUAAUUGGGAUGGUAUUUUCUUUACUUAGUAAUUGCUAAUAAAAUUUUGACUAACAAAGUUAAAAGUAAUGCCCAGCCUUAACCAAAUUCCUUGGUAAGCCUUACAUUACACUUUUACCCACACUUGCUGAGCGAUGACAAUAUGGGAGUUCACCCUUGAUAUAAUCACAACAGGUCAAGAACAGGUAUCGCCAGAAGAAGAUUGCUAUGAAUAUGAGUUCGGAGAGGUCUAGUCCAUCAUCACCCAGUCAACUAUGGUUGCGGAGGAUCGCUAUCGUCAUAUGGUAUAAUUUAUUUCGCUAUUUUAUAUAGAAAUUGUAUUAAGUAAUAAAGAUGUGACAUUGAUUUAUGUACCAUGAGUUACCAUAUGUGUGAGAGUUGAUCCUAUCACACAUUUGAGAUGCAUCUAGAUUUGUCUUUAAAAACGGGUGUGGCAUUAGAAUAUCAUAAGUCCUUGAUAUCGAACCAGUGUUCAUUUUGUUUUGUUAGUUUAAUUUUUGGUAUCAGGUAUAUUGGUUUGGUUUUUGGUUAAUUAUGUUCUCCUCGAAGCACAAUAUAUGUCUCUAUUUAGAUUUUCUAGUGUAAUAUUUUGUUGAUUAAAUUUAGGGUUAUACUUUAGACAACUAAAACUUUAGUCACUAAACUUUAGACUAUGGGGCCAUUUGGAUUACGACUAAAGUUUAGUUCUAACUCAAUAUAACGACUUACCUUGGGCCACUUUUGUUACUAUUCUCACUCCACAUGGUUGUGUGCCACAUUUCUGCUGCUCUAUAUGUUUGUGUUCAUUUAUUUUUGUCCUUUUCUGGGUUGUUUAAAAAAUAAUCACUAAUGAAUAUUGAUAGAUUAAUAUUUAGAAUUCGGUACAUAAGAUUGUUCAACAAAAUGAAGUGCGUCCACAUGCAAACCAAAUGUACUGAACAUAGUAGUUCGAAUAAUACAUUUAAUUUUGGAGACAGGAUCCCAUACUAGCCUGUGAUUUACAUUACUCUCGUCUAGCAAACAAUGCGUUAACAAUGUUGUCAUGAGACGAUCAUGUGUUCAGGUUAUGAUCCUCGAUGCCUCCAUACCAAUUGCCACUACUUGUGAUAGGAACGGGCGUACCCGAUCUUCCGUCAGAUGAAGAUAACUAUCGAUUUGGUGGAGAUGUCACACAGACGAUCCGGCUUCCAAUCAACACGACUAGAACCCUGCAAUCGCAGCACCACUUCUCCUCUAGUUAUCAAUCGUGCACUGCGCGAUUGACCUCGCCACGAGGGCUAAUUCCUGUCUGAGAAUCGAAGACACAAGCAAGAACAAGAAAGAACACAAUCUAGAAUAUUACGGAUGAAUGAUUAAGCUCACAAGUUGGGGUCUCACAAACCGAUCUACGGCGACUGUUCUUGACAGAUCUAAACUUAAGCAAAACCCAACCCUAAUGUGGUGGCGGCUGCUGAAUAAAUAGAGUAUUAGGGCGUGCGUGACCCCUGGACUCGCCCCUAGUGGGCUCCGACGCGAUACACGGCCCAACAGACGGUGUCGCAGCACCAAAACAGAAUCUGAACGCUGACUUGUUUCAACGAUUCCCGUUGACUUUGGACGAAUUUUAUGGUGGAACCAAUUGGGUUGGUUAGAUAAUCUCCUUAUCUUUCCAACCAUAUCAAGUUCGUCGCAAUCGGAGUCCGGAUGCAUCUUGGGCGUCCAUUUUAGUGCAGACUGGUCCUGGAACCCGAGAUGGAGUCGCAGCCGAGUCGGACUUGAUCUCCUUCCUGUUGUGGGCGCCCUUACUGCUCCUCCUCAACACCUAGGUCUUUCCUAAGUCCUUGCUGGUCCUCACCAAGGUUCCUAAUCAUCAAAACAUCCAUGGUCCCAAGUGUAAGCUCUGAAACACAAUUGACUAGGGCAGAACGUACCAUGAGAAUUAGCUGUCGUGCACGCAAUCGUGUUAUCGGUCCAUUUAUUGUAUGUAUAGAAGUGAUGUCCUCAUCAACUUGUCUCUGGAGAAGAUUCAUCAGGGAUUUUUAAGGGAAUAGAAGGGGCCUUAGCCCUUACCGAAUGUAAUACCCAAAUUAUAAGGAAGAAUAAAAGUAGAAUUUGCUCUCCUCUAUAUAUGUGUAUGUAUCUUUAUUUGUCAUCACAUGUGAACACCGUCUUUAAAAACAAUUAAUAAAAAUAUAUACCACUAAAAUAUUGCAUCAUGUUGAGUCUUAUGUUUGUGCAUCUAAUACUGGCUGGAUUAAUAAAAAUGUGCUAAUGUCUAAAUUAGAAUUUAAUCAAAGAAUUAUAAUUUAGAGCAUUGGAAUAAUAAAACUAGAAAUGGGAAGGAAAUAAGAAACAUGUUAAAUAAAAUAAAAAUAAAAAUAAGAAUAAAAUUCUUACCUAACUGGUGCAUUCAAUUGUACAUUAAAAAGAAUACAAAUUCACCAAAGAUUUAGGAUUCAGAUUUGGAUUCAAAAAUAUAAGAAAGAAAAGAGAAUAACAGCAAAAGAAAAGAAAAAGAAAUAAGAAAAACUCGCUUGGGCCAAAGUCAGUCCGUUCGGCCCACUAACCUGCGCGCGUACGGCCCAGCUGCCAAUGUCUACCCGCGUGCACCCUGUGCCACUACGAGUGGGACCCACUCGUCAGCUAACGAUUCCGCGCGUGUCGUCCGGUGGAAAAGGUGGGGCCGCCCGGUCAGCUGGCCAUUUACUCUUUCCUGCGCACGCCGCGUCUGUGAACAUCUCUGAGUGGUGGGCCCGCAUCGUCAGCCCGUCUUCCUUGCUCCGGCACACAACAAACUAUGCGCACGACGCGCGAGAUCGCCGCGGGAGCUCAACCACCUGAACUGCGUGGCCGAUUUUGCCGGGGGAGGGUUCCGCAAAUAAGUAGCCGCCUGUCCUAGUGCGUUUCUUUCGCCUCCCAUCAUCCUCUACCAACGCCGUGCAAGUUGUUCGCCGCCGCCUAACACGAAGGGGGUCGCCGUGGUGGAAAUGACGGCGAGCGAACUAUUCAGGCGCGCCGCUUGCCGUGGGGGCAUCGCUUGUCUGCGGGGGAGUCGAACGGACCCUCUUCGGGUGGCGCUCAGGUCAGGGGCACCACCAAUUGCUCGCCAGCGUGCUGAAUCCGUCCCGGGCCGCACCGAGACGUAGACGGGAGUCCACGGGCCUACCUUCGUUUCGGUAAGACUUCCUGUGCAUACGCUUUCACCUUCCGUUCGAAAUGGUGUAGGUAUCGCGUAGGUUCGAGCAGUAGUCGACCGGUUUGGUAGAACGCCGACGAGGGGGCCGCCUUGGGCGUGUCUGCGCCGCCGCGCUCGGUUGCGGGAGGUGGAAGCUGAUCCACGGCUGUUGGAUCUCCAUCCCGCGCCCGUGAUUAAACCAGGGGGCGUACCGCUUCAGGAGUUAGCGAGCGCCGUUUGAUCUGGAUCGUUCGGUUGGCGAUAGGCGUAGGCUACUUUGAAUCGGGAGCCGUUGAUCGCGUAUCCUGCGGCUCGGAUUGCAUACCGGUUCAGCGAAUACAACUUCUAAUCUGGACCGUCCGGUGUGGAUCGGGUGGCCCAGCGUUAACCACACCCUUCGGCCUGGGCGUUUUGCGUAAGAACCCUCCUGGAAGUUAGAAUUUUAACCCGUAGUCCACUCUGGUGGAAACCUGUGUCUGUGGGGUUUUUGCAGGGAAGCCCCUGCACUUUCCAGAAAAUUGUGCCCAGUCCAGACAAUAGAAAAAACCAUAGAAAAUAAAACAGAAAUUGAUUUUUAAUGCAUAAAUAAAUGUUAGAACUUGUUAAAUUCCUAGAAAAUCCAUAUGAACUCCAAAUUAUUCCAUUCCAGUUUCUAAAUUUUUGUAAUAUUAUUGUCUAACCAUUUGUGCUACUGUUUUGACAUGAAAAACACAUUAAAAUUAUCUAGUACUUAAUCUUGUAUUAAAUACAUAAAACCUUGGAAAAUUUAUAACUUAAAAUCCAUAACUCCAAAUUUAAUGAUUUCAGUUCCUAUGAUCUUAUUUUAAUGUCUAGAUUAUUAUUGUGUAUUUUAAUUAUAUGUUUGGUGUGAUGUUAAUUUUUGCUAUACUAUGUAUGUAUUGUAUCGAUGCGAGUAGACGAGCAAACUGCAGAGGAUUCCGAGGUUCAGCUGGUAGAGACUGCUGAGCAGGAGCUCGUUGAAGGCAAGUUGUGCUCUUGAUCACUUCUUUUACCCAGUCAUGUUCUUAUUAAUCAUAAUGAUCUGCAUAGGUUAAUUUUGAUGGGACCCAAUAGGUUACCAUAGAUUUUGACUAUCUUUAUACCUUGUUUCACCACUGGUUUUACUACUAAAUUUUUGGGUAGUAUAUGCUAUUGCUUUAUGUGGCUUUGGGUAUAGAGAUAUUCAUCACUCAUUGUUAUACUCUUUAUUAUCUGUUUAUUAUUUACUGUCAUGAUAAGAUCAUUAUGUUAAUGGGAACAUGGAGAACCACCCGAGAAAACGAUGCUACCACAAGGGUUUAAUGGGACGCCCUUGGCUGAUUAACUAGGAAAGCUAGUGGAUGACUACCUUACCCGAAAGGGGCAAGGGCAGUUGGAGAGUGGUCAGUGUAGGGAGGUCCUUGGGUUGAUUUUGCUGCGAUGGCGGUCAGGCGAGGGAUUCCUGCACUGGAGCUUCCUAUAAACUGUAGCGGGUUUUCUAAAGCUAGUGGAACUUUGUAAAGGCCUCGUAGUGGUACCCUGCCUCGCUUCCUUGGUAGAGGUGUAUUGGGUCUGAUAAACUCCAUGGCAAAUGGGUAACACGACUUGUGGGUAAAGAUGCACAACCUCUGCAGAGUGUAAAACUGGUAUACUAGCCGUGCUCACAGUCAUGAGCGGCUCGGACACUCACAUGAUUAAUCUAUGGAACUUAAACUCAAUCUGUCAUUUCAUUACAUCUGGGAUUAUUUCAUUAUUACUUUUAUUUAUUAUUUCUAAGGUUUGGUAUUUACUUAUACUUAGUAAUUGCUAAUAAAAUUUUGACCAACUUAUAAAAGCAAUGCUCAGCUUCAGCCUUUAUUUCAUUGAUCAGCCUUACACUUCAUGAACUCCCACCUUUGGUGAGUUCAUGCCACAGUAUUCCCCACAACUUGUUGAGCGAUGAACAUGUGUGAGCUCACUCUUGCUAUCUCACACCCCCCACAGGAGAAGAACAGGUGGUCGAAGAGGAGCCGCCUAACUCUAAGGCUUUCGACUUGAUCUAGGUGGCGUCUCCCAGUCAGCUUUCUGGCGCCAAGGAUAGAUUUUAGUUCCUGCUAUCUUUAUCUUUUAUUUUGUAAGACUUCCGCUAUGUAAUAAGUACUCUGAUUAUAUUGUGACAUUUAUCUCUAUACACUCUGUUAUUAUAUAUGUUGUCUUCUUUGGCGCAUGUAUGAGAUGCACCCGACUUUGUUCCUUAAAACCGGGUGCGACAGAAGUGGUAUCAGAGGAAAUGUUGACUGUAGGGCGAAACCUAGAUAGAAAUGGACAAAACCCUAAUCUACUUACCUUACUCUGAUUCUUUCUAUACUUAUCUUAUCUUGAUCCUGUCUCACCUUUUGUUGUCAUACUCUGAUUACUCUUAUCUUUUCUGCUCUAAGACAAGAUGGAUUUCACACCUUAGAAUCCUACAUUUAUGAACUUUUUUUAGAGAUAGGAAACCCAAGACAAAAUUAAAAUUAUUUUCUCUAUUAAAAAUGUUGGUUGAUUGUUCUGAUGAUCAAUGCCUGAUUUGCUUCUUUGAUUGAUUGAAACAUUAUAGUUGGGCAUCUUAGCAUGUACCACCAUGAGGUAAUGUAUUAGCUUUAGUGGAUAACACACUAAUCUACUUAGCUAAUAAAUCCCCCUCAGUAACAUUCCUCGUAAUUACUCGCCUUGUUUACAAUUAUUCCUUUCCUACCCUGUGUUUCUAACCCAGAUGGGCUACCCCUAUACUGUUAGAAGAGAACAAUAUAGACUUGAUCCUUGGUAUGUCAUGGUUAAGAAAGGCAAAGAAAGUUUAUACACUAUGUUAAGGGAACCAUAGAACUAACCAGUUCCAAAGGAGAAAGAUUUGAAGUUGGAAUUGCAGUAACUACCGCCACCAGACUCGUGGCAUUCUUAGUAGAUGGGAAGUUUGUUGGUGUCAACAUCCGUGUGGUUAGAGAUUUUUCGGAUGUCUUCCCAGAAGAGUUACCAGGGAUGCCACCAUAUAAGGAAGUUGAGUUUGUCAUUGAUCCCUUACCUGGGACUGCUCUUACUUCCAAACGGUCGUACGAGAUGUCGGUAGAAGAGUUAAAAGAACUUAAGAAGCAGUUGACAAAGUUGCAAGAGGCUGGGUACAUUUGACCGAGUUCUUCACCUUCGGGAGCAACGAUUCUGUUUGUACAGAAGAAGAAUGGAUCACAGCGGAUGUGCGUGGAUUAUAGAUCACUUAACGAUGUCACUGUGAAGAACAAGUGUUCAUUACCCCACAUUGAGGAUUUAUUUAAUCGGAUGAGAGGUGCAAGGGUAUUCUCGAAGAUUGAUCUCCGAUCGGGUUAUCAUCAAAUGAAGAUUUGGCCAUUGGAUAUUCCCAAGACGAAUUUCUCGACCCGAUAUGGUUUAUAUGAGUUCACUGUUAUGUCAUUUGGACUAACCAAUGCACCAGCUUAUUUUAUGAAUUUGAUGAAUAAGGUGUUUAUGGAGUAUUUUGGACAGAUUCGUCGUAGUAUUCAUCGACGAUAUACUUAUCUAUUCCAAGAGUGAUAGUGAUCAUGAGGAACAUCUGAGAUUGGUGCUACAGAAGCUAUGAGAUAAUCAACUCUACGCCAAGUUUAGCAAGUGUGAGUUUUGGAUUAGCGAGGUGCCAUUUCUUGGACAUAUCAUUUCUAAUGGAGGAAUAUCAAUGGAUCCUGCUAAGGUUAAGGAGAUAAUGGAGUGGAGAGUACCCACUACAGUUACGGAGGUUUGGAGUCUCUUGGGACUUGUAGGAUAUUAUCGAAGAUUUAUUGAAAGAUUUUCUAAGAUUGCUAAGCCUAUGACCUCGCUUCUGGAGAAAGGAAGAGAGUUUAAGUGGGACGAGAAGUGCCAAGACAGCUUUGAUCAAUUAAAGAAGAGAUUGAUGUCACCACCAUUGUUGGUUAUGCCAGAUCUACAAAAGGGAUUUGAUAUCUAUUGUGAUGCAUGUGGCCAAGGCUUAGGAUGUGUGCUCAUGCAAAAAGUACAUGUGAUUGCCUAUGCGUCUCAUCAGUUGUGGAAACAUGAAUUGAACUACCCCACUCAUGACUUGGAACUGGCAGCCGCUGUGCAUGCACUUAAGAUAUGGAGGCAUUAUAUUAUGGGAAUCAAGUGCCAAGUGUACACGGAUCAUAAGAGAUUGAAGUACAUAUUCACUCAGAAGGAUCUCAACCUUAUGCAACGCCGUUGGUUGGAGCUUAUUAAGGAUUAUGAUUUGGAGAUUCACUAUCACCCGGGCAAGGCAAAUUUGGUUGCAGAUGCCUUGAGUCGAAAGGAGCAUGUUCAUUCAGCUGUUGUUGCCCAGCUACCCGAUGAGAUUGUUGAGGAUUUCAGGAGACUUAACCUGGGGAUAGUUGCUCACACUGAAGGAGUUACUAUUAAUGUGGAACCUACUUUGAAGCAAGAGAUCCACAAAGGUCAGAUUGGUGAUGCUAAAAUACAAGAGAUUAAGGAUCUGAUUACUGAAGGUCGAGGUCCAGAAUUCACGGAAGAUGAGCAAGGCACCGUAUGGUUCAAGGACAGGAUAUGUGUUCCUGAUAUUGAAAGCCUUCGUGAGACUAUUUUAAAGGAGGCCCAUGACUCGGAUUAUUCUAUUCAUCCUGGUAGUACCAAGAUGUAUCAGGAUUUGAAGCAGAAGUAUUGGUGGUAUGGACUGAAGAGAGAUGUGGUUGCACAUGUGGCUAUAUGCGAUGUGUGUCAAAGAGUCAAGGUCGGACAUCAAAGACCAGCUGGACUAUUGCACCCGCUUAAGAGACCCGAGUGGAAAUGGGAAGAAAUUGGUAUGGAUUUCAUUGUUGGACUAUCCUGCACCCCUGCUGGGUAUGACUCUAUUUGGGAGAUUGUGGAUAGAUUGACUAAAGUGGCUCACUUUAUUCCUGUCAAGACUACUUAUAAAGGUUCUCAACUGGCAGAGUUAUAUAUAGCUCGGAUUGUGUGUUUACAUGGAGUACUAAAGAAGAUCGUGUCUGAUCGAGGUUCACAGUUUACCUCAAGGUUUUGGAGAAGCUUUCAUGAGAAUAUGAGCACUAAAUUGAACUUUAGUACGGCUUAUCACCCUCAGACUGAUGGACAGACUGAAAGGACUAAUCAAGUAUUGGAAGACAUGUUGAGAGCUUGUGCCCUUCAACAUGGAGGAAGUUGGGAUAAAAGUCUACCUUAUGCUGAGUUCUCAUAUAAUAAUAGCUAUCAGGCCAGUCCGAAGAUGUCACCUUUUGAAGCUUUAUAUGGGAGGAAGUGCAUGACUCCUCUAUAUUGGGAUCAGACUGGAGAAAGACAGUUCUUUGGGCCUGAACUGAUUCAAGAAACAGAAGAACAAGUCCGUAUAAUUCGAGAAAUUUGAGGGUAGCUCAAACCAGGCAAAAGAGUUAUGCUGAUAAUAGAAGAAGACUACUGGAGUUUAAGGAGGGUGAUCACGUGUAUCUGAAGGUGUCACCGAUCCGGGGUAUGAGGAGAUUUAAAGUUAAAGGAAAGUUGUCCCCUCGCUUCAUUGGACCUUUCUUGAUCUUUAAGCGAGUGGAAGAAGUCGCAUAUCAACUUGAACUACCAAAUCAUCUGGCUGAUGUACAUGAUGUAUUCCAUGUAUCCCAACUAAAGAAGUGCCACAGGGUACCUGAGGAGCAGCUACCAAUGGAGAACCUUAGCGUUCAAGAUGACCUGACUUAUGCUGAGUACCCUAUCAAGAUUCUGGACACUUCGACUCGAGUUACAAGAAAUAAGGUGAUAAAAAUGUGCAAAGUACAAUGGAGUCACCAUGGAGAAGAUGAAGCUACUUGGGAAAGAGAAGAAGAGCUUCGCAUAGAUUUUCCCCAUCUUUUUCAUAGUCCUUCCUAAAUCUCGAGGACGAGAUUCUUGUUAAGGGGGUAGGAUUUGUAAUACCCAAAUUAUAAGGAAUAAUAAAAGUAGAAUUUGUCUCCUCUAUAUAUGUGUAUGUAUCUCUAUUUGUCAUCACAUGUGAACACCGUCUUUAAAAACAAUUAAUAAAAAUAUAUACCACUAAAAUAUUGCAUCAUGUUGAGUCUUAUGUUUGUGCAUCUAAUACUGGCUGGAUUAAUAAAAAUGUGCUAAUGUCUAAAUUAGAAUUUAAUCAAAGAAUUAUAAUUUAGAGCAUUGGAAUAAUAAAACUAGAAAUGGGAAGGAAAUAAGAAACAUGUUACAUAAAAUAAAAAUAAAAAUAAGAAUAAAAUUCUUACCUAACUGGUGCAUUCAAUUGUACAUUUAAAAGAAUACAAAUUCACCACAGAUUUAGGAUUCAGAUUUGGAUUCAAAAAUAUAAGAAAGAAAAGAGAAUAACAGCAAAAGAAAAGAAAAAGAAAUAAGAAAAACUCGCUUGGGCCAAAUUCAGUCCGUUCGGCCCACUAACCUGCGCGCGUCCGGUCCAGCUGCCAAUGUCUACCCGCGUGCACCCUGUGCCACUACGAGUGGGACCAACUCGUCAGCUAACGAUCCCGCGCGUGUCGUCCGGUGGAAAAGGUGGGGCCGCCCGGUCAGCUAGCCAUUAACUCUUUCCUGCGCACGCUGCGUCUGUGGCCAUCUCUAAGUGGUGGGCCCGCAUCGUCAGCCCGUCUUCCUUGCUCCGGCGCGCAACAAACUCUGUGCACGACACGCGAGAUCGCCACGGGAGCUCAACCACCUGAACUGCGUGGCCGAUUUCGCCGGGGGAGGGUUCCACAAAUAAUUAGCCGCCUGUCCUAGCGCGUUCCUUCGCCUCCCAUCAUCCUCUACCAACGCCGUGCAAGUUGUUCGCCGCUGCCUGACACGAAGGGGGUCGCCGUGGGGGAAAUCACGGCGAGCGAACUAUUCAGGCGCGCCGCUUGCUGUGGGGGCAUCGCUUGUCUGCGGGGGAGUCGAACGGACCCUCUUCGGGUGGCGCUCGGGUCAGGAGCACCACCAAUUGCUCGCCGGCGUGCUGAAUCCAUCCCGGGCCGCACCGAUACGUAGACGGGAGUCCACGGGCCUUCCUUCGUUUCGGUAAGACUUCCUGUGCAUACGCUUUCACCUUCCGUUCGAAACGGUGUAGGUCUCGCGUAGGUUCGAGCAGUAGUCGACCGGUUUGGUAGAACGCCUGUGAGGGGGCCGCCUUGGGCGUGUCUGCGCCGCCGCGCUCGGUUGCGGGAGGUGGAAGCUGAUCCACGGUCAUUGGAUCUCCAUCCCGCGCCCGUGAUUAAUCCAAGGGGGCGUACCGCUUCGGGAGUUAGCGAGCGCCGUUCGAUCUAGAUCGUUCGGUUGGCGAUCGGCGUAGGCUACUUUGAAUUGGGAGUCGUUGAUCGCGUAUCCUGCGGCUCGGAUUGCAUACCGGUUCAGCGAAUACAACUUCUAAUUUGGGCCGUCCGGUGUGGAUCGGGUGGCCGAGCGUUAACCACACCCUUCGGCCUAGGCGUUUUGCGUAAGAACCCUCCUGGAAGUUAGAAUUUUAACCCGUAGUCCACUCUGGUGGAAACCUGUGUCUGUGGGGUUUUUGCAGGGAAGCCCCUACACUUUCCAGAAAAUUGUGCCCAGUCCAGACAAUAGAAAAAAACAUAGAAAAUAAAACAGAAAUUGAUUUUUAAUGCAUAAAUAAAUGUUAGAACUUGUUAAAUUCCUAGAAAAUCCAUAUGAACUCCAAAUUAGUCCAUUCUAGUUUCUAAAUUUUUGUAAUAUUAUUGUCUAACCAUUAGUGCUACUGUUUUGAUAAGAAAAACACAUUAAAUUUAUCUAGUACUUAAUCUUGUAUUAAAUACAUAAAACCUUGGAAAAUUCAUAACUUAAAAUCCAUAACUCCAAAUUUAAUGAUUUCAGUUCCUAUGAUCUUAUUUUAAUGUCUAGAUUAUUAUUGUGUAUUUUAAUUACAUGUUUGGUGUGAUGUUAAUUUUUGCUAUACUAUGUAUGUAUUGUAUUGAUGCGAGUAGACGAGCAAGCUGUAGAGGUUUCCGAGGUUCAGCUGGUGGAGACUGCUGAGCAGGAGCUCGUUGAAGGCAAGUUGUGCCCUUGAUCACUUAUUUUACCCAGUCAUGUUCUUAUUAAUCAUAAUGAUCUGCAUAGGUUAAUUUUGAUGGGACCCAAUAGGUUACCAUAGAUUUUGACUAUCUUUAUACCUUGUUUCACCACUGGUUUUACUACUAAAUUUUUGGGUAGUAUAUGCUAUUGCUUUAUGUGGCUUUGGGUAUAGAGAUAUUCAUCACUCAUUGUUAUACUCUUUAUUAUCUGUUUAUUAUUUACUAUCAUGAUAAGAUCAUUAUGUUAAUGGGAACAUGGAGAACCACCCGAGAAAACGGUGCUACCACAAGGGUUUAAUGGGACACCCUUGGCUGAUUAACUAGAAAAGCUAUUGGAUAACUACCUUACCCGAAAGGGGCAAGGGCAGUAGGGGAGUGGUUAGUGUAGGGAGGUCCUUGGGUUGAUUUUGCUGCGAUGGCGGUCAGGCGAGGGAUUCCUGCACUAGAGCUUCCUAUAAACUGUAGCGGGUUUUCUGAAGCUAGUGGAAUUUGUAAAGGCCUCGUAGUGGUACCCUGCCUCGCUUCCUUGGUAGAGGUGUAUGGGGUCUAAUCAACUCCGUGGCAAAUGGGUAACACGACUUGUGGGUAAAGAUGCACAACCUCUGCAGAGUGUAAAACUGGUAUACUAGCCGUGCUCACGGUCAUGAGCGGCUCGGACACUCACAUGAUUAAUCUAUGGAACUUAAACUCAAUCUGUCAUUUCAUUGCAUCUGGGAUUAUUUCAUUAUUACUUUUAUUUAUUAUUUCUAAGGUUUGGUAUUUACUUAUACUUAGUAAUUGCUAAUAAAAUUUUGACCAACUUAUAAAAGCAAUGCUCAUCUUCAGCCUUUAUUUCAUUGAUCAGCCUUACACUUCAUGAACUCCCACCUUUGGUGAGUUCAUGCCACAUUAUUCCCCACAACUUGUUGAGCGAUGAACAUGUGUGAGCUCACUCUUGCUGUCUCACACCCCCCACAGGAGAAGAACAGGUGGUCGAAGAGGAGCCGCCUAACUCUAAGGCUUUCGACUUGAUCUAGGUGGCGUCUCCCAGUCAGCUUUCUGGUGCCAAGGAUAGAUUUUAGUUCCUGCUAUCUUCAUCUUUUAUUUUGUAAGACCUCCGCUAUGUAAUAAGUACUCUGAUUAUAUUGUGACAUUUAUCUCUAUACACUUUGUUAUUAUAUAUGUUGUCUUCUUUGGCGCAUGUAUGAGAUGCACCCGGCUUUGUUCCUUAAAACCGGGUGUGACACCGAAAUAUAUUAAAAAUGAACAAAGUUACAAGGAAGACAAAUAAGGGUGAAAAGAGAAAUCACUUGAGAAACAAAAAUAGAGAUAACAAAUAUGAGCUCAAUUACAAUCGGCAGUAUAGCCAUGGGACAAUACUUAGGAGGCAUUUUUCGUUCUUGUGUAGGAUAACUAAGAAAAAGACAUUCUUGAAGAUGAACUCACAUUGCUCUCUUAAGGUCUCUUCUCCUCCAAAGAUGAAUUGUUUCUUCGCUCCUGAAAAUUCCCUUUGACCGGGAACACAAAUCUAGAUGUUGCUUAGACUUCUAGAGGGUGUGGAUAGAUGAAUAAAAAUUACAACAAAAAACGUAGAAUUUCUUACUCUACUCGAAGCAGUGUACACAGCGGAAUGGUCGAGUUGAGUAGAUCAUAACGGAAUUAAAGUCCCUGACUCACAAUAGUCUGCACUUCAUCAUAAAUAACAUAUACCAAGAUGAGAGCAGAAGUGCAAUUAACAAAUCAAACAAGAACAGAAAGACAGAGACACAUAUAUUUCUUUCAUGCUUUGGCCAAGCAUGAAAUGCUUGCCGAUAUCCAUGUUGGAGUUAACCAACCUGGCUUGUAAUCUACUUCAACUCCUUCCUCUAUUUACUCAGAUCCACCGACAGGUGACAAACAAAAACUUCUCCUUAUAUCCGAUGGUGUAGCAGUAUAGCAGAACCGUGACUAUCACAACUUGAUAGCUCGACGGUGGAUGAACACAACGUCGUCUUAUCUCGCAACAGCACAUUCCCUCUCUCUUUUGGCUUAUAACUGUGCUAACACCUGAUCUAGAGAGAAAUACAUAAAGAGAGGGGUAGAAAAUCACUAAAAAAUAUUAUUGUGCUUGCUUGCUGCCCUGGUUAUUUAGGUUUUAGGCAUGGGAGGCUCCUUUAUAUGGCCCCAAGCAUCAAGUAGCCAUUAGAGAACUUCCUCAAAAACUGACUUCCGGGUGGCGCAUUGGACCUCCAACGGUCGCUAGCCCUCCGGGAACUUGAUUGGCCCUUUUCUCUUUUGGGUGGCAUUAGACCAGUGGACCCCCCUUGUAGAUAUUACGUGCCCGAAGUCAUCGUUGGCCUGCUGGUUCCUGUAGCAGGCCCGGUGCACAUGACCGGUUCCUAUAGCAGGUUUAGUGCACAUAGAACCGAGUCCUAUAGAAGGUCAUGUAGAGGGUCCGGUGCACCCAGACUACAAAUUUCAAGUCAUUUUCUUCCAUUCUUUCUCCAAUUUACUUCAACUCUUUGGAGGACUUUCCUGUGACUUAUACACACAUAAUUAGAGAGUAAUCCAGUUGACAAAGUCUCAUGAACUUACCUCUUUCUUAAUCUUUCUCCAGCUUUUCUGUUUCUCCUCAAACAGAGCCCUGAAUGACACUUUCUCUACAAACAAGAUUAGAGAGGAAACCAGAGUGUCAUAUACAUAGUAAAAGUUGUAUGUAACAUAUUCAAACAACCAAACCUUGCAUACUUAACCUUUUUCAAUGUUUUGCUUUUUUUGGCUUGUUUGAGGUUGGGGUUGGACUCCAAAGCCUCGAGUUGCCAUAGCCUGAGCUUAAUGGUCAUCUAUGAGCUCCAACACCCUGCAAUGGGUCACAUAGAACAUUUCCAAACACAAGAGUGAUCCAAACUAAAAGUCAAAAUGAACUCAGCUCUUUUGGAUCACUUCUAGGUUCUGACUUUGAUACUUCUCCUCUUUCUUGUGACCAUGUCCUUCUACUUGAGCUAGGAUCUUGAGCCUUAUGACUUGAACCAUAAACCAUAAUAAUUACCUCAAUGGUUCCAAGACAUGGCCUUAAGUUGUGAUCCUUGAUGCACCAUAGCCUUCCUCAACUCAAUCAACCUUGACUUUGCAAGCCAUCUUCUUCACCUCCAGCUUUAGGUACCUUGGUCUCCAUGACCUUCUCUCGUGCACUCGGUUCCUCGAAGUUCUUCUUGCCUCCAUCCUCUGUUCAACUUGUUGACUCCAAGUUAUGCACAUCAGUUCCACCUAAGCAUUGACAAUCCUUCAACUUGAAUUGUGAUGUCCACAAUCCAUAGCCACUUAGCCUUUUGGAACAUUACAUCUUUCUCCAUGUGUUGAGCCUCUUAGUCUUUUCACUCAGCAUCUUUUCAACACUUAACACCAUGUUAGACCUUUAGUUAUGUUGCCAUCCAAAACACCAAAACCCAUAAGGGAGCUUUCAACUCCAUAUAGUCCAGCAAAGAAUGAUGAUUAUUAAUUAAAAUGGAACAUUGAGGUGAGCUCCAAGAUAUGGAAUGGCCUUGGGAGGGGACUACAUGCCUAUGAAGUUCCAAUAAUUUUGCGAACUUGCGGUGCAUAUAAUUUUAAUCUUAGUCACAUUAAUUAGAAUCAACAUACGCUAAUGCACUUUCAUAUAUAAAAUUAUAUAGGACCAUGUAUAGCAAAAUUAUUCGGCUUUGCUUGGCAUUAGAUAAGAUGGUAAGCCUAAUGGGAUCUUCCAUUGAAAGUUUGAGAUGUUGAAAUAACUCUCUUUAACAUUGUCAAUAGAUAAUGAUGAAAAUUGAACAACUCAUUUUCCCCUUUGGUAUUGGGCCUUGUCUAAACUCUAGCAGAUGAUGCUUCACCCCUUUAUAUGGUGUGGUACAAUUCGGUCGAUUUGGAUAGUUUGAGUCCAUGAAAUAAUUUAUUAAACAUAAAAUAGGUACAAAUAAUUUGCAAAUAUGCACAUUAGAUGCUAAAUGAUAUGGAACACGAAAAUUUGGUUUUGUUGGGUUUAUCUCAUCCAUCUUGGUCAAGAAACCUAGUCAGACCACCUCAUGUGUCCUCAUUGGGGGCGCAACAACCUUAUGGUUAUGGCCUCAAGGUAUAUAAAUUAAGAAAGAAGGACGAUAUAUCUCCCAAACAUGUACACUUGAGAUUUGAUUUAUCGCUACACGGUUAGUGAAGGAAAGACCAUGCUCAUCAUCAUAGUCAUCCCCGACUAUGGCUGCCACCACUAUAAUUGUGUCUUUUACCAACACCAAAGGUAUAACCUUCAUGACCUAGUAUUUUGUGGCUAAGGUUUAUGAGCAAGGUGUCCAUAGUAUAACAGUGAUACAUAGCCAUGGUUGGGAUCAAACCCUAACCCUAGAUGAUACACAAUCUUUGAUUAAAAGAUGAAUCUGAGUAAAACCCCCUAAGGACUCGGAUUCAUUAAUUAGAAAAGCAUGCAUAAGAAUGGGGGAUUCAACCCGUACAUGGUUUUAUCAAAUCCUUGAAACUCUGACCCUAACUUCCAAUACCGAACACACAUAGAAGAUAAAGGGGGCAAUAAGACUUACCUAGUUGUCGGUAGGCCAUGGAAGAGGGUGGCACGACCGUCGGUCUCAUGCAUGAUGGAGUAUGCGGAUCAUAGGGCACCAUCGAGAGGCUCCUCGAUGGAGAUGUGUUCACCCUCAGGUGAGUGUGUGCACCGAUGGGGGCCCCAUGGGCGGUGCUAGCACUCCACCAUGCUCUCCCUGUCACACCCAGUUUUGGAAGGUAAACCGAAUGUGAACCAUGUACGUUCCAGGAUCAGAAAUUAUGUACACAGCGAUUAUAUAAUUGGACAUCGUCAUAAAUUGCUCAAAAUAAUAGCAGAAAUAAGUACUUAAUUACAUCAAGAUGUCUGAAACAUCCACAAAGUCAUUAAAUUUAACUAUCAUCAAAGUGUUGAACAAAAUGCAGUACGAUAAGGCAUUCACAGGCAGCUGACUGGGGGUUUGCCACUAAUCUAUUCUAGAACUCGUUGUAGUCCUGAAACUCCUGAAAGUCCUCCAUGUUGCCUUCAUCUUCUCCUGAGCACUGGUUGCAAUGGGGACAACCUGGGGUUUGGUGUUUUUAAGCAAGGGUGAGUACACAUCAACGUACUCAACAAAUGUCCCGUUUGGCUAAAGUGGACUAGCUAUAUGUGGGGUUAAGCUUAGACUAUUUGCUUUUAGUUGGUCAGGUAUUUAUUACUAGUAGAGAGCCAAGUUUUAGCAAUAACCUCAAGUUGUUACCCAAAUGGCACUCCCUCCAAGAGGAAAUACCAUAAACCAUCAUUUUAAAUAUCAUCAUUAAGCAUCAUCAUAAAGGUAUACAGAGUAACUUUAAUCAAAGGAGCUCCCAAGGCUGCUCAUAACCGUGAGCACAGCUGAUAUACCAGUUUCUAACCCUUUGUAGAGGCCGCACACUUUCCCCAUGAGUCAUGAUCCCUUUUUUCCUCGGGUCAAUCAAACCCUCAAACACUACCAAGGUGAGUCGGGAAGGUUUCACUAUGUAGCCUUUACAAAGAUUCCCUAGAGGUCAUAGCCGCUCGUUAGGUUUCUCCAGUUUGAUAAACACAAUACCUCUCCUCACAGGAAGGGUGACUAACAAAAGCAACAUGAAAGAACCUCAGCACCCAGCCUCAGUAGAGCAAAUACUGUGCCUGAACCCCAUUGACGGCACGACGACAAAGCUGACUACACCUCAAGUUCCUCUAAUUAAUCAGCUAAGGGCGUCCCAUACCAUCCUCAUGGUUGUACUAUUUUCCCGGGUGGUCAUCCAACGAACAGGUCCUUACAGAGAGGUACUCGAGAAAGAACCCGUGUCCCCUAAAGUAUCACAAGUUCAUCAUCAUAUCCAGAAUAACAUCAUCAUAUCAUAAAUAUUCUCAUCAUGUUCAUUGAUUAAAGUAAAGCAAUACCAUAAUACUAAUCAUAGUAACCAAUUCCCAAAGGAUAACCAAGGACACGAAAAAUAGAACACUAGUCAAUCCUUAGGUUGAUCAUGGUAUGCGAGACAGUGAAUGAUAAAGUAAGUAGGACAUAAUGGGUCAGUGGACACUAGCCUUCACCAGGUUGCUGCUCAGGGAAGUCUCCUGCAACAAACUCAAGAACCACGGACUGCUUGUUGUCUACACAAAGAAAUCACUCAUUCAACACGCUUGGGAAAUAACAUAAGAACAGUACACCAAACAUAUGCAACAGAGUGAACAUAGGUUUAGUAAAAGGGUAAAGACACACAUGUGAAUUCUAAGUUUCGGGGUAGAUCACUAUGCCAAGUGGUAUAUUGUUCUCUAACUUGGUCUAUCUUAGUAAAUUACUUAAAUAAACUUAUUCUAGGGAUGGGAUCAUACAUUAAAUGGGAUUAGGUCUACAAAGUUAGGCAUUUGAACAUUCAUUAGGGUUUUACCUUUAUUUUAUUUCUAAUGAAAUUCCCAUAUCCUUACUCUAACCUAGAGACCAACUAUAAAAUUGAGACAUAUAAAUAGUGGAUGAAUAUAAUUUAAACAGAUACAAAAUAACAUAAUGAACAUUUUGCAAUUUGAACCAUCCAAUUUGGAGAUCAUAUGACAAAGUUAUGAAUUUUGGAAGUUUUAGAAAUAAAAACCCCUAAUUUAUACCCAUUUUUCUAAUUAAAUAAAAACCUGGGGUUCUCUCUGCAUGAACCCUGGGACUCGGCUGUAAGGGCUAAGGACAACGGGUUCUAAUUCUAGGAAACCAAGGGGUUUAAAGCAAAACACCGCGGCGAAGGGGUAUUAGGCCACGUGGGCCAUCGGAUCGCCGACCGACGGUCACGAUUAGACCGGAGAGGGGGGAGAUCGCACCCGUGCUAGCGCGCAGGCCCACAUGCCAGCGUCUCAGGUGGGGUGGGGGACGAGCGGCGGGGCGCUAACGCGUGGGGUGGUCGACAGGAGGGGCCACGAUGCGUCUGGGCCUGCUGGUCAGCGGCACGGGGCAAGUGCGGGCGCGGACACAGACGUACGAUGACGGACGGGGCUCGCCGGGCAGCGACCCAGUGCGGAGGGGAGGGGGUCAGCGCGGCAUGCUGCGCUGAUGCGUGGGACUAGUGGGUCCGCCGGUCAGUGGCCACACGAGGGGGAAGAAAAGGGUGAGGAGGGCUGAGGCUGCUGGGUGGACCCUAGCUGUCAGGGUUGUCUUCAACCCCGAGCUAAGCGCACAGCCGACCGCACUCGACGACGAGGGUGCCCUCCUCGGGCACGUGGUAUCCGUCUAGAGCGGCAUAGCUGCUCGGCAUCACGGCCGCAACGAAGGGAGGAAGAGAGAGGGAGAAGAGAGGGGGUAAACGGCUCACCUUGGGUUAUGCCGGCGACCUCGGUGGCACGGAGCUCCGGUGGCGCUAGGCAGUCGGCGGCGCAGACGACGGCAAUGGCCAAGGUGACGGCGGCUCCGCGAGAAGUUAGGCAUGGGUGGUCACAUGUGGGGGAUGGAGGGAAUGGGGUUUAUGCUCCCAGGUGCCGGCCAUGGCGAGUGGGCGACGUGGGGAGGGGAAGGAGGCUGACAGGUGAGACCGAGGGGAUGUGCGAGCGCUCCGCGCGGGGGAACAUCUCGGGCCGAUUGCGGGGGAGGAAGGGAUGACAGGUGGGAUCGAGGCGUGAUGCGAGCCGCUGACGGGUGGGGCCCACCGAUCGGUGACCGUGGGCGCGAACAUGGACUGUGUGUUUAACGCGACUGGCAAGCGGGACCCGCACGCAGGGAGAGAGAAGCGGCACGCGUAGGUGUAGCAGUGGCGCCGACAUGCGAGGCCCGCCAGGCAGAGAGAGCGAGGGGGGAACGGGCGUGGGGCGAAGCGGGCCGGAUGGGCCAAAAGGCUGAGGGGGAAGGGGGUGACAGGCUUCUUUUGGUUUUAUUUUUAUUCUAAAUAUCUAUUCCCAUUUCUUUUUUAUUUUCUCUUUUGAAUUCAAAUCCAACCAAGCCACAAACUGAAAUUUGAAUCUUUCAAACAUAUGCAUCAAACAAAAAUCAAAUUCUAGGCUCAUCAUGAUGCAAUAAUUCAUAUCCCCUUAGGGUUUGAUCUACUAAAGUAUUAAUACAUCUCGAAAUAAAUAAUUAAACCUCUACUAAAAGGAAAAGAAAAGAAAACUAAAGAUAGGAGAAAAGAGGUAACACCUGAAUUUGGUAGAUAUUAGAGAAGAAAUUUUAUACCCCCAAAUUCAGGGUGUUACACUCCCAAACUUAUAUGAGACAAAAAGAAGGUGGAGGAAGAGGGAAGAGUCUCAAGAGUAGAAUGUGGAGAGAAGAGAGUGCUACGGGGAGAUGAAAAAUGAUUAGGAUUCUCACUCUAUGACUAAAAAAUUUGUCUUUUGUACUUAGCAUUUUUAUCCUAGUCGUUAGCUGAGAUCGAAUGUUGUAGAGUUGAUAAAGGUACUUUUGGUACCCCAAAUAUUGGGUACCCACUCCUGCUGGGUCUAGACAGGACCCCUAUGGCUAUCCGUAGCUGAUGAGGACAUCACUCCAAUACAUACAAUGAAUGGACUGAUAACACGCUUACAUGCACGACAGCUAAAUCUCCAGGUUUGUUCUAGCCUAGUCGAUUGUGUUGUCGAGCUUACACUUUGGGCCAUCGACGUUUUGUUGAUUAAGAACCUUGGAGAGGACCAGCAAGGACUUGGAAAAGGCCAAGGUGUCUAGGAGGAGAAGCAAUGACGUCCACAACAAGGAGGCGAUCAAGUCCGACUGAACUGCAAUUCCAUCUCGAGUUCCAGGACCAGUCUGCACUAAAAUGGACUCCUAGGACGCAUCUGAACUCCGAUUGGGUCGGCCUUGUUAUGGUUGGAAAGCUAAGGAGAUAAGUUAAUCAACCCAACUGGUCCUGACCUAGAGGUAAUCCAGAGUCAAUAAGAAUCAUCGAAACAAGUCAGUGUCCAGAUUCUGUUUUGGUGCUACGACACCGUCUGUUAGGAUGUUGGCCCGUGUAUCACGUUAGAGCCCAUUAGUUCACGUCCAGGGGAUUUGCACCCCCUAGACUCUUUAAUAGCAGCAGCGACCGCCGCCAUUAGGGUUUCAUUUUGAUUAGAUCAUAUUUGUCAUCGAACAGUAUCGUCGCUCAUCAGUUUGUGAGACUCCAACUCAUAAUCAACACAACUUUGGUUGUGUUCUUCCUGUUCUUGCUUGUGUUCUUGAUUGCGUUUGCAAGGAUAAGCCUUCUUGGCGAGGUCACUCAUGUGACAUGGGUGAUAACCAACAGAGCAGUGUGUAGUGAUUGUGAGCAUCCAUUCGCUCGGAGCCUUUGAUCAUCAAAGUUGAGAUCUCCACUCAAUCAAGUUAUCCUAUCUCAUGGAAGAUCACGCCUUUCCCUCUAUCAAGUGAUAUCAAGAUUCAGGUUGACCGUGAGGUAUAAUCCUACCUUUAGAUUUAUUUUGUUAUUCCUAUAACCCACAAAAAAGCCAAAGAGAAAAGAGUCCUAACAUUAUGUCAUAUCUUUAAAAACCAUUAGUAUAUUUUGACCUACAGACUUUGUCUUAGCCUUUGCACAAUUCAGUUUUGGAGUCCACGAUUCUGAAUCCGUGUCCUAGGUUGAGUCAAUUGCAGGUUUAGAUUUGUUUUAGGUCUGAUUGUUCAUUACCAUAUGCUGCCAUCCAACAAACUCAAUCUUGAUAAACUGAUUUCAUCCAUAAAACUGACCCUACCCAUAAACCGAACCCAUUCACCCUUCACUUGCCUCACCAAUGACCCUAAUUAUGUUGUUGGCUUAGAUUUGUGUUGGGUCAGUUUGGUUUUUAUCAUCCGCUGCCAUCCAAUAAAUUCAAUCUCGAUAAACCGAUCCCACAUACAGAACAAAUCAUACCUAAAAAACAGACCCGAUCCACAAAACUGAUCCCCACACUUCCAACGCCUCACCAUAAACCCUGAUUCGGAGUCCAAACUUAAGACGGCCAUAACUUUCGCCUCAGAACUCGAAUUGGGCCCAUUUUUCAAAGCGCACAGAAUUAAUUUUCGCAUUUUAUUCUCUCCCACUUUGCGAGAUUCAAUGUUUUUAAAAUCCCCAAAUUCGGCCUGGAAGUAUGAGUUAUCAUUUUCCAACCAUUUAAUCUGAAUUUAGGGCAAACUUGCAGAAAUUCCAGAGAACGCGUCUUUGCACCAAAAAAUUCUAAAUUUGGUGUGUUUCCUUCUUAUGUGCUGCUGCAAAAGGAAAAAAUGUUUGAAAAAAAUCACAAAAAACAACAACUAGAGCAAAAAUCAGGGAAAAAGAGAAAAAAGAGUAGCACAUAAGAAGAAAAACCAUUGUUCUAUGCACAUGUGUGAUUAUUUUGCUCCCACCUUGUUUCCUUGCUGCACCUAGAUACUUGUACCUCUUUCUUGUGCCUUGGUCCAACUGUUCUAAUACAUUUUCUAGACCAGCAACUAGGAUGAGUACUUGGAACACUUAUUUGGCACUUCUAUCUAUUUCUGACUUGUGUGCCACUAAUAUAUAUUUAGUGAGCCUUCCCAAAGCUCCACCUUUCUCUUAAACAGAAUAGGUACACCUUUGCAAUCACAUCCAUGCUCUUUGGUCAGUCACACCGGUCACUGUUUGCCACCUGCAGUGCUGGUAAGAAACUUGUAAGAGCGGGGUAAGACACUUUCAUAACUUGUGUUCCACCACCACCGCUGUUUGUUUGUUCCUUUUGUUUCUAUUUUGUACUAACAAUGGCAGGACCAAAGAACCAAACAGACAAUGAGAAGGGCCUUAAGCCAAACAAUGCUGAGUGCGUCUCCCAUUUGGAAUUGAAGAAGAUGAUACACGCAAUGAUGGACUCUUCCAAUAAUUACCAGGACUCUCUGGCUAUAUCCUAUGAGCAGCUUGAUCAAUGUGUUGCCGAACUUGUUAGACGCAUGCACAUGCUAGAGACUCGUCCCCCACCACAAGCUCUAGUAAUGGUAGACGUCAUCAUCAUAACCAUGAACCAGAGAAUGAUCCAUAUACUAUGAUUAAGUUCUCUAUUCCAACAUUCAUUGGUUCUUAUGAUGCUAAAGCUUAUUUAGACUAGGAGAUGACGGUAGAACAGAAAUUUAAUUCUCAUCAUGUUCUUGAGCAGCAUAGGAUUACAGAAGCCACUAGUGAGUUUAAAGAUUUUGAUAUCAUUUGGUGGAAUGAACUUGUUAACAUACGUGUUGCACCACAAACAUGGGAUGCACUGAAAGAGGAGAUGCGAGCUCAUUUUGUUCCACCUUCUAAUAGACAUGAUCUUCGAAAAAAAUUGCAACAUUUAGAUCAAGGAGACAUCUAUGUGCAGGAAUACUACCAAGAGCUUCAGAAAGGUAUGCUGCGUUGCAGGGUUGUUGAGGAUCCGGAGGACAAAAUGGUUAGGUUUUAUGGGGGUUGAGGUGGGAAAUUCAGGACAUUGUUGAUUAUAAAGAGUAUACUUAUAUACAACGUUUGUUCCACAUUUCUAUGUUGACAAAAAAAGAAUUACAGAGUCGCCAACAGUGGAGGAGAAGCAUCUUCAUGCCAUGAUAGCCUAGGGCGCCAGCAAAGGUGUCAUCCUCUUCGAGCGUAUGAACGUCGACAGCUUCCACCACCAACGGCACACGCAGCACCGCACCUUCGAUGUCAUAGGGACACGACAACAGCAGUCCUUGGUGCCUUUGGGUGUUGCAGCAAAACCUGCUGCACCCACCUCUUCCAUAGGUUGCUCCUCCGACAUCAAGUGUCACCACUUCUAGAGACUUGGCCAUAUGCACGAGUUUGCCCCAACAAACAGGCAUACAUUGCUACUGGUGACGGUGGGUAUGUUAGUGCUUCUGAUGUUGAAGAUGAAGAUACUAUUGGAGCUAACAUUGCAGGGACUGAUGAUGGUGAUGAAGAGGUCCUUGGCACAACAACGACCAAAGCAUAUAGGGCCUUGAUCGUGCAGCGUGCUUUGAGUGCCACAAUUGGCCAAGAUGACAACAUACAACGCCACAACCUUUUCAACAUGUUCCUCAUCGUCAAGGAUUGUCAUGUAGAUACCAUCAUUGACGGCGGUAGCUGCAAUAACUUGGUUAACAUUGAGGUGAUCAUGAAGCUUGUCUUGGCCACCCAAGAACAUUCCUAUCCUUAUCACAUUCAGUGGUUUAACAAUAGUGGUAGGGUCAAGGUAACACAAACAAUAAGGGUACAUUUUCCCAUUGGUUCUUAUCAUGACUUUGCUGAUUUUGAUGUGGUAACUAUGGAUGCUUGCUCUCUUUUAUUGGGGCAUCCUUCGGAGUUUGAUAUUGAUGUUAUUCACCAUGGUAGAUCUAAUAAGUAUACUUUGAUGCAUAAGGGAAAGAAAAUUAUGUUGCUUCCUAUGACCCCCACUGAAAUUGUCCACGUUGAGCAUGAGAAAAAGACUAAUGCUAAGCAAAAAGGUGUUUUGAACUAUGAAAAUCAGCAACUUAUUAAGUUAAAUACUCUCACUUUGUUGUCUAUUGAAUCUGAUCUUGAUGAGUUACAUGCCUCUGUUGGACUUCGCUAUGCCUUAGUGUGCAAAAAUGCUUUCUAUUCCAUUGAUGAUAUGUCCAUUGCUUUGCCACCGAUUACUGCCUAGCUUUUGCAGGAGUAUAUGAAUGUGUUUCCCUUUGAGAUACCCCCUGGAUUACCACCUAUGUGAGGCAUUGAGCAUAAGACUGAUUUGAUUCCACGGGUGAGCUUGCCCAACUGUGCUGCAUACAGGACCAACCCUGAGGAGACUAAGGCGAUUCAGCGCUAGGUCCAGGACCUUCUGAACUGUGGGUACAUUCGUGAGAGCCUUAGUCUUUGUUAUGUUCCUAUUCUUUUAGUUCCUAAGAAAGAUGCCACUUGGCGUAUUUGUGUUGAUUGUAGAGCCAUUAAUAACAUCACAAUUUGAUACCGAUAUCCUAUAUCUAGAUUGGAUGACAUGCUUGAUGAAUUAAGUGGUUCUAUUGUUUUCUCAAAAAUUGACUUGCGUAAUGGAUACCACUAGAUUCGUGUGGAUUUAGGUGAUGAAUGGAAAACUGUAUUUAAAACUAAGUUUGGUCUUUAUGAGUGGUUAGUCAUGCCUUUUGGGUUAACUAAUGCACCUAGUACUUUCAUUAAAUUGAUGAAUGAGGUUUUACGUGCUUUCAUUAGUAAAUUUGUUGUGGUUUAUUUUGAUGAUAUUCUUAUAUACAUCAAGUCUUAUGAUUAUCAUAUUGAACACAUAUGUGUUGUUUUUUAUGUCUUGUGUGAUGCACGUUUAUUAGGUAACCUUGAGAAGUGCACCUUUAUCACCGAUCAUGUCUUUUCUUGGAUACAUUGUGACACCAUAGGGCAUUAAGAUGGAUGAGGAAAAAUUGUUGCCAUUGCGAGCUAGCCACUUCUAACCACGGUCACGCAGGUUCAGAGUUUUCUUGGCCUUGCAGGAUUCUACAGGCGAUUUGUGCAUGAUUUCAACACCAUUGCAGCACCUCUCCACAAGUUGGCAAAGAAUGGAGUGUUGUUUCGUUGGGGACCAGCACAACAACAAGCUUUUGAUGCACUCAAGUCAAAGCAGACACAAGCACCGCUGCUGCAACUUCCUGAUUUUGACAAGACAUUCGAGCUUGAGUGCGAUGCGAGUAGCAUUGGGAUUGGAGGAGUGCUCAUCCAUGGAGGUAAACUUGUUGCCUUCUUGGCAACAUUAUGACAAAGAACUUUAUGCUUUAGUGCGAGUUCUACAAACUUGGCAACAUUAUCUAUGGUCUAAAGAAUUUGUCAUACAUUCGGAUCAUGAAACUUUGAUGUAUCUUAAGGGGCAAUCUAAUCUAAACAAACGUCAUUCUAAAUGGAUUGGAUUUAUAGUCAUUUACUUACAUUAUUAAGCAUAAAAAGGAAAGGAUAAUGUGAUUGUUGAUGCUUUGUCUAGCUGUUAUACUAUGUUGUCGCAACUUACUCAUAAAAUCUUUGAUUUGCAGACCAUAAAGGGUUUAUAUGCUACUAAUUUGGACUUCAAAGAUGCUUUUGAAAAUUGUAGAGAAGGGAGAUCAUGGCAAAAAUAUGUGUUGUGUGAAGGCCUUCUCUGUCGUGCUAACAAGAUGUGUGUUCAAGAUAGCUAUGUUCGUCUUCUACUCUUGCAGGAAGCACAUGGGGUGGCUUGAUGGGACAUUUUGGUGUUAAAAAGACUGAGGAUGUGCUAUCCACUCACUUCUAUUGGCCUCGAAUGCACCGUGAUGUUGAGCGCUACACCUCUUGUUGCACCAUGUGCAACAAAGCUAAGUCCUGACUUAACCCACAUGGUCUUUAUAUACCUCUUCCUGUUCCUUGUGCACCUUGGGAGGAUAUUUCUAUGAACUUCAUUUUGGUCUUGCCUAGAACAAAGAGGGGGAGUUAUAGCAUUUUUGUGGUUGUCGAUGUUUCUCCAAGAUGGCACAUUUUAUACCAUGUCACAAAACUGAUAAUGCUUCACAUAUUAUCGAUUUGUUCUUCACUGAGAUUGUGCAUUUACAUGGUGUGCCAAAUACUAUUGUUUCCGAUAGGGAUGCUAAGUUUUUGAUCCAUUUUGGGGAACCUUGUGGUUUAAAUUGGGGACACAAUUAUUAUUUUCUACUACUCAUCAUCCCAAACUGAUGGGUAAACAUAACUUGUUAAUAGCACUUUAUGUACUAUGUUGCGGACUGUUUUGAAAGAUAAUUUGAGGUUGUGGGAGGAGUGUUUGCCACAUAUUGAGUUUUCUUAUAACAGGUCCAUUCAUUCCACAACCAAGCUUAGUCCGUUUAUGGUAGGAUAUGGUUUUAAUCCUCGUGAUCCAAUUGAUUUGCUACCUUUACCAACCUCUGAAAUAGUGAACUUGGAUGCUACACAACAUUCUGAAUUCAUUCUUAAGUUACAUGAAACAACUAAGUUGCAAAUUGAAAAGAUGAAUGAAAAGUAUCGCAUUACUGCUAAUAAAGGUAGGAAAGAAGUAAAAUUGGAACCUAGUGACUUGGUGUGGGCUCAUCUGAGAAAGGAUAGGUUUCCUAAUUUGAGAAUGUGUAAACGCAUGCCACGUGUUGAUGGUCCUUAUAAAGUUAUCGCAAAGGUCAAUGGUAAUGCAUAUACACUUGAGUUGCCUCCAGAUUUUGGGAUUAGUCCCACCUUUAACAUUUCAUAUUUGAAGCCAUAUAUGGGUGAGGAAGAAGAGCUUGAGUCAAGGACGACUCCAACUCAAGAAGAGGAGGAUGAUGAGGACAUCACUCCAAUACAUACAAUGCAUGGACCGAUAACACGCUUACAUGCACGACAACUAAAUUUCCAGGUUCGUUCUAACCUAGUCAAUUGUGUUUUUGAGCUUACACUUGGAGCCAUGGAUGUUCUGUUGAUUAGGAACCUUAGAAAGGACCAGCAAGCACUUGGGAAAAGCCAAGGUGUCAAGGAGGACAAGCAAGGGCGUCCACAACAUGGAGGCGAUCAAGUUUGACUGAACUACAAUUCCAUCUAUAGUUCCAUCACCAGUCUACACUAAAACGAACGCCCAGGACCUAUCUGGAUUCCGAUUAGGUCUGGCUUGUAAUGGUUGGAAAGCUAAAAAGAUUAUCUGACCAACCCAACUGGUCCCGACCUAAAAUUCAUCCGGAGUCAAUGGUAAUCGUCGAAACAAAUAAGCGUCCAGAUUCUGUUUUGGUGCUGCGACACCGUCUGUUGGGCCAAUGGCCCGUAUAUCGCAUUGGAGCCCAUUAGGGAUGCGUCCAGGGGAUUUGCACGCCCCUAAAAUCUAUAUUAGCAGCAGCCACCACCACCAUUAGGGUUGGGUUUUGCUUAGAUCAUAUAUGUCAUCGAACAGUAUUGUCGUUCAUCAGUUUGUGAGACCCCAACUCGUAAUCAACACAGUUUUGGUUGUGUUCUUCUUGUUCUUGCUUAUGGUCUUGAUUGCGCUUGUAGGGAUAAGCCUUCUUGGUGAAGUCACUCAUGUGUCAUGGGUGAUAAACAAUGAAGCAGUGGUGUAGUGAUUGCGAUGAUCCAUUCGCUCAGAGCUUUGGAUCAUCAACGUCGAGAUCUCCAGCCAAUCAAGUUAUCCUACCUCACGGAAGAUCAGGCCUUGCCCUCUAUCAAUAGCUAUGGGAUAACGAGAAGUCUAACCCGACUUGGAGCCUAGACCCAUCCGGCAGGGCCUUUGGCCCUUGGGUCGAUGCCAUCACGCACCCCAUCGGUUGGAUUCCUCAGCAUUUACAGUCUAGUUUCGGACCCCCGUGGGCCGGUCCUAGACCCCUACGUGUGCUGUCUAGAUCUCUGGCCAUGGCAGGUUCGGUGCUGUCAUGUGUUCGAGCCAACAUAGUUGAGUCUCGGACCUCCACAAGUGCCAUCCGGACCCCAAACUAGGGGAGGUUCGGGGGCGCCACAUCUGCAUAUGCUACCAGCCCCUGCUCUCCGCUCAGGCAGAGAUACGGGCAGAGGGGAUAGGACGACACCAUCCACCUACUCCCCUACGCAAGUCGACAAAGCCAGUUUACGUUGUAGCCUACACUAGAGCCUUCAUCCACACAUCGACAAAACAUGACGAAGGUGACUCUAGAUAGAGGGCCUGCACGGUGACCAUGAGAAGAUACCUUCCCACUGUAGGAAGAAGACUUCGGUCCACUAGCUCUAUCCAACGCUUCGUGCUCCAUAUUUUAGUAUUCUUGAGCCCACAUGUCGGGGUCCAGCUCCUUUGUAUGUGCUCCCCUUAGGCUAUAAAAGGGAGAGCACAUGCGUUGCAAGGGACAAACUCGAGCCCAUCCAGGGACUCGAGGACUCACACUCACACAAGGCACUGGUCUCAAGCUCCCUAGGGUCUAGAACCUCAGGGGGACAUCUUUACUCGAACUCCCUUGGAGACAUAUCCAUCCAAGCCCAAGCUUUCUCAAGAUCUUAGCAACAUGACUCACAAUGGAGUACGAUAUUACACUCCGACAAUCUAAUCCACACGCUCGUGUGUUCCUGCCUUUUACCUCUUUUCAUAUGUGAUAUCCCAGCCCCUGCAUGGUGAUAUCCUCGCCCAAGGCUUAAUAGAAUUAAUAGAGUAUCCAUACCAACAAGGUGCAUCUUCUUUUUCGAAAGCCUAUCGCAAAAGAACCUCCAAGUUAAGCAUGCUUGUAUUGGAGCAAUUUGGGAUGGGUGACCGACUAGGAAGUUUUCUCGAGUGCGCAUGAGGACAAAGUGCGCACAAAGGACUCGUGUUGGUCUGUGGGGACGAUAUAUGAUCCUAGAGAGCUACCAGGAGUAAGUACCGCUGGUCUAGUGAUUGGACGGGGUGUUACAAGUGGUAUCAGAGCUGACCCUUGCGGUUUCACGGGAAUGUGUUGGUUAGGGGUUCGGGUAUAUGGUGCAUGGCGCAUGUGGGUCCGAAAUGGUCACAUGGCAUGGCAUAUGACGACACUAGACAAACAGACGUGGCUAAGAGGUGAGGUUCCUGGAUUAGGGUUGACCAGCGAGGACCUCGGUCUUCUAAGGGGCUGGAUUGUGAUAUCUCUGCCCCUAGGAUGGUGAUAUCCUAGCCCAAGGCUUAAUAGAAUUAAUAAAGUAUCCAUACCAACAAGGUGCAUCUUCUUUUUUGGAAGCCUAUCUUGAAAGAACCUCCAGGUUAAGCAUGCUUGUAUUGGAGCAAUUUGGGAUGGGUGACUGACCGGGAAGUUUUCUUGGGUGAGGACAAAGUGUGCACAAAAGACUCGUGUUGGUAUGUGGGGAUGAUAUAUGAUCCCAGAGAGCUGCUAGGAUUAAGUAUCGCUGGUCCAGGAAUUGGAUGGGGUGUUACAUCAUUCAAUCCCUAGGUCAUCGUCCUAUUAUCAAGAUCAGAGCCAACAUUUGGCGCACCGAGUAGGGGGAAUAUGGAAUAUGAUUUCCCCAGUCUGCCGAUGAAGUGGCUUCUCCGACAUCCAGUGGACAUUGGGUGAAUGCAUUCCGCCUUCUGGCCACAGGUGGUCCUCCUUCUCUGACAUUUCUUGGUAGGGGAAAGUCAUGAUAUGACUUCCUCUACCUACCAAUGGAUUUUAGGAAGGAAGCCAACAAGGGCUACGCCUUGGUCAACCUGACCUCACCGGAGGUCGCUUGCUGGUCGUGGGGGCCCUAUGGGGCCUACCACGCUCACUAGUGGGCUUUCAAGGGCAGCACCAGGACCAGAGUGGUCAUUGCAUCGACCUACUACUAGGCUCCAUGGCGUUCAAGGUUACCGACGUCGGCCACUGUCAAGCUUUGCCCUUGACCCUCAUGGAGGUAGUAGGGGUCGCUGCUUAACCUUCGAGUCUGAUGCUCGACGUCGCUUGAGUGAUUAUGUCGGCCCAUACCUUCCACCCCAUAAGGUAACAUGAGAAUUAACUCUUCCUUUGUAAUGGGAUAGCAUUUAUCUAUGGUCCAGCUUGCCGAGGUGUGCCCUCAUAAUCCCGGUGCGGCCCGGUUAGGUUUGCCCUCAAAAAUUUGGUCCGGACUGGUGAGGUCCACCCUCAUAAACCCAUCCUCUAGUGUCCUUCACACAGAUCUCAUGUAACUAGUUAUAAAGGAAGAAUUUUCACUAAAUAGUCACUUAGCUUGGCCCCGUAUCAUAAGCCUACGCCCUCCACCACCCUAGAAUCGCUAUCCUAGUACUUCGGACUGGAUUCCUGGAAGUCUAGACCUUGUCCAAACUUAAGUGUUGGUUCCCAAAACUAGGCUCAAUGGGAUCCAAUUACAUGAUUUGAUGGAUUGAAUACAACAAAGUAAGGGUCCCUUGGGUACGCUGUUGAGCGUCGGUCCUGAGCCAUAUUCAGGACAUGCCUCUGGUCUAAUAAUUGGCUUAGACAGUCGAGUACCUCCUAGAGAGCCAAGGUACCAAGGGGCCAGUAGAGGGAAAAUCUUGCCUUUGAGCCAGGCUGCAUGUACGCAAUGUCCAGUCUAGUGGGGUCUGGCCCCCAUAAAUGCCGCCUACUAGCGUAUGUUGCACUUCCAAGUUUUGUCUUUGCAGCAAUAGCGUAGCAUCGCCAAGCAAACCACUUGGCAUGGAGCCUACAUGCGCAGAGCUGUUGUAUAGGACCAGCAUGCCUGGAGCAAGGCGUAGGUAUGGCCCCACCUGCGAGUUUGUCACCUCACCUGUUGGGGGUCUUCUUCUCUGCCGAAGGUCCUCAAGGCAAAAACACCUUCGGCAAGACAGUACAAAGGCAGGUGCGACAUGAAGAUAUAAGCCGAAGAUGAUGCGGACAAAAGCCAAAGCUACAACUGAAAGAGCGUCAGCUUGGUAUUAUAAUAAAGGCGAAGGACGAUACCGACUUAAAGAGGAAUAUACUAUAUAGUCCUUAAUAGUUCGCAUUAUGAUUAUUAUUAGUUAUCAGGGACAUGGACGCAAUUUUGUCCGGGCUGCGUCCCAUGCCUAUAAAUAGAUGAACAAUACCCCUCUACUAUUCACGCUAGAUUGUAAUCUCUCUUGCGUCACUCGCAUUUGUGUCCUCUGGAAAACCGAAGGUAUCUAAGUCGUAUAAAAAUGAUGAGCAAUUAUUCAUAUUUAUGAAAGGAGAAUAUAAAUGAGUCAUUGAUUCAUUAUCAUUAUUUAUGCUCUUUUGUAUUUCAUAUACUGUCGUUUAUAACUGUUUAUUGAGAUGACGAAGGUACGUCCUUCAUGACCUUCAUCUAAGGUUCAUUAUACUCGAAAGGAGAUAAUGAAUAAAAGGACGAAGGUCUUUAAUCAUUAACAAUUGUGUUGCUUUGUUCUUGAUGUUUAGCAUUUGGGAACAAGGACCAACAUUGGCGCCCACCUCCAGUGAACUCACUUCCACAGUUGUUACAAUGGCUUCGCACAACAAUCAAGUUGUAGUACCUUCGGCCAUGAAGCUGGUACUCCCAAUUACAGGCGGCUCAAAUUCUGAACCAGCCAACAAGAAGCAGAAGAAAGAAGCACAGAGACGGGUACAUCAUGUUGGGGUACAAGGACCCUUCAUCAAGUCCAAGUGGUCUCAUAUUCCAAUUACCUUCUCUCAGGAAGACCUUCAGCUUAAGGAUUAUCCUCACAACGAUGCAAUGGUCAUAUCUUGUGUCAUCAAGGGAUUUCUGGUUCACAAUGUCCUGGUAGACACAGGCAGUGCAGCGGAUAUCAUCUUUGCAAAGGCUUUCAGGCAAAUGCAGGAGCCAGAAGAUAAGAUACAUGAUGCAACACACCCUCUUUGUGGCUUCGGAGGAAGGCAGAUUGUGGCAGUUGGCAAGAUAACAAUGCCCAUUACCUUCGGCUAUGUCCACAAUACAAGAACAGAACAUGUUGUCUUUGACAUCGUUGAUAUGGAAUAUCCAUACAAUGCAAUUAUUGGUCGAGGAACGCCAACGCCUUCGAAGCAAUACUUCAUCCAACAUAUCUAUGCAUGAAGAUACAUUCGGAACAAGGGCCCAUUACUGUACAUGGGAGUCAAGAAGCUGCUAGAAGGGCUGAAGGGAGUUGGACGGAUUCGAAGGCUAUUCAUAAUAUAGAUGAAGCCGAAGCUUAUUAGCAGUAUAAGCAUAAAAGAGAGAAGGCUGCUUCAGCAGAUCAACCGAAGCCUAUGCUUCUCUGUGAGGACAUAGCAGACCAAAAAGUAUUGUUUGGAUCUCAAUUGUCUGAUGAAUAGGAAAAAAACCUUGUUAAGAUUCCUGUUUAACAACAAAGAUGUUUUUGCUUGGACAACCAAUGACAUUUGUGGCGUCAAUAGAGAUAUUAUUGAGCACUCACUCAAUGUGGACCCAUCCUUCAGACCAAGAAAGCAGAGGCUUAGGAAAAUGUCCGAGGAUAAAGCCGAAGGUGCACGAAAUGAAGUAAAGAGACUUCUCAGUGCCGACGUUAUCAGAGAAGUAACAUAUUCAGAGUGGCUAGCUAACACCGUCAUGGUCAAAAAAGCUAAUGGGAAAUGGAGAAUGUGCAUUGAUUUCACAGAUCUCAACAAGGCAUGUCCGAAGGAUGAGUUCCCUUUACCAAGGAUAGAUUCCCUCAUAGAUGCAGCAGCUUCCUCAGAACUCAUGAGUCUGUUGGACUGUUACUCGGGUUAUCAUCAAAUUUGGAUGAGAAAGGAGGAUGAGCCAAAAACAAGUUUCAUAACUCCUAGUGGUACCUAUUGCUACCUUCGGAUGCCUGAGGGGAUCAAGAAUGCUGGAGGAAGCUUUAGCAGAAUGACUGCGAUUAUUCUUCACUCUCAAAUUGGCAGGAAUGUGCUGACUUAUGUCGAUGACAUCAUAGUAAAGAGCACAAAGCAAUAAAAUCAUGUAGCUGAUUUGCAAGAAACAUUUGCCAAUUUCAGGCAAGCUGGUCUCAAGUUAAAUCCAGAGAAAUGUGUUUUCGGAGUGAAGAAGGGCAAGUUUCUUGGUUGCCUGGUAUCAACAAAAGGCAUAGAAGCUAAUCCAAGCAAAAUCGAAGCUAUCCUUCGGAUUGAGCCACCAAAUUCAAAGAAGGGGGGGCUCAACGGUUAGCAGGAAGGCUGACAUCAUUGAAUAGAUUCAUAUCAAGAUCAGCAGAGAGGAAUUUACCAUUUUUUGAAAUACUGAAGUCAGCCGAAGUCUUCCAGUGGGGGCCGACUUAACUGAAAGCCUUCGAAGAGUUAAAGCAGUAUUUGAUAGAUUUGACAACACUAACCCCACCUUCAUCAGGAGUUCCGUUACUUCUAUAUGUGGCUGCUUCCCACGCUACGGUUAGUACGACACUUGUACAAGAGAAACAAGUUGGCCAGAUGAAAAAGCAAGCACCAAUAUACUUCGUCUCUGAAGUACUCAGCCCAUCAAAGAAGAAUUACACAGAAUUGGAGAAGGUACUCUAUGCUGUAUUGAUGGCCUCCAGAAAGCUUCGGCAUUACUUCCAAGCUUAUCAUAUAAUAGUACCAUCAUCACAACCCCUCAAGGAUAUAAUGAGGAACAGAGAAGCUACAGGAAGGGUUCGAAAAUGGGUCGCAGAACUCAAUGAAUUCACCAUUGAUUAUGUGCACAGGUCUUUGAUUCAAUCUCAGGCUCUAGCAGACUUUAUUGCCGAUUGGAUGCCAGGGGCUCAGGAUGAAGAUAGAAUAAGUGAUGCCAAAGCUUGGACGGUAUUUUGUGAUGGCUCCUGGGGAACCUUCGGUGCAGGAGCAGUUGCUGUCCUAGUAGCACCAUCUAAAGUCAGGACAUGUUUUGCAACAAAGUUAGACUUCAGCUGUACAAAUAACAUUGCCGAGUACGAAGCUCUCCUUUUGGGGCUUCGGAAGCUAAAGGCAAUGGGAAUAAGAAGGGCAAUCCUUAAAAUUGAUUCACAAGUUAUUUUGGGCCAUGUGGAUAAGAGCAGCAAGGCAAGAGAUCCGAAGCUUGAAAAAUAUUUGGAUGCAAUCCGAAGGUUGGAAGCUUCUUUUGAAGGCUUUUCUGUAAAAAAAUAUCCCAAGGGGAGAGAAUGAGCAUGCAGAUUUAUUAGCUAAAUCAGUGGCACAAGGGCUUCCUUUGUCUUUGUAAGUAUUUUUUGAAACAAUAAAAGCACCCUCAAUCGAGCUCAUGGAAAGGGCAGUGCUCACAAUCUCACCUGUACAUAGUGAAGACUGGAGGACCGAAAUAAUAUCCUUUCUCCAGGACAACCAUCUUUCAGAUGACAAAGCAUACAAUAAGAGAAUGGAAGCAAGAACAAGACCUUAUGUAAUAAUUGAAGGGGAGAUAUACAAGCAUGGAGUUUGCUCCCCAUUGCUCAAAUGCCUGUCCAGAAAUGAAGGACAAGAAUUAAUGAAGGAGAUACAUGCAGGACUGUGUGGAGCUCACAUUGGGUCUAGGCCUUUACUGGGAAAGGUUUUUAGGCAAGGGUUUUAUUGGCCGAAGGCAGCUUCGGAUGCAGCCGACUUGGUCCAGAAAUGUGAAAACUGUCAAAAGUGUGCUAGGGACUAGAAACAACCUUCGUCUUUGACACAAUUGAUCCAACCUACUUAGCCAUUGCAGAGAUGGGGCCUAGAUUUGUUAGGACCGCUCCCACCAGCACAAGGAAACUUGAAAUAUGUUGUGGUAGCGACGGAAUAUUUCUCAAAGUGGAUCGAAGCUAAGCCUCUAGCUACCAUAACCUCGGCCACAAUCCAAACGUUUUUCUAGCAGAAUAUUGUUUGUCGCUUUGGUAUGCCGAAGGCUAUUACAGUCGACAAUGGAACUAAAUUUGAUGCUGAAACGUUCAAGGUUUUUUGUGACCAGAUUGGUACAAAAAUAUAUUUUGCAUCGUUAAGGCACCCAGAAUCAAAUGGGUUGGUAGAGAGAGCAAAUGAAAAUAUAAUGACAGGGAUAAUGAAGUUAAUCUUCAAUCAGCCCAGAGGAAAGUAGCCAGCUGAAUUAAUAAAAGUGGUGUAGAGCCACAACACUGAUGUCUCAAGGUCAACAGGUUUUACUCCAUUCAAGCUCUUGUUCGGUGACGAAGCAAUAACACCGGAAGAAGCAAGAACAGGAUCAAUAAGAACCAAAGCUUCAGCGGAGGAUGAAGCUGAUUGUCAAAUAACAAAAGACACCAUAUAAGGGACCAGACUUCGGGCCAUAGAGCACAUCAAUAAAUAUCAGGCCGAAACAAUAAAAUGGUGUGAUAGAAAAGUUCGAUUGAAAAUAUCAAACCAGGCCAUUAGGUGCUUCGAAGGAUAGCCAACCCAGAAAUAAUAGGGAAACUUCAACUGAAAUGGGAAGGUCCUUUUCUGGUAGUAUCAUCAUCAAGUCCCAGUUCUUACAGAUUGAAGGAUAUGGACGACAAUGACAUACCCAGAUCUUGGAAUGCGGAUGAGCUUCAGCGAUAUUACGUGUAAUUGAUGUAAUCUUUUUUAUUUCUCCUAUGGCUCCCUUUUCCUUUCAGGAGGGGAUAAAUGUUUUUAAUGUGGCCAUAGUUUGUAAUUUUCAUUUUUGUUUAGCCCUAUGCAAUACAAGGGCCAAAUUCCUCCAAAAAUGUAACAUGUAAUAUCAGAAUCCGCACCAUCGAGUGCAAAGAGAACAGAUAAAAGCUCAAAAGACGUCCCUAAGGGGAUGCAGAGCUGUAAUCACUCCGAAGGUGACGAAGCUACGAAAGUCAUUCCUAAGGGAGCGCAAAGUAAGUUCCAAAGCUACAAAAGUCGUUCCUAAGAGAGCGCAGAGUAAGUCCCGAAGCUCAAAAGUCGUUCCUAAGGGAAUGAGAGCCGAAUACCACCGAAAUAGAAGGUGAAGAAGCUCCAAAGUGAUUCCUAAGGGAAUGCAGAGCUUAAAUGCCACCGAAAUAGAAGGUGAAGAAGCUCCAAAGUUGUUCCUAAGGGAAUGCAGAGCUUAAAUGCCAUCGAAAUAGAAGGUGAAGAGACUCCAAAGUCGUUCCUAAGGGAUGCAGAGUCUGGGUAUGAUUUCGUGUGCGUUCGGGUUAUACAUUUGCAUAUUUCAUCGCAUCAUUAUUUGCAUUCAUACAAACAUUCAUUAGACAUUCGUAGGAUCAUCAUUAUCAUGACAUGAAGCAUGAACGAUAAUAUGAACAGAAAGAGUUGUCCGGCUUCGGCGACAAAAUGCUUCGUUGAAUACGAAGAAGCUUCAUCUCAAACAUGAACACAUGCAUUUUAUGCAAUGAAAUGCUUCGAUGUGCAUGAAAAGAAGGGAAGGUGUUUUUUGCCUUCGGCUCAAAAGUUGUAUUUAUGGGUUUCGUCCACAGCAAAGCAAUUCACACAUGGAUGGAAAGGUAAAAUUAUAUUACAGGGUAUGGACAAAUAUAUACAAUAUUGAGUUCAACUCUCAAUUACAAUCUUUUGCAAAAAUAAUGCAAAUAGAUCCUAAGCUCUAUACAGGAAGUCAUAAAAGGAAGCUUCAGCCUAGCAACCUUCGGUAUACACUUUGGCUUACCGACCUUCGGCACCGCCAUCCUGUAGACAGGCAACAGUAUAAGGUAAAUGCGAUGGUAAUAAAGAAAAAUCAAGGCAAACAACAGGCAGAAGUUAUCGUACCGAAUUAAGAAAUUUCCGAGCUUCAUCUCCAGCUAACUCUCGCCCACCUUUAGCCCAAAUUUGAGUAAUAAAUCUAUUUCCAAUACUUCGAGCCUCUCCAAGAAUGUUCACCAAGUCUAAUGGUGACACGCUAAAGUUUGGCUUGUUUAUUGUCUUGGCAUGCGUACAUCCAAUUUUCAAAAAUGCAGCCGCCAUGCCACGAGAAGCUAAUAGAGCACAGAAAUCACCGUCCGAGUUAUUACUUCAUCGAGUGCAUCAACUUCAUUCUCGAUAUGUUCAAAGGUUUUAGAUAUAUCUUCAACCGAAGGAGCAAUUUCUUCAGACAUGGCCCCAACCGAUCUGAAGAUUCCCUUUAACCGAUGCACGCAGCGAGUAGUAAAUUCUGAGCAUUUAUUUCGAAGGUCCUUCAGUGAUUCCUGCAACAUCAUGUUCUUAUCAGCUUCGGCUUCAGAUUUCGCUUGCAGUUCUUUUUUCUCUUGCUAAAAGCGCAUUGACUUCUCCUUUAAAGUUGUUUGAGCUUUGAGAAGCUCUUCGUUUAAUCUAGCAUUUUCAGCAUGUAAUUCCGCAAGUGAACCUUCGGUUGCCUGAAGCAAAAAAUCCUUCUUUUCAAGAGAAGCUUCACAAUCUUUGAUCUUAUUUUCUAGGCCUUCAAUUAUUAUCUCGUUCUUCUUAUCUUCGAGAUCUUGCUGCAUUCUUAACGCUUUGCUUAGCAUCAUGCUCUGCGAAAGAUAAGCCAAGUUUAGAAUAUUUUAACCCAUCACAAAGAUAACAAGAAUCUAGGCAAAAGAUUUUACCUUGAAAUUGGAAUAGAAUAAGCUGCCAACGAUAUGUUGAUGUCGGUAACCACUAAUAUCAGAUUCUAGCUUCGGGAAACCAACACUCUUUGACAAAGUGCUGAUUAUUUUCGCCCCGACGCGGUCGUGGAUACAUCUCAGGGUUUGCUUGUCAACUCCGCCGAAGAGCAUGGAUCCUGGCUGGUAGCCACAAGAUUUGCCAUAUUCUUUUAGCUCCUCUCUCUGCCUCGGACAAUUCCUGACUUCCCAGGUGCCUAAGGUCAAAGUCUUUUUCUUUUGAUGAAGCAUCAACAAUUUCUUUCCCCUUGUCGGGCGUUGCGGCCAUGUUUUUCUCUACGGUCGCAGCUGUCUCUUUUGCGACCAUAUCUGAUAUGAGCUUGUCAAUUCCUGACAUUGUGCUCACAAGAUUAGCAUCUUCGGUAGCGGCUUCAACUUCGGCAGCGGUUUCACCUUUGGCACUUGUAUCAGGCACCAUUUUGGAUGCCGAGGCUAGAGGCGAUGUUCGCUCAAUAGCUUGCAUGACAUUGACAAUUCUUCGUCUUUUUUGACCUUCAGUCUUCUCCUUUGCGGCCGAAGGUUGAUCCUUUUUCUGUAAAAAUUUUGUCAGUUUCGGUCCCAGAGGACUUAGCAGCUUGACGGGCAGAGAAUCAGUCAUUACCUUUAAAAUUUCUACUAUUUCGGCAGCAGAGGGCGUUGAAGGAGCUUCUUCUCUUGCCUCAGCUACCUUUGGCUCAGUAGAGGGAGUCAUGUCAAGCUUCCGCUUUUUGGAGACUGCCGCUCUCGGCUCACGAGCUGAUCUUGCCUUUUUUGAAACGUUCUCAUCCUCCUUUACUAGUCUGACAGCUAGCCUACUUAAGAUGCUGACGACCCUUUUCCUUUUUAACCCUUCGGCACCUUUGUCAAAUCUUUCAUAAUCUGGAUACUCAAAAUUUAACGUGUCCAUCAUGCGAUUUAGCCUUCGUUUUGGCUGGGUGCCGAAGGUAGCAGUCAUUAACUGGUCCUCCUUCUUGGUGUAGUUGCCAAGGAUUUCGUUGCACAUAGUUUCAAUCAUUUCUAACCACUCUUGGCAUAGUUUCUUGAACUCUUUCUCAAACUUGAAACGGUAGGGAAGCCGAACAAGUUCGUGCUUUUUGCCUCCAUCCUUCUUCUUGGGCAUUCCCCAGCCACUAGAGGUCGAAAAUACUCUUUUCGCCAAGAAUUCUUGCACCAGAUCUCUACUGCUGACCUUGGCUGAUACUACUCUAAACUCUACUUCAGCUACUUAGCAUGGGGAGCCAAGCUGCAUACGGCACAAGGGUCUUGUCAUUCCGAAGCUCAAUACCAGUGGACUCAUGACCAUAGUCAUCAACUUCUCCCUCUUUUUCUCGUCUGCCUUCAUAUAAAACCAUUCACUUUUCCAACCAGUUGGCCACUUAGUGCGGUAGCUAAGAACCGGUGCCUUCGUAUCCUUUCGAUACGCAAAAUUAUAGCAACCAAAAUUCUCAUGAAGGCUGUCUGCCUGGCCUUCAUCUGGUAAUGCAGCUCGUGCACCCGACAGAAAGCUUCGGCAUUAGGACUCAUCCCCUGGCUUCAGAGAGCCCAGAUGUAGACACCAAGUCUAACGAUUGCAUUGGGUGUCAUUUGAUGAAGGUAUAUUUCAAAGUUCUUCAAAACCUCUCCUAUCAUAUCAUAUAGAGGGAACCGAAGCCCUGCUCUGAAGAAGCUUUUAAAGACAACAACUUCAUCAUCCUUUGGCUCCAGAAUCACUUCCUCGCCAGCAAAACAAACAAGUUUACUCUUAGCCUCUCCAAAGUAGCCCAAUUUCUUCAUUAUAGCCAUAUCAUCUGCCGUCACAGUAGAUCUACCAAAUUCAAGGUGGCUAGGUUUCGCUAGGCUCAAGAUACUGUAAUCCUCUUCAUCUUCGUUAUCGCUCCCUUCAACUAUGAUUUGUUCAGAUUCAACCGUCGAGGUACCUUUGGCAACAGGCUCUUCUAGCACAACAAGACCCGAUAGCCUCAUCACCUCUGAUAUUGGUGUCGUCUCAGUUGCUUUGGCCUCGUCCCCCUCACGAGACACCCUAGCAGUCGAUCGUACUCUAGUCAUUUCAAUAUUUUCACUUUUUUAAAUGAAGCUAGUCUCAAGUGCCGAAGCGUUUGCUCGAAAAUGCAAUACAGAGAGCUUCGACUAUGGUUAAAAUUUUUAACAGCACAAUAGUGCAAUGGCAAUGAAUGUUGUGGUAACUCCUCACCAACCCGUCUGUUUAUAUAGUGCUGCAGGGGAGAAGGCGAACCACCAUACUGCUCGCACUGGCUGAGCGGUGGACCGUCCGGCGUCCGGAAUAUUAUAAUCGUUUCUCGGCAACGAGCUCAGGGAAGGUGUUUUUCGGACCUUCGGCAUUCCGAAGCCUUCGUGUUUUUCGUGGAUCAAGCUCGUUACGAAAAAUGAUCUAGCACCGCGAAGGGACUACUGUUGGGGGUCUUCUUCUCCGCCGAAGAUCCUCAAGGCAAAAACACCUUCAGCAAGACAGUACAAAGGCAGGUGCGACAUGAAGAUAUAAGCCGAAGAUGAUGCGGACAAAAGCCGAAGCUACGACUGAAAGAGCUUCGGCUUGGUAUUAUAAUAAAGGCGAAGGACGAUACCGACUUAAAGAGGAAAAGACUAUAUAGUCCUUAAUAGUUCGCAUUAUGAUUAUAAUUAGUUAUCAGGGACAUGGACGUAAUUUUUUCUGGGCUGCGUCCCGUGCCUAUAAAUAGAUGAACAGUACCCCUAUACUGUUCAUGCUGGAUUGUAAUCUCUCUUGUGUCACUCGCAUUUGUGUCCUCUGGAAAACCGAAGGUAUCUAAGUCGUAUAAAAAUGAUGAGCAAUUAUUCAUAUUUAUGAAAGGAGAAUAUAAAUGAGUCAUUGAUUCAUUAUCAUUAUUUAUUCUCUUUUGUAUUUCAUAUACUGUCGUUUAUAACUGUUUAUUGAGAUGAUGAAGGUACGUCCUUCAUGACCUUUGUCUAAGGUUCAUUAUACCCGAAACAAGAUAAUGAAUAAAAGGACGAAGGUCUUUAAUCAUUAACAAUUGUGUUGCUUUGUUCUUGAUGUUUAGCAUUCGGGAACACCGACCAACAUCACGCAAGUGGGCCUGGGGGCCUCUGUUUGUACCCCAAAUAUGGAGUACCCACUCCUGCUAGGUCAAAGAGUGACCUCUAUGGCUAUCCGUAGCAAUUGGAUGGAGAGCGUUCUACCCUGACUCGGAGCCUGGGCCUAUCUAGCGAGGCCACUGGUCGUUGGACCGGUGCCGUCACGCGCCCCGUCGGUGGGAUUGUUCGGAAUCUACAGCCUACAGCCGGUCCCGGACCCCUAUGUGUGUCGUCUGUACCUCCGAUUAGGGGAGGUUCGAUGCUGCCACGUGUCCGAGCCAUCAUGGGUGAGUCUCAGACCUCCACAAGUGCCAUCUGGAUCCCCAACCAGGGGAGGUCUAGGGGUGCCACGUCUAUGUAUGCUCCCAUCCCCUAUUUUUCACUCAAGCAGAGAUACAGUGUUGCCACGUGGCCUAAGGCACGUUAAGGAAGUUACCAGGCAUUGUCUAAGUGGGCCUCUCACAUGGAGGGCCACCCACAUUAAUUGUAGGCAAGAUGCGCGCCUGUCCACAACAGUGGCAGGCGUCAUGUGUCCCAUAUAAAAUGCAGGUGGUGUGUGCAGUCCAUAAUGCCUGGGUCGCGCUAGUAACCUACGCGUUACUCUUAGGUAAAGACCAUUGACCGACUACGCCACAUGUGGGCAACUCUCAUCACGAUUUCUACUAUUCCCGCUUUAGAGGCAGGCAAAGAGACAGGCGCAUGGGUCAGGACAACACCGACCACCUACUCACCUACACAAGUCGACAAGCCAAUCUACGUCGCAGCCUAACCAUAGCCUUCACACACAUGCUGACAAGACAGGACAAAGGCGAGUCUAGAUAGAGGGCCCGCACGGUGACCAAGAGAAGAUACAUGCCCAUCGUAGGAAGAAGACUUUGGUCCACCAUCUCUAUCCGAUGCUCCACGCUUCAUAUUUUAGUAUUCCUAGGCCCAUAUGUCGGGGCCUAGCUUCCUUGUAUGUGCUCCCCUUAGGAUAUAAAAGGGAGGGCACAUGCGUUGCAAGGGAUGGACUUGAGCCCAUCCAUAGACUCGAGGACACACACUAACACGAGGUUCUUGUCUCAAGCUCCCUUGGGACUAGAACCUCCGGGGUACAUCUUCACUUGAACUCCCCGGAGACUUCUCCAUCCAAGCCCAAGGUUUCUCAAGCUCUCAGCAACACGACUCACAUUGGAGUAGGGCGUUACUCUCUGGUAGCCUGAACCACUAUAAAUCCUUGUGUGCUCCUGUGUUCGUCCGCCUGAUCAGGCAAACCCUAGGCUGCCCCUAUUCUUAGGAUUAGACGGGUGCAUUCCGCUACCCAGCUGGAGUUUACUCUUCGACAACUUCUUUUGGCUUAAGCAAGUGUAAGAAUUCCCAACCUAGGCCCAAGUUGUGGCCUAGGAUGUGAGUUCACGUGGGGAGCAGGCUAGCAGGUCGAUGAUAUUGGCAGACAUAGGCUAUGUCAUUGACAAUAUGAAGCCUAUAAGCCCUAUAUUGGUAACGAUAGGAACACCUGAGGUAGCUAAUAAUGCAUCCUUGACAUUGAUACGAUUCCCAACGCAUUAAGUGAGAGCGAUCAAACAAGAAGUGUAUGAUGGUUAUUAGAAGCUCUAUUAUAGAGUCUAUCCAUGGAGCAAUCUAGAAUGUCCAAGUGUCACAAAGUACCUUGAUAAAUUUAAGCAACAAUUCACUGGUUCUUCCAAUACAUAUGCUAGAACCAUAAUAAAAUUAUUACUAAAAAGUAUGAUGGCUCUAUCAUAGGGGAGCACAUACUAAAGAUGACUAUCUUUCCCAAUAAACUUAAGUCCUUUGGUAUGAAAUUAAAGAAUGAAUUUGUUGUUCACCUGAUAUAAUUGUGUUUGUCUAAAGAAUUUGAGAAUUUUGUUGUGAACUACAAUAUGAGUCCUAAAAAGCAGGCAAUAUAGAAGUUGAUUGCCAUGUGUGUCCAAAAAUCAAAGAGGGUCCCCAAUAAUUCUAGUGGGUACCGCCCGAGGGUUCCUUUACCCCCAAAACUUGUAUUGCCUAGAUUUGUUUAGGCAUAAGAAAACUAAAUGGUAAGCACUAGAAAAUUUGCAGGACCACCAUUAAAUGUGACAAAAAAAAUGUGUAGCUUGUAGCCUAAGUAGCCACUAAAAAACUUUGGUGCCACUGAAAAUCUUUGAUGCCAUUGAAGAAGUCAACACCAAGCAAAAGGGCAGUUAAUGGAUAGUUUGGAAAAGACAUUGAACUAGCCAUUAAAGCCUCCCAUGUCUUUCUUUGGUGACCCCAUUGAAAGGUUUUGAUGGUAUACUACUAUAGAUUACUCAUCAUUGUUGAUUCAUAACUGCCCUUCACCUCUGGUUUUCAUCCUCAUUUUUAGAAGUGGAUAGUGUCGGGUACCGUAAUUAGGGGUACCCCCAAUACUCCUUAAUCCGGCUGGAAAACAUCUUCAGAAAAAGCCAUACACGGCUGAUAAAGCGCGGUUCAAGUCAGGGCCACGUCUGCCGAGGGACGCGACCUCAUCCGAGCCCAGCCUCGGGCGGGAACAGUAGUCCCGAACGGAUUCACGCCUCACCCGAGGGUCCCCUCAGCCAGCAGACGCACCCUCGGCUCGCCCGAAGCCUAGCUUGGGCAGACUUUGUCGUGCAGCAACCUUGGCCAAAUCGCCUUACCAGCCGACCGUAUCGCAUGAGCAUUUAAUGCGGGGAUCGCCUGACACCUUAUCCUGACAUGCGUGCCUCAGUCGGCAAGGUCGAAGUGACCGCAGUCACUUCGCCCCUUUACUGACCGAUCUGACAGGAAAACAACGUUGUUCGCCCCGCUCCAGCUACCGUGCCAACCACCAGGAUAAAACCGAGUCACGAUCUCCCACGAGUUUGGCCUCGGGCGCAACAAGGAGCUCCGCCUCGCCCGACCUCAGGCCUCAGCCUCAGCCUUGGCCCUGGAAGAAGAUCUCCGCCUCGCCCGACCCCAGGCCUCGGCCUCGGGAGGAGUCACAACCUCGCCCGAGCCCAUCCUCGGCCUCAGGAGAAGUCUCCGCCUCGCCCGACCUGGGCCUCGGACCGACUGCGCUACAGGGGAUACAUCAUUACCCUACUCCUAGCUAGCUGCCUCAGGCUACGAAGGAACAAGACCGGUGUCCCAUCUAAGGCUACUCUGGCAACAGGUAAUGAUGGUCCCCCGCGUGCACCCAUGACGUCGGAUCGCUCUCAACCCCCUAUGGAAGCAAGACAACGUCAGCAGGAUCCAUGUCGCGCCGACAGCUGUGCUUCUACUGGGCUCAAGGCACUUCUCCGACGGCCACGCUAGCUCGUGUACACGGCUCAAGGCGCUUCUCCGCCAGCCACGAUAGCACAUAGCUACACCCCCUUGUACAUCUGGGCAUCUCCUUGUAUCUAUAAAAGGGGAUGUCCAGGGCCUUCCUAAGGAACGACGCCGCGCACACACGUUGGAUGUCGUGGACACACGUUGGACGUCGUGGGCAGACACGGCAACUCUGACAACGUUGGUCGCUCUCGCCCUCGCUCCCUCGCGCGACGCUUGUAACCCCUACUACAAGCACCCCGGUGCGAGAUAACAUAAGCCACAUUUCCCUCUUGUGUUCCAUCUUGAAUCAACCCAUCUGGGCAGGGACACGCAACAACAAAUUUACUGGUUGGUUGACGGUCCUCGCGCGUCCGAAACGCCGACAGUUGGCGCGCCAGGUAGGCGCUCGCUGCGUGUUAACGAACACUUUCCCGUUGAGUUCCAGAUGGGUAGCCUCCAGCAGCCUCUUCAGCCGGGGACGCUGCUCCGCUUUGGGAGUCUCGAGUUCAUGUCCCUUGACGGCAGCUAUGACAUGGUACUCCUCCCCCCACAGCGCGACAGCAACAACAGUCGUCGGCUCGCCCGGCGGUGGCGAACCCGACGACGACUUCCCACCGUGGCAGAAGAGGAACACCCGGGUUUGCCCCGCCACCCUCCUCGUCGGAGGAGGAGGAGACGGGGUAACCAUGGCCAUGCAGGAGGCGGCACCUCGUCGGUUGUUGGGGACCUUCGGCUUCCGAAGGUCCUCAAAAACAAGAUUUAACAAUAUUUCUGGAGUAUGAUGUGUGAACAGGUAUCUUCGGACUCAAGUCGGCAUCACAGUAGACCAGAAUAAUACGAAGGUUGGUACAGCGCCGAAGGUGUGAGCAGGAAAGCUUUGGCGCGGCAGCAGAAAGUGAAACCGACUUAAAGAUGAAAAGGCUAUUUAGACCUCGACAUAUUACUAUAGAAUUAUUAUCAAGUGUAAAGGGCAUGAAUGUAAUUUUGUAUGGGUUGUGUCCCGUGCCUAUCAAUAGGUGAACAAUAUCCCCGUACUGUUCACGCUGACUUGGCAUUCGCUUUUUGCGUCACGCUUGUACUAUCAUCUCCUUCCAGUUGAAGGUACACUUGUAAUUCAAUAAUAUCUCUGUUUAUGCCUGAUAAUAAUAGAUAAUUGUUUAUGUUGUCUUUUAUAUUCCUUACAUUUCAUCCUUCGUCAUUGUAUGAUGAAUUUAUGGAAAUACGUCCUUCAUAACCUUCGUCCGGAAACCAUUAUAUCCUAAGGGAAUAAUGCUUCGAAGGACGAAGGACUUUAACGAUUAACAUUUUCUAUGUUGCCUUGUUCUUAACUCAUAGCAUUUGAGAGCAAGUCCCCAACAUUGGCGCCCACCUCCGGUGAACUCACUUCCACUCUUCGAGUUUUUUGAACACCUUCGGCGAUCAUAAACCUUCAUUAUGGCGCCGAAGAAAGCUUCAGCGACUGGGGCUGCAGCUCUGCAACCACUGGAUCACAAUCAGGAGAUAGUCUCCCUUCGGGAGGCCCGAAGCCAGAAAAGGAAGGCUGUCAGCCCGACACCACCAGAGGACGAGAUAGAUCAAGAAAUCAGAGAUAUGGAAAUGCUUCAUCAACAAGUACAGAGGAAGAAAGAAAAGAUGGCCAGGCUAGCUGAACUGCAGAGGCAGAUAGACGAAGCCUCUGAAGAAGUUCGUCAUCUUGCUCAGGAUGAACAACACCGAAGGCCUCAGCACCAAGACCUUCAUCAGGAGGGUUUUCCCAAUGAAGAUGACUGGUAUGACAAUUUCCAUCAUGGGAAUUUUGUUUUUGAUGAUGCUUCUCCUCUGUCCGCUGAGCUGCAGGCUACACCUUGGCCUCCGUCCUACAAGCCGCCUCAGCUUCCCGUAUUUGAUGGCCACUCAGACCCGAAGCAGUUUUUGAUGAGCUACGAAGCAACAGUAUCUUCGUAUGGUGGCAAUGCUGCAGUCAUGGCCAAAUCUUUCGUUAUGGCUGUCAGGAGUGUUGCUCAAACCUGGUAUUCCUCCCUUCGACCAGGAACGAUCACUUCAUGGCAGAAGCUGAAGGACUUGUUGUUAACUAGCUUUCAAGGGUUUCAGACGAAGCCGGUCACUGCUCAAGCUCUGUUCCAAUGCACCCAGGAUCACGAAGAAUACCUUCAGGCGUAUGUCCGAAGGUUCUUGCGUUUAAGGGCACAAGCACCAACGGUGCCCAACAAAAUUGUCAUUGAGGCCAUGAUCAAAGGGCUUCGGCCAGGACCGUCAGCUCAGUACUUCGCUAGGAAGCCCCCUCAAACUUUGGAGAAGCUGCUCCAGAAGAUGGACGAGUACAUUCGGGCCGAUAAUGAUUUUCGCCAAAGAAGGGAGGAGGCUUUCAGGUUUUCUGAAAUGACCAGGGGCUUCGGAGGGAGGUUCUACCCGAGGCACGUUAGAUCAAUUCAUAACUCUACACAAAAUGAUGAUAGAGGGAGCCAACAGCAAAGGCCACAAUGUUCCUCACAGGCUUCGGGGCAACAGCAAGGCUCCUUCCGACCACCAGCUCCAAGAGGCAGAGGCGCCAGGGGCUUUGGAGGAAGAUUUGGCGAUCAACCGAGGAGAAUCUUUUGCUUGUUCUGUGGUGAGAACAAAGGUCAUACCACCAGGAUGUGCCAUGUUACCAUCCAGAAGCAAAAAGAAAUAGCCGAAGCGGCAGCACAACAGGCUCAGCCGAAGCAGGUCAUGCACACUGCUUCGUAUCAUUCGCCUUACAUCCCAGAGUAUGUAGGCAAUCACCCUGCAGUUUCUGUUGCUUCGGCGAGUCAACCUCAGGCUUCCUGGCAACAACCUCCGCCUCCACCACCGCUGCAACAAGGCCAGCAGCCAGAAGGGAGCCAAUACGCUCCACACCAAAGGGACUUCAGAGAGCAGUCCGAAGCUCGCACAGUCAACAGCACUGUGCCAGAGUCAAAGCACAUCUAUUGACAAAUAUCCUACCUUAAUAGCAAUCUUUUUCAUUCAGUUUUAUUUUCUGUAAUAAAGGACAUUGUUCAAGUUUCAUGUAAAUAGUUUCACUGAUUCCCACAAGGAAAAUAUAUUUUCUUCACAGGUUUAAAUUGUUGAAAGACUUGUGAUAACAAAGAGGACCUUCGAACUAUCGAAAAUUCUUCGAAGUAACAAAAAGUCGUUCUAAGGAACGCAGAGUAAGUUUGCCGAAGUCACAAAAAGUCGCUCCAGAGGGAGCGCAGUGUAAGUUUUCUGCUCCAAAGUCGUUCCAAAGGGAAUGCAGAGCAUACAGCGAAAAGUCAACGCUGAUACCGCCUAAGUAAAAGGCGAAGCGCAAAAAGUCAACGCGAAUACCGCUGAAAGUAAAAGGCGAAGAAGCUCCUAAGGGAGGCUUACAGCGAAAAAUAAACGCUGAUUCCGCUGAAGUAAAAGGCGAAGAAGCUCCUAAGGGAGGCUUGUAAAAGAUUAUGUAUUUUAUUGCAGGGAUGCGUGUGCACCUUCGGAAUAAGCAUCGUCUCAUAUAACAUAACAUCAUCGCAUCAUUUCGCAUAGCAUAAGCAUCAUACAUCAUGUUGCAUAUGGCACAAGAGGUGGACACAAUAUUAAUCUACAGAAGAGCGUUUUGAAAAAAGGGAAAAAUCAUAAGGAGAUACAUUAUUGAUCUUCGGAGGUGUAGCUUCGGAAAAUAUUUUCACGAAGCCUGGAUAUUAUUCAUCAGAACACUGGAUAUUGUUGAAAAAUUCUUCUUCACGAAGCAUGAAAAGAAGGGAAGGUGUUUUUUCGUCAAAGACUCAAAAGUGGUACGUGUAAAUUUCAUGCAUCGUAAAGAAUUAAGCAAGAAAAACAGGUAUAUUACAUUCAGGGUUACAAAAUGUUACAAUAUAUUACAUUUCAGAAGUUUUUACAAUAGUACUUAAUCCUCUCUCAAAACGACUUCUGCAGCUUCGUUUAGGAGUCGAUUGACGACUUCGUCCAUAAUAUCUUCAGCCAUCUUUUUUAUUUCGUCGUCUCCUUUCGGCUGAGGGUCCGAAGGGGCUUUAGCAAAAUCUGAAGUAGAACAGGAUACGGCUACAUUGCUAUGACAAAUUGCAAACGAAUCUUAAAACCUAAAAUUAUAGCACAAUAAAAACUAUUAGAUAAUACCUAAUUGACCUUCGGGCUCUGCGCUCUUUUCAGCAGCCUCAGCUACUUCUCUAGCAUCGUGAAUGCCCUUUUUGCUUCUUUGAAUAAUCUCUCGAGCCAUUUCUCGGCCACCAUUAUCCCAGAUAUCGGUGAAAAAUUUUCCACCAAUCAUGCUAGCUUCGGCCGAUGGAUCCCUUGCAUCUUCGAAGGACAAAGCACCUUCGGAUUGCGCUAGAAUCUUUACGUGUUCGCAGCCUUUUUUCUCUAAAAUGGUGGCAAUUCCUCUGGCACCCGAGAAGGCACAUAUAUCUCCACGGCUAUUUAAAAUUUCUUCGAAGGCUUCAGCUUCGUGGUCGAUCCAUUCGAUGGGACCUUCAGGAUUGCCUCUCGUAAAGUUUUCCUCACUUGAGAAUGCGCCGACCCUAGCGAAGCUAGCCUUUAGCUUCUUAACACAUUCUAUAGAUUUGUUAUAGCAUCUCUUCUUGGACGACCGAAGCUCUUCAACAGUUCCUUCUAGGUGAUCUGCCCAUUGGUCGCUGAGUUCUCGCUUUGUUUCUUCAAGUAUACGUUCUUCUUUGGCUCUGGCCAGUUGUUUCCGAAGAUCUUCAAGUUCUCGUUUAUGAGCUUCAGCUUGGCUUUUAAAAGCAGCUUCGUCUUCUUUUAUUUUAUUUAUCAAUGAGUGUAAUAUUUUAUCUUUCUCAAGACCUUCGUUCCUCAGUUCAAUUACUUCGGAACGAAGGUUGCUCAGGGCUAUAGUACACCCUUCGUCUUCAGCAUCUUUCUGUGCCCUGAGGGCAUUGCUAAGUAUCAGGCCCUGCAAAGAGAAAUAUGUGUGUGUCAAUAGGUUUAAACAAACGAAAAAAAUUUUGGUCUCAACAAAAAAUGCAAAGAUUCCAUUUGUUGCACCUUCAAGCUAUUAUAUGCCAGACUGUCGGCCAAAUCAUUUUUCGAUAGUACUGAGAGUCCGUCUUCCAGUGUUGGGAAUCCGAAGCUCUUGCUCAUCUCCCGACAGAUAGAAAUCUCUUUGCUGUCAGGGAGACAAUAGAAAAAGUCUUCUUCUCCACUGCCAUUGAAUAUUAAUGCCCCCUUUGGAUACUUCAGUUUUUGGGCGUAAAGUUGGGCCUCUUGUUUUUCUUUUUCUGAUAGUUGUUUCCCCGAAGCAUGGCGAAUAAUGUAAUCAAGGACUUUGGGGGAUGCUUCGGGGGCAGCAGCACUAAUUUCUUCAGCAAAAGUUGGCUCUGUAAUUUUUUCUUCCUCGGAUUCCAGGGAUUUUAUUUCUGUGGGUUCUGAGGAUCCAGCUUCGGCUUCAGUUUCUUGCUCUGGAGCUUUAGUAUCAGAGACUUUAGUUUUUUUUUCGGGGAUGACAACAGUCUCCUUCGGAGGUGUGCUUGAAGAUUUAAUUGUCUCCAGAACAUCUAGCACAUUGACCAUUCUCUUCCUUUUCGGAGUCACUGCUGGCACCUUUUGGUUUUUUACUGUCUCAAUAUUUGCCGCAGGACUCAAAACUUCUGAUGUUUUUUAUCCCUCAGUUGCUUCUUUUUCUUCCAUUUUUUCCGUGGACGGCGCUUCAGCCUUCUUCGUUUCUGAUAACAAAAUCUUUGAUUGUUCCAAUUCUAUCUUUGUUGACACUUCGGCCGUUUCUGCGACUUCUGGUAGCAAGGUUGGCUCGGUUGGUUUUUCAGCUUCGGUGGCCGAAGAGGUUUCUCCGGUAAACUCGGGCACCGAAGCUGGUUCAAUAUAGCGCGGCCGAUGUGUGAGGACCUUUAUCUUCUUUCUUUUCGGUUCUGGCUCGCUAGGAGCAGUUGCAGCUUCUUCUUUUGCAGAGGUUGUGUUUUUUCUCUUCUGCCUUCGAAUGGGAUAGCAAUAGUCAGGGUAGACAAACCCGAUUGCAUCAAAUACCCGAUUCAGCCUCUUCUUUUUUCGGCCUCCGAAGGCUGCUGACAUUGCACUGUCUUCGGCCUUCGAAUAAGCCCCAAGCAGUUCAUCACUUAAAUUUUCAAUGCUUUUUAACCAGUCGUCAUCUGGAUCAACGAAUUUAUCUCCAAAUUUAAAAGUCUACAACCUGAUAAGUCCACCUUCGUCGGCCUCUUUUAUGGUUUCUUGUGGCAUUUCCCAUUUCUCCGCGAGCGGCCAUACCCUGAAGGCAAUAUGCUCUUGUACUAAGUCUCUCGUUCCAAUAAAAGAACAGAUGACGCCGAAGGCCCUCUGGCAUUCUUCGGCAGCUUCAUUCAUUUCAACCUUCGGCCUCCGAAGGCCGAAGCUUUGCCAAAUAGGGCGCAUAAUUAUACCUUUGAUAUCUUCUCGUACUGUCAGAUCAUUCUUCACAUAAAACCAUUCUGUCAUCCAGUCGCCGGGCCAUCUCUUCCGAAAGGUUGGCACGGGGCAGCUUGACCCGGACCGAGAAACGAAACUAUAGCAGCCAAAAUUAUUGUGAUACUGUUCCUUACCCCAAGGUUUUGUUUCGUAUGAUAAUUCAUGUAUAUUGCAGAAGCUUUUUGCAUCAGGCUUCAGACCUUGGCUUCUCGCGGCCCACACGAAGAUAUUCAGCCUUAUGAUUGCUUCGGGGGUAAGUUGGUGAAGAUAGACUUCGAAGAUUUUCAACACCUCCACGACGAAGCUGCUCAAGGGAAAUCGCAGUCCAGCUUUCAAAAAGCUUCGGUACACUACGACUUCAUUCUCUUCAGGGUGUGGGCAAGUUUUUUCCCCUUCGUCGGCCCUCACAAUGGAUAAAUCCCGGAAAUACCUUCCUCUCAUGUUGACAAGAUGAUUCUCUUUGAUAGUUGAUUUACCAUAAACUGAAUGGCUUGGUCGCCAGGGACGAUCUUCGGAGUCUUCACCACCACUAUCCACAUCAUAGCUGUCACUAUCACCAGUAUCUUCAGACAAACCUUCCAGAAUCUCCUUGGUGAUUUUUUCUGUAUUGGUCUUUGACAUCGCUAUAAGAAACCCCAAGUUUUUCUCUUCGUCCAGGCUCAGCUUCAUCUCAGCACCAGUCUUCUUAUCCUCAGACAUCUUCGGAGACACUAAAAACUAUUUUCAAAGCCGAAGCUUCAAAACUAAAGGCUUAACAAAUCUUAGUACACAAGAGCUAAAAAUUGAGUGAGCGGGAGCAGUUGGCCAGAGAGCGUGUCAAAUGAGUUUGCGGUAUGACUGUAUUUAUACGCCAAGUGCGUUGAAAAUUGAAAGACCCCGCUUGUCAGUGAAUGUUGCUAUUCUAGCAAAGGGAAGGUGUUUUUUCGGACCUUCGGCGUAAAGCCUUCGUCCAUGUCGCAAUCUAAAUUUAUUAUUUUAAACAAAUUAAUAUUGUGAGGGGCUACUGUUGGGGACCUUCGGCUUCCGAAGGUCCUCAAAAACAAGAUUUAACAAUAUUUCUGGAGUAUGAUGUGUGAACAGGUAUCUUCGGACUCAAGUCGGCAUCACAGUAGACCAGAAUAAUAUGAAGGUUGGUACAGCGCCGAAGGUGUGAGCAGGAAAGCUUCGGCGCGGCAGCAGAAAGUGAAACCGACUUAAAGAUGAAAAGGCUAUUUAGACCUCGACAAAUUACUAUAGAAUUAUUAUCAAGUGUAAAGGGCAUGAAUGUAAUUUUGUAUGGGUUGUGUCCCGUGCCUAUAAAUAGGUGAACAGUAUCCCCCGUACUGUUCACGCUGACUUGGCAUUCGCUUUUUGCGUCACGCUUGUACUAUCAUCUCCUUCCAGUUGAAGGUACACUUGUAAUUCAAUAAUAUCUCUGUUUAUGCCUGAUAAUAAUAGAUAAUUGUUUAUGUUGUCUUUUAUAUUCCUUACAUUUCAUCCUUCGUCACUGUAUGAUGAAUUUAUGGAAAUACGUCCUUCGUAACCUUCGUCCGGAAACCAUUAUAUCCUAAGGGAAUAAUGCUUCGAAGGACGAAGGACUUUAACGAUUAACAUUUUCUAUGUUGCCUUGUUCUUAACUCAUAGCAUUUGAGAGCAAGUCCCCAACAUCGGUUGUCAGGCCAGAGCGAGUCGACGACGCCGGCACCCCUGCGGGGGCCAUGUCUGGUGUUGUCCUCGCACCAGAGACAACGAUGGGUGUCGCUUCCUCGCAAUGCGCCAACCCCGAGCGUGCUGAUGACGCCAGCACCCUCGCAAAGGACUUGCUGGGCGUUAGCCUCGUACCUGAGAUAAUGGUGCAAUCCGUCCCCGACGCGACUUCGCCACCGUCCAUCGACCAAGAGGUACCAUCCGUUUUUCAUCCUAUCCCUUUUAGAUUCAGCCUCGAUCCACCAAGCGACCCCGCUUCGGUGAGCGCUUCCGCCAGGGCAUACCCUGACCUUCCGGGGUAUCCUAUGCAGUCAUCUUGGGACCGACUGACGGCCAUCUCAACCUCCGGACCCACGGGUUCCGAGGAAGACGACGACUCCGACUUCGGUUGGGAUUUCUCCGGACUCAGUGAUCCCAGUGCCAUGCGAGACUUCAUGUCCGCAUGUGACUACUGCCUCUCCGGUUGCUCUGACGAUGGCCAUAGCCUCGGCGACGAGGGUUGUGACCCAAGCCACGAGUGUUUCCACAUCGAUCAGCGGGAUCACGGCGAGGACAACCACCUCGGCAUGCCGCAAGAUGACAACGCCCCUGUGCCUGCGUCUUGCGUUGACAUCCCACAGGAGCUAGCUGUGGUCCCAGUCCGUGUGGGGGGUCAGGACACAUAGCUCGAGCAAUUCUACGAGAUGCAGGCCAAGCUCGACGAAGAAGCCGGGCGGCUUGUGCAGCUCCGAGAAAACAUCGAGCAGGAGUGGGCAGGCCGAGCACUCGCAGGAGGAGCGCCUCAUCGGGCCCGAGACGUCCAGCGCCGUAUCGUUGACGAUGCCAGGGCAGGGCUGCCCCCGGCCUUCAGUGGGGCCGGCCAGAAUCUAGCUGCAGCGGCGAUGCUACUCUGAGCAAUGCCGGAGCCAUCCACCACCGAGGGGCGGCGUAUCUAGGGCGAACUCAAGGGUCUCCUAGAAAACGCAGCGGUCCAACGAGCCGAGAGCUCUGCCUCCCAAAGGCAAGGGUGCCCCUCGAAGCAUCGCACAACGUCCUCCCGACUCAUCUGGGAGGACUCGGUCCGCAGCGGGCGCACGCGAGACGGGAUGCCUGCAGCCCCGGAUCGCCUCAGCGACGAGCCCCACCGUCGCGACCGUCGAGCCCGCCUCGAAGAGAAGGUGCGCCGAGGCUACCACCCCAGGCGCGGAGGACGCUACGACGGUGAGGAGGACCGGAGCCCCUCGCCCGAACCGCCAGGUCCAAGGGUCUUCAGCCGGGCCAUACGACGGGCACUGUUCCCAGCCCGGUUCCGAGCCCCGACUACCAUCACCAAGUACUCAGGGGAGACAAGGCCGGAGUUGUGGCUUGCGGAUUACCGACUGGCAUGCUAGUUGGGAGGGACGAAUGACAACAACCUCAUCAUCCACAACCUCCCCCUUUUCCUCUCCGAUGCUGCCCGGGCAUGGCUGGAGCAUCUGCCUCCUGCUCACAUCUCCGACUGGGACGACCUGGUCAAGGCCUUCACGGGAAACUUCCAAGGUACGUACGUGCGCCCUGGGAACUCAUGGGAUCUCCGAAGCUGCCACCAGCAGUCAGGGGAAUCCCUGCGAGAGUACAUCCGAUGGUUUUCAAAGCAGCGCACCGAGCUGCCUAACAUUACCGACUCAGACGUCAUCAGGGCAUUCCUCGCCAGCACCACGUGCCGGGACCUGGUGAGCAAACUGGGCGCAAGACUCCUACCAAGGCGAGCGAAUUGAUGGACAUCGCCACCAAGUUCGCCUCUGGUCAGGAGGCGGUCGAAGCCAUCUUCCGGAAGGACAAGCAUCCUCAAGGAAGACAGAAGGAAGACGCCCCCGAGGCGUCCGUCCAGCGUGGCUCGAAAAAGAAGGCCAAGAAGAAGGCGCAAGCAAAGCGCGACGCCAUUGACGCGGAUCUCGUCGCUGCUGCCGAGCACAGGAAUCCUCGGAAGCCUCCUGGAGGAGUCAACAUUUUUGACAAUAUGCUCAAGGAGUCAUGCCCCUAUCACAGGGGUCCCGUCAAGCACACCCUUGAGGAGUGCGACAUGCUCCGGCGUUACUUCAUAAGGCGGGACCCUCGGCAGAAGGGGGCAAGGACCUAGGCAACAACAAGAAGGGGGGCGACAAGGAUGAGGAGUUCCCAGAGGUCCGCGACUGCUUCAUGAUCUACGACACACAGGUGGCAAACUCCUCGGCUCAGCACCGCAAGCAGGAGCGCCGGGAGGUCUGCUCGGUGAAGGUAGCGGUGCCGGUCUACCUUGACUGGUCCGACAAGCCCAUCACCUUCGACCAAGGCGACCACCCCGACUAUGUGCCGAGCCCAAGAAGGUACCCGCUCGUCAUCGACCCCAUCAUCGGCAACGCUAGGCUCACCAAGGUCCUCAUGGAUGGAGGCAGCAGCCUCAACAUCAUCUACGCCGAGACCCUAGGGCUCUUGGGGAUAGAUCUGUCCACGAUCCGGGCCGGUGCCGCACCCUUUCACGGGAUCGUCCCCGGUAAGCGCGUCUUGCCCCUUGGGCAACUUGAUUUGCCCAUCUGCUUCGGAACUCCCUCCAACUUCCGCAGGGAAACCCUCAUGUUCGAGGUGGUCGGGUUCCGAGGAACCUAUCAUGCGGUGCUGGGGAGACCGUGCUACGCCAAGUUCAUGGCCGUCCCCAACUACACGUACCUCAAUCUCAAGAUGUCGGGCCCCAAGGGAAUCAUCACCGUCGGAUCCACGUACCGCCACGCUUACGAGUGCGACGUGGAAUGCGUGGAGUACGUUGAGGCCAUCGCCGAAUCCGAGGCCCUCAUCGCCGACCUGGAAUGCCUCUCCAAGGAGGUGCCUGAUGCGAAGCGCCACGCCGGCAACUUCGAACCGGCUGAGGCGGUUAAAUCCGUCUCUCUCGACCCCAGCAACGACGCCGGCAAGCAAGUCAGGAUCGGCUUCGAGCUCGACCCCAAAUAGGAAGCAGUGCUCGUCGACUUUCUCCACGCAAAUGCCAAAAUUUUUGCGUGGAGUCCCUCGGACAUGCUAGGCAUACCGACGGAUGUCGCCGAGCACUCGCUUGAUAUCUGAGCUGGAGCCCGACCCAUGAAGCAGCACCUGCGCCGCUUUGAUGAAGAGAAGCGCAGGGCCAUAGGCGAGGAGGUCCACAAGCUGAUGGCUGCAGGGUUCAUCAAAGAGGUAUUCCAUCCGGAAUGGUUAGCUAACCCUAUGCUUGUGAAGAAAAAAGGUGGGAAAUGGAGGAUGUGCGUAGACUACACUGGUCUAAACAAAGCAUGUCCGAAGGUUCCCUACCCUCUGCCUCGCAUCGAUCAAAUUGUGGACUCCACUGCUGGGUGCGAAACCCUAUCAUUCCUCAACACCUAUUCAGGUUAUCACCAAAUCAAGAUGAAAGAAUCCGACCAGCUCGCGACUUCUUUCAUCACACCCUUUGGCAUGUAUUGUUAUAUUACUACGCCAUUUGGCUUGAGGAAUGCAGGUGCAACCUACCAAAGGUGCAUGAACCAUGUGUUCGGGGAGCACAUCGGCAGAACGGUUGAGGGUUACGUCGAUGACAUCGUUGUCAAGACAAGAAAAGCCUCCGACCUCCUCUCUGACCUCGAAGUGACUUUCGGGUGCCUGCGUGCAAAAGGUGUAAAACUCAAUCCCGAGAAGUGUGUCUUCGGAGUCCCCCGAGGCAUGCUCCUGGGGUUCAUCGUCUCCGAAAGAGGCAUUGAGGCCAACCCGGAGAAAAUCGUAGCCAUCACCAACAUGGGACCCAUCAAGGAUCUAAAAGGAGUACAAAGGGUCAUGGGAUGCCUUGCGGCUCUGAGCCGCUUCAUCUCGCGCCUCGGCGAGAGAGGAUUGCCCUUGUACCGCCUCUUAAGGAAGGCCGAGCGCUUCACUUGGACCCCCGAGACCGAGGAAGCCCUCGGGAACUUAAAGGCACUCCUUACUAACGCGCCCAUCUUGGUGCCCCCCGCUGCGGGAGAAGCCCUCUUGAUCUACGUAGCCGCAACCACUCAGGUGGUCAGCGCCGCGAUCGUAGUCGAGAGACGGGAGGAAGGGCAUGCACUGCUCGUCCAGAGGCCGGUCUACUUCAUUAGUGAAGUGCUAUCCGAGACCAAUAUUCGCUACCCACAAAUUCAGAAGCUACUGUACGCAGUAAUUCUGACACGACGAAAAUUGAGACACUACUUCGAGUCUCAUUCGGUGACUGUGGUGUCAUCCUUCCCCCUGGGAGAGAUCAUCAAGUGCCGAGAGGCCUCGGGUAGGAUAGCAAAAUGGGCAAUGGAACUCAUGGGCGAAACAAUUUCAUUUGCCCUUCGGAAGGCCAUAAAGUCCCAAGUCUUGGCUGACUUCCUGGCUGAAUAAGUCGACACCCAAUUGCCGACAGCUCCAAUCCAGCCCGAACUUUGGACCAUGUACUUCGAUAGGUCGCUGAUGAAAACAGGGGCAGGUGCUGGCCUGCUCUUCAUCUCACCCCUCGAGAAACAUGUGCGCUACGUGCUGCGCCUCCAUUUUCGAGCGUCAAACAACGUGGCCAAGAACGAGGCUUUGGUUAAUGGGUUGCGCAUCGCCAUCGAGCUAGGGGUUCGGUGCCUCGAUGCUCGGGGCGACUCGUAGCUUGUCAUUGACCAAGUCAUGAAGAACUCCCACUGCCGCGAUCAAAAAAUGGAGGCCUACUGCGACAAAGUUUGGCGCUUGGAGGAUAAGUUCCACGGGCUGGAACUCAACCAUGUUGCUCGACGGUACAACGAGACCGCGGAUGAGCUGGCUAAAAUAGCCUCGGGGCGAACGAUGGUUCCCCCGGACGUCUUCUCUAGGGACAUAUAUCAACCAUCCGUGAAACUCAACGACGCGCCCGAGCCCGACGAGACCUCGGCCCAGCCCGAGGUACCCUCGGCCGCCGAGGGUGAGGCCUUGCGCAUCGAGGAACAACAGAAUGGGGUUGCGCCAAACCAAAACUAGCAGACCCCGUACCUGCAAUAUCUCUUCCAAGGAGAGCUGCCCCUUGACAAGGCCGAAGCUCGGCAACUGGCUCGGCGCUCCAAGUCGUUCAUUUUACUGGGUAAUGAAAAAGAGUUGUACCACCGCAGCCCCUCAGGCAUUCUCCAACGAUGCAUAUCCGUCGCCCAAGGACAAGAGCUGCUACAAGAAAUACACUUGGGGGCUUGCGGUCACCAUGUAGCACCUCGGACCCUCGUCGGAAACGCUUUCUGACAAGGUUUCUACUGGCCGACCGCAGUGGCCGACGCCACUAGGAUUGUACGCUCCUGCAGAGGGUGUCAAUUCUACGCGAGACAGACGCACCUGCCCGCUCAAACCCUGCAAACAAUACCCAUCACUUGGUCGUUUGCCGUAUGGGGUCUAGACCUCGUCGGUCCCUUGCAGAAGGCACCCAGGGGCUUUAAGCACCUGCUGGUCACCAUCGACAAAUUCUCCAAGUGGAUCGAGGUCCGACCCUUAACCAGCAUCGGGUCCGAGCAGGCGUGGCGUUCUUCACAAAUAUUUAUCCAUCGCUUUGGAGUCCCGAACUCCAUCAUCACCGACAAUGGCACGCAGUUCACUGGGAAGAAGUUCCUGGACUUCUACGAAGACCACCACAUCCGUGUGGACUGGGCCGUCGUAGCUCACCCAAUGACAAAUGGGCAGGUGGAGCGCGCCAACGGUAUGAUUUUGCAGGGACUAAAGCCGAGGAUCUACAACGACCUCAAUAAGUUCGGCAAGCGGUGGAUAAAGGAACUACCCUCGGUGGUUUGGAGUCUGAGGACGACGCCGAGCCGAGCCACGGGUUUCUCGCCGUUCUUUCUAGUCUAUGGGGCUGAGGACAUCCUACCCACGGACUUAGAAUACGGUUCCCCGAGGACAAAGGCUUACGACAACCAAAGCAACCAGACCAACCGAGAAGAUUCGAUGGACCAGCUGGAAGAAGCUCGGGACGUGGCCUUACUACACUCGGCGCGGUAUCAGCAGUCCCUGCGACGCUACCACGCCCGAAGGGUUCGGCCCCAAGGCUUCCAAGUGGGAGACUUGGUACUUCGGCUGCAACAAGACGCCCGAGGGCGCCACAAGCUUACUCCUCCCUAGGAAGGGCCCUUCAUCAUUGCCAAGAUUUUGAAGCCUGGGACAUACAAGCUGGCCAACGAUCAAGGCGAGGUCUACAGCAACGCUUGGAACAUCCAACAGCUACAUCGCUUUUACCCUUAAAAAAUUUCAAGUCGUUUAUGUACCUCGUUUUCUUUACAUAAGUAAAGUCUAACCAUCAAGGAAGGAUCAGCCUUGCCUCGGCAAAGCCCGACCCUCCCUCGGGGGCUAGAAGGGGGGAACCCCCUCUGCGUCAAAAAAUUUCCUCGGAAAAGUCUUUUGCCAGAAUGUCUUUUCGCGCUUUUCAACUAUGUCGAUAACAGAAUCUUGAAAACGAGCGAGAGAGACCUUGAGCGGCAAGGCCGAUCAAGCCGAGGGACUCCUACACCUCCGGGAUAUGGAUACCUCACUCAUCACCUUCCGCGAAAAGUAGCUCACGCUCGGAUAAGCGAUUCUGCUACCGAACAAGUCCUAACACUCGGAAACUUUUCUGCCAAAACGACUUUCGUGCCGUUUCGACUGCGUCGAUAACAGAAUCCUAAAACCGACGAGGGACCACGUAAGCAGCAAGGCCGACCGAGCCGAGGGACUCCUUUGCCUCCGGGAUACAGAUACCUCACUCAUCACCUUCUGCGAAAAGUGACUCACGCUCGGACAAGGGAUUCUGCUACCGAACAAGUCUUAACACACGAAACGAGAGGAAAGAAAAAGCAGCUUUAUAAUAUGAUGUUAAAAUGUUUAGGCCUCGGCGGCCGCAAAAAACAUACGCAUACUUCAAGCAAACUGUUCUUGCAGGCUCAGACAUCGGCUGGGGGAGGAGCGGCACCCUCGGCGUCGUUUCCACCUUCGGCAAGAUCUGGCACGGCCCCAGGCGGCGACACGGGCGGAAGGACCUCCACCUCGAAGGAGGAAGCCAGCGCCGCAGUUGGACCCUUGACAGCCGCGUCAAGCCUCUGGACCUCGGCUUAGGCAGCCUCCUCAUCGUUGGGUAAGCAGUACCCCUCGCUAACCCGCUCCAGAUCCACGUCGUAGUGGGAAGCGAGCACGGCGAAGGCCCGCCUAACGCCGUGGUGCAGCACCCCGCGGAGUCUGUUGCGCACAUGGCCGCCCAAGGCCCGCAGAUGACUCUGGGGGGAGCUACCCGAGGGGACACUGUCGAGGCCAAAAGCCUCGCAGAAAGCCGAGAUGGCCUCGGAUAUGGCCACACGCUCGGCCUCCUUCUGCUCAGCUGCCUCGGCAAGCGCCUUGCAGUUCUUGACGGCCUCGUUAAGAGCCGUCUCGAACCCUGCAGAUGGCAGGACAACUUUCUUCAGACGCAAGGUGAAGAAUGGCGACAAAAACAAAGUCACAGAGCGGGCAAAACAUACCCUCGGCCCGGGCACGCUGCUAUGAGGCCAUGCCUCGGGCAGCCCGGACAGACCCGACGACCACGGCUAGACCCUCCGCAAGGGUCCCGGCCCGAGCGGUCGCCUCGGGUCUAGAGAGGGGGAAGCCCCCUCUGCGCCAAAAUUUUCCUCGGAAAAGUUUUUCGCCAAAACCACUUUCGUGCCUUUCGACUGCGUCGAUAGCGGAAUCCUAAUGACGAGCAAGAGAGACCUUGAGCGGCAAGGCCGACCGAGCCGAGGGACUCCUACGCCUCCGGGAUAUGGAUACCUCACUCGUCACCUUCCGCGAAAGGUAGCUCGCGCUCGGAUAAGUGAUUCUGCUACCGACGAACAAGUCCUAAUGCUCGAAACAAGAGGAAAGAAACACGGCUUUAUACCCAAAUGUUCAGGCCUCAGCAGCCACAAAGAACAAACACACGUACUUGGGGGAACAAUGGUACCUAGACUCAGACGUCGGCAGCACCCUCGGCGGCUGUCCCGACCUACGACAAAUGUCUUAGUACUUAAAGCUAUUACAUCUCGCUCUCAAGAGGGUACCAUUGCAAACAGGACUCCAGGUCCAUUCCCGCAGGAAUGAACAACCUCCACACAAGGAGGCCUGCGGGAUAACAAACUCCAGGUGGCUCGCCGGCGACCACUACACUAGCAGAGCGACAACGACCUCCACCUCGGACGGCUAGACAGCAGCAGCGAUGGCCUCAGGGCAAACGCUACUGCUGGAAGGCCCUCGUUCAUGUCCCCUCACGGGGGACGAGAACCAGCCAUUAAAGCCAAAGAGCCGGAGGCCCCGAGCGCAGGUGGCACUGACGGUCUCGUCGGCGGAAGCAACCACCGCUGCGGUGGGAAGCCUCACCAGCGGCGGCCGCCGCUUCAGCACCGGCGACAGCAGCCGCCUGCGCACGGCACGACCGUCGUCCGGAUGGAGGACGGACAGCUGCACCCUGGCCAGGCAGCAGCAGUUCACCUUCCCCCGCAUGGCUGGAGGACGCCUCCUCCGCAGAGCUGGAGGAUGUCCUUCUCCCCUGAAUGCUCGAGGAAGAAGUGGGUCGCCGGCCCACGCGGAGGCAGGCCCCACCUCGGUGCGCCCUCCUCCCCAGCCCGGAUGAUGAACAUCCUUGAUGCUGAGGGCGGGGCAGAGGCCACAGCCCGGCUUGCUUCUCCCCACCACAAGGCUGGUGGUCAUCCCUACGGAUGACCAUUGGUGAGGGACUGCAGCCGGGCUGCAUGAUGAAAAUCCUUGAAGCCGAGCGGUGACUGGGGAGCGCCAACUCCCAUCGGGUCGUGCUCCUGAAACAACAGCAAAAAGAAGGCAACACAGGUGCACCCCAUAUGGGGGCUCCGAAGGUGGAAGGGCACGGAGGCGAGAAGUGUGAAGGCAUGGCUACUGCCCGGGGGAUCGGUCCCUUUUUAAAGGCAGAUCUCCUCACUCGCACCCUCAAGCGUCACAGGCAAAGACUCCACCGACGCGCUUCAAGGUUCUCGCCCUCCGACGCGGGGGCUGACCCGAAACGGAAGAAGCCAAAUCGCCGCACACAAAGCAUGUAACCGCCCCGCGGUUAUAAGCGUUCCCCCAUCCUCGCCGAAACCAGCGGUCGAAAGGGCGGACCGCCACGCAGGAAGCAUGCAACCGCACCACAGUUGUGCGCCCUUUCGGCCCCGUCGCGUCCAGCGGACCAGCAUGGAGGCCCGGGCCCACAUGUCAUGUAACCGGUGCAACGGUUACUGCAUGCAAGGAAACCGCACCGCCACUCGCGCCAAUGCCGCGUCUUCUCGACUGAGGAACCAGUACCGCGACUCGAGGCAGCACUACGCAUGACCCAACAAUGCCAAUUGAGUGCAACGAUCACAGGUCAGUCAGCCAUGGGGAGAGGCGCGAUGGUCGAUAUGACCAGAGGCAGGCUGGCAGUAAUUGCAGCAACAGACGGGCGGAAGCAGCGGUCCGAUCACCUACAGGCUCACACCCUCUCCUGAAACGGCAGGGGAGCCCUCUCCCACGGAGUAAAGACGACACGCCCGUGUUCUGUUCCUCCAACGGCUCGCGCACACGCCAUAGACGCCCCGCGAAUCGCCCGUCCCGUCGCAUUAACUCCUUGGCAGGGCAAGCGACAUCUCCAGCAGGCGAAGCGAGCGCCGUUUCACCUCCGUCAUGAUGACCGCGUCAAAAAGGUGUGCCGCCUUAUUUAAAUUCAUGUCCUUUUUCUUUCCCUCUCUCUCUCUCUCUCUCUUGCCACAGGGACCGGGAAAGGGGGUAUUUCGAAAAAGGACCCUUCCCAGCGAAGGAAACGGGCCCCGAGCCCUCCUACUAAUCAGGGGUUCGAAGGUUGCGCCCUCCGGGGUUCGGCAACCGCCCCAGAGCACUCGGGCUCCAUGCCCUUUACUGAUCAGGGGUUCGUAGGCUGGCCCCUCGGAAGGGUUCGACAGCCGCCCCCGAGCACGCAGAGUCAGGGAUGACCCUGGGUACGUCUAUUACAUGGUCGAGGCUCGGGCUACGCUCCCGAGGUACCCUAGGACAUUUCUGAGACCAGCGGGAACGAUUUUGUAAUGGAAUCCCACCGGAGGGAGGCAUCGAGCCCUCGGACCCUAUCGAAUGGGUCCGGGUCCGGCAAAUCACCUGCAGGUACUUUUGGAGCACGCCUGUGGGCCACUAGCCGACCCUUAUCGAAUGGGGCUCGGGCGUCCACUCGGAUCACCCGCUAGCAACUCACUGGAAACACCAUGUUCGGUGCCCUCCGAGGUAACAUGGCGCUUUCCCCCCCCCCCUUCCUCCUUGCGGAAAGGCGACGAAGGGGCGUACAAUAAAAGUCGAAACGGUCCUUGAUCGUCCUCUCGCUCCGUGCAGAGGCUCGGGGGCUGCUCUCACACCAGGCUACGGCCGAACCAUUGACCACGUCAACAAACCAGCGUGAAAACUCGAAGCCUGACCGUGCACCCGGGCUACGGCUAGGCCGCAUGAGGGAACGACAAGGCCAUCCGAGGCAUCGCAAAAAGAAUUAAGACCUCAGAGGAGUCAAAACCACUCCUCCAAGGCCUCGGGGGCUACACCCGGCAGGUGUGCUCAUGCGCACCCACCGGAACAAAAUAUAACCAAGAAGGGUCGGUCCCCUUGCAAAAAUCUGGCAGAACCUCCAAGCGAGUGCCCGCACUCCCUUUGAGGCUCGGGGGCUACUGUCGGGUACCGUAAUUAGGGGUACCCCCAAUGCUCCUUAAUCUGGCUGGAAAACAUCUUCAGAACAAGCCAUACACGGCUGAUAAACGCGGUUCAAGUCAGGGUCACGUCUGCCGAGGGACGCGACCUCAUCCGAGCCCAGCCUCGGGCGGGAACAGUAGUCCCAGACGGAUUCACGCCUCGCUCGAGGGUCCCCUCAACCAGUAGACGCACCCUCAGCUCGCCCGAAGCCCAGCUUGGGCAGACUUUGUCGUGCAGCAACCUUGGCCAAAUCGCCUUACCAGCCAACCGAAUCGCAUGCGCAUUUACUGCGGGGAUCGCCUGACACCUUAUCCUGACACGCGUGCCUCAGUCGGCAAGGUCGAAGUGACCGCAGUCACUUCGCCCCUUUACUAGCCGAUCUGACUGGAAAACAACGCGGUUCACCCCGCUCCGGCUACCGUGCCAACCACCAGGAUAAAACCGAGUCACGAUCUCCCACGAGUUUGGCCUCGGGCGCAACAGGGAGCUCCGCCUCGCCCGACCUCAGGCCUCAGCCUCAGCCUCGGCCUCGGAAGAAGAUCUCCGCCUCGCCUGACCCCAGGCCUCGGCCUCAGCCUUGGCCUCGGGAGGAGUCACAACCUCGCCCGAGCCCAGCCUCGGCCUCAGGAGAAGUCUCUGUCUCGCCCGACCUGGGCCUCGGACCGACUGUGCUACAGGGGAUACAUUAUUACCCUACUCCUAGCUAGCUGCCUCAGGCUACGAAGGAACAAGACCGGUGUCCCAUCUAAGGCUACUCCGGCAAUAGGUAAUGAUGGUCCCCCUCGUGCGCCCAUGACGUCGGAUCGCUCUCAACCCCCUACGGAAGCAAGACAACGUCAGCAGGAUCCAUGCCGCGCCGACAGCUGUGCUUCUACUAGGCUCAAGGCACUUCUCCGAUGGCCACGCUAGCUCGUGUACAGGGCUCAAGGCGCUUCUCCGCCAGCCACGAUAGCACAUAGCUACACCCCCUUGUAUAGCUGGGCAUCUCCUUGUAUCUAUAAAAGGGGAUGUCCAGGGCCUUCCUAAGGCACGACGCCGCGCACACACGUUGGACACCGCGCACACACGUUGGACGUCGUGGACACACGUUGGACGUCGUGGGCAGACGCGGCAACUCUGACAACGUUGGUCGCUCUCGCCCUCGCUCCCUCGCGCGACGCUUGUAACCCCUACUACAAGCACCCCGGUGUGAGAUAACAUAAGCCACAUUUCCCUCUUGUGUUCCAUCUUGCAUCAACCCAUCUGGGCAGGGACACGCAACAACAAAUUUACUGGUCGGUUGACGGUCCUCGCGGGUCCGAAACGCCGACAGAUAGUGAUACAAAACUUAUUACCAAUACUUUGAACCCGUUGGAGACAAACUUCAUCACCAUUGACUUAGAUAAUAGUAUGAUUUUAAAGGUCAUUUUUUGAUAGGCUUAUCUCCAAAUUGAUUACUACGAAUGCUCAAGGUGUGGCCAUUAGGUCCUCAAGGUUGUUACUUAAAUACGAAUGCUCCCUUGAACCAUCUCUAAAACAUAUAAUCUCUAAAUAUAGAUACUUUUGUACUACCCUAAGCAGCUGAAACUUAAGGAUAAUAUAAGCUAGUUAUAAUAUGUUGGCUUAGUACCCUAGAAUCACUAUUUUUAUUUUCAAUUUUACAAAUAGGGGGGACCUAUGCAUUAUAUUACUUAAUACCAAAACUUUCUAUGACCAAGCAUAUUUGAAGGCUUGCCCUGCUUAUGUGAAAACUUUGCCUAUGCCAAUGAGAGAUAAUAAAAAAAGAGAAGGUAAUAUGCGAACCUAUACAACUAUUUUUUUAUUCAACCACUUGAGUGAUGUUCAUUAUAUUAAUUUAGCAAUAACAAUUGGCAAAAAUAAAUUAUAUUAGGCCUUACCACUACUGGAAAUUUUCUCUAUGAAGUUAACAUAAUAAAAAUGAGAGAAGGAACAUAUUUUCAUGCAAUAAGAGAUUGACUCAACAAAUAUCCAAGCCAACACACCAUGUCUAACUCGAUAUAUAGGAUGAAGGGACAAAUGGAUAAAACAUCUCUAGUAUUCUCAUUUGCCCAUUCUUCUUUGAUCAAGUCCUGCAAUCCUUGGAGUUAGGAUAAAGGAACCAUAUGAUAAAAUUAUGUUGGCAUUCAUGACAAAUGUUUUGUUCAUUGUUGUGAUAAUUGCAACAAGGUUUCUUUAUCUAUUUUUUUGGUAUACACUAUGUUUUAAUCACACAUAUCAAAAUUAUGUUGUCAUUCAUGACAAAUGUUUUGUUCAUUGUUGUGAUAGAUGCAACAAGGUUUCUUUAUCUAUUUGUUUUUGGUAAAAACUAUGUUUUAAUCACACAUAACAACUCUUGAUGAUCAUUGAUACCCUUUUAAACAUAAAUAAACAGAACCACAUGUUUUUAGAUCUAUUUUCUGACUUUGAGCAAAAAAAUAGGUGGUAUCACAACCUGCCUUGAUUUGUUCCACAUCCAUAAUACCAAUAUAAUGUAUUAGUUGUAACCCCUAAGGUGUCACUCUCCAUAGCUUCCACCCAAACAUCAUUGUCUACUAGAUGCUUGGUGAUCACUAAUCCAUCAAACUUCGUUGUUUUUCAAAUCAAAUAGGGCCAACAUUGCCCUUUGUAGAACUGUUGGCUAAAUCUUACGAGGGAUCACCCAACUAUACUUCAUAUUACUUGGUGGCUUAGUUGGGUGCGCAAUGAAAACCAAUUAUCAUUUUUACUUCCAAAAUAUGAAACUAAUACUAACACAAAACACACAUACACAAUUAAAUCAUAGUGUAUGCCCAAAAAUUGUUAUAGAAACAUCAUUGCAAUUCUUAGAACAAUGAACAAAAAAUUGUCAUGAACAACCAUGUAAUUUUAUCAUAUGGUUCCUUAUCCCUACUCUAAGAAUUUCAGGAUCUUGUCAAAAAAGAGUGGGCAUUGGACAAUCCAGAGAUGUUAGUACAUUACUCCCUCCCUCAUAUAUAAUGAGUUGGACAAUUUUUGGUGUAAAAGUGCCCAUCCCUAACCACCAUUUCACCACUACUAAAUUUUGCCAAAUAGGUCCAAUGCAAAAUUCUUCCUCCAAGACAUUCUCUGUCCUAUAUAGAACCUACAUGAAUAUUUUUCUCUAUCACAACUCAAAACUAAGUGUGACAUCUUCACCCACAUGUACAAUAGCUCGUUCCUCUCCUUCUCAUUCCCUAGUGUAUAUUGUUGACCUAAUGCACCUUAGCCUCAUUGAUUUUGUUCAUGUUUCUCAAUCUCAUUGUUCCAUCAUAUUUAUUCUUCUCAUGUCUCCUCCUCCAUAAUGUUUGCAUUCUCAAUGUCCUUGUUGCAUCCUUGGACAUUGUGCCAUACCACUUGUUCUUAGUUUAUGCUCUUCUAUUAGUUGAAAUUGAUUGAUAUCCACAAAUUUUGUUAAAAAGAUUGAGAUCCACAUUAGGUGGUCAGAACUUCACAAACUAACCUCCAUCAAGCGGAUCAUAUAUUAUGUGGAUAAGGGUCGCGCAUGUGUAAAGGUAAAUGUGUCAUGCCAUUAUCACCCAUAUAUUCAGAAAAUACCAUGGGAAGAAAAGCAACUUUUUCUUGUAUUUUGUGCAAAUUGUUUUGUCGACAUAUAAAGUGUAAGAUAAGAAAGUGGCCACUAAAUAUCAAAAUAGACUAGGUACCAUGUCAUCUCUAGUUUAUCUUCUAAUGGUUUUGUUGGGUAAAGAAGAAAUAUUGUUGAUAUACAUGGCCUAUCAUGUGUAUAAAUAGCCAUCAAAUUAGUAGUUAAUCCAUCACCCAUAUUAUUGAUACGAACUAGCAACAUACAUAGUGAAGUACACUAGCAACAUCUUAGCACCAAUGGCAGCCAAGAUUUUUGCCAUCCUUGCCCUCCUUGCUCUUUCAGCAAGCGUUGCUACCGCGACUAUUAUUCCACAAUGCUCACAACAAUACCUCUCUCCGGUGACAGCCGCGAGAUUUGAAUACCCAACUAUACAAUCCUACAGGCUACAAGAGGCCAUCGCAGCAAGCAUCUUACGGUCGUUAGCAUUGACCGUCCAACAACCAUAUGCCCUAUUGCAACAACCAUCCUUAAUGAAUCUAUAUCUCCAAAGAAUCGCAGCACAACAACUACAACAACAGUUGCUUCCAAUAAUCAAUCAAGUAGUUGCAGCGAACCUUGCUGCUUACCUCCAGCAACAACAAUUUCUUCCAUUCAAUCAACUAGCUGGGGUGAACCCUGCUGCUUACUUGCAGGCACAACAGCUACUACCAUUCAACCAACUUGUCAGGAGCCCUGCUGCCUUCUUACUGCAGCAACAGUUGCUUCCAUUCCAUCUACAAGUUGUGGCAAACAUUGCUGCUUUCUUGCAACAACAACAACAAUUGCUGCCAUUUUACCCACAGGUUGUGGGAAACAUUAACGCCUUCUUGCAACAGCAACAGUUGCUAC